Molecule: long non-coding RNA, 268385 nt
Filed under: Gossypium barbadense (sea-island cotton)
Lineage: Eukaryota; Viridiplantae; Streptophyta; Magnoliopsida; Malvales; Malvaceae
Description: long non-coding RNA (GBAR_LNC021289)
Source: RNAcentral
UGCAGGCCAUGAAGACCAAGCUGUGCAGGAGCUACUGAUUCAAGCUGUUUUUGUUCAUUUUGUAAUCUUUAGUUAAUGAAAUGUAAUCUAGUUCAUUUAGAACUAUGUUAGGUAGAUGAUUGAUGUAAUUUGCUGACAUAUGACCUGUUAAUUCAGCUUUGCUUGUAUACACAAGCUAAUUACUUCAAGUUUCAAUGCUUAGUGGUGUUAGGUAACCAUUAGGUGAAUGUUUACUGUUUUUGACAAGCUUAGUGCUUGGUUUAUGUAUUGGCAUUGUGCCAUUAUUCAAUCGAUGAAUGAAAUUCAGUUUGUUCAUCAACUUCUCUCCUCAAUUUUCUUAGCUUUUCUUCUUUUCUUUUGCUCGAAUUCUCUUGUUUACUCAGCAAGUCUCGAUACUUGCUCGACAAGUCUGUGCUGAGUCUGUUAGUUUCAGUUACAGCACCAACAAAAAUAGAGAAGAAAGAAUGACCUGUUAUUUAAAUGCCAUCCCUUGAUGUUAGCCACUUCCCUCAAAGCAUUUGGCCACCUUUGGAUCUUUUCUCUAUCGUCCUUAUAUCUCUCUUCAUGUUUUGCAAAGGCUUCUUCAACUUUUCCCUUCUGUUUUCUUUAAUCGGAUGGAUCCACUUAGUAGAAUAUUUUAUGUUCCUUAUCCUUUUUUUGUUUAACAAUCUCAGCAAGCUCCUCCAAGCACCAACUUGAAAAGGCAUAGGUUUUUGAAAAAACGAUGAUCGAGCACCAUGAUUGUUGAAUUGCUUUAAAGAGUUCAGGUGCGAUCUCUUCCCCAGCCUCCAACUUGGGAUCAUCUCUAAAAGUGACAAUCCCACGCCUCUUUAGAGCAUUGUAGAGAUGAUCUGUGAAGUUGUUGCGAGUAUCUUCACCUCUAAAACUCAAGAAAACAUCAUAUUUCUUUUUAGAAAUGGACGAUGGAGUUGAAGGUAACGAAAACAUGAGGAUAUAUGAGAAGAAAAAGAUAUCUCAAUUUAGUGCUCAAAAUCAGAAAAUAGUUUGCUCAAUACCACAGAAAGAAACUGGGAACAAUGGGUUGAUGAGGACAAGAAAGAGAAAAGCAGAUCUACAAAUAGAUGAGGGAUGAUGUUCUUUCCAAGAAGGUGAGAGUUGAUUUUAUAUCGGAUAUAUAUAAUAGUGCUAUUAAAUUAUUUGUAUGCAAUUAUUGAAUGAAGUUAUCAAACAUAAACUCAGUGAGUCACACGGCCUGGACGCACACACCUGUGUGUCUCACUUGUGUGACUCUAAUAUGAAUUUAGUGAGUUACACGGCCUGGGCACACGCCCGUGUGUCUCACCCGUGUGACCCCUACCUCUCAUUACUCAGACACAGCCUCUCCCACGCCCGUGUGUCUACAAAUUCAAAGUCAAGGAGUUACACGGCCCGCCACACAACCUCCCACAUAGCCGUGUGACUCACACGGCCAGCACACGCGCCCGUGUGCAGUUGACACUCCCGAUUCUGGCGAAGAAAUAAACACAGAAAAAGAGGGGUUUUGGCACCCACCUGUUACCCGAUGCUGAAGAAGCACCCAAUUAUAAAAUCCAAGCCUAAAACAAGUUCAAAACACUCAAUUCAAUAAAACUUCCACAAAAUACGCAAACACCAACAAUCAAACUUCGUCAAAACUUUCGACUCACUACACGAAACAAGUAAAAGAUUACUUACCACGGAUUCCUAGUACUCACUCAAUUCCUAAGUAAACGAUAGGCGUUAGGCAUCUUUUGAAUUCCUCCCUAAUGUAUCGAAACAACGCAUAACAAGUUAUCAGACCUCAAGACUUAUGAAAACCCCAAAUUCACAAUGACAGACUUUAUGAAAAUAUCGACUUAACUUACCUUGAAACACACCAGAACAAGCAAAAACGCGAUCUAACGAAGCAAUUUAUACGAAAGAACAGACAAUAAAAGAAAAGAAUUAAGGAAAUAUGAACAGAAAAGAAAGAAAGAAAAAGAACAAUUUGGGAAAGAAAAAAAUGAAGAAGAACGUCAAAUCCAAUAGGGAAGGACAUUUAAAUUUCAAAUCAAUUUUUACUGAAUAUCCAAAAAUAAAAUCAUUGUUGCAAACGCUAUAACUUGAACGUAGAAUUAGAGAGUAGACCGACAUUUAACCGGUGAACCAGCAAGUUUAUUUUUGACACAAGCUGCACAAAACUAAACUUAAACAAAGAAUCCUAAGAUAAGGGUUCAAGUAAGAAAUUUAACAAAAUUCUGAAAUUUAUGUAACUCAAACCUCAAACCUUUAGUGAGCAAACAAAGCACACAACCACAGAAGCAAACACAUUUUCAUUGACACAGCUUAGCUAUUAAAACUCAAAUUUUGGAGCGUUACAAUGUUGCAAAGCUAGUUUGUAACAAGACAUAUAUAUAAAUUGAAUUCAAACCAUGCAUAAAAGUACAAACCAUAUUCGUUUCUCAUCUACGCCUCUCGUAUUUCCUUUUUCUCGAGACAAUCUAACAUCAUCUUUAGUUAUGUACAAUAAUAUAAGUAUAGAAACGAUAUUAGUUUUUCAUCCAAUCACAUUAAAAACAAAUAAUCAAACAUAUUUUGCAUUUUAUUCAUUUUAGUCCUUAUAUCUGAAAUACUCAUAUUUUCCAAUAUUUAAUAACGGAUGAAAAUCUGAUUUCAUGUCCUUUCAUUAGAGACAUUAUACUUUUAAUCUAUAGCAUAAUUUAUUAAAAAUUUUCAAUUUAUUAAAUUCAUCCCUAAGGUCACAAAAUUAUAUUUAAAGCUUAACUUGAUUUCUAACUUAAACCUUAACAUGAUUUAAGUUUACAAACUAACAAUCUCUUCAAUUUCAAGCUUAAUUUUAUCAAUUAUACAUCAAUGGUAACUUGCUAGACAUCUAACAAUUAAAGAAAUCGAUACAUGGGUAGCUAAACCAAACUCUAAUGUUUCAAAAUUCAUAAAAAUCUUAAGGAAAGAACUUAAUUACCUUGAUUAAUUUUGGAUUAAAAUGGAAAAGAAAGAAGUUUUUCCUUCUUCUUCUUAGCUUGGGACGACCAAACACAAUAAGAAAGAUAACUUCAACUUUCUCUCCACUCACUUUUAAAAUCUUAAUUAGAUUAAUUAAUCAUCAUUAAUAAUAUAAUGUUAAUAAGUUAGUUUUAAUUAAUCAAGUCAAUUAAGAUAAGUGGAUGUAAUCUUACCAUUGCACUAUCAUAUUUUAAUAAUCAUCAAUUUAUUUUAAGGUCCUUAGAUUAAUUAUUAAUUAAGUCCUCAAAUAUUUUCUAAAUUAAAAUUUAAUAGCGAUUAAACUUUUAAAAUUUACGCCCUAACCUUUAAUUAUUGAUUUUCUCGACUUAAUUACCGGUUCUUUAUUAUAUUUUUAUACUAACUUUGUCAAUACUUCUAUUCAUAUUUUCUAUCUCUAAGUGAAUAUAUAAUGAAAAAAUUUUAAUAAAAAAAUGAAACCAAUCAAAAUAUACACAUUUCAAUUAUAUAAAAAAAUGAAUUAAAUGAUAAAAAUUUUAAAUAGAAUAUGAGCUUAUGUUCAAAAUGAAAAGAUUUUAAUUUUUUUUUGGUAUAUAAUGGAAAGAUCAUAUCUCAAAUGCAAAUAAAUUUAGAAUGAUUACUUUAAAUGAAAUAAAAAAUAUAAACAAGGUAGAUGUUUAAGUAGCUUACCACAGUUAAUGCUUCUUCGAUUGACCCAUUAUAAAAUUGAAAAACUUUUCCGUUUUGGUUGCGGCCCUUCUUCCCCUGCUUCCUUGUAGAUAUUAUGUUUUCGUUUUAUGUGAGUAGUGAGCAGAGUGUUGGUAGAUGUGUUCAAAAUUUGUAGAAGAUUGAGUGGUAUGGCACUGCAACUCUUUUAUUUCUUCCAAAUCUUUCUCAUGCAUUAUUCUAACACCACACUUCUUCACCUUGGCACUGCGUCCAAAUGGAUCUAUGAAAGACACCUCAAGCUCAUCCCAUUUUUUAUCUAAGCAAUCUGUUGCCCAUAAAUUGUUGGUUUCACUGUCACCAUAUUUAUCGUCCAAGGAAGAUAAGUAUAAGUUAUCACGAGACCAAUAAUGAAGAAAAAGGUGAUCUUUCAUUAUGGGCUCGUUAAGUCGUUUACCCACCAACGAGCCUGUCCAAUCAAUCAGUCCAGGAUUUUUACAAUAGAUAAAUGUUCGACAAUUGAUAACCUCGUCAUCCCUUGAAGCAUCAUUAUUGACAAAAAUGCAGCAAGAAGCAACUCCAAUCCAUUGAAGAGUCACUUUUUUGUUGGCUAAACCAUUCUGGGAUUUCACUCCCGGGAAUGUCAAACCUUUUUAUUGAAUUUGCAAAUGCCUGCAAAAUAAAUCACAAGUCGUUUGGUAACUAAAACCAUAAAUUCUAAAGUAUAUAUGAGAUUUGUAAGGGAGAAUAAAGAGAUUAAUCGACCUUAAGAUGUUUUUUCAGCAGUGUUAAUGCAUUGAUAUUCUCAGCCAAUUUGAAGCAGUUAAAGGCUUUAACGGCAGCCGAAUCCACUAAAUUGCAUACUUUUGAUGGACUUGCAACUACUUGAAGUGAAGAACAACCAUCUAUCUCCAUAUUUCCUAUGGUUGUUAGAAGCCCAGGUAACGAUUUAAGCUUCGUGCAAUUUGAUAAUGCAAGCACUUGAAGCCUGGAAAGUUGAGUAAGAGCCAAAGGAAUGGUGAUGAAAUUGCUACCCCUAAGUUUAAGAUAACUCAAAGAGGAUAGACCACGAAUAUCCGCUUCACCAAGAGCGCACAUGUUGCAAUUUGACAAAUCAAGAAACCAAAGCUUCGAGAGUAGAGUAAGAGAUGCAGGUAUGCUGAUGAAAUUGUUACCAAUAAGAUCAAGAUCUAUCAAGAAAGAUAGGCAAGAUAUAUCACUAGGAAUAUCUCCUUCACGAAGAUUGCAGUCCCUUAGCUUCAACUCUCUUAAUGAACUUAAACUUGACAACGAAGGCAACAUCAGAGGCAUAGAAUUUGUCCUUCUUGGGUACACCAGUUAAUAUAUGAUUUCCCAUCAUCUCCAUAUGGAUCCAUAACAUUCUUAUAUUCAUUCUCAACCUAUAUAUAUACAUUUUAUUUAGAUAUUAUUUAAAUAUAUAAUAAAAAUAAAAUUAAUAAAACAUAAAAUUUUAUCAUAUAUACCUGAGCAAGAAUGAUGUUUCCUUGGGAUGCAAAUUGUUUCUCUUUUUUGACCAUAUCAACUAUCAAAGUUGUGAAGUUUUUCAUUUCAUUCUAAAAAUAAAGGAAAAUAAAAGAUAUUAUUUAUAUAUAAAAAUAAACAAAAAUAGAAUUGAUUUUUUUUAAAAAAAUUUUACUGAAAAUUAAAAGAAUUACCAUAAAAACAUCAUUUUUAGUAUGGAGAGAAACUCCAAGCAUGUUAAGCCUCUAAUAAAAAAUAAUAAUAAAACUAUUAAUACUGAAAAAUAGUUAAAUAAUUUAUGAAAUAACAUAAUUAGUUAAAAUUUUAAAAUAAAUUAAUUUACCCAUAAUUCCACUCGGCACAAGUAUAAGAUCCAAUUCAAAGAAUUGCAUAUAAACCUUGGUCUUGAAUCGUUUUAAGAAAUCAAAUAAGAUCAAGAUUUCCUCUAAAAUCAUAUUGACGACGAGCUGGUUCAUGUGCAUUUCAAAAUACAUAUGUUUCAACCGCAUCCAAUCCACCUUCUUUGGCUUUUCUUAUAAGAUCCGGCCACAUCUAAUAAAAAUUUAAAAAAAUCAAUCAAUCGUUCAAAUUCAAAUUAUAAAAAAUAUCCCGGAUAACUCAAUUGUAAAUUAUUACCUGAGUAGUACUUCUCAGAUAAUGAACCGAACCCGAAAAAACAAUUCUAUGAUUUCCAUAAAUUAUGAUGGAUCUUGAAUCAUAAGUGACAUUAAGCGCAUUUGAAUAAAAUAGGAUGAAAGAAAAAAUAAGAUAAGAAAAUAAAAUAGUGAAUAUAUUCUUCUUCUUCUUCUUCUUCUUUCCAUCUACUGAAGCUAAAAAGAAGUGUUGAUUGAAAAAUCAGUAGAGUAUGAUAACGUAUUUAUAAGCGUGGUGAUUGAAUUCAUAUCAAAUACUUGAUUUUUAGAAGAUAUUUACUUUGAUUUAUUUGCUGUUUUAAAUAGAUUUAUAUAAUCAGUGAUAUGAGAUUAAAUCAGCAAAUUGUGUUGAAAGUUGAGUUUUAGUUCUAUGUAGCAGCAUUAAUUAAAUAUUUUUGAUAAUUAAAUAAACUUUUUUAAUUAUAAUUAAUUAGAGUAUUGCCUUCAGACGACGGGAGUCAUUGGUUCAAAUCCAAUAAUAGCUAGAAUUUAUUAGAUACCAUCGAUCCCGGUGUCUAAUAAGUUUUUCUAUCCACCUUCUUUUAUUGAUUUUCUAUCUUUUUCAUCCUAUUUUAUCUCCGUUUUCAAUUUUUAAAUUUUUUGUUGGAUCAUGAUCCGAUUUCACUUUUGAUUAUAUUUGAUUUUAUUUAAUUGGCAGAAUCAACAUGAGAUGUAUAAACGAAAGUUUUGUUUUUACGAAAAUUCUCCAACUUGUUACGAAAUCGCGUUGAUAACCUCGACUCGUGUCCUAGCCUGUUUGACAGCUAGAUUUGCCUCAAUUGUUUGCCUCUUGCCUUCAGCUUUCCUCAUGUUAGCUUGCUGAGCUUCUUGUGGACUCAUCUAUAAAAUUCUCGUUUAUUAAAACUUGUAGAGUUCUAGUUAAAUUAAAUUAAGAUUUCUUUCAUCAACAAAUGAGACUUGCUUUUUGAAGAAUAAAGAUUAUAUACCGAAAAGAAUAAGCGAGCAAUUAGUAAAGGGUAUAUCCAUAAUAACUUUUUACAUCACUGGUAAAUAAUACGACACAGUCACGAUUCAGCUAUAAUAUUAUCCAUAAUAACUUUUCACAUUGCUAGUACACGAAUCAUAGUAGUUGCCAUCCCAAAGGAUUGUUAGUAGAUCAAUCUUGCUAACACCUGUUAGAGAAAAUAGGAUGAAGUACUUCCCUGUGUAACACCAACAAUGGCUCUAAUCCGAAAAAGAGAUUGCAUUUAAAGUUGUUAGCAAACUCAUUCAUUCCUAGCUACCCACAAUGACCAUAACAUAGCGCCAUAGAAACAAGCCAUUUCCUCUUAACAUUCCAAACAUGCAGCAACAUUCAUACACAACAUUUCAAGGAAUCGCACACAUAACACCCCACCAUUGAAACAACACUCCCCAAGCUUUCCAAGAAAGGAAGUAAGAAAGAAAAAUAUGAUCACAGUUCCCUUCAACUUCAUUGCACCAACAACAAUUGAUGGAAUCAUUAAUUGUUAUAAUACCUCGAUCCCUUAAAUAAUAUUUUGAAGGCAUACCAUUCUGGAAUGAGAGCAACAGGAAGCAUUGCACCUUUGAUGCACCAAUGAACCCUCAGAAUCAAGAGAAAACACAAAUUUCUUUACAGUAAAUUUCCCUUUGCUGUCCACCUCCCACAUUCGCCUUAUUACAUUAAUCACUGAAUCCAUACAUAGCCAAUUUCCAUACCGAUGUUCCCUCAAGUAAGCUUUAAUCACACCGUGGUCUCAAAAUAGUUUGCUCAAGGACUGGUGUUCCAGAGAAGUCAUCCCUUGGAUUAUUGCAGAGCCGAAUGAUUUGUGAUAUGGUUUUGUCAAUAUGGGAUCUUCUGUUAGCAUGAAUUGAAGCCAUUUAAGUAGUAUUAACUAUUAAGGACCUAUAUAAACUACAAAAUGAAGCUAUUUAAAUACUAUUUAAGCAACACCAAAACAGAGUACAGGUUCCCAUGGCGUUUUAUUUAGCGAAAAUAGUCUGAUGACAAAGAUAAAAGAUGAUUAUAUUUCACCCUAUUACCUGCUUCUUCAUGCAGUGAAAUAUAGAUGUAAGUUUAUACUAUAACAUAAAAUUUAAUAAAUAAAUAAAUAAUAAAUUUCAUUAAACAGUACAAGUUUCAAUCAUGUAAAAAUUAAUUAAUUAGAUGAAUAAAUUUUUAAAUGCAUAAAAACACUAUGUUGUCUUUCAACCAAAACAUGUCAUUCAAUAAAAGUUGGUGUUCAACAUGUCUAUACUCAAAAUUUAGAGUUGAUUACAUAAUUUGAAGAAUCAUAUUUCAUACUCGUAUCAAAAUAUAUGUUGAGUAAAGAUGUUCAAAAUGAAUACUUUAAAUGUAAAUAAGGUCGGUAAAAAGGUCUAAAAACAGAAUUUAUAGGGCAAGGCUAGUGAAGUAGUUUACCACAGUUACAGCUUCUUCCUCGAUCGGCUCAUUAUAAAAUUGAAAAAAUUUUGCAUCCAUUUUGGUUUUUGUUUUACAAGGGAAGUGCUCCCUAUUGAAUCUAUUGAUCCAUCGUUAUCAGCAGAGUGUUGAUGGACAUCUUCAAGAUUUGGAGAACAUUGAGUGGUAUGGCUAUGCAGCUCUUUUAUGUCUUCCAAAUCUUUCUCAUUCACCAUUCUAACACCACACUUCUUCACCUCAACACAGGGAACAUCCGGGUCUGUGAAAGACAAUUCAAGCUCAUCGCAUUCCUGAUCUAAGCAAUCUAUUGUCCAUAAAUUAUUAAUUUCACAUUCACCACAUUUAUCCUCUAAGGAAAAUGGAUAUAAUUUAUCACGCGACCAAUAUCGAAGAAAUAGGUGAUCCUUCGUUAUGGGCUGGUUAAAACGUUUCCCAAACAACCAACUACUUGCAUCGACACGUCGAAGAUCUGUUUCUCGAAAGACAGAUCCAUUUCGACCGGCUUGUCCAGAAUUUCUACAAUGGAUAACAGCUCUGCAGUUGAUAAACUUAUCCCGGUAAGCAUCAUCAUUGACAAAAAUGCAACAGGAAGCUACUCCAAGCCAUUGACUAUCAUUCUGAAUAUUGAGUGGUAGAGGUAUCCUAAUUGUAGAGCCACCUCUCUGUUGGCUAAACCAUUCUGGGAUUUCACUUCCAGGUAUAAUAACAUCAAACAUUUGUCUUGAAUUUGCAAAUGCCUGCAAAAUGAAACUUCAGUCACUUGGUAAAUAAAACCAUAAAUUCCCAAGUAUGAGAGGGAAAGAAAGAGAGAUUAAUUAACCUUGAGAUGUUUUUUCAACAAUGUUAACGCAUUGAUGUUCUCCGCCAAUCUGUAGCAGUUAAUGGCUUUAAUGGAAGCUAAAUCCAAUAAAUUGCAUACUUUUGAUGGACUUGCAACGCCUUCAAGUGAAGCACAACCAUCUAUGCACACUCUUGCUAUACUUGUUAGAAGCUCAGGCAACGAUUUAAGCUCUUUGCAACUUGAUAACAUAAGAAGUUUAAGCUUGGGAAGUCGAGUAAUAGACGCAGGUAUGCUGAGGAAAUUGUUACCACUAAGAUCAAGAUGUGUCAAGGAGGAUAGGCAAAAAAUAUCACUAGGAAUAUCUCCUUCACGAAGAUUGCAGUCCCUUAGCUUCAACUCUCUUAAUGAACUCAAACUUGACAACGAAGGCAACAUCAGAGGCAUAUUUGGUCGUAACUUAGAUGAUGGUCCUUUGCACCCAUUGAAAGACAGAAUUUUAAGAUUUUCCAAUUGAAAAAUCAAGGAUGGUGGUUCUGUUAUCGCUGUUUCACUCAAGUCAAGCUCUUCCAAAAACUCUACUUGCUGCAAAUUCACUGGCAAAUAUUUAAUUUUAUAACAACUAGAAAGAUCAAGAGUUUUUAGAUGUUCCAUUUUCCCAUCAAUCUCCGGAAACCUUACAAGACUUGAGCAACCUGAAAGAAUUAAUGUUUCAAGAGAUUCCAUUCCAAUUCUGGUUGGAAGACUCCUAAGACUUGUGCAGUCUCUUAAAUUUAAAAGUUUAAGCAUCUUAAGCACUCUGAUUGAUGGAUGGACAUCUACUAAUCUGGUACAACCUUCCAUAAUCAAAGCUUCAAGUUUUGGUGUUGUUCUGAAGUCUGGUGUCUUGAUCAGGUAUUGAGACCCUUUGAGGUUGAUCAUUUUCAACUUAUACAAGGGCUGUUGAAGACAAUAAUAAAUUAGAGAGAAAACAUAAUAAUGCUCAAUUUUGUUUUUCUUUUUCUUUUUUUACCUUAAUCAAAGUUUAAUCAUUUAUAUUAAAAUAAGCUAAAACACAAGGAUAAGAUAAGUUAAUUCUUACUCUAUUUCCCUUCCAUAGUUGUUCAAUGUGACUAUAUGGUAAAAGAAGUGUGACAAGAUUGUCCGGUCGAAAGCUUGAAGGUAAAUAUCUUAAAGGAUAUCUUGCCCAAUCUAAAAGCCGUAUUUCAUUAGAGAGAUAUUUGAGACCAUCACAAUUUGAUAGGCAAAGAACUUUGAGCAAUCUCAACUUUUUUCAUUUUUGAGAAGGUAUCGUCACUCAAAUUGAGCACCUUGCUCGAUUCCCUAAUAACCAUGAGCAAAACAAAUAUGAGUUUCAAAAUAUACAGAAACAUUCGAUAACUAAAAGCUAUGUUGCAUCGAUAUUGUUUUUUUAAGUACCCACAUCCUACACUUAUAUCUAAUGCAUAUCUGAAUAUGGUAUUGAGAUAUAUGAUUGAACAUAUUAGACAAUAGUCUAUCUAACACUUACAUUUGACUUUGAAUUACCUAAGCCUAAAAAACUAGAACUAAUAUUUUGAUUUACGUUUGGUGCACUGAUGUGUAAUUCUAUGCAUUACCAGUGAAUCAAAUGAUGGCAUGUUAUAGCCUAGUUCAUUAAUAUUAGCAAAGACAAUAACAUACAUCUCUUUACAAUUUCUUUUGAAAGAGUAAUGUGUUUCUAUAUAAAUUUUAUAAAUAUAACAUUGAAAAAUUAAGUAUUAAGGGCGUGUUUCAUUAGGUGGAAAAGUGAAAAGAACAUAAAUUUUAAGUCUGCAUUUUGCAUCCUAAUGCAUAAAAAUCAAUCAUUUCAAAUUGAAAUAAUUAAAAUUAUGCUCUCUUUUUUUCAAAUGUUCUAUUUUUUCUUUCCUUCCACUUUCCACUAUAUAAAGCAAUAGUGAGAAGGGAAAUAUAUUUUCCAUUCAAUUUUCCAUCCUUCCUACCAAGCACACCUAUUGAAAGAAAAAUAUAUUUUCUUUUCCUUCAAAUUUUCAUCCUUUCAAUUUUUUAUUCACUAUACCAAGCAAAGCAAAAAUGUUGUUUUUUCAUUGUUUAUUAUUGGAUUUUAAAAAAAAUAAUGACAAUAUUAAUAGUACAUAUUGAUAAAUUUAAAUGUAUGUUUUCUUACCUUUUAUUGUUGAUGAUCAUGCCUUCAAUAACAUCGGUAGCCUAAAAGUAAUCAAGAAUAGACAAUAAGAAGGCAAAAUAAAUGCUUUAAAUUGUACGAUAAAACUUUUGAAAAUUUACAUACAUGUUCAAUAUUACCACAAUCUUUUGGUCAAAAUAUAGUAAAUAAAAUAUUUUGAACUAAGUAAAACAUUUUUUAAUGAGAGUAGUUCAAUAAACUUAAACACUUAUGUUAUGAAUCCUUAUUAAUAAUUAUAAUUAACAAAUCGGUACGUAAACCAAUUAGACUAAGCUUUGGAUUUACAUCAUAUAUUGAUAAUAAAAAAAUUGUAUGUAAUUUUUGUUGAAUGACUUACCGUGGUUUUUGUUAGGACAUGAUGGACAUCCCUUUCCUUCCACAAUCUACAACGCUUUCUAGGUUCAUCAACACACUUUUCUUCAACAAUUUUUCUUCCCAUUUCUUGCAACAAGGCAUGCAUCCUCAAAUAUUGGUUGCCAUCAUCAACUUUUAUGAGAGAUUUCUUAAUGAGAACAUCAAUUCCAAUAUUUGGAAAAAAAUCACAACCAUCCAAUACUUUCAUUACCAAAUCUUUCUUCUCCCCAUUGAAAAAGCAUGCUAUAUCUAAAAAUAUAUUCUUCUCCCUUUCUUCCAAUCCAUCAAAGCUAAUUCUUAGUGUGUUAAGAAUUUCUUUGUUAGAAUCUUGUUUAAGUCUUUCGAUUGCACUUCUCCAUUGAAUUAUAUCUCUACCGCACAAAAAUGAACCCAAAACUUCAAGAGCUAAGGGCAGCCCAUCAGCAUAAUGUACAAUAUGUUUAGAAAGCUCAAUGAAAUCAUAGUUCGGCACUGUAUCACUAUCAAAAGCUUUCAAAUUGAAAAGCCUAAGUGCAUCGUUGGGAUUCAAUGUUGUAGGCUUAUACACAUCAUCAAUUCGAUAAGAUCGGAGCAAAUGUUCAUCUCCUGUUGUUACAAUGAUCCUACUCCCUAAACUGAACCAAUCACGCUUUCCAACCAAGCAUUUCAAGUGUUGUACGUUAUCAACAUCAUCAAGAACAACAAGAACUUUUUUGCUAGACAACCUGUGGCUAAUUAUGGCAUUCCCUUCAUGAACAUUGAAAAAAUUGAAGCAUUUAUCUGGCAAAAUUUGAGAAAGAAGUUGUUUCUGUAAAGAAACAAGUCCACAUUUGUUUGAAACUUCUCCAAUAUCAGCAACAAAACUUUUACCUUCAAAAUGAGGUGACAUUUGAGUGUAAACAACCCUUGCAAGAGUUGUUUUACCGAUGCCACCCAUUCCGCAAAUUCCUAUAAUGCGUACAUCGUCUUCCCCAAUGUUUAUUUUCGAAUACAACUCCUCCAAACUUAAGCUAACUCCAACCAACUCAUCUUGAACAAUUGGAUAUGUCUGACAUAAUUUUGCUGAUUUCUUCUUAACAAUGUCUCCGAUAAACUCUGAUUCAUGCCUACAAUGAAAUAAAAAAUCGCUGCUAUCUUUCAAAUGCACUUUUUCGUUUUUAGUUCAGUGAAUCAUGAAAUAUAAUAUAGUUGGAAGCAAACAAAAAGCAAGAAUAAGAUAGUAAGAUCUGUUAUAGCAUCAAAAUACACAACUUGCUCGUCAGUUGAAAUAUGGGAAUUCUCAAUUAAACACAAAAUUAUAAAAAAAAUAACAUGCAAUCCAAAAAAAAAAAGAAAAACAAUUUUUUAGUCAUUAAAAUUAGGAAAUAGAGAAGAAAAGGAAGAAAUACCUAUUAUGUAAAUGCCAUCCUUUGAUGUUAGCUACUUUAGUCAAAGCAUUUCGCCACUUUUGGAUCUUGUCUUUAUCUUCCUUGUACCUCUCUUGGUGUUUGGCGAAGGCUUCUUCAACUUUUUCUUUUUUUUUUCUUAAAUCGGAUGGAUCCAUAUCGUAGAAAAUUGGAUACUUUAUGUCCGUUAACAUUUUUUUGUUGAACAAUCUCAGCAAGCUCCUCCAAGCACCAUCCUGAAAAGGCAUAGUUUUCCGAGAAAAUGAUUACCGAGCACCAUGACUGCUGGAUUGCUUUCAAGAGUUCCGGUGCGAUCUCUUCGUCGGCCUCCAGCUUUGGAUCAUCCCUGAAAGUGAUGAUCCCACUUCUUUUUAGAGCAUCGUAGAGAUGAUCCGUAAAGUUCUUGCGGGUAUCUUCACCUCUAAAACUCAAGAAAACAUCGUAUUUCUUUCUGGAAAUUGAUGAGGAAGUCGAAAGUAAUGACGACAUGACGAUGUAUGAGAAGAAAAAAAAUAUGUGGAUGUAGUGUUCAAAAUCAGAAAAUAGAUCGCUCAAUACCUUAGAAACAAAGUAGAAAUAAUGAGCAUGAGGAAGGAGAAAAAUAGAUGAAAUUUACAGGGAACAACAAAGGACUUUUCCAAAUGAAUCUUUCUGUAUGAUAAUACCUAUGAAAGGGAGUCGGUAACAAUAAAUUCUGGGGCCAUCGAUGAGCGUUAGAUGUUCUUUUCGGGAAGACUGCAAGAAGGUGAGAGUUGACAAUUGCUGCCUACUUUAAUUACAACUAAUAACGAUAGAGUUUUAGGAGUUUUUUUCACUAUUAGUGUCACAUCUGAUAGUGAAGAAGAGGCCCAAUAGGGUAAACAGGCAAUGCGCGUAGGCGUAGGCGUAGGUCUUCCACAAUCACCUCUGGUGUGCCACCCGUCAGUUGAGAAACCUGGGGGAGCUAUCUUCGUGGUACCAAUGACUGGGGGCAGGGGCCCAUUAUAUAAAACAGGGCAACUUAAACAUAUGCUUUGAAGGUGGAGCCUAUUGCUACAGAAGGGAGGCCGGACUUUUCCAACUAUGGCCUUAUUUAUUGCUAAUAAGAUAAUGCAAAAAAUGGGCUAUGACUUGGAAAAUCCUGUCGGACUAAAAAAUGGGAAGGGGCUUGACGAAGGCACAAAAGAAUACAUUAAAAGAUGGGGAGGCUAUCCUCCGACGUACGGCCUGGGGUACAUCCCAGAUUAUGGAACGAGAGAUGGGUCAGAAUUUGAAGCUUAUGAGUCGUCCACUACUUGUUAAAAUGUGCCACAACUUUAUGUACUUUUUGUAAAUUUAAAAUUUAAUUCCUAUACCAUUAGUUACUAAAUUAUAGGUAAAUUUUUAUUUUAAUCACUUAAUGUAAAAAAAAGUUAUAAUUUGAUCAUUGAAAUUUUCAAAAUUAUUUUUUUGUCACUCAACUAUUAAGUGACACUUUUUUUUAUGUGAUAUAAUAUACGUGGAUGUAGUGCUCAAUAAACAAGAAGUAAAUGAACAUGAGGGAGGAGAAAAACAGAAGAAAUUUACAGGAAACAAAGGACUUGUCUAGGAAAUUUGUGUAUACGUUUCCCACCUUUUACUUUUCCAAAUGAAUCUAUCUUCAUUAUAAUACCUAUGAAAGGGAGUCGGUAACAAUUAAUUCGGGGGCCAUAGAUCAGCGUUAGACGUUCUUUUCGGGAAGACUCCAAGAAGGUGAGAGUUGACAAUUGGUGCCUACUUUAAUUACAACUAAAACUUAUAGAGUUUUAAGAGUUUUUUCUGGUUAAAAUGUGUUACAAGUCAUCGUACUUUUUAUAAAUUAAAAUUUAGUCCCUACAUCAUUAGUCAUCAAACUAUGGGUAAGUUUUUGUUUUGGUCACUUAACUAAAAAAAAUUACGAUUUGAUCAUUGAACAUUGAGGAAGCGCAUAAUGAUCUAACAUUGUUUUGUUUUGUUCUAUUUUUAAUUUUUUAUAGGAUUCUAUUGAAGAAUAAAUUUCUAUAUUUUCCAUACAUAUUAGUUCUUGAAAAACAACAUUUUCGAGAUUUUAUUUUUCUAUAAUUUUCAUAUAGAAUUUUCUAUUUUUUAAAUAGUUUUGAUUUUUUUUAUAAAUUUAUAUAGAACCAUGGUCAAGUUUACAAAAUAUAAAAAUUAAGGACUAACGUGUUAUUUUACCAACUAAAAAGUGCCAUUUAACAGUCAAAUGAUCAAGAAAAACAAUUUUGAAAAGUUUAGCGACUAAUUAUGUGACUAAUUAUGUAGCUUUUGCAGUUAAGUAACAAAAAUGAUAACUUACCUAUAAUUUAGUGACUAAUUAUGUGGUUUACCCUAAAAAAAGUGUCUUGGAUUUGGUCCAAAGCCCCAUUGGAACAUACGGGCUGUAUUACCCAAUCUAUAUAAUAUAAUAUACAUAAAAGCACAAGUUUGAAAAACUUUUGAACUGACGAGAAUAUCAUUUACUUUUCAUCAAAUUAAGUUCACAUUUAAAGGUUAAGCUAAUUUUAUUGAUGUAAAAUAAAGUUAUUACGUGAAUAUAAUUUUGAGCAUCUUAAUUAUCCCUUAAUUAAUAUUAGAGUUACACAUCAAUUAAAAAUUUAAGUUUAGCUUUGUAAAUAACAUCAAAUAGUUAGACAUAUUUGAUUAAAUAGCAAUUAAGAAAAAUCAUCGACAAAAAAAUUGGAUAUUGUUAGCAUUAAUAAAUUAAAAUUAUAUGUAUAAAAAGAAUAUAUAUAUAUAUAUAAAGAAAAGCAAUGGUUCUUUGAAUAGGAAAUAGUGAAUCCUAUUCAAAUUGAAUGGCAUUAAAGAAAAAUGAAAGAUUAUUUUAAUUGAUGAUGAGAUAAUAGAAUAUAAUAUUUUUUUAUAAUUAUGUUGUAUGUUAUUCAUACUAUGUGAAGCAAGCACUCUUAAAAUUGUUUUUUUAUCUAUCUAUAAUUUGUUUGGUAUACAUGGAAAACAUUAUAUAAGUUUGUUUUGAAGAUAAAAUUAAAUUUUAAGAAUUAUUUUUUAAUCAUCAUUAUUAAUAUAAUUAAAAUUACAUGCAACGCAUGUGACAUUAGAAACUAGUGAUUAUAAAAAAUUGGAGUGCGACAAACUCUUGUUGUGAUUAAAAAGAGUUGUAUUUAUAAAAAAUUAUAUAAACAUCAUCAAACGCAUUGGUUGAAUUGCUUAACUUAAAGUUUUGCAAAAAUCAUCAUGAUAAUAUUUUAUAAUUAUUAUUAUAAAAAAUAUAAAAAUACUAUUAUAGUAAUAUUUGUUACUUCUUAUCAAUAGUAAAUUAUACAUAGGGUCUGUUUUGAAGUCAUACGUAGGCAUCUUAAAUGUCAUUUAUAUAUAGCAGAUGACUAUUUCGGUCUUUUAGUUGUUGGACCAAAUGGCGGCAGGGCUAUAAGACUGGAAAUUUCGGCGGCAAAUAGAGUUCCAUUUCUAAAUGGGGUAUAAGCUUGAAGGCAAUGAUCUUAAAAAAUAUCCUGUCCAAUCUAAAAGACGUAGAUACUUGAGAUCAUCAUGAAAUUAAUUUUCAUUUCUAAAUAUAUUUAAGUACUUGUUAAUAAUUAAUAACAUUAAUUGUCAUGAGUAAUUUCAUAAAUUAUAAUUAGCUUUUUGAUCCAUUAGUAACCGUAUUCUAAAAAAUCACAUUCCACUACCCUAUAAAAGAAUAAUUAUUUUUCUAUAAUUUUGAUAUAGAAUAAUUUUUUUACUUUACCGAUAGCAGCACUCUUUUUCAAAGAAGGUACGGUACAUCUUCUUCCUCUUUUCUGCUUCUAAGUUAUCAUGAAUCGUUGAUUCUAUUCAGAGGGGCUUACAUACACACACAUAUAUGAUUGAUAGGGGAAUUUACACAUAAAUAAUACAUAUAGAGAUUUUUCAAAUCGAAAGGAUAAAUUAUUCUUUAAUUGUGCAGGGAUGCUGACUUUCUGAUAAGUUCCGGUGAUAGAACCGGACGGCUGUUGAAGUACAAUCCUUAUAACGGAGACGUGUCCGUCUUGUACGACGGUUUAGCUUUCCCUAACGGGGUUGCCUUGAGUGCAAACAAUUCGUUUCUUCUAGUGAACGAAUCGAUAAAAAGACGAAUACUGAAGUUCAAUGUGCACGACCCCAAAGCAGCUCCCAAAGUAUUCCUCGAAUUACCCAGGGUUCCGGAUAAUAUAAAGAGGAACGAAAAGGGCGAAUUCUGGGUGGCCCUAAACAGCGGAAGAUUAGGAACGCUUGGAAACGGCGUUCCAGAUCCAAUUGGAAUGAGGUUUAACAAAGAAGCCAAGGUUUUGGAAAUCUUGGAUGGAAAGGGCGCGCCCACUUUUAAUUCUAUAAGUGAAGUCCAAGAACACGGGGGGAAAUUAUACGUAGGGUCUGUUUUGAAGUCGUACGUAGGCAUCUUAAAUGCCUAGUUGAUUUUUGUUUUCUUUUCGUUUCUUUUUUGCAACUUUUUAAUUGUUCUUGUAAUUUGUUUUUAUUUUACUCGAUAAAUAUAAUAAAUAAAUGUUAACGAUUUUAUUUUCGAGAAAUUUUUAAUUAUCUUGAUUUGCCUAAUUGAGACAUUACAUCUUCACGCCUCGUGCACAAGACGAAGUAAGCCAGGCUUGGCGUACCUGAUGGGUUAGUUGUCGAACAUUUUAAAGUUGUCCUUUAUCCCCUUUAUGCUUCGAGUUACACUGCUUUUUUCCGUCACAGAAUGUUUAUGUUGUAAACUUGAUAAGCAUGGCACCGAUUCCCAUAACACAAAUUAAAGAACAUCUGCUUCAAUUGAUUGGCCAAAAGAAAAGGUAAAUACCAUGACCUAAUCUCUCAUCUCAACAAUGCCUAAUCAGUGAUCCUAAUAGGCUAGGGAAAUUGAAUGACUUCAGAUGCUACUAAGUGUAUCAAAGUAAAAGAAGGACCAAAUAACAAAUUUGGCUAAGCAACCACUCAAUCCUUGCAACACUACUCCCUGCUUCUAUUGCCUGGGGAUAUGAACCAAUAGAUCACGAUGACAAUUCUAAAGCAACCAUUAUUUGAUCGUCCUCUUACUAGACAAUGGAUAUAAUAAUUCGUGAAGAAAAAGGUGGUCCUUCGUUAUGGAUUGUCCACCAAAACUUUGAAACUGGAAUCGACCCUUCCAGGAUUUUUAACUUGAAAAACAAAUCCAUUAUUACUAGAUUGUCCAGAAUUUCUUUAAUGGAUAUAAGUUGGGCCACCGAUAACUUUUUCUUCGGAACCACCAUCAUUGACGAAUCCAAUCCAUUGACUGUCAUUCUGAAUAUCGAGAGGCAGAGGUAUUUGAAUUACAGAGCUGCCUCUGUGUUGCCUGAACCAUUCCGGAAUUUCAUCAUUUUCGUUUUUUGAAUUCGCAAAUGCCUGCAAAUUUAAUUAUCUGUGGCUCUGUAACUAAAACCAUGGAAAAUAAGUGAGAUUAAUCAACCUUAAUCAGCAAUUUUAUUGCACUAAUGUUCUCAGCCAAUCUGUAGCAGUUAAUGGCUGUAAUGUUAGCACCAUAACUUAUCCACUACUCACUUUUCAUUCUUCCUAGAAGCACUGGCAACUAUUCAAGCUAACUGCAAUCUGACACUCCAAGCUUUUGAAGAUUUGAAAGAAGAGUAAGAGACGCAGCUAUGCUGCUGAAAUUGUUACACCUAAGAUUAAGAACUCUCAAUGAGGAUAGACCAGGAUUUGAACCUGAAAUUGUCAUAUUAAUGGCAUGAAGCUACAACCAACUGAGCUAGUAAGCCAAUUGUUUUUUUUUUAGACACUGUCUUAUAUUAAGCUUUUCUCCGUUGGUUAAAUGAUAAUAUUUUAAAAUUUUGGAUUUAAAAAAUAUAUUUAUUAUACUUUCAACAUAUAUACAUCCCAAAAUACAACCAAAAAUAAAUAGAAGGUUCAUUUUAUUUCCCCAAUAUUUUAAUGCAGAGUAAUGCUUGUUUUGUUGGGUUUGACAUAACCUGUAUGGAUUCGACAGUGAGAUUCGUGGACACCUUUGACAUGAUGAAAGACAACAACAUGCAGUAAAAGAUGUAAGAGGAAAAACCAACGUUAUGUCAUGAAAAGGAACAACACCCCCCCCCCAAAUGGAUCCCCCCCUGUUAAAAUUGAUCACUAAUGGCAAUUUGCUUCUUUUGCUAUGUGUAGUGUAGAGAAGAAUAAAAAUGAAGUUAACACAUAAACAGAGAGUUUUCACCUAUUGGCAUGGAUAUUGGCGGGUAAAUGAAAGAGUAAAUUAUUAAAUCCCGAUACUUUUCGAAAUUUUCAAAAAUUAAGUGCCCUUAAAACUAAUAUAUGUUGCAGUGGGCAAAAAUCACGUCGGUUGCUGCAUAGAUAAGUCGCUGAACCAAUCGUCACAACUCUUUGCCAAAGAUGCAUCAAUCCAUACAGCGCCACUAUUCUAUAUAUAGAUCGUCAGCGUCUCUUAUCAUUUGGAUAUUCAAGGAAGUUAAUUUUUCUGGUUACAUUAGCAAGAGGUAAGGCAUAUCAGUGAAGAUGGAAGAUUACGGAUGCGGUAUCAGUUCGAUAGCCAUGAUGCUGUUGGUGGUUGCUCUGCUGUUUUUGGGUCCGCUUGGAAUGCCACCGUUGCAGCCUCCUCCCGCUUACAUUUUCCUCAUCUUCGCUUUCGUCUUGAUCUUCGUUUUCAUCUACCUCUCUCAUGCCUCCAAAUGAUGAUCCAUGGCGAUUUCGUUUGCUUUCCAGUAUUAUUAUUCUCUUUUAUUCAGUUGUUAUCUGAUGAUAAUAAGCUUUGGUGUGGAUAUUAACCACCAAUAGUACACAGUUAUUUGUUGUUUUCAGUCGUUUAUUAAUAAAUUAUAUGAAGUCGAUGGAAGAAUGUCUCUGUUUAUCUAGUACGUAAAUAAACCAUGCAAUGCAUGCAUACUUACGUUGCUCUAAAAUGGACACGACGCCUUUUACUAAUAUUAUUCUUUCUUGCACUCCCAUUGGCUUAGGUACGCUGCAUGCGUUGUCCCUUCAUGCCGUCUAUUUAAUAAUGUCGUUAAUAAUUUUAAUGUGGUCUUCACUCCAUCCAUCGAUCGUGUCUAGCCUCAGUUUUCCUCCAUACAUCAAAUCGUUUGCAUUUGAAUAUCCCAUCUCUCCUUUUAAUUUUAAUUAUACUGAGUCUUCUUAUGUAAAUUUAGUUUAUUCAGGUUGUGCUUAUGAAUUUAGAUUCAAAAUAUGGAGUUAAACACGAUUGUAUGAUAAAAGGCAUUGUCUAUGGUUUCUGCUGCAGAAAAUUGUUAACUUUCGGGAUGACGCCAUUAUAAAAUUUGUUUGCAUGAACUAAUUAAUCCAUAGACUUUAACUAUGUACUAUGUAGGCGUCCUAGUACAAGGAUUGGGUUGUGAGCAAUACUAAUGGCAGUUUGGCUAUCACAAUACAACUUCAUUGUUGAAGUUAUUGGUUUCCUCAACUCUUCCAUAAUUCUUUUUAACCAUAUCAUUUUACAAAUUCCUUGAGCCAUUGAUCUAAACUAUGCCUCUGCACUACUUCUUGCUCCAACACACUGUUUUUUGCUUUGCCAAGUCACAAGGUUUCCCCAAAAAAAUUUACAGUAUCCUUAUGUAGAUAUUCUAUCUGUUAUUGAGCCUGCCCAAUCUGCAUCUGUAUAAGCUUCAAUUCCUCUUUGUUCAAAUUUCUUGAAGAAUAAGCCUUUUCCAGGUGACCUCUUCAAGUAUCUCAGAAUCCGAAACAUUGCUUCUUCAUGUUCUUCCAUUAGGGAGUGCAUAAAUUGACUCACUAAGCUCACUGAAAAAGCUAUGUCUGGCUCUGUAUGUGAUAAGUAAAUUAACUUACCAACUAAUCUUUGGUAAUGCCCUUUAUCAACUAAUCGACCUUCUUUAUUUCUGAAUUUUACAUUUGGACCAAUUGGUGUGUCAGCUGGGCAACAACCACUCAUCCCAGCCUCUUUUAAAAGAUCAAUCAUACAUUUUUUCUAAGAGACCACAAGACCCUUCUUUAACCGAGCAACUUUCAUUCUAAGAAAGUAUUUCAAAAGACCCAAGUCUUGGAUCUCAAACUCCAAUGCUAGAUGCUCCUUGAGACGCCUUAUUUCAUCUACAUCAUCUCCUGUAAGAAUGAUAUCAUCGACAUAAACUAUAAUAACUGUUAUUUUACCUUUUUGUCAGUGUCGAUAGAACAUUGUGUGAUCAGCUUGCCUUUGUGAGUAACCUUGGUUUUUAACAACUUGAGUGAAUCGUUCAAACCAAGCUCGAGGAGGUUGCUUUAAACCAUACAAAGAUUUCUUGAGCUUACAUAGUCAAGUACCAAAUUUUUCUUCAAAACCUAGAGGAGGAUCCAUGUAAACUUCUUCUUCAAGUUUCUCAUUUAGGAAAGCAUUCUUCACAUCUAGCUACUGUAAAGACCAAUCAAGAUUAACAGUAAUUGAUAAAAGAACUCUAACAGAAUUUAAUUUGGCUACUGGAGCAAAUGUUUCAAGAUAAUCUAUCUCGUAUGUUUGAGUGUACCCUUUAGCUACCAGCCAAGCUUUGUAUCUAUCGAAAGAUCCAUCCGGUUUGAAUUUGGUUGUGAACACCCAUUUACAACCCACUAUUUUUUUCCUUACAGGUAAUUCCAUUGUUUUCCAUGUACUUAUUUUUUCAAGAGCGUGCAUCUCUUUUAAAAUAGCCUUCUUCCACUCAAGAACCUAUAAAGCAUCUUUCACAUUUUUGGGUAUUUCACAAUAUCGAGACACGAAACAAAGGCUGAGAAUGUCAAAGACAAUGCUUUAUAGGAUACAAAGUUAGACAUGGGAUAUUUGACAAAAUUUCUAACACAUUUUCUUUUAGCAGUUGGAAUAUCUAAAUCAGAAAAUUCAUUGGUUGGAUUAUAAGCUUUACUUGGACUUUUGACAAUAUCUUGCAGGUCGAAUUCUUGGUGAUGAAUCUGGUGGAUUCCACUUUCUUGACUUCAGUUUCUUCUUGAGUAAACAAUUAACUCAUUUGUUUGUUCUUUAUUCUCAUGAUCAGACUUUACACCUUUAUACUCAUUUUUAUUAAUAACAUUAACAUCAUUAAUUUUUGUGUUAAUCAUAAAUUUGCCUUCCCCAUUAUUAGAAUCUCUAUGUUGUAUAUUCCUAGUCUUUUCUUGAUCAGUUAUAGAAUCUUCCUUACUAUAAUUUCCUCCCUGAAGAUUAGAAUCAAAAUAAGAUUGCGUUUCAACAAAUGUGACAUCCAUGGUAACAAUAAUCUUCCUAUCAAUUGGAUCAUAACAUUUGUAACCAUUUUUAUUAGAAGCAUAGCCAACAAAGACGCAUUUUUUUUCUCUAGAAUCUAGUUUACCAUGGUUGUAAAGAUGAACAAAAACACUACACCCAAAAACUCAAAGGGAUAAAUCUAUGAUCAAUUUAGAGUUAGGAAAGAAGGCUUCACCCCAAAGAUAACGUGGUACCUGACUAGUGAACAUCAAGGCUCUAGUUACUCUCAAAAGAUGUUGGUUUUUUCUUUCUACAAUCUCAUUUUGUUGUGGGGUAUUUGUACAAGAGCUUUGGUGGACUAUUCCAUGUUUGGUUAAGAAAACACAUAAUUGGUCACUAAAAAAUUCCCCACCAUUGUCACUCCAAAAUACUUCUAUUUUCACACCAAAUCGUGUUUUCACCAUAGCAUAAAAAGACUAAAACACAUUUUUAACUUCAGACUUAUCUUUUAAUAAAAAAAACCCAAUAAAUACGAACAUGAUCAUCAAUAAAUGUGACAAACUAACGUUUUCCUAAAAAAGUUGAGACUGUUGAAAGUCCUCAAACAUCACUAUGAAUUAACGAAAAAGGUUUGGAAACUUUAUAUUUUUGAGGUGGAAAGAAUGACCGAUGAUGUUUAGCCUAUUCAUAAAAUUCACAAUGAUAUGAAUAAGGACUUUUAUUUUUAAAUAGAUUAGGUAACAAAUAUCUUAAAUAGUAAAAAUUAAUAUGUACAAGCCUAUAAUGCCAAAUCAUAACCUUAUCAAAACCAGAAACAGAAUUUAAACAUAAAGUAGUUGUUGGUUGACUUAGAUGGUCGUCGUCAAUAAAGUAAAUUCCACCAGAUUCUUUAGCAUUGCCAAUCAUCCUCCCCGAGACCAUGUCCUGAAAUUUACACAUAGAUGAGUUAAAUAUAACAUGACAAUUCGAGGACUAGGAUAAUUUACUGACUGAUAUGAGAUCACAAGCUCGAUUUGGCAUACGUAAAACAUCAUGUAAAACUAAGGAAGAAGAAAUUUUAAUAGUGCGUUUCCCGGCUAUUACCGAGAAUGACCCAUCUGCUACUUUGAUCUUUUUGUUUCCUGCACAAGAUGUAUAAGUUGAGAAAAGAAAAUGACUACUAGUCAUGUGAUCACUAGCUCCAGAAUCGAAGAUCCACGUGUUUGUUUUACAAGGCUUGACGCUGAAAAAAUAAAAAAAAAAUUAGUACUUGAUUGGGCAAAGGAGAAAGAAGGAUUAUUGGAUGAGUUAAGAACAGAAGAAUUCAUCCGAAACUGUGGUGACUGAAAAAGCUUGAGUAGAUACUCUAAUUGUUCCUUAAUGAAUAGAGACCCUUCUAGAGAACUUUGACCCUCAAAAUUUUUAGUAGUUGUUUUGAAAACUCUACUAUCCCCUAAUUAUGAACCACGACCAUUGCCACUCUUUUUUUUUCCAUUCAUCAGUUUUCCAUGGAGCUUCCAACAUGUUUCUUGAGUGUUCCAAUAUUUUUUGCAGUGAUCGCACCAAGGUUUUUUUCUUUUUUCACUAUCAUCAUUAUUUUUAAUAGUUACAAUAGUAGAAUUAUCAUCAUUAGCUUCAAACCCUGGCUUUAACAUUACUUUUCUCCUUGUUUCCUCUUUUCUAACCUUAGAAAAAAUUUCACAGAGUUUUGGAAGCAGUUUUUUUCCUAAGAUCCGAGAUCUCACUUCAUCAAAUUCUUUAUUUAAACCAACCAGAAACAAAUAAGCUCGUUCAUUCUCUUCUGUUUUCAUAGCUUUUACACCAUCUCUUGGACACUCUCAUUCAUCAUUAUAACACUAACCCAAUGCUUUCCAAAGAGACAUCAUCUCGUUAUAAUAAAAAGUAACUUCCUUUUCCCCUUGUCUAGCUUUAUAGAGUUUUAUUUUUAACUCAAAUAUCUGUGAAGCGUUUUCUAUUUCUGAAUAAGUGUCUUUCACAACAUCCAAACAUCUUUAACAGUCAAGAGAAAAAGAAAAGGGUUACCUAUGUAUGCUUCCAUGGAAUUAAUAAGUCACGCAAUUAUCAUAGAAUUUUCUGACCUCUACUUGCUCAUCUUUGGUUCGCCCACCUGUGGUUGAUUGACUUCUCCAGAUAAAUGACCUAACUUGCCAUGCUCAUCAAUUCUUAACUUUACGGACUGCGACCAUUCCAGAUAAUUCUUGCCAUUCAUCUUGUGAGAUAUCACCUAAAAAGAAAGGUGGGACGCCUCUGUCCUUUGAGUCAUUGUACUCUCGGUAGUUGUUUCAACAGUAGAACUUUCUUCCUCUGUUUGAUUGAUGGAUCUUUUAUCUCUAGUGAAGGUUGUUUUAACCAUGAUGUUACUAGAGAUUUAAUCUAGCUCAGGUGCCAUGAAAGUUUUCAAGAGAGUAUUCAAUAAAAAUGUUCUAUAAUUUAUUAACUAAAAAGCUGAACUUAAAUAGAGAAAAUAGUCAUAACCUAAUUGAGAAAAUAAUUCCCUUAUUCUAAUAAACUACUAAAAAUAAAAUAAAAUAUUCCUAGAAUAUCUAAAAUGAUUUAUUCUAACAUAUAUCUACCUAAAUAAGAUUUAUCUACCUAAAUAAAUUUAAAAUAUAUGAGUUUCACAUAUUUCAAUAGGUUACUCUUAUUAAUUCCUUCAACAUUUCAUAGUCUUCCCUCCAUUUUUCCUACUAAAAAUCAGUUUGGGCUCCUUUUUUCUCAGAAAAAGAAAAAAGAAGUAACAGCAUACUUUUGCUCUUCAGCUCCUUUCAGUUUGCAUGAACGAUUUCAAGGCCUUGGCUAAUAUUUGAAUAUAUAUUCAAUGAGGUUUUGGUUUUGGUUUAAUAUUUGAUUAUGUUUGAUGCGUCGUUGAGAGCACCAAAAAUAUCAUAUCCCUAUAAAAUAACAAAAAGAAUAGUAUAAAAGAAGUAGGGUCAAAUCCUCAGGGACUGGACUUGCACAAGUUCAUGUUCCUCAAGAUCCCAGGUAGAGUCGUGCCCAAGAAAAACAGCGUACCUAGAAAAAAAAAACAGAAUUAAAAGUUUGGUUGAAUUGAGAUUGCGUAAAUUGAAAUUGAAAUUGUAAAAAUAAACAGAGUUGAGAAAAGAGAGUUUUUUUAUGGAGAGAUUCCAACCUCUGGUUAUCUCGAUCCUCCUUGGGUUCAAUCAUAGGCUUUUAGGUGAUCCUUCUCGAACAGAAUAAGCCAGAUAUAGUGGAAGAGGAUGCCUACAACCACCAGCUCCACUUAGAUUUUAGAUUUACAAUUUAGAGGAACUUGACUCUAGCCAACCGUUGCUUUUGUGGGACCGUCUUACAGUAGAUCAUCACUUCUCAAUGGCGAAUGCCACGCCAUCUUGUCUCUUGGGCUCGACAAUCACUGACGCAAUAAGCUAACGAACCGACUGUGAAACCUUCCCAAAACAUACAAAGCAGCCGUCUUUGCACAAGAUGAAAAGACUACUUUUGGAAGGACAUGUACAGAAGUGUCAGUCCUGUAACACGGAGAAACGAUGAAUACUCGUUGAGAAGGCUAAGUGUGGAUUCUAAGCCUUAUGAACCCUUUUUGGGGAAUCUCGACAAACUUUGGCUAGAUAAAUUUAGUGGCUUAUGCUUUUUUGGGGAAAAAGAAAUAAACUUAAUAAAAAUGGAAUUUUAUUGAAUAAAUGAAAUGAACAAAAGCUAGAGCUUUUUGGGAUAGGGAGAUUUUACAAAAAAAGAUGAGUGAAAUUUGUGUCACUCCAUCCCCUAUUUAUAGUACUUAGAAAACCUAAUUUAUUCCUAUAUAAAUUCUAAAAGAUAAAUAAAGAUAAAAGCUAAAAUUAAAUCUAAAUAAUAAUCUUAACAAUAAUCCUAAUACAAUUAAAAUUCAAAUAGAGAGUUGUGUUUAUAAAAUCUCUUCUUUGAACUAUUGUCCCCAAGUCUUCCACACUUUGCAUUUUCGGCACCACUUCUUUCUUAUUUUGCAUCCUGGCCCAUUUUAUCUUCAAAUUUAUGCUUUUUGCCCCUAAAUUUCUUUUUGCCUUCAAUUUAGUCCCUACAAGAUAAAAAAACCAUAAAUAGCUCAAAUUAGUAAGAACAUACUCAAAAUAAAUAUGUAAUUAAUACAAAAAAAUAUGUCAUUCCAGAAUAUUAUCAGAUUCCCCCUACUUAGCCCAUGCUUGCCCUCAAGUAUGGUUCCUAUCCACUGUGAAAUUUAGUUUUUACCAUGAAAGAAAUAUCACUCUAAAGUUUUAUAAAAAUUAGGCAUAAUACAUACGAAAAAUAAAGAGAACCUUUAACUUCCUUUAAGUAAAACCGAAAAAAGUAUUCCAAUUAAUACAUACAAAAAUUAAAAUCAUCUUGAAUUAUUUCAUGAAAAUUAGGUAAUUCACUAAACUUACCAAGACACCCUAUUUGUUUCCACCUUUAGUCCCCAAAUGUAAUUUUAUUAUUAAUAUUCUUUUCCUUUUUCUUUUUCUUUUUCUUUUUCUUUUUCUUUUUCUUUUUCUUUUUCUUUUUCUUUUUGCUUAAGAAUAUAUUGAACCUUUUGACGCGAAAAGAGACAACAGCCAAGCACCCCACCCUGGUUACUCAGCCUAACAUACUCCUAAUUUAUUAUAUUUAAAUAUAUAUUUUUCUUAAGAAUAUAUUGAACUUUUUGACGCGAAGAGAGAUGACAGCCAAGCACCCCACCCCGGUUACUCAACCCAACAUACUCCUAAUUUGUUAUAUUUAAAUAUAUAUUUUUCUUAAGAAUAUAUUGAACUUUUUGACGCGAAGAGAGAUGAUAGCCAAGCACCCCACCCCGGUUACUCAACCCAACAUACUCCUAAUUUAUUAUAUUUAAAUAUAUAUUUUUCUUAAGAAUAUAUUGAACCUUUUGACGCAAAGAGAGAUGACAGUCAAGCACCCCACCCCGGUUACUCAGCCCAACAUAUUCUUAAAAAAAAAUUCUCGGUUAGCAGAGUUUUACCUAACAAGUCACACAACUUUUGACGCGAAGUAGGAUGACAACCCAAGCACCCUACCCCAAUUACUCAAUCAGUCACGUUUUAAGCUGCACUCAUAACCACGGAGGCAUCAAAAUUUAUUAUAAUGAAACAGAAUUUUUAAUUUUGGAGAAUUAGGAAAAACAAUCAAGUGUCAAAAAUAAGUUUCGGCAACUACCUAACAGUCAUGAACAUAAAUUUAGCAUACAAUUGUAUUAAGUGUUCUCUUUGCAUUAAACUUAAUCUAUUUUACAAAAAGCAAGAUAGGGUUAACUCUAUUAAUCAUAAUUAUUUUAGCCUAAUAGAAAUAAAAUAGUGGAGACGAAAUCAAUAUAGCAAAAUCAUAACUAACUCAAUAUAUAGGAAUCAUGCUCGCAAAUUAAAUAGUGGGCGAUUUCUGGUCAAAAUCUUAGGCAUGAAAAAGGGCAGGAUAUACUAAAAAAAAUUAAAUGUGCGUAGAAACGAGCACAAUGCAGCAACAACAGUAACACAACAGUAAAAGCAGCAGAUAAAAUGAUAGAAAUAAUGAGGAAUGCCUCCCCCUACUUAAAACACAUUGUCCUCGAUGUGAAAGAAAAAUAACAAAUAGGGGGAAGAGAAAAAAGUUUAGAAAAACUCCUCAUAUAUUUACUGUCGUUCGCACAGAUCUACAAUAAGAUCAGUCAUCUACUGGCCGAUGGUGUCGAGUCAUGUCUCAAUGCGUUCCAAUCGUUGCUCGAUGGUCACGGAAGGUUGGUCUUGAUUGGGUACUCGUGCAGAUUUUUCCGCCGAAAGAUUCGUUCAGCCGGUGUAGAUCGGGUGCCUGGAGGUACAAAAAGAAAGGAAGUAGGAAAGACAAGAAGCAAUCCCAUCGAGUUGAGACAGCAGGCAACUAAUGGAUCAGCUUGGUAAACAAUAUGUAAGUUUGAAAUAGGGGCAUUAGAGCCAUGUAACAUGUAAAAAGAAUAACAGUUGUGUAAUAAAAAAGCCUAAAAUGAGAAGACGCUUUGCAUUUAUAAUAUGCUCAAAUUGAAGCGCAUACCAAUAGCCCAAAUUUACCGGACGACCGGUGUACAUACACCAUAAUAAGAAUAAUUCCAUCUUCGAGACGAUAGCCGGUACAUCUCUCCGACCUGAGAAAUUAUAAGCCAAAUAACAAUGUAUGUAACAUAAGGCAGGGUUACGAAACCACAAAUCCUUUGAUGUUUUAGGGCUAUAUAUGGUUUCAACAUUAUCUAUUAAUAACGCAAAGGCCUCUAUAGCCUUGAAGUCUGCUGGAAAAGUACACAAGUUGUUUUCAUAAUCAGUGGACAAAGCAUAAUCCUCUGUUACAAAAGCCAAUGCAAUAUUAAAAUCAGUUAGGGAUAAACUGUGUGGUACCAAGCAAUCGAAAUGUGAUAAUGCCAGAUAUGUCCAAUGAGAAUUGGUCGUGCCGUUAAAAAUGGAAGGUGGAAUAAAACUCUAAAAUCAGUUCGUAAUAAGUGCAGUGAGUGAUAUCAAAAUUUCCAACCCAACCAAUAUUGCGAAAAUAAUCGGCAACCAUAGUGUCUGUCGAAACCACUUUUUUUAAAAAACAAGUCUACUUGGAUUUUGAAAAGCGAAAACGGAGUUGCCACCGAUCCUUUUUAUUUAGGUGUAAUCGGAUCACCUCAUAAUUUAAUCAUUUUAAGAAAAGUUUAAAUUUACUAAAACGAUAAUUUUUGGUCUACAAAAUCCAGAAAACGAGUUCGGGAGUCGGUUACGCACGAGGAAGGAUUAGCACCCUCGAUACGCCCAAAAUUGGUACCUUGUUGAUUAAUUAGUGUUCUAAUAUCGAAAAUUUACAAAGAUUUUAAAAUACGAUCCUUUUAUUUAACCAGAAACUUGUAUAAAUCAAGUUGCACGUUAAAACCCUCUUAUUUCAGAAAGAGAAAAUGUCAUGCCCAAUGAGUUAGGGUAUGAUAUUUCACAUCCUCAAAAAUGAGUUUGUCUUUUGAAAAACUCAUGCAAUGAAAUUUAAAAAGGAUAUUCAAUUGUUUAAGUCAGAUGAAAAAUCGAAGCCCAAUAAGUUAGGGCACGAUAUCUCAAAAUUCCAAACAUUGAAUAUUGUCUUUAUUAUUUUUUAGAAAAAAUCCUCAUCUCGAGAAAAUAAAAUGCCGUAUCCAAUGAGUUAGUACGCAACGUAUCGAAUCCUCGGGAAUGAGCUUUUUAUUUACUUGUUUUAAUUUUAAAAAAAACUUGAUUACUUAGAUUCAACGAGGAAAAUUAGAACCCAAUAAGUUAGGGUCCAAUCGCCUCGAAGAUCCCAAAUACCGAGUAUUACGUUAUCUUCAAAGCUUUUGAAUAAAAUGAUUUCGACACUUAAGUGAUAUUAAACGUAACCUUUUAAACGAAUAAAAUGCGAUGGAACGAUAAUGUAUAACGCGGAAUGAUAAUUCGUAAGCCAAAAUGUACACUAAUGAACACAAAUAAUCAAUAGAUAAAUACAAACAAACAUAGCAACAAUAAUCUCAAUCAUACAUUAUGCAAAUACCGAUAACAACAUCCAACAAUUAAAUGAAUUAAUAAUCAAAUUUAAAAGAUACACUAAAAAAAUUCAAUAGCAAGAGGAGAAAUCAUAAUCAAUAAAUUAUACGUACAAAAGUUUUAAAAUAAACAAUAUAUAUGAGUUUAAAAUAGAUUCAAAAUAGAGUUAAAAAUAAACACUUCAUAAAAUAACAGUAUUUAAAUGAAUUUUGAAACAAUUAUUAUACAAGAAGAAGAUUCAAAUAUAUAAAAUAAUUUACAUAUAUUAAUUUAGAAUAAGUAAUACAUAGGGAGUGAAAAGCCUCAUGUAAAUAAUAAUAUUUAUAAUAAUAUGUAAAAGGUUGAAAUAUGCCAAAUAUAAUAAAACUAGGAUUUUUUGUACAAAAAUAAAUUAUGUAUUUAUAGAAAUAGGUAAAAGAUAUAUAAUAAUAUGAAAUCAAUAAUAUAUUAUAUGUACAUAUAUAUAUACAAAAAUAGUUUAAUAUAAAUUGUGUAUAUAUAUAAAAUAGUAUUGAAUAAGAAUAUUAUUGUAUAAAUCUUUAAAGCAUAAAAGUAUGUAUAAGUGAAUUUUAAAGAUGUAUUAUAAAAUAAAACCAUAAAAAAAUGUACAAAUUAUAUUGGACCAAUAUAAAAAAUAUAAACUAAUACAUCUUUAAAACAGUGAUACAACACAUAUCAGAUUCUCUCGGCUCGGGGGGUGCAAUUUAAUUGUUGCAAAACUCUUUUUGUUGACUGCAUCCAAUCUUCAGCAGCGGACGGAUCAAUUCCUUUUAGUCCCAAAACCUCCGUGGCACUAUAUUUCCGUAGCUCUUUAAUCGGGGCCCGUCUGACAGUUGGUACUGAUGUAGUAACAGGUACAGUUCCCGCUACACGUUGUAAUGCAUCAGCUAUAGUUCUUAACAAUUGUGAAUCAUCUCUUUCUCUUCCUAUACAUUAGGAGGUUAAUUAUCUAACGGAUUCACACUAGGUGUAGCAGAUUCAAUUUCUUCAAUUUCUCGACUUCCAGUAUGCAUUUCCUGUUCAUCAUCAUAUAUUCUUUCAUCUGACAUUUUAUCUAUAAAACAAAAUCAAAUAAAUAUAUUAGCAUCCAAAAACCCGACUCAGUUUCGACUUAAAUGUGUCAUGUAAUCUAGACUCUACUUUGAACCCGAUUUAGGCCGAGAAUCGACUAAACAUUAGCUCUGAUAUCAACAAUUCUAACACUCCCUAACCCCAAAUCGUCGCCAAAACAGGGUUACGAGGCAUUACCAGUCCUAUCAAACAAUCUACAGAUAAUUCAUAAUAAAAUAACAUUCAAAAUAUAAUUGCAUAACUAAGUCUGUGUAAUUAAACUUUCGAAGUUUUAAAUAUAAAUUAAAAGGGAAAUGAAACUCGUUCGAGUACUCUAAAUUUUUUUUUGACAAAAUUUCGGCAGCAUUUCUGCUUAUUUUUACGUAAAACCCCCUGCAAUUAUAACCGCAUCAUUUCCAAAUAUAACCAAUUCAUUUCACAUUCUCAUUUUCUAUUCUAAAUACAGUCUAAUCGAACUCAAUCAAUAUAAUACCAAUUUAAAUUUAUCAAUAUGCUAAUUAAAUAAAAAUAGAUAAACUUCUUUCAUUAUAAUUCAUAGACUUAUAACACUAACAUUUUUAACCAUUUAUAUUAAAACAAAAUAACCUCUAUACUCAUCCUAUUUACAUGCCACAUUACCAAAAUAAAAUGUAUUUCACCAAAAUUAUGCUGAAGUCGAGUCUAACUUUGGAUGCUGGUUCAGUACUUGACUUCUACAACCUGAGCACGGAAACAACCGCACGCUGAGUAUGCAUAUACUCAGUGGUAUCACUAUAAUUCAAUUUAUAAUUAAAUACAUUAAAUCACACACAUACUUUUCAUUACAAUUAUCACUACUAAUAAACAAUUCAAUCUUUUUAUAUUAUCAAUUAAUUAUAUAUAUAAAUAUCAUUCUUAUUUCUUUAUUUCAAAUUUCACUUUUCACAUAUACUAUGUCAUUCGAGAUUAGUUUUAUCAGUAAAUUUAUUUCAUUUAUCCCUAUUAACUUGACUCGGACUCGGCGGAUACACGGAUUCCAACCAAACACACCAGUAAACAGUAAUCAAUAAUGGUAGCAGUAACAGUAACAGUAACAGUAACAGUAUUCAACACACAAAGUGCUGAAUCUGUAACAGUAACGGUAACAGUAUUCGACACACAAAGUGCCGAAUUGGUAACAGUAACAGUAGUCGGCACAUAAGUGUCUGAUCAGUAAGCCGGCAAAUACCCUGUACUCUUUCGUAUCCUAUGGCAUGCCAACUAUAUCCGACUUUCCCGACUAGUUAAUAGGGUAUUUAAUUUACUUUUCAGUAUAAUUUCCAUCUUAGCUCAGUAUCAAUUAUAAAUUCAUUAUUUCAAUCGGUUUCACAGUAUUACAGUAAUUCUUUACUUCAAUAAUUUCACAAUUCAAUGCAUUAUAUAUAACAAUAUUCGGUAUCUUCACAAUUCACUCAAUACUCAAAACAAUAUUUCAUAAUUCAGUUUAGUAUCAGUUUCAAUUUCAAUAUCACAUUAUAAAUUUAUCAUUUAUUAAACACUUACCUUAAAAUACUUACCACACAUAACUAGCAAAUUAAACACUUAAUAAUAAUAAAGUUUGAAUUAUAGUGAUACAAACCAGAAUUCUCUUCGAAUUUAAUCCUCGACGAUCUUUUCUUUUCCUUUUUGGCCCGAUGCUUCAGGCUCGAUAUUAGCUACGAACAAUUAAAAUAAUUUCACAAUCCUUAGGACAAAACAAUUUAAUUGCUGAAAUUUUUAUCUAACUUUUACUUUAAUUCUAAUUUAAUCCUAACUAAACCUAUAUAUUUUUCUUUCUCAAUUCAUACAUUUUUGCUACUCAAUUUCUUGCCAAACUCACACUUAACUAUCUAAUUUUUAUCAUAUUUUCAAUUUAAUCCCUAAAAUUCAAAACUUAUAGUUUAGUUUACAACUUAAUCUUUUAUUCAAUUCCAAACAAAAUUUCUAUCAAAUAAAUCCCUAAUUUAACAAUUUAUUCAACAUGAACCAUGCUUAAAAACCUAUAAACUUUCAAAAUCUCAACUUAUUUUCAACAAAACUUUGUUUUAAAACUUCUAAAACAUGUAAAUUAAAAGAAAAAGACUUGAUUAAACUUACCUUUAAAGCUUUAAAACCUUAAACCCUAAUUUUUCCUUUCUUUCUCUUUUUCUUUCUUUCUUUCUCCCCUGUUUCUUCUCUAUUUCGUCUCCUUCAAUUCUGUUUCUUUCUUUUCUUUUGCUUUGUUUUAUUUUACUUUAUGUUUAGUUAAUUAAUUAUAAGUAUUACAAAUGUAUGUAUUUUACUAAUACACUUGUAUUAAAUCAUCACCGUACACUUGUCUUUAUUUAUUUUGUUUAUCAAAUAAAAAUCUCAUAAUAUAAUUAUUUAAUUAAUUAAUAUCUUUUACUUAAAUUUUAAGUAAAUAAUAAUUAUAAUACAAGUGUAUAAAUAUUUAUUAUUACACUUGUACCAUCUUUUCACCAUACAUUUGUCUUAAUUUUAAUUUAUUCCAUAAUAAAAUAAUAUAAUUAAUAUAAAUUACCAUUUGAAUAAAUAAUUGUAAUAAUUAUAUACAUAUAAUAUUUAUAUAUAACUUAAACAAAAUCUUGAAUUUAAUGCAUAUAUGUAGAGGUGCUCAUGGGCCAGGCCGGGUUCAAGCCGAGCCCGAAAAAAAUUUUAGCCCGAUUGCUAAAUCCGGGCCCGGCCCGAAAUAUGGGCCUGAGAUUUUGCCCAAGCCCGGCCCGUGGAGAAAAUAUGAAGCCCAGGCCCAGCCCGGCCCAUUUUGCUUUAAAAUCUGGAAUGUUAAAAAACUGGCAUCUAUCUCAAAUCUUUGAAGUAGCCAUCCACAAACGAAUGAGUUUUUCUAUUUAAAAUUCAUAAUGUUUAGGAAAAUAUGAACAAUAAGCAAAGCAACACUUUAAAUAGGAUGAAAGAUGAUCAUAACUCAAUUUGAAUGCUGGAACAAUAUUGCAUGUAUAAUCAGGUAGGUCCCAAAAAUUGCUAUGUAAUAUUUUACACCGUUCAUCAGCAUCUAGUUUACAACGGAGAAGACCUGCAAGUGUUUUUACAGCCAAAGGAGACCAUCAAAUCUUUUAACAAUUGCAACAUUUUUCAAUCUUGAAACUAGAAGAAUAAAAAAAUUCUGUAUAAGACUAUUAAAUUAAAAAUAAAAAUAGAAAAGAUCAAGAGAAUAAAAAUAAAAAAUCAUUUCAAGCUUGUGAUCUCAAGGUCAAGAGAGACUGGUGUUUUUUCUCAUACUUGACAAAAUCAAACUGUAUUAUAAUUUCAUACUUGAUUUCAAUACAAGAAAUUAUACAUGUAAAUAUAUACAUAUUCAAAACUAACAUAUACAUAUAUCAAUUCAUACUAAACUUCAAAACUAGAUCUUAUACAUGUAUAUAUAUAUAAUCGAACCUCAUAUACUUAUAUAAUGACAUAUCUUAAUUCGAUACAAAAGAAUAUACAUAUAUAUAUUUGCAUGCUUAUUCGAAACUACUUAAACAAGUAUAAUAUACAUAUUAUAAAUCCAAUCCAAAGGUUUAUACAUGUAUAUACCUAUGCAUUUAUUCGAACCUUAUGUACACAUAUAUAUACAUACCUUUGAUUAAACCAAUAAUUUAUACAUGUGUGAAUUCGAACCUUGUAUAUAUAUAUAUAAACUUUAUACUUCAACUAAAUUCAAUAACAUUUAUGUAUAUACUUAUAUACCAUUCAUACUUUAACUAAAUGCAAAGGCCUAUAUAAGUAUAUACCUAUAUGUUCGAACAUUAAAACAGUAUAUUAAUCAUUCAUACUUUAAAUUUAUUCAACCAAUAUACUUUAAAUUAUAAUUCAUCAAAGUUGAAUUAUAACCAAAGUUGAUAACCAUGCAAGAUUUACUCAAUUUGUCUGAAAAUCUUAAGCAAAAGAUUCUCCGAAUUGCUGAAAACAAAGCAAGAAUUCAUGACUCUUAUGUUGAUUUUGAAGCUAAAAUUGUUUAUAAGAAUUGAGUUAAAUUGUGAGUAUUCGAAUAUAUGUUCUGGCAAUGAACACUUUAGUCACUUAAUCUUUAUAUCAUUACUCCUUAAUUUAAUAAUUCAAACAAUAUCAAUAAUAAUGUAAGCCCAAUUCCUAGCAAAGUUACUGUCAAUCAUAUGUUUCAAUAAUCCUUCAUUCAUACUUCACUCACCAUUUCUCAAUAUGUAAAAAGCAAUUCUAAUUCUAAUCGAUGGAUUGCUAUGUAAAGAUAAAAAAGAGAAGAAGAAAUACAAUUCUAAUUCUAAUCGAUGGAUUACUAUGCAAAUACAGAACCCGUGGCAGUAUGCAUUCUCAUCCAAUAAUAAUUUUUUGUAACUACAGCCAAACAAUCAAUAACAAUCAUUCUCAUCCAAUAAUUUUUUUUUUUGUAAAGUUAGAAAGGUAAAUAAAUCUUAUACCAAAUUCUAAUGACAAACAUGCUGAGCUAAGUGUGAUGAAAGAAAAAAAAGAAGAAAGUUUUUAAGGUCUGUACUAAUAAAAGCUCUGUACUAAUAAAAGCAUGGCAAAAGGAACAGUAUCUACAAUUUCUUUCUUUAAUAGAUGGUUAAUUCACUAAUUGAAAAGCACCAGUUUCUGCCUAGUGCUCGUUGAAGAUAUACAAGUAUAUACUGCCUGAAAGUAAAAUAUAGUGUAAGAACUAGUCCUUAAAUUUUAGAUUUUUGUAGUUUUCUGAUAAGAUGCGGUGCUACAGUUUGUGUUAGACCUUCCUAUUCCUCUGUAAUUCAAAAACCAGUCUAAUAUAUCAUCAUUUUUGGGUGUUGACUUCUCAGAUAAUCCCUCAAUUGGAACAUAUUUCACUUACUACUGAUGACAUUUUUCAAAAUAAGAAAAUCUCUGUUUUAAAGUAGAUAACCAUUUCAAAAUAAACAAGUAAUUCAUACUGUGCAACAUGUCCCAAACAAAAUGCACUGAAAUCAUCUUGUAAGAAAACGAGGAAGGACAAAAUACGAGGAGUUACUGGCUAAAAUCAGUCAUUUUCUUCUUUUAACUCAAAAGUCAAGAGGGGAGUCCCCUCUUUUUUAUGUUCAUCAUAUUACAAGAUACGAGGAAGGACAAGCCUACAAGGAUUUACUGGCUUUGAAUCCCUGAUUUGGACUGCAAACAAACGAACUUAGAUACAAGAAUAAGCAUAUAAGACAGUGAGCCUAAGAAGUUCAUCACAAAUGACUGAUUUUAGCAGAUGCCAUUGAAAGAGAGUGAGGGAACUGAUUCGAAUAAAAAUAAAAAUCAAAAAGCACAAAGCAAAAAACUAAUUCAAAGGUUAACAGCAAACUCACCUUUGAGAAGACGAAGAAGGCUAGAAGCACCGUAGCGUGGAGUCGUGGAGGUGGAGGUGGAUUUCCGAUUUGGGGGAAAAAAAGGGAGAGAAGGGGUUAGGGAGUUAUCUGGGGUCGGGGAAAUGGGGAAGGGAAGGGAAGGGAAAUGGGAAAUGUAUUAAUGACAGUUGACAUAUAAUAAAUUUUAAAAAUAAAAAUAUAUAUUAAUUAAAUUCGGGCCGGGCCCGGGCCAAAAAAAGUUUACCAAAAGCCCGGCCCAUUUUUAAAACGGACCUCAUUUUUUGCCCAAACCCAUAUUUCGGGCCUAUAUUUUUAUCCGAACCUUCCCAUAUUUCGGGCAGGCCAUUGGGCUGGGCCGGGCUGCCCGGCCCAUGAGCACCUCUACAUAUAUGCCGCCUCAUUUUAUAUAAAUGGCUUAAUUGUUAUUUUAGCCCUUUUACUUUCUUUUAAUCUAUAAUUAAACUUUCACUCUUUAUUCAAUUUAAUCCUUUUCGCUAAUUACUCCUAAUUAAGCUAAAUUCACUUAUCUAAAACCUAAUUAAACACACAACUAGUCUCGUAAAUAUUUCUAAUAAUUAUUUUCGAACUCAAUUUACUAAGGCGGAGGCCCGAUAAUACACACACUUUUCCGGUGCCCACGGAUUUUGAGUCGUUACAAGAGCUUUGUGUCCUUGACCAUGCAUGCCAUAGCCUGUGAUCAUAAAAUUCCAUGAUAUAACAUCUUUAGAAAGGGACACAUCUUCGAUCCUCGAAUACACAUCUUUAAAAAAUGUCUAGAAAAAGAUUUAAUAGGAUAAGGCUAGUAAAGUAGUUUACCACAAUUAAUGUCUCUUGCAAGAUUGGCCCAUUAGAAAAUUGAAAAUUUCUUUUAUCCGUUUUGGUUGCAGCCCUUCUUCCUUCAUCCCUUCGUAGAUAUUACGCUUUCGUUUUACAAGGGAAGUGCUACCUAUUGAUCCAUCAUUAUCAGCAGAGUGUUGAUGAAUAUCUUAAAAAUUUGCAGAACAUUGACUCCUAUGGCUAUGCUGCUCUUUUAAUUGAUCUAUCUCUUCCAAAUCUUUCUCAUACACUAUUCUAACACCACACUUCUUCACCUUAACACCGGGACCAAUUGGGUUUGUGAAAGACAGCUCAAGCACAUUGCAUUCCUGAUCUGAGCAACCUAUUGUUGAUAAAUUCUUGGUUUCAUUUUCAUCUUCCAAGGAAGACUGAUAUAAUUUGUCACGCGACCAAUAACGAAGAAAAAGGUGAUCCUUCGUUAUAGGCUGGUUAUUUUGUUUACCUAACAACCAGCCCAGCCAGUCACUCUCAUCAACUUGUCCAGAUUUUCUACAAUGGAUAACCGCUCUACAGAUGAUAACCUCCUCAUCCCUAGAAGCAUCAUCAUUGACAAAAAUGCAACACCCAGCAACUCCAAUCCAUUGACUAUCAUUUUUAUUAUUGAGAGGUAGAGGUAUCUUAAUUGAAGAGCCACCUGUCUGCCGGUUAAACCAUUCUGGGAUUUCACUUCCAGGCAUAAUAACAUCAAAUAUUUUUUUUGAAUUCGCAAAUGGCUGCAAAAUAAAACACCAGUUAUUUGGCAACUAGAACCAAAAAUUAUCAAGUAUGAGAUUCUAUAAGCGAAAAAUAAGAGAGAUCAAUUCACCUUGAGAUGUUUUUUCAGCAAUGUUAAUGCAUUGAUGUUCUCUGCCAAUCUAUAGCAGUUAACCGCUUUCAUGAAAGUCGAACCCACUAAAUUGGUUACAUCCAACGGAUUUGCAAGUUCAACUACUUCAAGCGAAGAACAACCAUCUAACCGCACAUCUUCAAUACUUGUUAGAAGCUCAGGCACCGAUUUAAGCUCCUUGCAAUUUGACAAUCGAAGGGUUUUAAGCUUGGAAAGUGUAGUAAGAGCUGAAGGAAUGCCAAUGAAAUUGUUACCACUAAGAUCAAGUAAUAUCAAAGAGGAUAGACCAUAAAUAUCACUUGGAAUAUCUGCUUCACAAAGAUUGCGAACAUUGCAAUUUGACAAUCCGAGAUAUUGAAGCUUGGAGAGUCGCAUAAGAGACACGGGUAUGUUGCUGAAACUGUUACCACUAAGAUCAAGUUUUUUCAAAGAGGAUAAACAAGAAAUAUCAUUAGGAAUGUCUCCUUCCCGAAGAUUCCUAUCCCUUAGAUUCAACUCUCUUAAACUGGACAAGGAAGGCAACAUCGGCGCCAUGAAAUUAAUCCUUCCUCUAUGGAUUACCUUGAAAAGAGAAGAAAGAUUUCUUUGUAACUUAGAUGGUCCCUUGCAUCCAUUGAAAGAUAAAACUUUAAGAUUUUUCAAUUGAAAAAUGAAGGGUGGUAGUUUUGCUAUAGCUGUUUCACUUAAGUCAAGCUCUUCCAAAAAUUCUAAUUGCUGUAAACUCUCUGGCAAAUUUUCAACUUUAUAACAGCCAGAAAGAUCAAGACUUUUUAGACAUUCCAUUUUCCCAUCAAUCUCUGGAAACCUUACCAGAUUUGAACAACCCGAAAGAAUUAAUGUUUCAAGAGAUUCCAUUCCAAUUUUGGUUGGAAGACUCCUAAGACUUCUACAACCUCUUAAAUUCAAAAGUUUAAGGCUCUUAAGAACUCCGAUUGAUGGAUGAACAUGUGCUAAUCUGGUACAACCUUCCAAAAUCAAAACUUCGAGAUAUGUGGCUGUUGUGAAGUCCGGUGUCUUGAUCAGGUUUUGGGACCCUUCAAGAUUGACCAUUUUCAAUUUAUACAAGGGCUGUUGAAAACAAUAGUAAAUUAGAAAGAAAGAUAAAAGGCUAAUUUUUUGUUGUUAUUUUUCUAUCAUAAUAAAAUUUUAAUCAUUCAACUUAAAAUAAACUAAAACACAAGGAUGGGAUGAAUUAAUUCUUACUCUAUUUCCCUUCCAUAGUUGUUCAAUGCAACUGUAUGGCAAGAUAAGUGCAACAAGGUUAUCCGGUUUGAAGCUUGAAGGUAAUGAUCUUAAAGGACAUCCUUUCCAAUCUAAAAGUCGUAACUCAUUAGAAAUAUAUUUGAGAUCAUAACAAUUCGAGAGGCAAAGGACUUUGAGUAAUCUCAACUUUUUCAUCUUUAAGAAGGCAUCGACAUUCAAAUUGAGCAUCUUGUUCGACUCCCUGAUAAGCAUGGGCAGAACAAAGAGGAGAUUCAAGAUAUAGAAAACAAAUUCUCUACAAUUAUGUUGCUUCAGCAACCUUUUUUUCUUGAAAUAGACAUGUCCAACACUUAUGUCUGACUCAUAUUAUAACAUAGGUAUAAAAAUAUGAUAUUUCAAAGACUCUUCAAAUAUAUAAAACACUUAAAAAUAAAAACGAACAUACUUAAGUUAAACACAAACUCAUUCUUAACACCUACAUCUGAGUCCAAAUAACAUAGCUUGAAAGAAUUGGAACUAAUAUUCACCAACACAUCACUAACUCUUUUUCUUUUUUAAAAAGAUUUAAGCAUUGAAAAUUUUGCCAAUGCUUUUUAAUUUCUUACUUUUUACAAAAAUAAAAAUAACAACAAUACUAAUAAUAUGUAUAGAUACCUGUUUAUAUAUGUUUUCCUACCUCUUAAUAUCAAUGAUCACACCUUCAAUCACUUCUGUAGCCUAAACAUCAAGAGUAAAACAUAAAAAGACAGAAAAAUAAUGGUUUUAAACCAUAUAAUCAAAUUUGUGAAAACUUACAUUUAUAUUUAUCGUAGCGUGUUCAAAAUUAUACAUAUAUUUAGGAAUAUAAUAAAUAGAUGUAUUCUUGAUUAUACAUAUUGCAUAAGUCUUAUUAAUACUUAUAAUCAACAAAAAGAUUUAAAAGGACAUAUAUUUAGAAAGAUAAAGAACUGGUCUAUUCGUUUUACUCAAUCAAGCAUUUAAAACAUAACUUCAUAAAUAUGAAGUUGUAAAAAUGAGUUAUAGACAUUUUUUCACCAGUUAUUCUUGACAAUGUAAAUAGAUAAUUUAUUUAAAUCAAUAAAUAUAUACAAAUAAGUGGUUAUAAUAAUGUAUGUUAUGCCUAAUGAAACUCCCAAACUGUCCUGUAAGGUCCACGUGUUUUGUACCCAAAAACAUAAUAGUUUGGGAUAAAUGGAAUGACUGCAAGAUUCAAAUUGAACAUAAAAUCUACUGAAUGUCACCUCUUAAAACUUAAUCUUAACCAAUUGAAUUCAACCCGGAAUAUAUAUAAUGCAAUUUCAAUGUAAUGACUUACACUGUUUCUUGUUAGCACAUGAUAAACAUCUCUUUCCUCCCACAACCUGCAACGUUUUCCAGGCUCAUCGAUAGAUUUUUCCCUAACAAUUCUUUUUCCCAUUUCUUGUAUCAAGUUAUGCAUCCACAAAUACUUGCCUUCAUGAACCUUUAUGAGAGAUUUCUUAAUGAGAAUAUCUAUUCCAAUAUCUGAGAAAAACUCACAACCAUCCAAUACUUUCGAUACAAAGUCUUUCUCCUCCCCGUUGAAGAAGCAUGCUAUGUCUAGAAAUAUAUUCUUCUCCAUUUCUUCCAAUCCAUCAAAGCUGAUUCGAAGUCCAUCGAGAAUUUCUUUGUUAGAAUCUCUUUUAAGCCUUUCGACUGCACUUCUCCAUUGAGCUACAUCUCUACUGCACAAAAAAGAACCCAAAAUUUCGAGAGCUAAAGGGAGACCAUCAGCAUAACGUACAACAUGUUCAGAAAGCUCAAUGAAAUCAUCUUUUGGCACUGUAUCACUAUGAAAAGCUUUCAAAUUGAAAAGUCUAAGUGCAUCGUCAGGAUUCAAUGUUGUAGGUUUAUACACACCAUCGACUCCAUAAGAUCGGAGUAAAUGUUCAUCUCUUGUUGUUACAACGAUUCGACUCCCUAAACCGAACCAAUUACGCCCUCCAACCAAGCAUUUCAAGUGUUGUACAUUAUCAACGUCAUCAAGAACAAUAAGAACUUUUUUACGAGACAAAUUGUGGCUAAUUACGGCAUUCCCUUCAUGGACAUUGAAAAAACUAAAGCAUUCAUCUGGCAAGAUUUGAGAAAGAAGUUGUUUUUGUAAAGAAACAAGUCCACAUUUGUUUGAAACUUCUCGAAUAUCAGCAAGAAAGCUUUUACCUUCAAAAUGAGGUGACAUUUGGGUGUAAACAACCCUCGCAAGAGUUGUUUUACCGAUGCCACCCAUUCCGCAAAUUCCUAUAAUGCGGACAUCAUCUUCCCCAAUGUUUAUUUUCGAAUACAACUCCUUCAAAGGUAAGCUAAUUCCAACCAAUUCAUCAUGAACAAUUGGAUAUGUCUCACGUAAUCUGGCUGAUAUCUUCUUAACAAUGUCUCCAAUAAAUUCCAUUUCAUGUCUACAAAGAAAUAAAAUUUAAUUCUUUCAAAUAAUAUUUUGUUGAUAUCUUUCAAACGCUCUUUUUUUUCUAUUUCAAUGAACAAUAUAGUUUAGAAGCAAACAAAAAGCAAGAUAACACAACUUGUUCUUCAGUAGAAAAAUUAAACUUUACAAUUAAACACAUGUAAUCCAAAGAAUAACAAUUUUGUAGUCAUUAAAACUAUAAAAGAAAGAAUACCUGUUAUUUAAAUGCCAUCCCCUGAUGCUAGCCACUUCAGUCAAAGCCUUUCGCCACCUUUGGAUCUUGUAUUUAUCUUCCUUGCAUCUCUCUUCGUGGUUGGCAAAGGCUUCAUCAACUUUACCUUUCUGAUUUUUAAAAUCGGAUGGAUCAACAUUGUAAAAAAUUGGAAACACUUUAUGACCAUUUUUUCUUUGUUUAACAAUCUCAGCAAGCUCCUCCAAGCAAUAACCUGAAAAGGCAUAAGUUUCCGAGAAAACGAUUACCGAGCACCAUGAUUGCUGAACUGCUUUGAGAAUUCCUGGUCUGAUCUCUUCACCCGCCUCCAGCUUUAGAUCAUCUUUGAAAGUGACAAUCCCACUUCUCCUUAGAGCAUGAUAGAGAUGAUCCGUGAAGUUCCAGCGGGUAUCUUCACCUCUAAAACUCAAGAAAACAUCAUAUUGCUUCCUAGAAAUGGAUGAGUGAAUUGAAGCUAACGACAUCAUGACAAUGUAUGAGAAGAAAUUUGCCGUUUAAAAUCAGAGAACAAAACGCCCAAUACCCAGAAAGGAACCAGCAACAAUUAGUAUUUAUAAGCAACAGUUUUGUAAGCAAAAGUUCUCAAUACAUUUCUCACCUUCCCUCCUUCCAAGUAAAAACGCGUAGCAGUGGAAAGUGGGGUCAUAGACGAAAUAUUUUCCGCGAAGAAACUCAGAAGGUGAGAGUUGACAAAGUGGAACCUACUUUAAUUAAAGUGUUUGACGGUUUCUGUUGUUUUUUAUUACAAACAAUAAUAAGUGAAGAUAUAAUAUUCUUCCGUAUUAAAAAACAAUAAAAAAUUAAAUAUCUUUUAUAGAAAUUAUUUUAUGACGCUUUCGAGCAUGGUCAUUUUUUAAUUGUUUAAUUUUUAAUUAUUGACAUAUAAUUUUGAUAAUUUUUUAAGUUAAAUUUCGAAUUUAAACCUCGACCCUUAAACUUAGACUUAGAACUUUGAGCCUCAAAUAUGAACAUGAACUCUGAAUCCCAAAUAGUAAACUUGUCUAAAGUUCAAGAUUUUAAAUUUGAGGUUUAGAGUUUAUGAUUUGAGUAUGGGUUCGGGAUUCAAUAUUUAAAUUUAUUAUUUAGAGUUUAAGAUUUAAAAUUCAAGGUCAAUGUUGUAAGUUCUUAGUUCAAGAUUCAGUGUUUUAAGUUUAGAGUUCAAGGUAAAAAAAAUUAUCAAAAUUAUGCAUCAAUAACAUUAAAAAAAUUACUAAAGUAUCAUUAUAUAAUUAGAAAGAGACCAUGAAUGAUAUGAUGAGAAGGGUUCAUAAAAUAAUUUCAAAUAUUUUAAGGAUGACAAAACCCAAACCGUCCAAUGAUUCAAAACUGAUGCUAAAAAAACUAGUCCAAAAAAACAGAUUGAAUGACUAAUUGAACCAAUUUUUUCAAUUUUAAUAAUUUAUUUAAUUAAACCAUGGAACCGAAAAUUGUUGGUCUAAUCAAUUCAAGCAACAGAGUAAUUCAGAAAAUAUUUCCUUUUGCAGGUUUCUGUAGAGACCAAAGUGAAAAGCAGAUAGUAUCACAGUUUCAAUGCAGGCGUGAGAGGAUUAAUUAUUUUAACAUCGCAAUCAAAUCAUUUUCACCAAUAAUCAUUGCAUGAACAUUUUCCAUCAACAAAGUGAUGGAAACGGUUAGCAUCUCUUACGAUAAUCUCCCUCUUUACGACCUUUGAUAUAUAUUUAGUCACUGUAUGGCAAUCACCACAUACACGGAGGUUCUUACUGAUCCUUAUCAAGCUUCCUGCCGGUGUAUGUAAAAGUCCGAAAGCGAUAGCUAACCUCUCACUAUGCCUCCACAGUGAUUUGAUCUUCAUCGCCUCAUCUACGUCACGAAGAACACAACUUGUAUCCGGUACAUAACCUAAAGCUUCAAGUUCUGAUUUCAAGUUCUCAAGAAUCCGAUCGAUUUCAACCGAGUUCGGAUGUGAAUCUUCACCAGCAAAAAAUGCAUGGAGCUGUUUUCCAACUUCAAUCAGGCUGUAUCCUGGUGUUUUUUUCAGUCCGCGUCCCCUCAUGAGACCUCGAAUAUGAUCUACUGCAUCCCAUCUCCUUGCUUCAGCAUAUAUGUUUGAUAACAUGAUGUAAAUACCCGGGUUUGUUGCGUCCAAACUUAAUAAAUAGUCUGCAGCUUUUAUGCCGAUAUCAAUGUUCUUGUGCAUUCUACAUCCAUUUAGCAAUGCUUCGAAAACUUCACGGCUUGAUUGAAAGGGCAUUUGUUUGAUCAAUACCUCCGCUUCUUUGAUAUGUCCUGCUCUGCUAAGAAGAUCGACAUAGCAAGCAUAGUGCUUCUCAUUAGCCCUGAUGUUAUGGUCGCUUUCCAUGCUCAGAAACAAACUUCUUCCUUGGUCCACAAACCCCGAGUGACUACAAGCAGAUAGAAGAGAGACAAAUGUAGUUUUAUUCGGCUUGAGUCCCUCCUCUAACAUUCGGCGAUAAAGAUCAAGAGCUUUGUGUCCUUGACCAUGCAUGCCAUAGCCUGUGAUCAUAGAAUUCCAUGAUAUAACAUCUUUAAAAAAGGACACAUCUUCGAACACCCUCUCAGCAUAGUUAAUGUUUCCACACUUAGCAUACAUAUCGAUCAAGGCUGUCCUGUUAACUACAUCGAAAGCAUAACCAUACCGUAACAGUCGAGCAUGGACACUCCUUCCUUUCUUCAACGAACCCAAGUGUGCACAACAGUGGACUAAACUAACCAGAGUUGUAGAAUUUGCAGUGACUCCCUCUUCUUGCAUCUUACCAAAUAAUCUUAUGGCAUCUUCGGCAUGGCCAUUUUGUGCUAAUCCGACAAGCAUAGCAGUCCAUGUAAUCACAUUUCGAUUCUUCAUCCUAUCAAACAUAAAAGUUGCCUCCUUUAAGGCACCACACUUGGAAUACAAAUCUACCAAUGCUGUACACAAAAUAACGUUUAUGUCGAGGCCUUUCCGGAAAAUAUAACCAUGGAGAACCUUCCCACUUUCCAAAUCUGCUACUUGAGCACAAGAUUGGAGGAGGCUAAUUAUGGUUCCUGAAUCGAAACCACCACCAGUUAAUACUAAUUUCUGAAACAGAUCGAAAGCUUCAUAUACCAAACAAUUCUGAACAUACCCUGAGAUGAUAACAUUCCAUGAAACCAGAGUUUUUGCAGGCAUGAUAUCGAAAACCGAUCGAGCUCUUUCAUGUUCACCCAACUUACUAUACAUAUCAAUCAAUGCAGUAUGCACCAAAACAUCAGUUCCCAAUCCGAAUACGAGAACCAAUCCAUGAACACGUUUCCCUAGUUCUAAAUCCCUCAUUCCUCCACAAGCUUGAACCAAACUGACCAUAGUUAUAGCACUUGGCCUAACACCACAAAGAAUCAUCUCAAGAAACAAAUCAAAAGCUGCAACAUAGUAACAUCCCUUUACAUAACCACCAAUCAUUGAAUUCCAACAAACAACAUCUCUGCUGAUCAUCUGAUUAAAAACCCGUCUCGCACUAUUGAAAUCACCGAAUUUCAUAAAGAAAUUAAUCAUUGAACUUCCCAAAAACUUAUCACCAUCCACUCUAUGAUCCACAGCUCUCUUGAUUAUUUCCGUUCCCCUCUCAUAAUCUUCUAGUUCCAUGCAAGCCUUCAACACAAAAUUACACGAAUAACUAUCGAAUCCCCAAUCCGAAGCCCCCAUUAAUUCAAACAACUCAAUAGUUUCCUUAUAACACUGAUUUCUCAAAUACCCAUUAAGCAUUGAAUUACAAAGAAUGGGUUUUGGUUGAGGAAUUUUAUCGAACACUUUCCUGGCAAGCCCCAAACAACCCAGUUCACUAUAACUUCUAACCAAAUUGGAUGACAAAAACUGGUGUUUAGAUACAGAAUUCGUGAUAAUCUGGGCAUGGAUAGAUUUAACAGAGAAAAGGGUAUUUGAGAAUUCAUGUAAAAGUGACAAGAAUCUCUGAAUAUCGAGAGGGAGAUGAUUAAAGUUGGCAUUUUUUAUACUUGAAAAAGAGUGCAAAGAGAGAAACUUGAAGGGUACUUUGUGAAGAAAAUUAUGAGUAUUAAGAUUGGGGGAAGGCAUAAAGGAGAUCAUAAGAGAGUGGAAUUUGAGUUAAAGUGCUUUCUUUUUAACUAAAGCCAUUGAAUUUCUUAAAGUUCUAAGGCCUAAUAGUUUCAUAGCAACCUAGGGUUCAUCCAACAACUGAAUUUUGUGGAUGAAUUAACAAUGAUUUACUCUUAUUAAUGGUGCCUGAAUUGUAAAAAAAAAAAAAGAUCUCUAUUUUAAAUUUUUGUCCGAAAAAAUUAAGUUUAUAUAAGCUUCUUUUUUUUCAUUAAAAUUCUUAUUUAAAUUAUUUUAAUGCAGUUGAAACUCAACAUGGUUACUAAAUACUGAGAUUUUAAGCAAAAAAAAAAACUAAUACCAUGGCCUACUUGUGUUUUUUAAUGAGUUUUAAGUUGGUUGUGUUGGUCAAAUAUGUCGUCUUUAGUACUCUCUUAAAUUUAUUAUGAUUAGUUGUACUUAUUAAUUUUGAUUAGAAUCUUUAAUAUAAUUUUAACUUAAUUUUUUAUUUAACCGAAAAUAAUACUUACAUGACCAAUUUUGUCUUAAUUUAAUAAUAAUAAAAAACAAUAUCAAAUGAGAUAUGGUAGUUCUUAUUAGACACCAUACAUUUUUUUUCGAAUAAAAUGCGUACUUUUCAAGUAAAAUAUGCACCUUUUGAGUAAAAUAAAACAAAAUUGAUAGUUUAUUUACUUAUAUAAGAAUUGAUGCAUCGUAGUUAUAUCAUAGUUUUUAGAGUAAACUAUAUUUAAAGUCACCGAAUUACUAGUAAGUUAACGUUUUAGUUACUCAAUUUCAAAAAGUUAUAAAAUUAUCACUAAACCGUUCAAAAAUUUUCAUUUAAAUUAUCGAGUUGUUAGAAUUGUUAUUAUAUGAUCUUCUCCAUUCUCACCUCCAACACUAAUCAAAAGUGUAGAUUUCCCCUCCUCUUUUAUGCUUUAGUUUUUUCUUUUUAUAAAAUAGUUUUGAAGGUUACAAAUUUACAAACUAAAAUCUAAAUAAUUUUCUUCUCCAAUCUUCGAUACCGACCAUCAAAUCAGCUUAAAUUUGAGAUAUAUUUUUCUACUCAUUGAUGGAUAUUAUUUCACUAUAUCGAUUGUCAAAUAGUCACUCGAAACUUGCUGAUCGGACUUUCAAAAAAUAAGCUUAACAAUCCAAUAACUUAAAUAGACACAUUUAAAUAGCUCAAUGGUUAUUUUAUAACUUUUUUAAAAUUAAGUACAUUUAUUAGUUUAGCUACCUUUGAGUAAUUUACCCUACUUUUUAUUUUACUUUCAAAUAUAGGGUUGAACUUUUAUUUUCAAAAUGGAUUGCCUUCUUUGGUCAGGAACCAUAGGAGAGUGGGGAAUUUAGUAUUUUCUGUAUUAAUUUCAUGUUCGUAUUAUUUUCGCGGACAAGAAUACAUUUCCGGUUGCUUCAAUUUUAUCAAUAUUGAAGAAAUAAAGAAUGCUACAAUGGUCAAUUACGAUCAAUAUUGAUGGUAUAUCGAUAACAAAGAGAGCGCCGAAACCACAAAAAGACCUAAAAUCACAUUUCAGCUGUGAUUUAUAUUCCGGGUUGUAAACCGAUUGAAUCUUAGCUCAAUUGUCAUCGACAUUGUUGUCAGUGCAAAACAUGAAUUCAAGUACACUGAAACGCAUUAUCCUCCUAUUUAAGGGUUGAGAAUGAACUAUGAGUAGCUCUAGACAUUAUAUCAAAAAUAGCAAAUAUGAUUAAAAUCUAUAAUGAGAUUAUUGUUAAAAAAAAUCGGAUUCUAAAAUUGGGGUGAAAACAAAAUCCAAGGAAAAUCAUAUCUAUUUCAAUCCAGUAACAUUCCAGUACAGUAACCUUCUUUCGAUAUAAGAUUUUAAAAAAAAGUUACAAACAGAAAUAAUUAGAGCACCAAAAAUGUCUUGAGAAAACAUUUAUAUACCAGGAAUAGGGAGCAGGGGUAACAAAAAUUACGACUUAAUUCCUUCUACCUUUGUUUUUCCGGGAUGAGACUACAACCCAACUGUCUUCAGCUUCAGCUGACUGGUUUUGCUUUGGCUCAUCUGUCAGCAUACUGACUGGAUUCAAACUUGACUGAGAGUUUGGUACAUCCACCAUCAUGUUUGCCGCGAUGUCUGCACUCAUGCUAUCAUCUUCAUCAUCAUCGUCAUCCUCAUCUUCGUUGUUACUCUAGGAUAAAAAUAAUAUGAAUCCAUGAGAAGAAUAAUAAACAACUUCAACCCAUAAAUCUACAUCUUAUACGAUGACUCGGUAAUCUUUUGUUGGUAAAAAGAAUACAUCAUGUAAGAACCGAUCAUGGGAAGAAUAUUUGAGAGAGAGAACUGUAGGUGAAACCUUUUUAAUAGUUCCACCAUCCAAAUGCAGUUGUUAUUUUAUGAGAGGCCAUGCCAUGCCAUUAAAAUGGGGGGACAAGCAGUAUAAACCAUUCCAUUUCAGAAUAUACCAUCCAUCAUAAGAGAUCUAAGGUUUUAAUAGUAUAAACCUUUCCACAUCGAGAAGGGGAUUGGAAGAUGAGGAGUUGAAGGUAACCCCAGAAGUAGCAAGUAUGAACCAACACUUUUUCUUUUCCUUUUUCAUCUAUUAAUUUUAUGUCAAGUUUUUAAUAUUAAGAAACAGCACUAAACUCGGAAAAGCAAUAAAAUAAUCAGACUUCACAAAUCAAAUUGAUGGUGAGACUCUGAUCUCCUUGAAAAUCACAUAGUAAUUGGUAUCUUGCACCCUCUAAGACCACUGAAGAAAUCUUUUUCAUAUGAACAAUGCGACUUUCCUAACAUGUCAAUGUAGCUGCUAAGCAUUGGAAACAAAAACAAAACAAAAUCUAAAGAAAGCAAAGAUAAACAGAAGCAAAAUUCAACAGAGAUAGUAUGUAGUAUAUUAUCUUCAAAACGAAACAUAUUAAUAGGCAUUAAAGGGUUUAAACAAGAAAAUACCGGUCGGACAUGAGCGACUGGAGGAGGAUUCGUUGUCCUCAGUUUUUCAACAGAUUGAUAGUUACCUUCCAAACACUCUUCAUGCAUAAUCAUUAAUUUCUCAGCCACCUGUAACAAGUCGAAGGAAUUGAAUUAUCUCUAAUGCAUAAUCAUUAUAGGAACUUGAUCCAUUGUAUAGCAUGGGUAUGCCAUUUUUUUGGCAAUCUCCUAUAUCAAUGUGAAGUGUCCAAGGUGAGCCGAACAUAGACAUGCUAGGUAAAUAACAAUUAAAAGUUGCAUAUUGAAUAAAUGAAAAUAUAUAUUCCGACAAAACACCACAAAGAACAACUCAAAAUGUCUUAAACUUAGCUUGAACAAAGAAUUUGACCUAAAAUGUUGGCUUUUUAAAUGUUAAAAACUGCCCCUGGGUAUAGCUUACUCUGUAAAAAAACAUUCAGAAACUAGUAUGUCACAAUGAGUUAAGGUGACAACAACAUCGAAUAACAAAAUUAGGAGGAACCAACCCGAUUAAAACAAUCAUCAAAGGAAAGUAUAUAUUCCGAAAAACACCCCGAAAGAACAAUUCAACAAGUUGUUAAACUUAAUUUGAUCAAAGAAUUUGAGCCUAAACUGUUGGUUUUUAAAAAAUCAAAUUUAAAAAAAAAAAAAAACUACCCCUUGUUAUAGUUCACUCUGUAAAAUACACUAAAAAACCAAAGGAGCAUCCAUACUGUACACAUUCAUAAACUAAUAUAUCACAAUGUUCUUUAAGUGUCAGCAACAUAGAUUCGAUUUGAUUAAAUUAAGGCAAUUUUUGUAUCAGUUGUUCCAGAUUUAUAGCAUCGAACAUCAUAAAUAAGAGAUUGAAAUGACUAUAGUAUCCUGAAUUGAAGCCAAGCCAAGAUUAAGAUUGAAGAUACCUCCUCAACGCUGCCAUCUUCAACCAACGUAUUAAGACUAAGCAAACCUUCCUCUAAAAGAUUUUCCAAAUCAUCUAUAUAAAGCGGCUCCGCUGAGAUAGUAAAAAAAAUCAAAUUUAAUUACUGAAUUUGGAAAAUAAAAAAAGAAAAUAACUGAUUAUAAUAUACAUAAAAGUUACCUCUGGCUUCAGUGAAGAAUGAGAAGACGUCGGUGCAGAUGGCGUUGGCUUUGCCGAGAGAAUCACGGCCGCCCCACUCGUUUUCAACGGCGGCGGUGAGAGCCGACCACCGAGUGAGGAUUAAGCUUAUUCCUUCCUGGAAUACCGGGGCUGAUUCCGCCGUUAGUUUCUUCGAUUCCAUUGAUUUUUUUUUAAUCCUUCUUUUCUUUUUCUCUGUUCGCCUUCUGUUUCUUUGCAAUUUUAGUUUGUCUAUGAGAGAACUAAAGCCCUACGAGUUUUCAAAGUGAUUGAAGAUGUGCUUGUUUGGAUUUGAGGAUAAAAGUAUUCGGGUUAUAGAUAGAGGUGGAGUUUUAAUGAAAAUGGAUUGGACCGGGUCUUAAAGUUGGGUUUUAAUUGUGCUUUUGGAAUUUAGAAUUUCAAUCUAAGCCCAACUAGGUGGAACUAUAGACGGUUCGGUUCAGUUCAGUUCAAUUUGAUUUUUUUAAAAAUUUACGAUUAAUUAGAAGUUUUAUUACAUGCAUAUGCGUGGAAACCAAAAAUUUAAAAUAUAAAUAUGUGUUUAAAAAUAACAUACAAUAAAUAAUGAAAUAUAUGAUUUGAAACUAAUUUAUAAUAACACAUGAAAUAUGUACGUUAUUAAAAUGAAAAAAUUAAAUUGAAUUGUUUAUCAUGGUAUUGUUAUCAAUCUUGAGUCGGUGUCGAGUUAAUUUAUUGCACCAACUCAGUCAAAUAUAUUAUUAAUAUAUACAAUUUAUGGAGGUAAAAAGUGUGUGCAUAAUAAAAUUAAAAGGUAUAAGAAUAUCAAAAUAAAGUUUUAGUAGAGUGGUAAAUUAAAAGGUUAAUUAAUGCAAUUGCAGUCCGUUUGAAUCCCAAUAUAUGUAUAUUUUUAUUGGUUUGUUUUAAAGUGAAAAGACUAAAAUACUAUUAAAUAAUAUUACUUAUUUUAAUUACGGAAGGGUAUUAUUGUAAUUUUUUAACCGAGUGGUGACCUAGUUGAGGGUAACACCAACUCAAUUAAGAGUUUAAAUAAUAGUAAGUAUAGAUAUACAACUAAUGCAGAUAAUAAAGUGUGCAUAAUAAAAUUAAAAUGUAUAAAAAUAACAAAAUAAAACUUUAGGAGAAUAGUAAAUUAAAGGUUUUAUUAAUACAAUAGAUGUGGGUGUGAAUCUUAUACCAUAUGUAUAUUUUUAUUGUUUGUUUUAAAAUGAAAAAACUAAAAUACCCUCAAAUAGUAUUAUUUAUUUUAAUUACGAAAGGGCAUUCCCAUAAUUUUUUUAACCAAGUCACUGACUCGAUUGAGGGCAGUGACAGAUCCAGAAAUACGAUUUAGGGGAGGCAAGGGCGAAGUCAAAAUUUUUUGGGGGGGCGGAAUUAAAUUAUAUUUUUUAUUAUAGUAAAAAUGCAAAUUCAUCCUUUUUAAUAGCCUAUAUCUUUAUAAUUUUUAGAGGAUUGAAUCAAAUUUUUAUCAUUUGGGGGGACAAAGUGCAAUUUUACUAUUACUAAUUUCAAAUUUUAUAAAUUGUAAAGGGCUUAAAAAAAUCAUUUUAGGGGGGGGGGUUGGGAACCCUUCCAACUCCCCCUAGAUCCGUCCCUGAUUGAGGGUGACACCAACGUUAUCAGAAGUUUAAAUAAUAGUAUAAAUAUCAUUGGCCAAUUUCAUAUCGAUAUUGCAUGUAUCAAUUAGAAUGUUUUGUUUUGAUAGUAAAUUAGAACAACAAAGUCUAGGUUUCAUUUUGAUAUAAAUUUUAAUUGAUACCUAUUAUAUCAAUCAUAACAAUAGAUUUCACUCAUAUCAUUCGUAAUACAACACAUUUUUUUCUUCUAUGUAUGAUUUUAUGGAACUUGAAUCUUGUAUGUUUAGUAUGGGAUGAUCUUGUUGUUUAUUGUAUAUAACAAUUUUUUUCUUAUUUAUUUUAAAUUUAUUAAAUAAUGGAUUAUAUUUAUAAAUAUUUUGUAUUUAAAAUUUAAUUAAUCUCGUUUAUAUUCAUUUGAUAUUUAUAAAUAUUAAUCAUAAAAACUCAUUUAAGAAAUAAUUGAGAUUCCUAUUAAUUAUAUAAACUCAUCUUCCCCGCCUUUAAAGCAAAACUUGUGGAAUAUAUUAUUACAUGGUCAUAUCCAUUUUUAUGUUUAAAUGUAUGUUGGUAAAUAAAAUCCCGAGUCCAAGGAAAUAGGAAAUAAUUAAGAUGAAUGUCAUCAAUCCAUCUCAAAAUCAAGUCCUUAGCUUUAUGAAAAAUCACAAUAUACUCAAAUAUAUAUAUAUAAAUAUAUUUGAUGUUGUUUCUGUACUUUCCCGCAACUCUUUCAUAUUUAUAAGGUAUAGUUUUCUGAUGUGACAUAUUAGGGGAUAAUUAGGUAUCAUAUAUAUGACACGCUCUCUCUUUAGAUUUGACACAUACCCUUAGACGUGUUUUUUGAUGGUAUUCGCACUCAAGUAUCAUUAUAGGAAGUAAGACAUGUGCUCCACCUCGUGAGGUGGUGACACGCGAGAUGGGAUCACCUCACGAGGUUGCCCUUAUUGAUGGGGUGCGAGGAGUGCUCGCACGUGAGGUGGCGAUAUACGAUGGGACGAUCCAUCUCGCGUGCUCAACCUCGCAAGGUGAUGAGUUGUGAUGGGAUCACUUCACGGGGUUGCCCUUAUUGAUGGGGGUAUCAGGAGUGCUCGCACGUGAGAUGACAAAAUACAACAGGGAGAUCCACAUCUCACAAGGACGCGAUGAGGCAUUCCACCUCAUGAUAAGAGUCGAAUUCCAAGUCACAAGGAUGAGUCGGAUUUCGGGUCUUGAAAUAUUCUAUAACAACAUUUAAAUGUCAAUAAAUGAAACUUUUAAGUCCUAAUAACAUACAUAUUUAUGUAUGUAAUCAUCAAUCCAUCUCAAUAUCAAGACCUUAACCUUACGAGAAAACACACAUAUACUAAAUUAUAUAUAUUUAUAAGAUCAUAUUCAUUUCAUGUUUAAAUAUAUAUCUAUGUUUAUAACAAACAUAUAUAUAUUUAAAUCUCAAAUUCAAGUAACAUAGACCAAGUCAUGAUUAUAACAAACACCAGUUGUCUUGUCUUAAUGGUCUUUGCUAUUUCUGAUCUCCAAACACAGACAUUACACCAUUUGUCCAUUGAACCCAAACCCUCGUCUCAUCACUUCGUAGCCACCCACGUUAUCCAACUAUUUGCAUGAUCCAUGCACCUUAUAAAACUAAUUUUCUUCUAAUAGUUCCCGAAAAUCUCUUUUACUUUCACAGUAAACCUUAAAAAAACCGAAAUUUACAAAUCAAAACUCUGAACAAAUUUACUUAAAUGCUAAGAAAAUGAGCCAACAACAACCGGAGAGGCCCCAAGAACCAAUCAAUUACGGAGAUAGCUUCUCCGGAAAAGGCGAGCUUGCCGAGAAGGCAGUGGCACCUAAAGAUGUUGCCAUGAUGCAGAAGGCGGCCGGGAACUCCGUGAUUGGUCAAACCCAGAAGGGUGGUGUCGAUGCAUCUAUGCAAUCUGCAACGUCGAAGAAUGAGAGUUCGGGAUUGGUUGGCCGCGAAAGAGUCAGUGCUGAUUCCGGUGUUUAUAUUAAAGAGACCGAGUCCCCUAGAAAACGUGUAAUCUCGGAGCACUUUGGUAAAGAGGUAAGAGGAGCAAUCUACAGAGAGAGCUCUAAUUUAAUUUAUGUUACCGCUUUUUUAAUUAUAUUUGUGGAGUUAAAAAAUUAUACCGUUAAUAUAUUAAAAAAUUAUUCUUAUAUUAUAAAAAUGUCUGCUCGAAUUAGGUUGGGCUAAGACUAAAUACUGAGUCUAUACUUAGUACUAAUUUAAUUUCACAUAUGAAUUUUAAAUUUUACUCAAAUCUAUUAAUAUUUAUAUGGCUAACUUACAUAUAUUUACAUCAUCCAUUUUCUUUAAAUAUGUUAUUUUAUUUAAUUUAUCUUUUUUAUUAAUUUUUAAAAAUAAACAACCUUAAAAUAUUUUUAAUAUUUUUUAUAAUAUUAUAUAUUUAUUUUUUAUAUGAUAUAAACUACAUAAUAUAUAAAAAAUAAUACCUUAUAAAUUUAAAAAAAGAGCCCAUUACAUUUUAUUUAACAAUCUAAUUUUUGUGUCCAACCCAACGUUUUUAGAAUCAGACAAGUAAUCAGGUCGGUCAAAAUAUUGGUUCGUUGAUCUAAUUGAUUUGGUUAAAAAUCAUUAAAAUUUCAUAAAAAAUUUAAAAAUCUAUUUUAGUUAGUCCGUUCUAAUUCACAAUUCAACUAAUAUGAUACUAUUAUUUAGAUUAAUACUUAAUCUUAUUUGUGGGUCAACUAAUCUAAACGACCAAUCUAAUCCGAUUCAAAAAUAAUUGGUGGACACUAUUUCUAAGUCUAAUACCUAUGUCAAAACUCUCUUACAGGUCGAAUGGGUUUUCUAAUUUAGAGGAAUAAUAUAUAUUCAAACAAUGAUAACACUCGACAUGGAUUUUCUUUUUAAAGAUUGUAGGACGAUAUAGCCAAGGAGAUUCAUUCGCAUCGGACACCGACUCGACGUCUGAACACUAUGGUGGAAUCACGAUUGGGGAAGCACUUGAAGCCACUGCUCUUACAGCAGGAAAAAAACCGGUGGAAUGGAGUGAUGCCGCUGCAAUUCAGGCGGCGGAAGUGAGAGCCACCGGUCGAACCUCCAUAAUGCCCGGUGGCGUUGCAGCGGCCGCUCAAUCAGCUGCCACGCUUAAUGCCAGGGCAACCAGAGAUGAAGACAAGACCAAAUUGGGUGCUAUUCUUGCGGUAAUUAAGUUUUACUAAUGACUAAAUUAACUUAUUCGAUUCGGCUAAAGUAAUAGUUAAUCACAAAAAAUAAUUUCACUUAGCAAAAAAAGAUUUUGUUUAAACGAAAAUCCAUCGAAUUAAUCGAAACAAUUUUGGGUUGGUUAUAUGUUUUAUAAUUUCAGUUGAUUUAAUUAAUGAAAAUUCGGUAUAAUUAUUAAUCAAAUUGAUUAUGUCAAUUAAUGAUCUGUUAUAGAACGCGACAGCAAAGUUGCCGGCAGAUAAGCCGGCAACACGGAAAGAUGCAGAAGGGGUAAUGGGUGCCGAGAUGAGGAAUGAUCCUAACCUGACCACACAUCCAGCCGGUGUUGCCGCCUCUGUGGCUGCCGCUGCAAGACUCAACCAGAGUCACAAAUGAAAGUAUAGCAAACACCAAUGACUGUCAUGCAUGUCAUAUAAUUUUGAUAUUUUUUUCGACGAAAGAAUAUAAUUUUGAUGUUGGUAUACGUGUAAUUACAAGAACUUCACUCGGCUUUGAAUUGAGCUGGGUCAAGUCGAAAUUGUUGAUUAAUUUUGUAAUCAUUUUCUAAAAAUAUAUGUGAAUAAACUGACUUGAGGAAAUUGGAAAACAAUUAUGAGGCAAAAUUAAGUAAUUUGAAAUUUUUAUUUAUAUCCAAAAUUAAAUAUAUAUUAUAGAAUUAUGUAAAUAUUAAAAAUAUGUUAAGUUGUUGAUAUUUAAAAUUUUAAUAAAAUAUAUAAUAGUAGUAAAAUUUAUAUAGUAAAUAAAUAUAAUUAUGUUUUUAAAAGAUAAAAAAAAUAGUAGGUGUAAACCAGUUUAAAUUAAUUAUUUAAAAAUAUAGACAGAUUUAGAUAAAACUUAAUAUUCAUAUUUCAUGUUAAACUAAGCUUAGCAAAUAUGUAUGGUAUUAAUAUCAUGCAUUGACCUGACCUGAACUCGAUUUAGCUUAACCCAUGAACAUUUCUAAGCAUAUUUGAUGGUAAGUAAAUUUUGACGAAAAAUACAAACAAUAUAAAUUAUUGAAUUAAAAUUUUCAAAUUAAAAAAAAUGGUAAAAGGAUUUAUUUUUCACAUGUUAAGUACAAAGAAAUGGUUAAUAUGUUAGUUGGUGCUUGAAUUUAGUUAGGGAAAUAAGCCGAUUUUGAAGAGAGAAAGUGAAAACUUGUCCCGCGUCACUUUCUUAAAAAUUAUUUUGUUUUUUUUUUCUUUUUUGGUUGCUGAAAAUUUUGGAUUUAAAGAUUUAUUUUUGUAUGUGUUUGAGAUAAACAUUGUUAUAGUUUUAAGGUAUGUUUGAGUUUACGGUGAUAUGUGAUGGCCCUCAAAGACUCACAAAUUUCAUCUGUCGGGUGAGGAUGGAGUCAUCACCUGAGAAGUCGGAUCGCAUUGCAACUCAAGCUCUCAAUUCAAGGUGAUUAUACGGUCACGGGUUGAAGUGUAACUAAGGCUUAAAGUUUACAAAGGUUUUGCUAUCAAGGGAUGGAGUAUAACUCAAGCCUCCAGUUGUUAGUGGUUUUGCAGGGACAAGAUCAAGUUUUUCCUCAUCAAAAGAAGAUGAUGCUUUAUAAACCCCAUGCAAAAGUCUAAGAUCGUAAUGAUAGGGAAAAACAUAGGGGUCUUCCAGUAUAAUCAGGUUAUUCAUUUUCCCCGUCUCCACUAAGGGCGGUGAGCCUAUUACUAUAACCUAUGACAAACUUGGGGGCAAGAACACUUUCAGGGGGAAGGACUUAUUGUGAUGCUGGAGAAAAGAAGAAACGCAACUCAGGACGGCAACAAUUGUAGUUAUUAAUCAUAGCAAUCAUUGCCGCCCCGAGUUGUGUUUCAUCUUUUAUCAACCGUCACAAUAACUCCACCCUGCUGAAAGUCUUAGUUGCCCCCAACUUUGUCACAGGUUAUUGAAACAAGGUCAUCACCUUUAAUGGAGAUGUAAAAAAUUAGUAAGUUGAUUACACCAGAAAGCCCUUGUGUUUUUUCUUGUAAGUAUGAUCUUAAGCUUCUAUAUGAGAUUUAUAAAACAUCGUUUGCCUUUGAUGAGGAGAAACUCAAUCCUCUGCUCGCAUAACCACUACCGACUGUGGCCCAAGUUAUACUUAAUCCUUGACAGCAAAACAUUUGCAAACUUUAAGCACUAGUUACAUUUCAACCCGUGAUCGUAUAAUCACCAUCAACAAGGACCCUGAGUUGCAAUGCGAUCUUGGCUUCUAAGGUGUUGGUUCCAUCCUCAAACGAAUAAGCAGAAUUGUCAUUUAAAAAAUUAAAUUAAAUAUAAUAAAAUCGAAGAGAUUAAGUUGAGAGAAAAAAAUUAAAAUGAAAUUGUAGAGAGAACUUGAUCAAGAGAAUUGAGAUAUUGGGGUUUGAAUGAAAAAUAAUGGAAUUGAAAGGGGUUUAUAUAGGAAAAAAUAUGGCUGUUGGGAAUUCACUAGUUGGAAUUUAGCCUUUGGAGGGGAAGUGACCGUUACCUGAAAACGUGUCUUAUAGGGCGCGUUUUCACAUUCUCUCUCUAAAAACAACCUAUUUCCCUAAAUAAAAAAUAUAUAAAAAUGAUUUCUUUUAUAACUCAAUAAAUUUAUGGUAAAAGUGCCAUAACCCAUUUGCUAGGAAUUGAAUUUUAUUUUGUCCCUUUUAGUAAAAAAAUGAACAAAUUAGUCAUUGAAUAUUUUUUUUUAUCAAUCUCAUUAUAGGUGCUUUAGCAUACUUGAACCCUUGUUUUCCUACAUUGGCAAUAAUGCCCAUGCCAAUCGGGCUAAGACUCAAGUAACAAUUAGUCAUUGUAUGUUAGAUUAAAGGUUAAAUUUGUUAUUCUGUUAAAAAGAUCAUCUAUUUCUACUGCUAAAAUUUGGUCCCUAUACAUCAUAAUGAGGUACAUCUAACACAACACGUGUAAUUGUUUGAUUAUUCUAUUAACCACAUUAAUUUUUAACAAUAGAAAUGGAUUAAAUCUUUAAUAGAAAUGAUCAGUUUGCACUUUGAUCUAACGUACAAAGAUUAAUUUACCUUUUUUUUAGUAAAAAGGUCAAAAUACAAUCUGAACCCUAAUAUAGGGGCCUCUAUAAUACUUUUACCAAAAAAUUUAACAUAUGACGUCACUACAUUAGUAAUCAUAAUUCAGUACUGCAAUAUUGACAUAUUUAAUUUUUAUGGUCCAGAAAUAUAUUUAAUUUAAGUUAAAAUAUGACUCAAGUCUAUAUACUUUUAAAAAAUUUGAGAUUUAGUCUCUAUAUUUUUAUUUUUAAGAAUUUAGUUCAUUUUAGAUUUUAAAAUUAUGAUCCAAGUUUUAACAUUGUUAAAUCUUUUUGUUAAAUUUAUUGGUGUGAUAUUUUGAAAUAAAAAAAAACUUACUUAAUAGCCAUGUAAUUAAAAAAUGACGUUGUAAUGAAUCUUAAUUUAACAAAAAAAGUUUAACAAUAGUUAGAACUGAACUUCAAAAUUUGAAAAGUAAAAAUAAAAGUAAAGAAACUAAAUUCUAAGUUCCCAAAAAGUAUAAGGACUUAUUGCAUAUUUUGCGUAAAAUUUUAAUUUUAAUAAAAAAUAAACUAAAAAUUUAAGAUAAGGUUUAUAAAAUAAAACCGUCUCCAGUUUUCUGGCCACAAAGAAUAUCCCCCCCCCCCCCACGCCCCCUCUAAUUUCAGCAUCACUCAGAUUUUUCUUCCUUCAAUUCUAAACCAAAAAAACAAUAAUAAUAACAUUUGUCUCACAAAUAUCUCCAAUGGCGGCAACUACAUCAUCUUUGCUUCAAACCGACCCUUUAAAGCUAAAACAAUGUCUUCCUCUUCGUUUACACCUCCCUACCCCCCCUCGCUUCACUAAAUUCACCGGGAACUUCACUUUUCAAAGCCAAGACUUUGCUAAGUUUAACCUCAGAUGUUUCUUCUCCAAGCGAAACCAUUUAACGAGCUCGAAUUUCAAUACCAACCAUUUUAAUUUCACCCCAGAUGAUAAAACUAAAACCCCAUUUGAGAUCAUUGCUGAAACGGUUUUGAAAGCUUUAAAGGCCUUGAAAAGGCCUGUUAUAGCGGCGAUUUUAUUGGGUUUGUUGUUAAUGUAUGAUCCUAAUAGCACAGCAUUAGCUGCUUCUGGUGGGAGGAUGGGAGGGAGGUCUUUUUCUUCGAGGAGUUAUUCAGUGCCUAGUAAUGGAGGGUCGAGUUUUUCUUCUUAUUCCGUUCCUUAUUAUGCGCCGGCUUCGUUUGGCGGCGGCGGUGGGUUUUAUGUUGGGACUGCUGUUGGGGUCGGAGUUGGUGCUGGGUCGGGUUUUAUGUUGAUUAUGAUUGGGUUUUUUGCGUUUGUUUUGGUUUCCGGGUUUCUUUCGGAUAGGUCCGAAAGUGGCCUGCUUACUGAUAUUGAAAGGACCAGUGUUCUUAAGCUUCAAGUGAGUGUUUCUUUUCUGUUGCGGGUUUAUAUAUAUAUAUAUCAUAAAUACAAGAUUGGUCAACAUGUGGAAAAUUAGGAAUGGAAAUUGCAUAGCUUGGAUGUGAAGCAACAUAUAGGAGUGUUGCUUAUAUGUGGAUUUUGGUUUGAGCCUUUAGAUUCAGAAAAUGCUAAUUGAGUUUCUUCUUUGAUUAUAUGAAGCUAUGUUGCUCGGAUUUAAGUGUGAGCAUGGUACAAAAAUGUGUCCAACAUGAAUAUGUUCUGUUUUUUCUAAAUUUUUUUGUGUACUUGGAGGGUUGUAUCUUGGUAGUCAUGUUUAUAUAUGUGGACAUGGGUAUCGGAUUCAAGUAUUUCAAGAAAAAUAAAGAGCUGGUGAAACAUGUCAUGGAUUGGAGAUCAACCGACACUGGCUAAUUACGAAUAUUACUCAAAUGUGAAUUUUGGGCGAGCCUUUAGACUUAGAUUCUGCUAAUAUGAAUUGCUUCUUUUAUCAAGUUUGAGACUUGAUUUUAUGAGAAUAAUCAAGAAGGUAUGAGUUAGACAAGAAAAUGAGAUGGACAUGAAGUUGUGCUGAUUACCAUCAUAAUUAGUGAUUUAUGGAUUUGCAGUCUCACCAUUUUUUUUUCCGCUUUUAGGUUGGGUUGUUGGGUACGGGACGAUCUCUUCAAAGGGAUCUGAAUCGGAUUGCUGAAGUUGCCGAUACUUCUACAUCUGAGGGGCUAGGCUUUGUAUUAACAGGUAAUGCUCUCUAAAAUUGGUUACAGAUAAAGCAUUUUAAGUGAUAUAUGGGAUUAACUGGUAGAUGUUUUGCAUGAUACGCACAUUAUGAAUGGCAACGAAUGAAAAUGCUCUUCCCUUGUGAUCAUUGUAGCAAUCAAAUCCCUUGACACUUAUCUCCCAUCACCAAUCCUUGUGUAACACAGACUUCAGUGUAUGUGUCAGAUACAACUAGUAUUUGUCUCAUAAGAGAAAUGUUCAAUUUUUUUUCCGAAGGUUUUUCAUUUAUUUGAAGGAUCUUUGGAAGAACAUAUCCCCAUAGCCAAUGCCAUGUGCGGAUAUACGGCAAACAUUUGCAUGGGUCAUGGAUACAUCAAGAAAAGCAAAGAAUCGGAGUAACUUAGAUCAACCCUAAUCACAAAAGAAAGAUAAUAACUUAAGAGGCAACGUAUGAGCCUUAUAGCUCUAUAGCACAGGUAUGAUUGCUUGUUGUUCUGAAAUCAGCUUAGAAAAUAACAAAUGUAUGAUAUCUAAUGAAAUAGUUGAUGUACAAUUACAAGCAAUAAGAGGUAUAGACUUUGUCCCCCCUUUAGUAAUUUAUUUAGAUUGGGAUGGACAUUGAUGCCAUUCAUUGCAUUGCUUUGUUUUAUUUUUCUGUAAGUGUGAGCCUGUGAUCCUUCUUCAUUCUGUUUUUCUUUAGCAAUACUUGUAGAUUUAUAAGGUACCUGGCAAGUUUAUGUUCCACUAAUUUCUUAAACAUGCAAAGUCAGAUGUCUGUUAGAUAGAUUAUGUGUACCGAGGAAGUUUUUUAAUGUGCCUUCGGUUUUUUGUAGAGACCUCGUUAGCUUUGCUUCGCCAUCCUGAUUAUUGCAUCUCGGGUUAUUCAUCUGUAAGUUUACCCUUUCUGAAAUGGUUAGUUUUGUCUCUUUCAGUGAAUGAAUGUAGCUUGUGACUACGCUUUUUCUGACCUUUUGNNNNNNNNNNNNNNNNNNNNNNNNNNNNNNNNNNNNNNNNNNNNNNNNNNNNNNNNNNNNNNNNNNNNNNNNNNNNNNNNNNNNNNNNNNNNNNNNNNNNNNNNNNNNNNNNNNNNNNNNNNNNNNNNNNNNNNNNNNNNNNNNNNNNNNNNNNNNNNNNNNNNNNNNNNNNNNNNNNNNNNNNNNNNNNNNNNNNNNNNNNNNNNNNNNNNNNNNNNNNNNNNNNNNNNNNNNNNNNNNNNNNNNNNNNNNNNNNNNNNNNNNNNNNNNNNNNNNNNNNNNNNNNNNNNNNNNNNNNNNNNNNNNNNNNNNNNNNNNNNNNNNNNNNNNNNNNNNNNNNNNNNNNNNNNNNNNNNNNNNNNNNNNNNNNNNNNNNNNNNNNNNNNNNNNNNNNNNNNNNNNNNNNNNNNNNNNNNNNNNNNNNNNNNNNNNNNNNNNNNNNNNNNNNNNNNNNNNNNNNNNNNNNNNNNNNNNNNNNNNNNNNNNNNNNNNNNNNNNNNAAGUACCAACAAGCAUUUCAUAUGUUCCAUUCUAUGAAUAACAAAGUAAAUAAGCACAUAUUUUACCCAUAAAGUGGGUCUUCAAUUAGCUUUAGAUUGUUAGUACCAACAUCUAGCAUAUCUGGGAGUAUAUGUCAGAGACAGAUUGAUUUAAUAAUUAAAGUUCUAACACAAGACAAGAGAGUUGCCAUCACAAGAAAAUGUUGAAAAUGUAAAAUACGAUAAUAACAUGGAGCAAACAUUUUCAGCAAGAUACAAUCCACACACACACAUUUUGCUCAGCCAUAAAAAUUAUUUUAAUAUGAUAUAUUAUCAUAUAUUUAGCUUUCCAGCUAAGUAUGAAACCCUUAUGGGGCCUUCUUUUAUUUGCCCAAAUUAAAAAUGGUCAUACCAAUGCAAAGUAAAUCGGUUUAAUUUGAUUCCAUCUCUAUUUUAUUUUAUUUAUAUUUAAUGAUAAAGUAUAUACAUUUUCAUAUAGGAAUAACUUUUAAUGGGUUGAACCUAAUUCAUGAACACAUUCAAUUUAAAAAAUAAAAUAAAAGAAUAAAAGCAAUAAAAAGCGUGAAAGCAAUAAAAAAGACAGACACAAAAUAUCAUUAAAAGAUAACAUGAAUAUGAUAUAAAAAUAAGAAUAUUUAACAAUUAUUAAAUAAAUAGUGAGAGAUGAGAGGUAGUUGCACUCUCAUCAAGCAGUGUAUAACUCACUCAUUUAAAUGCACCACUUCCCACUAUAAUGGCUCGCAAACAAACAUUCAUUUCAUGGGGUAACUUUUUCCUUACACAGGCUAAUAGCUUGCCUUCAUAAAUUUGCUUCUUCUCUCUCACACUUGAAUAGAAUCUUUUGAACCUCUCAAUUUAUUAAUUAGAGAAGAAAGAUCUCUCAUUUCUCCAACCAAUCUUAUGUUUCAGAACUUGUUUUUUUAUUUAUUUUGUUUAUGUGUUUAGUUGACAAAAGCUGAUUCCAAGGGAGUUUUUAUGACUUUUUUUCUUUUUUAAUUUAUAGAUUUCUAUUGACAGCUUCAACUAUGCCUUGUCCUUAGGUGACACAUUACUGAAUCAAAUUACUAAUAUAUAUUUAUAUAUACAAAGGCAGCUUAGCUUAUGCUAUGUAGAUUAUUACAUGGGCUAUACAGGCAGGGUUGAGUGGCAGGAGCAAGGACUUGAGAGGUAUACAUGCUUGUACAGAGAGUAGAGAAGUGACACAUUUGGUCUAUCUAUUUUUUAGCUUUAAUGAUGAAAGUAAUAGGAGGGCCUUUGAUGGGGAAGAGCUACCUUCAUCAAAGCUCUAAUAGUUAUUAGGAGUAACUGAUCUUUGAAUUUUGUUUCAACUGUUUGAACAAAAAAAAAAAACCGACUUCCUUCACGAAUCGAGCCCCCUUGCUGCGUGUUUGUCAUCAUUUUGUACUGAUUAAAGAAAAUAUUUGAGCUACAAAUCAUAAGUUACAUAGAGUAACUUGACACUGCCAUCAUAAUAAUCUAGCACAAGAUAGUGUCAAAGGUCUUCAAGAAUCCAAGUCCUCAUAAUUUACAGAUCCCACAACUGUUCAGAGGGCCAUUUUUUCAGGCGGGAGGGGGCAACAAGGAGCCUAUUUCAGAAUAUCAGAUUUAUCAUUCAUGAUUUGAAUGAUAAUGUAAUUUGAGGAUUGGGUAUAAACAAAAGUUGAAAACGAUUAGAACUGAAAAUGUAAUUUUUGUUAAUGAAGGCAAUUAGGAUUAUGAUUAAAAGUUGAAACUGAAAAUGUUACUACUAAAUAGUAGGUUAGAAUAGAUGACAACGAAAUUCAAAAUGCUUACAGUUAUUAGUUGAAAACUAGAACAGAUUCCAACAUAAAAAUAUAACAGAAAAGCACAUAAAUAUAUGUGCAUACACCAGCCAAUUUGGCAGGUCUAAAUGUAAUUGGAAAAAAAUGCCAAAAGGAGAAAGGAUGAUGCCCAUUUUUAGUUUCAACAGAACCCAAAAUUCAGAAAAAAGAAACUCAACUAAAUGAGAAACAUGUUGCCACGUUUCAUUGGCAAAUCUUAAUUAAAUCACAAUACAUGAAGUCAAAGGAUAAACUCACACCUGAAUAUAUGGGAAGUAUAUGUCUUUCAGCUUACAUUGGAGCUUAGAUAUGUCCAAGUUUCUCACUACAGGAUUUAAUAUCACCACCUGUGAAGAAUCAUACUAUAAAUACAUGAACUGAGACAAAUAAAACGCCAACAGCUCACCUAGCUAAAAUGAUUCUUAUGCACAAAUAGAAUGCAGGAUCUAACCUCAAAAACAACAAUAUAUGAAAAUUAAAGGGAACAUACAGAAGAGUAAACCUUUGUAAAGCUCCCAUGGGGUGACUCCUUGAUUUCUUCAUCAAGAGGAUCCCUAAUGCCUCCAUCAGUCUAAUGUAAAAAGAUUUUGAUGACAUAAUGCAACAAACUUCUGAGAAAAUUUCAUAACAAAAAUAAUUUCUAUAAAAACUUAUUCUUUAGGGAAAUUAAUAAUAAGACUAUCUUACACUCCAACUACAUUCAGAGCCAGAAUUGCCAAGUAAAGCCUCUCGUGCAAGACGUAACUUGUAAACUUUCUUGGAUUGUUUUGUCUUGGAAGAGACUUCAACACAGCUAUAUGAAGACAAGAAAAUAUAUAACUACAAAAAUCUAUUAAGUCUCUAGGAAAUGAUUCUAUCAGCAUAAAACAGAGGAAAGGACAUGUGGUUUGUCAAAUAGGUCAUACCUCCCUAUAUUCAUAGAUGCAAUAAGUCCUCCAUAUCCAAACAUGCCAAAAAAGGGCUGCAUUGUUAUGAAAGCCAAAGUGAGAGCUUCUAACUAACAUUAGAAUCUCUGUGUGCAAACAUAAAAGGCAAGCUUCAAUUAUGUCAAAUCUCAGACAGAGAUACUAAUGUGUCUAACCAAAGAAAUACAUGAGUUUCACAGAUUUUGUACCACUAAGAAUGGUGGCUUGCACCCUAUUGCCUGUUGUUUAUAUAACCUGUUUAGUGAGGCACCCAUCUUUCCCCUGAAUAGAAUAAGUGGAAUAAACUUGAAUUCAUUAGCAAAACUCAAAAGAAAAACUAUAAUUAAGAAACACAACCAGUAGAAGUCUAUAGUGCAUAUUUCCUUCCAAAAUAUAUCCCACUUAAGUUCGAAACUUUGAACCAUGAACAAACCGGUGUGGAUGGAUGAGAGAAAAUCUAAAAGGCUGCUUGAAAAGUGUAGCAGUUGAAUACAUCAACCAUAACUUAACUUCUGUCUUACCUGACUACAGAAGAAAAGUAACCCAAAGUGCCAAACCAAGAAGUCGUAACAAAAAAAAAAAACAUAAAUAUAAAAGAAGAGAAAAAGGACUUCAUAUAAACAUACCACUUCACAAUAGAGUUUUCAUCACUGUUGUCCAUUCCAGGUCUAGUGUCAAAAAUUGAGAUUCCACUCUCAAGAACAUCCACACUUCAAAAACAUUAAAAUAGCCAUUAGCCAUAUAAAGUAUGAUGAAAACAAUUUGUUUUUUAUUAUGAGAAAAAGCAACACAUCAUUAAAAACACUGGCAUUGGGUAUAAACAAAAGGGUGUUUUUUUGUUAAACGUUUGCGGCGGGGAUAGCCAUUGGAGAGCAGAAGAAGAAGGGGAAGUAGAGAAAACGAUGAAGAAGGAGUUCAAAACAUCGUUUUCUGGUACCGAGAUGGAAAGCUGGGUUUCUUUGAUAGGGUCAGGUGAAGAGGAAAGAGAGAAAGGGAGAGGGGAGAGGGUAAUAGGAGAAAGGACUUGGUGAAUAGAAAGGGAACGGGUAAAGCCAUGGGAAGAUUAGGGAUUUCAUGGGGGGAAAAUUUGGGGUAAAAUGGCGCCAUUCUAAAAUGAUUUUUGCGGUGUUUUUUUUUAUUUUUUAUCUCUUAAAAAUUUAUUUUAUUUUGAACAAAAUGACUAUAUUUUGUUCUACUAAAAAUUUUUUAUUUUAUCUGUUAAAUAUUAUUAGUUAAGUCAUAUAAAAUAUUUAUUAUUUUUAAAAUUAAUUUUUUAUAAAAAAAUUAAGUACUCUCAAAAUAAAUAUCAUAGAUUUUAAUAAGAAAAAAAUUAUUAAAUGACUGUAAUUAAUUAUUAAGUUAGAAUUAUCCAAGCCAUUAACCUUUAACCUCUAACUCUUAAUUCUUAACCUCUAACCUCUAACCCCUCUUUUACAAUUAUAUAAUAACUUAAUUAAUAUAUAAAUUACAAAAUAUUAAUUAAUCUAAACCUUAAACCAUAACUUGACCCUGAAUUUCUAAACCCUAAAUCACUAACUCUUAACUUUUAACCCCUAACCUAAACUACUAACCCCUAAACCUUAUCUAAUAUAUAAAUUCAAAAACAUUAAUUAAUCUAAACUCGAAUCCCUAACCCCUAAACCUUAUUUCAUAAAAAAUUAAAACACACUAAUUAAUCUAAACCCUAAAGCCUAACUUGACAUCGAAUCCAUAAACCUUAAAUCCCUAACUCUUAAUCUCUAACCCCUAACCCCUAAUGCCUAAAUCACAACCCUUAAACUAGAAUCUCUAAUCCCUAAUCCCUAAUUCCAUAAUCUAUAAAUGUUAAAAUUGUAACUCCUAAACCGGUCUUAAAUCCUAAAUUAACCAUAUACCCUAAACCAUAUAUAUUAAACCCUAAACUAUAAUGAUAAUUAAUUAAAUAUUUUAAAAUUAAUACUAUCGUAUUUUUUACAAUUAAAAUCAAUCAGUCAUCUACCUAAAAAUUUUUAAAAUUAUUUUAAAUAAUAGUAUUUUAAUUUUUCCAUUUUUAACAAAUAUUUUUCUAUGUUUUUUUAUUUCAAAUUAUUUCUAUGUGUCAUUAUUUCAAAUUUAUCCAUUUAACAAAUAUUCAAUUAAAAAUAAAAUAAAUUUUAAUUAAUAUAAAUAAACAAAUUAAAUAGUAAAUAACAGAUAAAAUAUUUUUGCGGCGCUUUCUCAAAAACGCCGCUAAAGCUCUGAGAAUUAGCGGCGCUUUCUCAAAAACGCCGCUAAAGAUCUGAGCAUUAGCGGCGCUUUUCAAAAUCGCCGCUAAAGAUCUGAGCAUUAGCGGCGCUUUUUCAAAAACGCCGCUAAAGAUCUGAACAUUAGCGGCGUUUUUUUUUAAAUGCCGCUAAAGACCUGAUAGGUCAAAAAAAGAUGUCGUUGGGCUUAGGUUUUUUUGCGGCGUUUUUCCAAAAACGUCGGUAAUGCUUAUUUUUAGCGGCGCUUUCCUAAAAGCGCCACUAAUGCUUGAUUUUUAGUGGCGUUUUUUGUCCAAACGCCACUAAAAGUGCCGCUAAAAGCCUGUUUUGGUGUAGUGAGCUUGCACGCUGACAAGCAACAACAAAAGCUGCUCGAACCAUGCAUGUUGCAGUUGAAGAUGAUGAUGAUGCUUCAGCUUAGUUUUAUUACUUUAAUCAACAUUUUGUAACUUAGUUAGAUUCAAACCAAGUUGUUAAUGUACUUGAUGAAAUUUGAAAAUGUUUGAGCUGAUAAAUCAGCUUUACUAAGUGUGCAAGUUAUGUUUUAUUAGUUCCAAGGUUAGUUAGUGGUAGUAGGUGAUGUUUAGGUAACCAUUUUGUUUUCCUUGACCAGCUUAUGUCUGGUAUAUGUAUUGGCAUUAUGCCAUUUCUUUAUGGUAAUGAAAAUUCAUCAAAGAAUUCUUUAUCUAAUACUCUCUCGAAUCUCAGCUUCAUUUCGUUCUCAAAGCUUGAUUCUAUUAUUGUUUGCACAGCAAGUAUCGAGCCUUUAAGCUCAAGAAAUUGCAUGUUUCAUUCAUCUCUGUUCUUAGUUCCAACAGUUCUCUUUUUCCAUAAGAAAUAAAUGUAAUGCAAAUAACUUGCAAAAAUGUAUGAUUGCUUGCUUUUGUACCCUAAUUGGCUGACGUAUCAUGUCUUGAAAUUAUAUCCACAUAUUGCUUAGUACAUUUUAGGCUGAAACUUCUAGCCUUGAACAUAUACGCCCAUUCAGAUCAUAAUCAAUUUAAUUUCUCUACAAAAGUUCUAAAGUUUUAGUUCAGCUGACUUCAAAAUAAUUUUGCUUUGCUACUGGUGUCUGGUGUUAUUGGAUUGAAGUCUGGUUCUUGCUUGCGUAAGUUAUCAACUUAUCAUGUUGCGAUGUAUUAGCACUUAAUGUACUUUCAUGUCGCUCUUUAGAGUUUCGGUGGUUGUUGGGCAUUUUAUGUACUUUUUUCUGUUGUAACUAUCAUGUUUGCACAUGUAUUUGGAUGUAGUUUCUUAGAAAUCAUCAUGUUUUUCUUUUGUUCUCGAUUUGGGAGAAUGUCCUACACUUCAUAAGCCCUAUGUGCUGAUUGAGUAUGUAUGACCUGAUAUAGACAUUUCUUUUUGGCUUUCGGAAUAUUCUUUUUACCUUCAAAUAAUAGUUUUUUGUUUCAUUCCCGAGAAUUUUAUUUACGAGAAAUUGCUGAUGCUAUCACUUGUGGCCCCUAACAUAGCAAGUAAUUUAGGACAUGAACUGCUAGAAUGCUAAAAUUUUUAGCUUGCUGAUCUUAGAUGUGAUUCUGUUGUUAGAGUCUCCGAGAGUCCUCAAAUUUAUGCUGCACUUUUUUAAAGUUCAUGUCGUCGAUUAUAAAUUUUGUUUGUCACAUUUUGACAGGUCCGAUGGAAAAGAGGUUAUGGUGGACAACCAAUAUCUUCAAGCUAACAAUCCACUGCUGGUAAUGGAUCAUUUUCUUGCCUGAUCUUUUCCUUCAUUAAAUUGACUCAAAGAGCUGACAAUUCUUGCACUUUUGUUUUUUUUUCUUCAAUUGCAGUUAAUCAGCUUCAAUGAGCAACAUCUUAAGUAUAGCCCUCCAUCUUGAUCACCUAGGCGUAUUUAGUGUAUUGAUGAAGCUGAAGGCCGCCAUAUUCGUUUUGUUUGUGUAUGCAUUGUUGUAACUCUUUUACAUUAGUUGCAGAAAAUAGAGCAAGAUAAGUAAGCGCUCUCAUUUUCAAGUUCCAAGCACUUAAAAUAGUUUGGUGAUGGGAUUAGGUUCUCAUGCAAAGCUGUAUUUGUUGCCUAGGAUCACAUCUGUAUUUCAUUUUCCCAACAUUUUCUUCCACUAAGCUCAGUAAUGCCGUUGAUUCAAUGUUUGCAGAUUGUAAUGGCGAACCCAGCUAGAGUUCCAGCGAGGAGAAUAAACGAAUCUAUUGAAUUUUUUAAAAGAAAAAAAAAUAUAAGUGUCUCACGCACAAAAGAUUUUCUAAUUGAAUAUUAGUGCAUACUUUAUAUUCAAAUUUGAAAAACUAUUAAAAAAAAUGUCUAAACAUAAAUAUUUUAUAAAAAAAUAAACUGAGGAGUUGGAAUAAUAUUAUUUGUAUUUCGAGUCAUGAAAUUUAAAUGAUACUUUAUUAGAAGGGAUUAAAUCUAUUUAAGUACCUUUAAGAAUUUAUAUUUAAUCUUUCAAAUAUAUAAAAACAGUUUUAACUGCUUAAAUUGAACACAUACAUUGGUCUCCAAUAAAAAUAAAAUGAUUUUUAACUCAGUUGAAAUUAUGAUCCGUCCUUAUCAAAGGAUUCUCAUUUUAUCAUUACUUACUUCGUCUCCAUUUUUGUCUCACAAUUUUGUUUUAAUUUGCUUCAUCUUCAACCUACAAAUAAAAUAUAGAUGCAAGUGAAAAAAUAUAUAAUGGAAAAAAAUUUAAUAAAAAAUGGUGAAACCAAUCAAAAUAUACACAUUUUGAUUAUGUAAAAAGGAAUGAAUUAAGUGACUAAAAUUUUAAAUGGCUUAAAAAACAAUGUUAUCAACAUUUGAGAUAUGUACAUGUUGAAUAUGAUGAGUAUGAAUACAAUUUUUAAAAUGUUUUGGCAUAUAAUGGAAGGAUCAUAUCUCAUAUGCAAAACAAGUCUAGAAUAAUUGUUUAAAUGAAAUAUAAGAUGUGUAAAAGAAAAUUAAUAGGACGAAGUUGGUUAAGUAGUUUACCACAGUUAAUGCUUCUUUCUUGAUUGGCCCUUUACAAAAUUGAAAAUAUUUUGCAUCCGUUUCGGUUGCGGCUCUUCUUCCUCUGUUUCCUCAUAGAUAUUACGUUUUCGUUUUAUGUGAGAAGUGCUACCUACUGAUCCAUGGUUGUGAGCGGAGUGUUGGUGGAUGUGUUCAAAAUUUGGAGAAGAUUGACUGGUAUCGCACUACAACUCUUUCAUUUCUUCCAAAUCUUUCUCAUACACUAUUCUAACACCACACUUCUUCACCUUAACAUUACGAGAAUUUGGUCCAAGUUCGAUAUUGAAAGACAACUCAAGCUCAUCUUCAAUUUGGUCUAAGCAAUCUGUUGUCCAUAAAUUAGUGGUUUCACAGUCGUCAUAUUUAUCCUCCAAGGAAGGAUAUAGCCUAAAAAAAUCAAGAACAUAAAAUAAGAAAAUAAAAUAAAUAAUGUAUAAUGUAGGAUAAAAAAAGAAAUAGUAUGUAACUUUUGUUGAAUGACUUACAGUGUUUUUUGUUAGGACAUGAUGGACAUCCCUUUCCUCCCACAAUCUGCAACGUUUUCCAGGUUCAUCAACACAUUUUUCUGUAACAAUUUUUCUUCCCAUUUCUUGCAACAAACUAUGCAUCCACAAAUAUUGGUUGCUAUCAUCGACUUUUAUUAAAGAUUUCUUAAUGAGAACAUCAAUUCCAAUAUCGGGACAAAACUCACAACCAUCCAAUACUUUGAUUACAAAAUCUUUCUUCUCCCUGUUGAAGAAGCAUGCUAUAUCUAAAAAUAUAUUCUUCUCCCUUUCUUCCAGUCCAUCAAAACUGAUUCGAAGUUUAUCGAGAAUUUCUUUAUUAGAAUCUCUUUUAAGUCUUUCAAUCGCACUGCUCCAUUGAGUAGCAUCUCUACCGCACAAAAAGGAACCCAAAAUUUCAAGAGCUAAAGGGAGUCCACCAGCAUAAUUUACAACAUGUUUAGAAAGCUCAAUGAAAUCAACUUUCUGCACUGUAUCACUAUGAAAAGCUUUCAGACUGAAAAGUUGAAGCGCAUCUUUGGGAUUCAAUGUUAUGGGCUCAUACAUAUCAUCAACUGGCAAAGAUCGAAGCAAAUGUUCUUCUCUUGUUGUUACAACGAUUCUACUUCCUAAUCCGAACCAAUCGUGCCUUCCAACCAAGCAUUUUAAGUGUUGUAUGUUAUCAACAUUAUCAAGAACAACAAGAACCUUUUUGUAAGACAACCUAUGGCUAAUAAUGUCACUCCCUUCAUGAACAUCGAAAAAGUUGAAGCACUCACCAUGAAAGAUCUGUGAAAGAAGUUGUUUCUGUAAAGAAACUAGUCCGCAUUUGUCUGAAACUUCUCGAAUAUCAGCAAUAAAGCUUUUACCUUCAAACUGAGAUGACAUUUGAGUGUAAGCAACUCUUGCGAGUGUCGUUUUACCGAUACCACCCAUUCCGCAAAUUCCUAUAACGCGGACAUCAUCUUCCCCAAUGUUUAUUUUCAAAUAUAAAUCCUCCAAGCGUUCACUAAUUCCAACCAAGUCGCUAUGAGUAGCUGGAUAUGUCUGACAUAGUUUUGCUGAUAUCUUCUUGACAAUGUCUUUAAUAAAUCCUGAUUCAUGCCUAAAAAAAAAGAUGAAAAUUUAAUGUUUUGAAUAAAAUUUUGUUGAUAUGUUUCAAAUACACUUUCUUUUUCAAUGAAUCAUCAAACAUAAUAUAUUUGGAAGCAAACAAGAACCAAGAAUAAGAAAGCAAGAUCUGUUGCGGAGCCAGAAUACAAAGUUUGCUCUUGUAUUGAAAUAUGACACUUUUCAAUUAAACACAUAGGAUUAGAAAGAAAAAAAAAAGUUAUACAUAUAUAUCCAAAAAACUAGAAAAUAAAGAAGAAAAGAAAGAAUUACCUGUUAUUUAAAUGCCAUCCCUUGAUUCCAGCCACUUGAAUUAAAGCAUUUCGCCAUCUUUGGAUCUUCUCACUAUCUUCUUUGUAUCUCUCUUUAUGUCUGGCAAAGGCUUCUUCCACUUUCUCUUUUUGUUUUCUUAAAUCAGAUGGACCAACAUGGUAAAAAAUUGGAAACACUUUAUGGCCGUCGUUGUUAUGUUGUUUAACAAUCUGAGCAAGCUCCUCCAAGCACCAACUUGAAAAGGCAUAAUUUUGUGAAAAAACGAUUACUGAGCACCAUGAUUGCUGAAUUGCUUUAAAGAGUUCAGGUGCAAUCUCUUCGCCGGCCUCCAGCUUUGGAUCAUCUCUGAAAGUGACGAUCCCACUCCUACUUAGAGCAUCAUAGAGAUGAUCGGUAAAGUUGUUGCGGGUAUCUUCACCUCUGAAACUCAAGAAAACAUCAUAUUUUUUUCUAGAAAUGGAGGAAGAAGCUGAAGGUAACGACAACAUAAGGAUGUAUGAAAGGAGAAGGAUAUUUCGAUCUAGUGUUCAAAAUCAGAAAAUAAUGAAUAUAUGAGGAAAAACAAAUCAAAAAUAGAAGAAGGCCGGGUGAAAUGUUCUUUCCAUGAAGGUGAGAGUUAAAAAUGUUAGACGGUUUGUAUUUUAUGUACUUAACAAUGAAAGAUAAUAAUUAAAAAUAUUACUUUUCGAUGUUAUAGAUGUUGUUUCUGGGAAGACUCCAAGAAGGUGAGAGUAGACAAAAUGGAGCCUACAGUUAUUAUUAAGUAUUGGUGUAUAGAACAAAGAACAUGCAAGUUGGCUGAGACUUGAGCAGCAAGGCUCGAGACUUGCAGAAGAAACAACAGAUUUCUAAACAGAAAAUUGAAAAGGAAAACAAGGAAAAAUGGAGAGUAUUGGAACAAAAACAGAUUGAAUUCAUUCAAACUUGAAUAAUGGCAUAAUGCCAAUACAUAAACCAAGCAAUACAUAAUGACAAUUGAUUAUUAUUUUUCUCUAAAGUACUCAUAAAAAAAAGUUAUUAUUAAAAUGUCGUUUAAUGUUUCCGUGGUUAUGAGUGCAACUUAAAAACAUGACUGACUGAGUAACCAGGGUAGGGUGCUUGGGUUGUCAUCUUAUUUCGCGCCAGAAGGUUGUGUGGCGUGUUAGGUAAAACUCCGCUAACCGGAAUUGAUUUUUAAGAAUAUGUUGGGCUGAGUAACCGGGGUGGGGUGCUUGGCUGUCACCUCUCUUAGCGUCAAAAGGUUCGAUGUGUUCUUAAGAAAAAAUUAUAAUAAAUUAGGAGUUUGCUGGGCUGAGUAACUGGGGUGGGGUGCUUAGCUGUCAUCUCUCUUCAAGUCAAAAGAUUCAAUAUAUAUAUAUUCCUAAAGCAUUAAAAAUAUAAAUAAUAAAUAAAUAAAAAAGAAAAAAAGAAAAAAUAUAAUUUGGGGACUAAAGGAGGAAACAAAUAGGUUUUCUUGGUAGGUUUGGUAAUUUACCUAAUUUUCAUUAAAUAAUUCAAGUCGAUUCUAAUUUUUGUAUGUAUUAAUUGGAAAACUUUUUCUGUUUUACUUAAAGCAAGCUUAGGGUUCUCUUUAUUUUUCAUAUGCAUUUUUGACUGAUUUUUAUAAAACUUUGGAGUGAUAUUUCUUUUAUGACAAAAUCUAACUUUCACAGUAGAUAGGAAUCAUAAUUGAGGGCAAGAAUUGGCUAAGUAAGAGGGAAUUUGAAAGAAUUUUGCAUGUGAUUUUAGAAUUUUUACAGUGGGUGGUAGUGGUGAUCUAUGUUUUUACUGUAUUAUCGUAACCUUUAUUAUCGCUUGGGGUAGGGAGUCAGAAGAUUGUCUUAUAUUUAAUGUUUAUUGUUGGGGUUUUGACAACAACAAAAGAAGAGAGCAAGAUAGAGAAUAAAGGAGGAAGAAACAAAGAACAAUUUACUUGCUCACAAAUGUGCAGCAAGGAAGCAAUAAUCUGCUUUACACUACUGAUAUGUUUGCUUAUUCAAUAUAAAACAAUACAUUUAUAAUAAAAAAAACAUCACCAAAUACUCAACUAAUCCCUCUAAUCAGCAUUGGGACUAUUAAAACAUUGCUUGUACACAUGAAUAAGCUGACUUAUCAGCUCAAUCAUCCCAUCAAAACAUCAACAACUAAGUUCAUUUUCAACCAAACUAAAUUACAGUGCAACUAAAAUAGAAAAUAUUGCUGCAACAUGCACUAUUGUUGCAGUAUGCAUACAAGCUGUAUGCACUCAACAAAAUCAUCAUAGUAGCAUGCACUUUAACAAAAACAUAAUAGUAGCAUGGCUGGCCAUUUUCAACAUUUAUGUUCGACACAUAAACACAACUUGAUCACUUUUGUUGAUUCCUCACUUGCAUUAUCCUUUGAGCCAUGCUUCUAUUGGUCUAGGGGACAAACAUAAAAAAUAACAAGAUUAUUUUUGUUCCAUUGAGAUCAUCUAUAUCGCUUGUAUAUUAUCUUACCUCAAAUCGAGAUAAUUUUGUUGAUAUCACAGAAAACACAACUGUUACCAAGAACAAAAAAAAAAAUUAGACAAGAACAAAAAAUGAAUCUAUUGACUUUUUUAAAAGAAAAAAAAAUAAGAAUAAGUGUCUAAACAUAAAUAUUUUAUAAAAAAAAUAUAAACUGAAGAGUUGGAAGAAUAUUAUUUGUACUUCAAGCCAUCAAAUUUAAAUGAUACUUUAUUAGAAGGAAUUAAAUCUAUUUAAGCACUAUUAACGAUUUAUAGUUAAUCUUCUAAAUAUAUAAAAACAGUUUUGAUUGGUUAAAUUGAAUAUAUAAUUGGUCUCCAAUAAAAAUAAAAUGAUUUUUAACUCAGCUGAAAUUAUGAUCAAUCCUUAUUAAAUGAUUCUCACUUUAUUAUUACUUCCUUCAUCUUCAUUUUUGUCUCACAAUCUUGUUUUAAAUUGCUUCAUCUUCAACCUACAAAUAAAAUAUAGAUGUAAGUGAAUAUAUAUAAUGGAAAUAAAGUUUUAAUAAAAAAAGUGAAACCAAUUAAAAUGUACACAUUUCGGUUACGUAAAAAGGAAUGAAUUAAAUAGCUAAAAUUUUAAAUGGUAUAAAAAACAAUGUUAUCAACAUUUGAAAUAUGUAGAUGUUGAAUAUGAAUAUGAAUAAAAAAUUUUAAAAUGUUGUGGCAUAUAAUGGAAGGAUCAUAUCUCAUAUGCAAAACAAGUCUAGAAUAAUUGUUUAAAUGAAAUAUAAGAUGUGUAAAAGAAAAUUAAUAGGACGAAGUUGGUUAAGUAGUUUACCACAGUUAAUGCUUCUUUCUUGAUUGGCCCUUUACAAAAUUGAAAAUAUUUUGCAUCCGUUCUGGUUGCGGCUCUUCUUCUUCCGUUUCCUCAUAGAUAUUACGUUUUCGUUUCAUGUGAGAAGUGCUACCUACUGAUCCAUGGUUGUGAGGAGAGUGUUGGUGGAUGUGUUCAAAAUUUGGAGAAGAUUGAGUGGUAUGGCACUGCAACUCUUUCAUUUCUUCCAAAUCUUUCUCAUACACUAUUCUAACACCACACUUCUUCACCUUAACAUUACGAGAAUUUGGUCCAAGUUCGAUAUUGAAAGACAACUCAAGCUCAUCUUCAAUUUGGUCUAAGCAAUCUGUUGUCCAUAAAUUAGUGGUUUCACAGUCGUCAUAUUUAUCCUCCAAGGAAGGAUAUAUUUUAUCACGCGACCAAUAACCAAGUAAAAGGUGAUCUUUCAUUAUUGGUUCACGCAGCUCCCAGCCUCUCCAACCAAUCCGUCGAUGAUUUCUACCUCGAAAAAUAGAUCCAUUACAGCUUGCUUGAUCAGAAUUUCUACAAUAGAUAUAUGCUCCACAACCGAUAGACUCGUUAUGCCUUGAAGCAUCAUUAUUGACAAAAAUGCAGCAAGAAGCAACUCCAAUCCAUUGACUAUCUUUCCGAAGGUUGAUAGGUAGGGGUAUCUUAAUUGAAGAGUCACUUUUUUGUUGGCUAAACCAUUCUGGAAUUUCACUUCCGGGCAUCAUAAUAUCAACGAAGCCAUAAUCAAACCGUUUUCUAGAAUUUGGAAAGGCCUGCAAAAUAAAACACAAGUCGUCUGGUAACUAAAACCAUAAAUUCUCAAGCAUGAGAUUUUGUAAGGUAGACAAAAUAGAUUAAUAGACCUUAAUAUGUUCUUUCAGCAGUAUUAAUGCAUUGAUUUUCUCAGCCAAUUUGAAGCAGUUAGUGGCACAAAUGUCAACACAACCCACGAAAUUGCGUACUUUUGAUGGACUUGCAACUACUUCAAGUGAAGAACAGCCAUCUAUUUUCACAAGUGCUAUACGUGUUGGUAGCUCAGGCAACGAUUUAAGCAUCUUGAAACCUGACAAUUUAAGCAAUUUGAGCCUGGAAAGUUGAGUAAGAGCCAAAGGAAGGGUGAUGAAAUUCUUACCACUAAGAUUAAGAUAACUCAAAGAGGAUAGACCAGAAAUAUCACUAUGAGUAUCUGCUUCACCAAAAGUGCACAUGUUGCAAUUUGACAUUAAUAUAAGAUUUGCAAGCUUCGAGAGUCGAGUAAGAGAUGCAGGUAUGCUGAUGAAAUUAUUACCACUAAGAUCAAGAGAUACCAAAGAGGAUAGACCAGAAAUAUCAGGUGGAAUAUCUCCUUCACAGAGAUUGCAGUCCCUUAGAUUCAACUCUCUUAAUGAACUCAAACCUGACAACAAAGGCAACAUCCGAGCCAUGGGAUUCGUCCUUCUUCCUUGGAUUACCUUGAAAAGAGAAGGCAAAUUUGGUAGUAACUUAUAUGAUGGUCCCUUGCCCCCACUGAAAGACAGAACUUUAAGAUUUUUAAAUUGAAAAAUGAAGGAUGGUGGUUCUGUUAUGGCUGUUUCACUCAAGUCGAGCUCUUCCAAAAACGUUGCCUGCUGCAAAUUCUCCGAUAAAUUUUCCACUCUAUAACAACCGGAAAGAUCUAGAGUUUUUAGACGUUCCAUUUUCCCAUCAAUCUCCGGAAACAUUACAAGACUUGAGCAACCCGAAAGAAUUAAUGUUUCUAGAGAUUCCAUUCCAAUUUUGGUUGGAAGAGUCCUAAGACUUUUGCAAUCUCUUAAAUUCAAAAAUUUAAGGCUCUUAAGCACCCCGAUUGAUGGAUGAACAUCCACUAAUUUGGUACAACCUUUCAAAAUCAAAACUUCAAGAUUUGAUGCUGUUGUGAAGUCUGGUGUCUUGAUCAGGUUUUGAGACCCUCUGAGGUUCAUUAUUUUCAAGUUAAACAAGAAGACCAUAAUAAAUUAGAAACAAAUGAGAAAACAUAAUAAUGCCCAUUUUUGUUUUUUUGUUUUACCUUAAUCAAAGUUUAAUAAUUUAUAUUAAAAUAAGCUAAAACACAAGGAUAAGAUGAGUUAAUUCUUACUCUAUUUCCCUUCCAUAGUUGUUGAAUGUGACUAUAUGGUAAAAGAAGUGCGACAAGGUUGUCCGGUUGAAAGCUUGAAGGUAAGUAUCUUAAAGGGUAUGCUGUCCAAUCUAAAAGUCGUAAUUCAUUAGAAAGAUAUUUGAGAUCAUCACAAUUUGAAAGGCAAAGCACUUUGAGCAAUCUCAGUUUUUUCAUCUUCAAGAACGUAUCCACACUCAAAUUGAGCAUCUUGUUUGGUUCCCUAAUAUCCAUGAGCAAAACAAAAAUGAGCUUCAAAAUAUACAAAAAUAUUCAAUAUCUAAAAGAAAUGUUGCAUCGAAAUUGUUUUUUAAGUACUCGUAUCCAAUACUUUUAUCUAAUGCACAUUCGUAUAUGGGUAUUAAGAUAUGAUCCUUUAAGAACCUUUUAAAUAUGGAAAAAAAACAAUUUUUAAUUUUUUUUUGAAUAUACCCAUAUUAAAGAGAUACUUAUAUCUAACAAUCACAUCUGAUGUUAAGUUACCUAAUCCUAAAAAAUUGAAUUAAUAUGUUAAUUUAUAUUUGGUCCGCAAACAAUGCAUAAUUUACAAGUUAAUGAACAAUGACACAUAAUUAAAAAUGAAACCAUUUUCAUUAAAAAAAUUUUGAUGACAUGUUAUAAUAUAAUUCGUUGAUAUAUGCUUUUAGUACAUUAAAUAUAUACAAUUAAUUUUCACAAAAAAAUAUACCAUUAAUAUUUCAAAAAUAAGUACAUUUCACUUUUGAUUCUUUUGAAAAAGAAAAUAUGUUGCUAGAUAAAUUUCAUAAUUAGACAUAGAAAUAUUGAAUGUCAAAAGUUUUGCUAUAGUUUUUUUAUCAUAUUUAAAAAUAAUAAUUUUUAUAGUACACAUAGAUAUAAGUUUAUGUGUAUCUUUUUACCUUUUAUUAUCGAUGAUUAUGCUUUCAAUCAUUUUUGUAGCCUAAAAAAAUCAAUAACAGACAAUAAGAAAAUAAAAUAAAUGGUGAAUAAUGUAGGAUAGAAAAGAAAUAGUACGUAACUUUUGUUGAAUGACUUACAGUGUUUUUUGUUAGGACAUGAUGGAUAUCCCUUUCCUCCCACAAUCUGCAACGUUUUCCUGGUUCAUCAACACAUUUUUCUUUAACAAUUGUUCUUCCCAUUUCUUGCAGCAAGUCAUGCAUCUUCAAAUAUUUGUUGUGUUCAUCGACUUUUACAAGAGAUUUUUUAACGAGAACAUCAAUUCCGAUAUCAGGAAAAAACUCACAACCAUCCAAUACUUUGAUUACAAAAUCUUUCUUCUCCCCAUUGAAGAAGCAUGCUAUAUCUAAAAAUAUAUUCUUCUCCCUUUCUUCCAGUCCAUCAAAACUGAUUCGAAGUUUAUCGAGAAUUUCUUUAUUAGAAUCUCUUUUAAGUCUUUCAAUCGCACUUCUCCAUUGAAUCGCAUCUCUACCGCACAAAAAGGAACCCAAAACUUCAAGAGCUAAAGGGAGCCCACGAACAUAAUCUAUGACAUGUUCAGAAAGCUCAAUGAAAUCAUCUUUCGGCACUGUAUCAGUAGGGAAAGCUUUCAGAUUGAAAAGUUGAAGCGCAUCUUUGGGAUUCAGUGUUGUGGGCAUAUACACAUCAUUAACUUGGCAGCAUCGAAGCAAAUGUUCGUCUCUUGUUGUUACAAUGAUUCUACUCCCUAAUCCGAACCAAUCAUGCCUUCCAACCAAGCAUUUUAGGUGUUGUAUGUUAUCAACAUUAUCAAGAACAACAAGAACCUUUUUGUGAGACAACCUAUGGCUAAUUAUUUUAUUUCCUUCAUGAACAUUGAAAAAGUUGAAGCAUUCACCAUGAAAGAUCUGUGAAAGAAGUUGUUUCUGUAAAGAAACUAGUCCGCAUUUGUCCGAAACUUCUCGAAUAUCAGCAAUAAAGCUUUUACCUUCAAAAUGAGGUGACAUUUGAGUGUAAGCAACUCUUGCGAGUGUCGUUUUACCGAUGCCACCCAUUCCGCAAAUUCCUAUAACGCGGACAUCAUCUUCCCCAAUGUUUAUUUUCAAAUACAAAUCCUCCAAGCGUUCACUAAUACCAACCAAGUCGCUAUGAGUAACUGGAUAUGUCUGACAUAGUUUUGCUGAUAUCUUCUUAACAAUGUCUCUAAUAAAUUCUGAUUCAUGCCUAAAAAAAAAAAAAUUUAAUGUUUUGAGUAAAAUUUUGUUGAUAUGUUUCGAAUGCACUUUCUUUUUCACUGAAUCAUGAAACAUAAUAUAGUUUGGAAGCAAACAAGAACCAAGAAUAAGAAAGCAAGAUCUGUUGCGGAGCCAGAAGACAAAAUUUGCUCUUUUACUGAAAUAUGACACUUUUCAAUUAAACACAUAGGAUUAGGGAAAAAAAAAUGUUAUACAUACAUACAUAUAUAUAUAUAUCCAAAAAACUUGAAAAUAGAGAAGAAAAGAAAGAAUUACCUGUUAUUUAAAUGCCAUCCCUUGAUUGCAGCCACUUGAUUUAAAGCAUUUCGCCACCUUUGGAUCUUCUCACUUUCUUCUUUGUAUCUCUCUUCAUGUCUGGCAAAGGCUUCUUCCACUUUCCCUUUUUGUUUUCUUAAAUCAGAAGGAUCAACAUCGUAAAAAAUUGGAAACACUUUAUGGCCGUUGUUGUUAUGUUGUUGAACAAUCUCAGCAAGCUCCUCCAAGCACCAACUUGAAAAGGCAUAAGUUUGUGAAAAAACGAUUACCGAGCACCAUGAUUGCUGAAUUGCUUUAAAGAGUUCUGGCGCGAUCUCUUCACCGGCCUGCAGCUUUGGAUCAUCCCUGAAAGUGACGAUCCCACUCCUCUUUAGAGCAGCAUAGAGAUGAUCGGUGAAGUUUUUGCGAGUAUCUUCACCUCUAAAACUCAAGAAAACAUCAUAUUUCUUUCUAGAAAUGUAUGAGGAAGUUGAAGGUAAUGACAACAUGACGAUGUUUGAGAAGAAAAAUAUAUAUGUGGAUGUAGUGUUCAAAAUCAGAAAAUUGAUCGCUCAAUACGCCAGAAAGAAAGUAGAAACAAUAAGUAUAUGAGAGUGAAGAUCGAGAAAAGCAGAUGAAAAUUCCAGGGAAGAAUAAAGGACGUUUCUAAGCAAUUUCUCUAUAACCUUUGAAUUUUCGAAAUGAAUACGAGUAGGUGUUGACAUUGGGUGAUGCAUGUUCUUUCCAGGAAGAAUCCAAGAAGGUGGGUGUUGACAAAAUGGAGCCUACAAUAAUUUUAAGUAAUAAGAAAGUGUUGGACGGUUUGUGUUUUACUUUCAUUUACAUAAUCAUAUAUAUAAUUGUCUAUAUAACUAUAUAUUAAAGGAGUAUUUGUAGACACCAGUCCAGGGAGGACAAUGCGUUAUUUUAAAUUCGGUCCCUCACAUUUUGCCUUUAAUAUGAUUAAGUUCUAUUCGAAGCAUUUAAAAUGUUCAUUAGGUGCAGACUAAAAUAACUUAUAUUUACUCACUAUCAUAAUAUUUUAUGUAUGAAUACAAUUUAUUAAUUUAAUGUAUAGGAUUUUUUUUUCUUUUACAUUAUAAGAAAUUGUUAGAAUUUCAAUUUUAGUUUUUUAUUAUGCCUAAAUUUAAGAUUUAAUAUUUAAUUUCUAACCUAAUUUAAUCAUAUAUUUUUAUAAUGUUAUUAGUCAGACAUAUAAUUAAUAUUGUUGAAUUUUCUAUUAGUUAUAGCAUUAUAAACAUGUGAAGUUGUUGCGAGUAUCUUCACCUCUAAAACUCAAGAAAACAUUAUAUUUCUUUUUAGAAAUGGAGGAAGAAGUUGAAGGUAAGGGCAACAUGAGUAUGUAUGAAAGGAGAAGAAUAUCUCAAUCUGGUGUUCAAAAUCAGAAAAUAGAUCGCCCAAUACCCACAAAGAAACUAGAAAAGUAAGUAUAUGAGCAUAGGGGUGGAAAUUAGGGGCCGACAAAGUAAGUAUGUUAUCUGUUUUAUGUUGGAUCAAUUUGAGAUAUAAUUAAUCUCAUAAUUUGCAGGUUGUUGUUAAGACUUAUUCUCAUCUUUCAUCUAUUGAUUUAGUCUUGUUUGAAUUGGAUUGAUCGAUCGAUUAGAUCAAGAGCCGACAAAGUAUUAGUUCGAUGAGUGAUUUUGAAUUGAUUAGAUUCAAAAUUGAUACGAACCGAUUCAACCUGUUAAAAACUAAAUGAAUCAAACUCUAUUUUAACUUUUUAAAAUUUUAAUAGUUUUUUAAUCAUUGGACCAACAAACUAAUAGCCUAUCCAAUUCGACUAGCAAAUCCGAUUUAACUCAAGAAAACAUCAUAUUUUUUUCUAGAAAUGGAGGAAGAAGUUGAAGGUAAGGACAACAUGAGGAUGUAUGAAAGGAGAAGGAUAUUUCAAUCUGGUGUUCAAAAUCAAAAAAUAAUGAAUAUAUGAAGAAAAACAUAUGAAAAAUAGAAGAGGGCCGGGUGAUAUGUUCUUUCCAUGAAGGUGAGACGGUUUGCAUUUUAUGUACUUAACAAUGAAAGAUAAUAAUUAAAAACAUUAGUUUUCGAAAUGAAAGGGAGUAGGUGUGGAAAUUCGGGGUUAUAGAUGUUGUUUCCGGGAAGACUCCAAGAAGGUUGUGUUUUACUCAAAUUUCUCAAAUAUCUUAAACAUUUGGGAUUUGCACAAGCUCAAUUACUUCCAGAACCGGCGACCUGGAUUCUAAAUUCCAAUAAUUCUUUUCCGCGAAAAUCAAACUAAUCAAAGAUGCAUAGAUGAAUACAUAAAAAAUAAAAGAGUGAGGAAUUAAGGAUAAAAGUAUUCAAAUCUGCCUAAUUUCAGGAAUCAAAGAGUUGAUACACGAAAUGUCAAAGUCAGAGUGAACAGUGACUAGGAAAAUGGUUUUUUUUUUUUUUUACAAAAAAAAAAAAGAAGUUAAGAACUGAGGUAUACAGACUAAUGAAGUUUUAAUCCCACAAGUAAUUUUACAGGCUUUUCCCAGAGGUUUUAGGUGAAAUACUGGGGACAUUUUAAGCGGUGAAAAUCUCCUCUCAAAUUUCUAUGGUUUUGUUACUAAAAUGAAAAUAAAAUUUUAAAAAAUAAAAAAAAUGAAACCAAUUAAAAUGUGCACAUUUAAAUUAUGUAAAAAGGAAUGAACUAAGUGACUAAAAUUUUAAAUGGUAUAAAAGAAUGUAAUCAACAUUUGGGAUAUGUAUAGAAUAUGAGCUCAUGUUGAAUAUGAGUAUGAACAAAAAAUUCAAAUUUGUUUGAUAUAUACGAAGGAAUGUAAAUAAGUCUAGAAUGAUUAAAUUAAAUAAAAGAUGUAAACAAUAAUUAAUAGGACAAGGUUGGUUAAGUAGUUUACCACAGUUAAUGCUUCUUUCCCGAUUGGCCCAUUAUAAAAUUGAAAAUUUUUUGCAUCAGUUUUGAGCAGAGUGUUGGUGGACGUGUUCAAAAUUGGGAAAAGAUUGAGUGGUAUGUCACUGCAACUCUUUUAUUUCUUCCAAAUCUUUCUCAUACACUAUUCUAAUACCACACUUCUUCACCUUACCGCCUCUAGAUCUAUCUGAGAAAGACAUCCAGAGCUCAUCAUAUUUUUUAUCUAAGCAAUUUAUUGUCCAUAAAUUAUUGGUUUUACAGUCACCAUAUUUAUCCUCCAUGGAAAUUGGAUAUAAUAUAUGCUUUAUCCGCCAAAAACAAAGAAAAUGAUGAUAUUUAAUUAUGGGCAGGUGAAAUCCUCUAUCCACCGACGAGUUACUCCAAGCAAAAUUUAGAGAAAUUUUACCUCGAUAUAAUUUACGGGUGGCUUGUUGAAAAUUUCUAUACAAGAUAGAUCCAUUACAACUGAUAAUCUCGCUUGAAGCAUCAUCACCGAUAAAAAUGCAGCAACAAGCAACUCCAAUCCAUUGACUAGCAUUCCGAAGGUUGAUAGGUUGGGGUAUCUAAAUUGAAGAGCCACUUUUUUGUUGGCCAAACCAUUCUGGGAUUUCACUUCCGGGCAUAACAAUAUCAAACGGUUUUCUUGAAUUUGCAAAUGCCUGCAAAAUAAGACACAAGUCGUUCGGCAACUAAAACCAUAAAUUCUCAAGUAUGAGAUUUUGUAAGGGAGAAAAAAUAGAGUAAUCGACCUUAAGAUGUUUUUCCAGCAAUGUUAAUGCAUUGAUAUUCUCAGCCAAAUUGAAGCAGCUAAUGGCUUUAACGGUAGCCCCGUACACUGGAUUGCAUAUUAAUGAACUUGGAACUACUUCAAGUGAAGAACAACCAUCUAUCCACACCUCUUUUAUACUUGGUAGCUCAGGCAACGAUUUAAGCAUCUUGCAAUCUGACAAGUGACAAUCUAAUAGAAUGAAGCUUGGAAAGUCGAAUAAUAGAUGCAGGUAUGCUGAUGAAAUUGUUACCACUAAGACCAAGAUCUGUCAAGGAGGAUAGGCAAGAAAUAUCACGUGGAAUAUCUCCUUCACCAAGAUUGCAGUCCCUUAGCUUCAACUUUCUUAAUGAACUCAAACCUGACAAUGAAGGUAACAUCGGGGCCAUGGAAUUUGUCCUUCCUCUUCGAUUAACUUGAAAAGAGAAGGAAGAUUUUGUUGUAACUUAGAUAAUCUUUUGCAUCCACUGAAAGACAGAACUUUAAGAUUUUUAAAUUGGAAAAUGAAAGAUGGUGGUUCUGUUAUGGCUGUUUCACUCAAGUCGAGCUCUUUCAAAAACUUUGCUUGCUGCCAAUUCUCUGAUAAAUUUUCAAUUCUAUAAACAUCAAGAGUUUUUAGACGUUCCAUUUUCCCAUCAAUCUCCGGAAACCUUACAAGACUCGAGCAACCCGAAAGAAUUAAUGUUUCAAGAGAUUCCAUUCCAAUUUUGGUCGGAAGAGUCCUAAGACUUUUCUAAUCUCUUAAAUUCAAAAGUUUAAGGCUCUUAAGCACUCCGAUGGAUGGAUGAAUAUCCACUAAUUUGGUACAACCUUCCAAAAUCGAAACUUCAAGAUUUGAUGCUGUUGUGAAGUCCGGUGUCUUGAUCAGGUUUUGGAACCCUUUAAGGUUCAUCAUUUUCAACUUAUACAAGGGCCGUUGAAGGCCAUAAUAAAUUAGAAACAAAUGAGAAAACAUAAUAAUGCUCAUUUUUUUUACCUUAAUCAAAGUUUAAUCAUUUAUAUUAAAAUAAGUUAAAAUGAUGAGUUAAUUCUUACUUUAUUUCCCUUCGACAGUUGUUCGAUGUGAUUAUAUAGUAAAAGAAGUGCGACAAGAUUGUCUGGUUGGAAGCUUGAAGGCAUGUAUUUUAAAAGAUAUCUUGUCCAAUUUAAAAGCUGUAGUUUAUUAGAAAGAUAUUUGAGAUCAUCAUAAUUUGAGAGACAAAGCACUUUGAGCAAUCUCAAUUUUUUUUAUCUUCGAGAAGAAAUUGACAUUCAAAUUGAACAUAUUAUUAAAUUCCCUAAAAAAAAUAUGGACAAAACAAAAAUGAGGUUCAAAGUACACAAAGGAUUCAAAACCUAAAAGCUAUGUUGUUUGGAUAUUAGUUUUUUAAGUACCCGUGUCUGAUAGUUAUAUUUUAUCAUAAGAUUCUUAUGCAUAUCAGAAUAUGGUAUUAAGAUACUUAAAUACAUGAAAAAAAGACCUUUUUUAAAAAAAUAUUCAUACUCAUAUUAAAGACAUAUUAUAUCUAAUCAUUAAAAAUGUUGGACGGUUUGUAUUUUAUGUAUUUAAUCAUAAGAUUAUGAAAAUAAUAAUUAGAAUAUAAUUUUAAAUACACUCUUUCCACAGUAGGUUGUUUAGUAUAUUAGGUGAGGAGAAUACCAAUGUAACUUUAAAAUAUGAACAAAUCCAGACUGUCACCUUCAAUUCACCAUCGACCUAAUUCUAAGAAUGGCAUUUAUGUAAUACUUUUGUCAAACCCAAAAUAAUUCAUAACCAUCAAAGAAAUUUAUAACUUAAAAAAUUUAAGAUUCAAAUCUAAAAUUAAACUCAAGAUGAUUUGAAUUAUCACAUAAAAAUGGAACUCUACCUCAAACCUAAAAUAACUUAAAUUCAAAUUUAGUUAAAAAAAAAACUUCAAACUUGAAUUGAGAAAUCUACAUAUAUCUUGUUUUCUAACUAUUUUUUAGUUUUAUUACACCUUAAAAAGAAAUAUAUUACUUGGGAAAAAUAAAGGGGUUAGUGAGAAUGAGGGUGAUAGAGGUUAAUGUGAACAUGAAUGAUUAAGUCAGUAAGAACUUUGUAUAGCAUGGGGAAUUACAGAUGAAUACUAUAGAUAUUUGUAAACAUUUCACCCUUUGUAAUUAUCGUUUUCUGCUUAUUGGGUAAAUAAACUAAAAGUUAUCCAAAAUUCCUUUUUAGAAAUUUUCUUUUUGACUCUUUUGUGAAUAUAAAUGAUCCAUGCAUAUUGUCACGUAAACUGCCAUGUUAAUGUCAUUCAAAACAAAAUAAUUUGACUAAAUUUUAAUGACAAAAUGAGUAAAUAUUAAUGGCUAAAUUUGUCUUUAUACCAAAAACUUAAAGCCAAGUUUGAUUCGGUCCAUAUUAACUCAACUCGCUCAAUUGACAUAUCUACAUAUAUCUCGUUCUCUAAUUAUUUUCUACUUUCCAAAUAUUAUCAAGCUUGAGCUUGACUCAAAAUUUAAAGCUUGAUAUUCAGUUCAAGCUAAGCUCAAGAUAUAAUCUAGUUGCUCGAGCUCGAAUUCAUAUAAGCUUAUUUAUCAAUUUUUGUACUCAAACUCGAACUCGAUUAAACUUGUUUAUCAAUUUUCAUACUCAAGAUCAAACUUGAGCUCGGGCUUGACUCGAUAAUUAAACUUAAGGUUAAUAAUAUAUAUAUUAAGUAAUAAUGUAAUUUAAUAAAAAAAUAUUUAAAAUGUAAGUUAAAAUUGAAAAGCUCAGUAAGGCUUGUGAGCCAUCCAAGCGGAGUAUUACUAAGCUCGUAUUCAGUUCAAUUGAUAGCUCAAGUCCAAGCUCGUCUCAAUAAUUAUCAAAUCAAAUUUGAGUUUUUUUCUAUGGCGACCCCUCUAAAAUUGGCGAGUUACCACAAAGUGGCAGCCUGAUUACUUUGGUGAGUUAAGAAUAUGAACUGGAUUUGUAGAACUUGCAUGCAAGAUAUGUUUAUAGAUUAUGUUUCCUUUCUAGAAGAUUUAGUAUUUAUUAGUAUAAUAUAUUUUUAGUUAUUAAUGUAAAAUCUUUGUUAUUUCUUUCCAUAUUUAGGAGUUUUUUAUAUUAUAAAUAUCUUUGUUUUAUUGUCCAAAUGUUGUGAGUAAAAUAUAUAAAAAUUUAGCAAACAAUUUUGUUGCUAAAUUUCUUAUUUAUACUCUAUAACUAUUUCUUCUUUAGUAUCGAAAUUCCAACAAUUAUCAUGUAAUCUAUUAAUUGUUUAUAUUUAUUAAAAGUGUAUCUAUUACACUUUUAAAAACUUACAAUUUUCACGUCAUAAAAAAUAUACAUGUGAAAUUAGGGGUGAACAAAAUUCGAUUCGAUUUGAAAAAACUCGAUAAAAAAUUUAAUUUUUGAAUUACAUAGUUCGAGUUAUUAGAUUUAAUCGAAUUAUUCGGAUCAACUCGAAUAAAAAAUAUAUUUUUCAGUUUAACUCGAAUAUAAAUUAUACAAUUCAAGUUGUCUGAAAAUCCGAAUAAGAAAAAGUAACACUAUAUUGUUUUGAUAAAUGUUUAUAUUUUCUGAAGUUAAAUAUAAAAUUUUUUAACUCGAUUCGACUCAACUGAAUCGAAUAUGUGAAAUGGAAAAUGUAGAAAUUUAAAUGACUCAUAAGCUAUAAUUGUCACCUUAGCAGAUAUCAUUGGCAUUUAACAAUACGUGAAAGAAUUUAUUCGAUAAAUGUUGUUACUUAAAUGACUCAACUGAGGGAUUUAAAUGAUUUUUAUAAAAUACUUAGAAAAUUUUUUAAACCAUUAAGCCAAGUUAGAAAAAUAUUUUUUAAAUUAAUUCCCUAAUUAGGGAUUUUUAAGAUUAUUUCCUAUAACAUGUUUUUUUAUGGGAGGCUACCUCGACAUCCAAGAUGAUGAGGUUCAUUGGAUUUUAAGUCACCAUGGAAUUAAUAUGUAGAGAAGUAGAAAUGAAAAUUCAGUGUGAAGGCAGCCUUUAAUUUAUUUAUUUCAAUUUACUUUAAUUCAUUUAAUUUUGAUUAAGAUUAAUAAUUUUAUUCAAUCGCUAUAUUAAACAAAUUAAAAACUUCAAUAAACGUCAUAUUUAAAUUUCUAUUUGAAUUUACAUUUUAUAUUAAAAAAAGUUCAUUCAAAAUGGUAUAAUUUAUAAUUAUCUAAUAACAUAACCCAUUUUAGAAACCCCAAUUCGCUCGAGUCUAUUAUUACUUUAGUGUCUGCUUCCAUUUCAACUGGGCAACUUCUGUUGGUCCUUCACUUCUAUGCAUCCACUAAGUGAGCGAACUUCCAUGCUUUUAUUGAUCUAUAGGCAGUCAACAUAAAGCACCAAGAUCAUUUUCUUGCACUCAGAUCAUCUAUGUUAUUGAUAUUUUGGCUUACCUCAAACCGAUCGAGCAGCUUUAGUUAAUCCCACAAGAAACACAACUGUCAAAAUCCUUGCUCGUCUCAACCAAAAACCGCAACAUAUUUCCCUAAACUCUAACAUUAGACAAGACAUACCAAGAAUCAGUGAUAAAUGAAAAGGUUUUCAAUCCCGUUAGAAGAGAUAUUACCACUUAAAUGUAGCAAUUAGUGCAUGUUGCUUUCAAUGAAAUGCAUCUACUUCUAAGCUAAUUCUUACUUUUUAUACAUUCAAACAUAUAUUACUGUUUUCUCAUCUAAACUAUAUCCUUAGCUUGAAUAAUACUAAUUUUACUUUAAGCCAUGAAGUUUAAAUGAUACUUCUGUUAGCCCUUUUAAGUACUAUUCAGCACCCAUACAAACUACAAAAUGAAGCUAUUUAAAUUCUAAUUAAAGAAGCAGGCACUAAAUCACACCUAAACACAUUACACGCAUCCAAUGGUAUUUUCUCUUAUUAUUCCCUUUUUUUCAUAAAGUGGUUAUAUUUAAUAUUAUGUUUGACUUAUAUAUAUAUCAUCUUCCAAAUAGAUAAAAAACAAAUUUAAUAGAUUAAAUUGGACACAUAUCAUAUUUAACAGAUUAUAUUUUACAUAUAUAUAUUGUUAAAGUUGUGUCAUUCAAAUUCUAAGAGACUGCUCGCAAGUUAAGUUAAACAAAAUAUAAUUUCUUUUUAGAAGAUUUAGUAUUUAUUAGUAUCAUAUAUUUAACAUUUAUUAACAUAAUUUAUUUGACUUACUAAUUUAGCCUAUAAAUAGGCUCUUUUACAAUCUUAGAAACUUACACCCAUUAGAGACUAGAACUUAUAACACAUUUAGAAAAUUUUGUGUUUACGUUUUUUAGGGUUCUUUAUUUUUGGGUUUUCGGGGUUUAGUUUUUAUCUCCAUCUUUUGUACUUUAAAUUACAUAAACCUAAAUUUACUAAAAUUAAUAAUUUAAUUUAUAUUUAGGACAUUGAUAAUGCAUAUUUUUAAAUAUUUUCAAUGAGCCAAAUAAUGUUUUAAUUUAUAUCAGUAUAGGCCUAGGGGCGAAAUCAAAAAAAAAAUUUAGGGGAUCGAAAUUAAAUUGUAAUUUUUACGAUAGAAAAAAAAAUACUAUUUCACUAUUUUAAUAGAUUAUAUCUUUAUAAUUUUUAUAUUUUUAAGAAUGACAAAAAUAUAAUUUUACCUUUACUGAUUUAAAAUUUUAAAAAAUUUAAAAGAACCAUAUGAAAAAAAAUUAUUUUAAGGGGGUCAAGACUCAAGACCUCUGCCAGCCCCUGUAUAAGCCCUUAAUUUGUAAACACCUACAUCUCUCUAAUGUUUUAUUUCAAGGAGUAAUAUAUUGCUAGAUAAAUUUCAUAAAGAUAUUCGUGAAAUAUGAAGCACUAGAGGUUUUUGACUUUUUUUUAUUGAAUCUUUGAACAUGACAAAAAUAUAUAUUAAUAAUAGACAUCGAUAACUGUGUAUGUAUAUUUUCUUAUUUUUUUAUAGUUGAUAAUUAUACCUUCAAUUAUUUCUGUAGUUUAAAAAUAAUUAAGAACAUAAAAUAAUUAGAGGACAAAAUACACAGGAUGAAAGUACCAGGGAUGUCUCUAUUAUAGGGAUAGGAUUAAACUAUUCCAUGUACUAUAAGGGCUAGUUAAUAUAUUAUUAUGAUUUUAUAAAAUAUUAAUUAUCACAUUAAUCAGUACUAAUUAGGCAUUAUAAGAGUUAUUUAAAUGCUAAAAGACUUGCUUGUUUAAUUAUUAAUUAUUGUUUAUUUAAUGUAGAGGUGCUUAUGGGUCGGAUUAGGUGGAGUUCGGGUCGGGCCUAAGCAUGAUAAUAACAUAUUUUAUGUUUGUUCAAACCUGGCUCAACUCUAAAUAUGAGCUUAAAAUUUUAUCCAAAACUCACCCAUUUUUACAAAAGACUAAUAUUCCAUGCCCAUUUUAGAUCCGCCUAUUUUAUUUUUUAUUUUUUAAAAUAUUUAUAUUAUAUUGUUUUAAUAUUUAAUAAUUUUAUACAUUUUUAUUUAUUGAAUUUUUUAUAGUUAUCUUAACAUUAUCUUAAUGUUUACAUUAGAAUAGUAUUAUAUAUUUAGUAUAGGUUUAUUUUUUAAUGUGUUCUAAAUUGCAAAAUAUAAAGUAUUAUAAACUUAAAAAUGGGCCUAGCUGAGCCGGUUUCAAGCCUGAGCCCAACCUAUAUUUUAGAUAGACUUAAAUUUUUUGUCCAAGUUUAUUUUUGGGCCUAAUAUUUUUAUCCAAACCCUUUUAAAUUUCAGUCGGACCUUCGAAUUUAAGCAAGUAGCCCGACUAAUGAAUAGAUCUAAUUUAAUGUUAUAAUAAAAUUAAAAGUUAAUAUAUAAUAGUCUCGAGAAUCCAUUCAUAUAUAAACCAUUGGAACCAUUGAUUACUUUGAGCAAAUUUCCAUAUUGAUGUUCCUUCAAGUAAGUUACAAUUAUGCCAUGGUUGAAGAUCAUCAGAGACCGCGCUGUUCUAUCUGCACCAGCAAUGGGUGACAGAGAUAUCAUAUUCAAAUAAAUGAAUGGAAGAUUAUUUUAAUUGAUAAUAUGAUAAUAUUAUUUUUUUAUAAUUAUGUUAUAUGUUAUUUAUAUUAUGUGGAGUAAAAGGUUUAAAAUUUAUUAAAAUUUGUAAACAAAAUUCAAUUAAUUAAAAGAGCAAGUGCUAAAAAUAAAUGUAUAAAAUAUAAAAUGAAGAGUUGGAAUAAUAUCAUUUGUACUUCAAGCUAUAAAAUUUAAAUGGUACUCUUAUUAGAAGGAAUUAAAUCUAUUUAAGUCCUAUUAAGUAUUUAUGUUCAAUAUUCUUCCAAAUAUAUAAAAAAUAAUUUUUACGGAUUAAAUUUAACACAUGUUUUUAACUCAACUGAAAUUAUAAUCUAAUCCUCAUUAAAAGAUUUCCACCUUAUUAUCAUCUGUUUCGACAGAAAAUCUAUCUAAUUUUCUCCACAUUUCUAUAUAAUGAAAAUAAAAAUUUGGUAAAUAAAAAAUAAAACCAAUCAAAAUGUACACAUUUCCAUUAUGUAAAAAGGAAUGAUUAAAAUUGUAAAUGGAAUUUAAAAAAAAAAAACUAUGUUAUCAACAUUUGGGAUAGGUAUAGAAUAUAAGUAUGAAUAAAAAUUUUAAGUUUUUUUAGUAUAUAAAAGGGAUUAUAUCUGAUACACAUAUUACAAAUAAGUCUUGAGUGCUUACUACAAAUGAAAUAAAAGAUGUAAAUAAGGUAUAUAUGUAAAAAAGAAUUAAUCAGACAAGGUUGGUUAAGUAGUUUACCAAAGUUAAUGCUUCUUCUCCGAUUGGCCCAUUAUAAAAUUGAAAAUUUUUUGCAUCCGUCUUGGUUGUGGCCCUUCUCCCUCUGCUUCCUCGUAGAUAUUACGUUUUCGUUUUACGUGAGAAGUGCUACCUAGUGAUUCAUUGUUCUGAGCAGAGUGUUGGAGGAUGUGUUCAAAAUUUGGAGAAGAUUGAGUGCUAUGACACUGCAACUCUUUGUUUUCUUCCAAAUCUUUCUCAUACACUAUUCUAACACCGCACUUCUUCGCCUUAAAACUAUAGUUACCUGGAAAAGAUAUCUGAAGCUCAUCGCAUUCUUGAUCCGAGCAAUCUGCUGUUAGUAAAUUCUUGGGUUCACAUUUAUCCUCCAAGGAAGAUGGAUAUAGUUCAUCACGAGACCAAUAAUUAAGAAAAAGGUGGUCCUUCUUUAUGGGUUGGACAUAUUCCUGACCUAAAUAAAUUAUACUCGAAUGGACAUUUCGAGAAUUUUUGCAGCCAGAUUGUCCUGCAAUUUUACUCUGGAUAUUAGCUUUACAGCCGAAACUCUUAUCCCCAGAAGCACUAUCAUUGACAAAAAUGCAGCACACAGCGACUCCAAUCCAUUGACUGUCAUUCUGAAUAUUGAGAGGCAGAGGUAUUUCAAGUAAAGAGCCACCUCUCUGUUGGCUGAACCAUUCUGGGAUUUCAUUUCCAGGUAUGAUAACAAAAAACCUUUUUCUUGAAUUUGCAAAUGCCUGCAGAGUAAAACACCAGUAGUUCAGUAAUGAAAAUCAUAAAAUUUCAAGUAUGAGAUUCUAUAAGGUAAAAGAAAAGAGACAGAUUAACUGACCUUAAGAUGUUUUUUUAGCAAUGUUAAUGCAUUGUUGUUCUCCGCCAAAUUGUAGCAGUUAAUGGCUGUAAUAAAAGCAGAAUCCGAUAAAUUGCAUACUUUUGAUGGACUUGCAACUACUUCAAGUGAAGAACAACCAUCUAUCCACACAUCUUCUGUACUCGUUGGAAGCUCAGGCAACGAUUUAAGCAUCUUGCAAUCUGACAAUCUAAUAUAAUAAAGCUUGGAAAGUCGAAUAAUAGAUGCAGGUAUGCUGAUGAAAUUGUUACCCUUAAGAUCAAGGAAUUUCAAAGAGGAUAAACCAGAAAUAUCACUAGGAAUAUCUCCUUCACAAAGACUGCAGUCCCUUAGAUUCAACUCUCUUAAUGAACUCAAACCUGGCAAUGAAGGUAACAUCGGAGCCAUGGAAUUUGUCCUUCCUCUUCGGAUUAACUUGAAAAGAGAAGAAAGAUUUUGCUGUAACUUUGAUGAUCUUUUGCAUCCAUUGAAAGACAGAACUUUAAGAUUUUUAAAUUGAAAAAUGAAUUGGUGGUUCUGUUAUGGCUGUUUCACUCAAGUCGAGAUUUUCCAAAAACUUCGCUUGCUGCAAAUUCUCCGAUAAAUUUUCAACUCUAUAGCAACCGGAAAGAUCUAAAGUUUUUAGACAUUCCAUUUUCCCAUCAAUCUCCGGAAACCUUAUAAGACUUGAGCAACCCGAAAGAAUUAAUGUUUCAAGAGAUUCCAUUCCAAUUUUGGUCGGAAGACUCUUAAGACAUUUGCAAUCUCUUAAAUUCAAAACUUUAAAGCUCUUAAGUACUGCGAUUGAUGGAUGAACAUCCACUAAUUUGGUACAACCUUCCAAUGUUAGAACUUCAAGAUUUGAUGCCGUUGUGAAGUCUGGUGUCUUGAUCAGGUUUUGGGACCCUUCAAGGUUCAUCAUUUUCAACUUACACGAGGGCUGUCGAAGAUCACAAUAAAUUAGAAACAAAUGAGAAAACAUAAUAAUGCUUAUUUUUGUUUUUUUACCUUAAUCAAAGUUUAAUCAUUUAUAUUAAAUAAGCUCAAAUACAAGGAUGAGAUGAGUUAAUUCUUACUCUAUUUCCCUUCCAUAGUUGUUGAAUGUGACUAUAUGGUAAAAGAAGUGCCACAAGGUUGUCUAGUUGGAAGCUUGAAGGCAACGAUCUUAAAGGGCAUCCUUUCCAAUCUAAAAGCCGUAGCUCAUUAGAAAGAAAUUUGAGAUCAUCACAUUUUGAUAGGCAAAGCACUUUGAGCAAUCUCAAUUUUUUCAUCUUUGAAAAGGCAUGGGCACUUAAGUUGAGCAUUUUGCUCGAUUCCCUAAUAACCAUAAGCAAAACAAAAAUGAGCUUUAGGGUAUACAAAAACAUUCAAUAUCUAAAAGCUAUAUUGCAUCUGCAUUGUUUUUUUAAGUACCUGUAUUCGAUAAUUAUAUCUAAUGCAUAUCCAAAUAUAAGUAUUAAGAUAUGAUCCUUUAAAAACUCUUUAAAUACAUGGAAAAAUUUUUUCUUUUUUAAAUUGAACAUGCCCACAUAAAUAUAUAACAUAUUUAUAUCUAAUAGUCACAUCCACAUAAAAUUAUCUAAUCCUAAAAAAAUUAAAUAAUAUUUUGAUUUAUAUUUGGUCCGCAAACAAUGCAUAAUUCUAUACAAGUUGACGAACCGAACAAUAGCACAUAAUUAAAAAUGAAACAUUUUCAUUAAAAAAAAAAACCUUUUGAAGACAUGAGAAAAAACCUUUUGCAGACAUGUUAUAAUCUAAUCCACUUAUCUACAGUAUUAGUGCAUAAAUAGAUACCAUUAAUAUUUCAAAAAGUCAUACAUGUUCUCUAUUCAUUAUUUUGAAAGAGCAAUACGUUGUUAGACAAAUUUCAUAAUUAAACAUUGACAUAUUGAGCGUAUAAGGUUUUGCUAAGUUUCUAAUUAUAUUUUAAAAAGAAUGAAAUAAUUAUUUACAGUACACAUAGAUAUAUUUAUGUGUGUCUUCUUACCUUUUAUUAUCAAUAAUCAUGCCUUCAAUUAUUUCUGUAGCCUAAAACAAUCAAAAAUAGAAAAUAAGAAAACAAAAUAAAUGAUACAUAAUGUAGGAUAAAACUUUUAAAAAUUUGCAUUUUUAUUUAACAUUGUUAUACUCGAAAUAUAAUAAAUAAAGCAUUUUAAACAAAGUAAAAUAGUUUCUGAUUAGGGUAAUGCAAUGCAAUGAAAUUAUAUAUUUAUUUUUACAAGUUCUUAAUAUUUGUAAACAUCAAACAUACCUUAUCUCAAAAAGUACAAAAUAUCAUUUUUGAAGGACUGUGUAUCAACUAAUUAGACUAAGCUUUGAAUUUAUAUCAUAUAUUGAUUAGAAUUUUAAAUAAAAAAGAAAUAGUAUGUAGCUUUUGUUGAAUGACUUACCGUGUUUUUUGUUAGGAUAUGAUGGACGUCCGUUUCUUCCCAUAAUCUGCAACGCUUUCCAGGUUCAUCAACACAUUUUUCUCUAACAAUUUUUCUUCCCAUUUCUUGCAACAAGUCAUGCAUCUUCAAAUAUUCGUUGUGUUUAUCGAUUUUUACUAGAGAUUUUUUAAUGAGAACAUCAAUUCCAAUAUCUGGAAAAAACUCACAGCCAUCCAAUACUUUGAUUACAAAAUCUUUCUUCUCCCCAUUGAAGAAGCAUGCUAUAUCUAGAAAUAUAUUCUUCUCCCUUUCUUCUAGUCCAUCAAAGCUGAUUCGAAGUUUAUCGAGAAUUUCUUUAUUAGAAUCUCUUUUAAGUCUUUUAAUCGCACUCCUCCGUUGAGUUGCAUCUCUACCGCACCAAAAGGAACCCAAAACUUCAAGAGCUAAAGGGAGCCCACUAGCAUAAUCUAUGACAUAUUCAGAAAGCUCAAUGAAAUCAUCCUUCGGCACCAUAUCACUAUGAAAAGCUUUCAGAUUGAAAAGUUGAAGCGCAUCUUUGGGAUUCAGUGUUGUGGGCAUAUACACAUCAUCAACUCGGCAACAUCGAAGCAAAUGUUCGUCUCUUGUUGUUACAAUGAUUCUACUCCCUAAUCCGAACCAAUCAUGCCUUCCAACCAAGCAUUUUAGGUGUUGCAUGUUAUCAACAUUAUCAAGAACAACAAGAACCUUUUUGUGAGAUAACCUAUGGCUAAUUAUGGUACUCCCUUCAUGGACAUCGAAAAAGUUGAAGCAUUCACCAUGAAAGAUCUGUGAAAGAAGUUGUUUCUGUAAAGAAACUAGUCCGCAUUUGUUUGAAACUUCUCGGAUAUCAGCAAGAAAGCUUUUACCUUCAAAAUGAGGUGACAUUUGAUCAUAAGCAACUCUUGCGAGUGUUGUUUUACCGAUGCCACCCAUUCCACAAAUUCCUAUAACGCGAACAUCAUCUUCCCCGAUGUUUAUUUUCAAAUAUAAAUCCUCCAAGGGUACAGUAAUUCCAACCAAGUCACUAUGUGUAAUUGAAUAUGUCUGACAUAGUUUUGCUGAUAGCUUCUUAACAAUGUCUCUAAUAAAUUCUGAUUCAUGCCUACAAAGAAAGAAAAUCUCAUUUUUUGAAUAAAAUUUUGUUGAUAUUUUUCAGAUGCACUUUCUUUUUCAAUGAAUCAUGAAACAUAAUAUAGUUUGGAAGCAAAGAACCAAGAAUAAGAAACAAAGAUCUGUUGCGGAACCAGAAUACAAAAUUUGCUCUUUUAUUGAAAUAUGUCACUUCUCAAUUAAACUAGAGAAGAGAAAAGAAAAGAAAGAAUUACCUGUUAUUUAAAUGCCAUCCCUUGAUGUUUGCCACUUGAGUCAAAGCAUUUCGCCACCUUUGGAUCUUGUCUCUAUCUUCCUUGUAUCUCUCUUCGUGUUUGGCAAAGGCCUCCUCAACUUUCUCUUUCUGUUUUCUUAAAUCGGAUGGAUCCACAUUGUAGAAAAUUGGAAAUACCUUAUGUCCCAUGUCGUUUUUUUGCUUAACAAUCUCAGUAAGCUCCUCCAAGCACCAACUUGAAAAGGCAUAAGUUUCUGAAAAAACGAUUACCGAGCACCAUGAUUGCUGAAUUGCUGUAAAGAGUUCUGGCGCGAUCUCUUCGCCGACCUCCAGCUUUGAAUCAUCCCUGAAAGUGACGAUCCCACUCCUACUUAGAGCAUCAUAGAGAUGAUCGGUGAAGUUCUUGCGGGUAUCUUCACCUCUAAAACUCAAGAAAACAUCAUAUUUCUUUCUAGAAAUGGACGAAGAAGUUGAAGGUAAUGACAACAUGAGGAUGUAUGAGAAGAGAAGAAUAUCUCAAUCUGUUGUUCAAAAUCAGAAAAUAGAUCGCCCAAUACCCACAAAGAAACUAGAAAAAGUUAAGUAUAUGAGCAUAGGGGCGGAAAUUAGGGGUCAAAGAUGAGCUAUGGAUGUGUUCUUUCCAAGAAGGUGAGAGUUGGCAAAGUGGAUGCUAAUUUAAUUAUAAGUAAUAAUUAAAAAUGUUGGACGGUUUGUAUUUUACGAAUUUAAUUAUAAGAUUAUGAGAAUAAUAAUUAGAAUAUAAUUUUAAAGCAGCAUGUGACUAUCAGUUUGAAUACACUCUGUACACUGUAGGUUGUUUAGUAUAUUAGCAUGUGACCAUCAGUUUGAAUGCACUCUUUUACUGUCACCUCCAAUUCUAAGAAUGACAUUUAUGUAUUUCAUUUAAAAAAUUCAUAAUCCAUAAUAAUUAAACUUAAAAAAAGUUUCACAUCUAAAAUUAUUUAAAUCUGAAUUGAUUUUAACCAUGGUAUGAAAACUUAACUCAAGUUCAAAUAACUCAAAUUUAAAUUGAAUUAAAAAUAAUAAUCUAGAUAGAUUCAACUCACUCAAUUGAGAGAUCUAUUUUUUAUUACACCUUAUAUUGCUUGGGGAAAAUAAAGGAGUUAGUGGGAAUGAGUGAUCAAGCCAAUAAGAACUUUGUAUAAUAUGGGGAAUUACAAAUAUAUAUUAGAGAAUAGAUUGAACGAAACUAUAAUUUCACACCAUUCUUAUCUCUUUCUAAUAAGAGAAUCACAAAUUAGAUUUUUACCCUUGAUUUUCAGCUUUUUCAUACAGAUUUUUUUUUUUACUUAAACAAAUUUUUUCAUAAUUUGAUUCAAACGUGAAAGAAUCCGAAAUUUUUUAAGUUGAUAUAAUGAUUAAAACUUCUCCUAACCCAUCCCAACCAUAAAAAAGGAAGAUAUAUAUAUUUUAACCAUCCUAUCUAAUACUUGUAUUAUGAGUAAAGAUAUCUAAAAUGAUUAUUUUACGUGUAAAAAAAAAUUAAUAGGACAAGGGUGGUUAAGUAGUUUACCACAGUUAAAUGCUAUUUUUUGCAUCUAUAUUUUUUAAAAAUAUUUAAUAUAUGUAUUUAAAAAAUACUUACAUAUAUCAAAUAAAUCACACGGAAUAAAUUCCAAAUAUAAAAUAUCAAUUAUAUAAGAUACUCGUCAAUAAACUCCACAAAGAAAAGGAUAAUUCUUGUUCCACUUUAUCAUUGAAAUGGUGUGCACCGGCCGGUACGACCGGAACCGAUGCAGAACCGACCACCAUGAUUCUACCUGCUGAACAACUAGGUAUUCAGGCAUAGUGCUGGAGAGGUGUCAGUUGAGUCAACUUUUGCAUUGUUGGCUGUCAUGUUUAUUCUGAUAGCUGCGUUGGGAAUCCCCUAUAGGUUUCUGGGAUUUACAGUAGAUUAGAUGAGUAAUAGAAGAAGCUAUUAAUAGUAACAACGGGAUAUUUUGCAGAUUGGAUCAGUAUGUCAUUGCUAAGUUUGCUGAAAGUUUUGAAUUGGUAGCAAGAACCCUGGCAGAGAAUGCUGGACUGAAUCCAAUGGAUAUCAUUUCUAAGUUGUAUGAAAAACAUGCAUCUGGAAAUGCACUGUGUUGCGUGUAGUAAAGGCAGAAAGCUUGAAAAUGAAAAUCGCACUUAAAAUAGUUUGCUGAUGGGAUUAGGUUCUCAUGCAAAGCCGUUGAUUCAAUGUUUGCAGAUUAUGAUGGCGAAAUCAGCUGGAGGUCCAGCGAGGAGAGAUCAACCUGCAGGAAUGGACAGGGUCUAAGUCUUGCACAGUAUGAUUGAUUUCCUAUCUCUUGUAUCUCACCACCCAUGUUCGGACUUUGUUUAGGCGUCUAUUUUAUUUUUAGAUGCUAAAACACUUGAGCUUGAAAGAAUUUUGCAUGUGAUUUUAGAGUUUUUACUGUGUUUUUAGUGUAUUAUCGUGACCUAUAUUAAUGUACUCAAUUUUUUCAUCUUUAAAAAGGCAUCAACACUUAAAUCAAUCUUCUUAUUCAAUUUCCUAAUAAUUAUCUGCAAAAAAAAAAAUCAGCUUUAAAAUAUACAAAAUCAUUCAAUACAUUAAACUUGAUGCGCUUCAAUACUGUUAUUUUUAAGUACUCUAUAGGCUUACUAUCUCUUUUGGCCCCCUGCACUUUCAAUGACAUAUUGUCACAUGUCAAAAUUAAGUAAAAAAAAUACUUAAAAACUAAAAAAAAUCAUUAAAAUCCAAAAAAAAUUAUUAAAACUUAGAAAAUUAUAAAAACUAAAAAAAAAUCAUAAUCUAGUUUUGAAAAUUAUAAAAAAAUUAAAAAUUAUAAGUAUGUAAAAUUAAAAAAAUUUUAUAAUUUUUUUAUGAAGUGCAACUCUUUUCCUCCUCAAUCCAUUUUUUUUGAAUCAAUGUCAACCACUUCAACACCAACAAAAAAAAAAUCAUUUUUUUAAGUUUUGAACCGGUGCCAGCCACUUCAACACUAGCACCUAAUAAAAUAUUUUUUAUUUUUCUUUUUAAAUUGUAGAAUACCUAUAGUUUUUUGAAGGUAUUUAAAAAAAAUACAUUUGGGCGUCGGUCAUUACACUGCCGACACAAAAAAAAUAUCAUUUUUAUUGGACGAGACAAUCAUUAAGGCAUCAUUAGAGAAUGAUGGAGGGUGGUGCCAAUGGUGAGAUGGCCAACACCGCCCGACAUUGUAGAUUUCAGAUUAUAUAUGUCAUAAUUUUACAAACAGGCUCAUUUUUAUAAAUAUAUACUUUUUUUUGAGGUUAGUUGAGUAGAAUAGUCAGAAGAAAUGAACGAAAUAAAUGGAUGUUGAAUUGUUUCUUUCUUUUUUAUUUUUCUCGAAUUUGGCAUUGUGGAGUUUCGACUAUUUUACCUAAAUGACCCAAAAAAUAAUUAUUUAUGCAAAUGACCCUGGUUCAAAAACAAUCACCUAAAUGACUUAAAAUGAACAGUAAAAUUAGGUAAGAGAAACUAAAUGGCCAACAGUAUUUUUUCUGUCACAACCAUUGCUUGAUGAUUGUGUUAGGUAUUAAAAAAUAAAUUUUUGGGUGUCGAAGACUAGAUGGUCGAUACCAUUGUAUUUUUUUCACUCGUAUCAUAUUAGCAUGCAUUUAUACCAAUAUUUUUAAAAAAAACUAUCUUUUUGGAGUGCUAACACAUUGAUAACCGGCACUCAUUUUACCCAAAUUAAUCUCAAAAUUCAUGUGACCACUGACCUCUUUAUUUUAAAUCGUAUUUUGAUUNNNNNNNNNNNNNNNNNNNNNNNNNNNNNNNNNNNNNNNNNNNNNNNNNNNNNNNNNNNNNNNNNNNNNNNNNNNNNNNNNNNNNNNNNNNNNNNNNNNNNNNNNNNNNNNNNNNNNNNNNNNNNNNNNNNNNNNNNNNNNNNNNNNNNNNNNNNNNNNNNNNNNNNNNNNNNNNNNNNNNNNNNNNNNNNNNNNNNNNNNNNNNNNNNNNNNNNNNNNNNNNNNNNNNNNNNNNNNNNNNNNNNNNNNNNNNNNNNNNNNNNNNNNNNNNNNNNNNNNNNNNNNNNNNNNNNNNNNNNNNNNNNNNNNNNNNNNNNNNNNNNNNNNNNNNNNNNNNNNNNNNNNNNNNNNNNNNNNNNNNNNNNNNNNNNNNNNNNNNNNNNNNNNNNNNNNNNNNNNNNNNNNNNNNNNNNNNNNNNNNNNNNNNNNNNNNNNNNNNNNNNNNNNNNNNNNNNNNNNNNNNNNNNNNNNNNNNNNNNNNNNNNNNNNNNNNNNNNNNNCAGAUCAGUUGCAAGAGAUGGAUGGGAUGUGGCAAGUGAGGAUUGGAAUAUGGUCAGGAAAUGCAAAGGUCUUCAAUGAAUAAGACAUUUUCUUUGAAUUCAUUUUAAGGGACAUUUGUUAGCGAAUGAGGAGAGAGCUUGAUGACAUGUGACAGCUGACACUAGUUACUCAAGAUGUGAGCAGGUUGAGGCAACCAUACAAGUUUUGAGGGAUUUUUCUUUUGCUAAGAUUAAUGUUUGGAAUAAUCUUGUUCCAAAUGAUCUUAGCAGGUUUUUGCAUAUUAAGGAUUAACUUGUUGGAAUUUAAAGAAUAUUGGGCAGAUUGAUGUUGAGGGAAUAGACUGGUCAACUUUGUUUCCUAUUAUUUGUCGAUGUCUUUGGAAGUGUCGUAAUGCUUUUGUGUUUAAAGAUGCAAGUAACAGCAAUGGGGGAAGUUGUUAGUCUAGUCUAUCUUGGCUAAAAGUUCAACUCACAUAGGGUCUUCUAAUAUUUUUGUUACAAAGAUCUCCAGAGCUGCAAAGCAAUGGUGACAUCCCAAGGAAGGUUGGGUUCAGCUUAAUUCGAAUGAGACAACCGACAUUAGAUAUUGGUGUCACGGUGAUUGAAGGGGGUCUAAGGGAUGUGAAUUCAAAUUGGAGUUUUACUCGUACCAUGCCUCAUGGCAUUUGUUGAAAAUGUGUACGUGCAUUUAUUUCUGUCAAUUAUAAUUAUAGCAGUAAUUAGUAUUGUAAUAAGCCCCAAUUGACCCGGGCCCGCACAAAACAAAGAUAGGCAGUCUGUUUUUUGAUAAUAUAGGCUUAAAACCCAAUAAUUGAAAACCCAAUGGCCCAAGUACUAACCAAGCUUGCUAGCCCAAAACACCAGCAUGAACCUAGGCGCAGCAGCUCCCACAGCGCACGCCGCAACAGCGCCCCACACGCCGCGCUUGUUGCUCCGCGCCCGUCGCGCGCAUUCCCCGGUCACCAAACCUGCGAAAGGGGGACACAAGCGCAGCAAAUAAAGAAAGCAGUGGGGAUUUUUGAUUUUUUUCGAAUUUUUGGUGUUAAUCGGCUAUAUAAAGCCAAUGAAAAUCUGUAUCAAGGGGGCCGCGAAAAUCUGUAAAAAGGGGGGAAUUCAGUGUAAAAAAGGGACGAAAAGAGAGAAAAAUACAAAGAAACGAAAUAGAUACAGAAAAUUUUCGAAUAUAUAAGGUGUCUUUUCCAUUUUUCAUCUUUCUAGUUUCGUUUUUGUUUUUUUUCCCUUUUAGCUUUAUUUUAUUUUAUUUUUAUUAUUAAAAUAUAAAGAAAGGAGGAAAGGACUUACCCUGGUCGCCGGAGUUGUCGAGCCGGUGUCUUCCUCUGGUGAAAUCGAGACAUGGGCACUAGGCUCAAACGACAGCGCAAGGAAGGAGGGGGUUUUGAAACCCCUAACAGAGAAAAAGGAAAAACGACUCAAGGGUUUUUUUUGUCUGUUUUAGUUAUAAAUGUUUUUUUUGUUAAAAUUUGGUUUAAAUAAGAAGGCUAAAACGGCGCCGUUUCAGCCUUACGACCCGCGCGGUGACUGCGACCCAGGGAAGGAUCCGCGCAUUUCUGUAAAAGGGGCCAAUUUCACAUUGGUCCUCUGUUUUAUGAGGGGUGUUUAAAUCAGUCUUUUUAUUUUUUAAAUUUGGCCAUAUGUUUUAAUAAUGUUCCAAUUUGGUUCCAUGUUGCUGCGCAGCAUUUGGGAGGUUUGGGUAAAAUUACCCUUUCGAUCCUCCUACUGUUGCGUGCAUCUUAAUUUGGUCCUAUUAUUCCCAUCUUUAAAUUUGGUUUCAAAACUUCGUUGAUUUCUAAUUUAAAUCCUUAUUUGUUAUUUUUCUUGUUAUAUUUUUAAUUUAUGUUAUAUAUUAUUAUUAUUAUUAUAUUAUUAUUAUUAUUAUUACCAUUACUAUAUAUAUACACAUAUGGCAUAUUCUCUACAAUAAUAUAUACAUACAUUUUUUUUAAAUGAUUUUUAUAAACCAUGCACCUUACAUAUAUAUAUAUUUAUUAUUAUUCUACUUGCAUAACUUUUACUUACUUUCAUAUACAUUUAUAUUUUAUAUAGAUAUGCAUUGUUGUAACAUAUUUAUUUCCUAUAUUUUAUAAUUUAAGCAUACAUGCAUUCUCUGUUACAUAUACGUACACAUUUUUCUUUAUUAUUUUAUAUAUUUGAUUAUUUUAUAUACAUAUUGUGCAUAUAUAAGUAUUUAAAUUCAACACAUACGUAUUUCCAUGACUUACCAAUACAUGUACUUAUACUUUUUCUUUUUUCUUUUUUUUUGUAAAUAUAUACACAUGUACAUUUUAAAUUAAAGUAUUUGUACCAUUUUGUACGUGAACCUUUAAACAUAACUUUUGGGAAAUAUAUUUUGGUUUGUCAAACAUUAAAAUCGUUUUUAUUUUUAAAUAUUUGGCAUUCAUUAUUCUCGAGAAUGAUCGUGUCCCUAACUUACUGGAUUGGAUUAUUUUUGAUGAAUUUAGAGAGCCCAAUAUUUGUUUUGCAAUAAAUUCACAGAUUUCAAAUAAAGCUUAUUUUCGGGGAUUCAAAAAUGUUGGGUCCUAACUUAACUGGUCCUGAUAUUUUGACUUCUCGAAAUAAGAAUUUUCAAAAGCAAAAGGCAAUAUUCGAGGUAUUUUGAAGAUUUAAAAACAUUGUGCCCUAACUCACUGGGUGCGGUGUUUUAUUUCUUUGAAAUAAGAAUGUCUUAUUAUUUUGAUUCGUUCAUGAAAUAAAAAGUUUUCCUUUUAAAAUCUUUUCAAAUUUUCGACACCAAGGCAUUAAAGAAUCAAUUUGGUACCGAUUUUGGGCGUUACGAAGAUGCUAAUCCUUCCUCGUGCGUAACUGACUCCCGGACUCAUUCUCUCUCAAAUUUCGUAAACCAAAAUCAUUUUAAGGUGAGCCGAUCAUACCAUAAUAAAGGAUCGGUGGCGACUCCAGUUUUUAUUUUUAAGUCUAAGCUAAAAUUUUGUUUUGAAAAAGCGGUUUCAACAAUUAUUAUUUUUCCAGGUUGAAAAAAUCAAAUAUAUUCGUGGAAUACUUCUCUAUGAGCUCCUUAAGAAUCGAAAAGAUCGUUCUUGCGAAUGCAUUUUCACUGCAGCUCAGUCAACAAAAGACAGGUUCUACUGUACCGUUAUAAAAUUUCUCUCUUUGUAUGAUCUAAAUGUUGGGUUUGAUGAUUAUGAAAUCAAGACUGCUCAUUACCUAACUGAUUGGUUAUCUAAAUGUCUAUUGUAUAUAUUUUUUUGUGUGUGUGUGUACUGAUGUCUUGUUUGAUCAUGCUUGUGUUGCUUUCUCCUCCUGCAUCUUCAGAUAUCAAUCAGGGUCAGUUCAGUUUCAAUGGUUACUUGAAUGUUGAUGAACUUGCGGGCGUAGGUUCAAGUGGGCUCUUUAAACUGACUAAUUUUACAACCCAUACAAAAGGUCACAUCUUCUACAAGAAUCCAAUCCAAUUCAAGAACUCCACAGAUGGUAGUGUUUUCUCUUUUUCCACCACUUUCAUUUUUGCAAUUACCGGAAUUCCUAACUUGAGUUAAUGAAUUGAUUUUCUCAGCCCAAUUUGAAGCAGUUAAUGGCAUUAAUGUCAUCACAGUCCACUAAAUUGCAUACUUUUGAUGGACUUGCAACUACUUCAAGUCAAGAACACCAUCUAUAUGCACAGCUGCUAUACUUGUUGGUAGCUCAGGCAACGAUUAAGCAUCUUGCAACCUGACAAUUUAAGCAAUUUGAGCCUGGAAAGUUGAGUAAGAGCCAAAGGAAUGGUGAUGAAAUUCUUACCACUAAGAUCAAAACGUAUCAAAGAGGAUAUACCAGAAAUAUCACCAUGAAUAUCUGCUUCACCAAGAGUGCACAUGUUGCAAUUUGACAAUAUAAGAUUUCCGAGCUUCGAGAGUCGAGUAAGAGAUGCAAGUAUGCUGAUGAAAUUGUUACCAGUAAGAUCAAGAGGCCACAAAGAGGAUAGACCAGAAAUAUCACGUGGAAGAUCUCCUUCACAAAGAUUGCAGUCCCUUAGUUUUAGCUCUCUUAAAGAACCAAAUCUGACAACAAAGGCAACAUCUGAGCCAUGGGAUUCGUCCUUCUUCCUUGGAUUACCUUGAAAAGAGAAGGCAAAUUUGGUAGUAACUUAUAUGAUGGUCCCUUGCGCCCAUUGAAAGAAAGAACUUUAAGAUUUUUAAAUUGAAAAAUAGAGGAUGGUGGUUCUGCUAUGGCUGUUUCACUCAAGUCGAGCUCCAAAAACUUUGCUUGCUGCAAAUUCUCCGAUAAAUUUUCCACUCUAUAACAACCAGAAAGAUCUAGAGUUUUUAGACGUUUCAUUUUCCCAUCAAUCUCCGGAAACCUUACAAGACCUGAGCAACCCGAAAGAAUUAAUGUUUCUAGAGAUUCCAUUCCAAUUCCAGUCGGAAGACUCUUGAGACUUUUGCAAUCUCUUAAAUUCAAAAGUUUAAGGUUCCUAAGCACUCUAAUUGAUGGAUGAACAUCCACUAAUUGGUACAACCUUUCAAAAAUCAGAACUUCAAGAUUUGAUGUUUGUGUGUAGUCUAGUGAAUUGAUCAGGUUUUGGACCCAUUAUUAUUUUUAUUUUUUGAAAUAUGAAUGGCUGGAUUAUAUUAAUAAAACAAAUUCCAAAUCAUUUAGAGCCUAGACAAAACAGAAAAUAUGCAAUAAACAAACAUUAAAUAAAAGCAGGAUAAUCCAAACACCCAGGCAGACUUUCCUUUUCCCUAGACAUCUGAGAAAGCGAAACCCUUCAGAUGCCUUCUCUGUUUCGUUGAUAACCACCAAAAUGUCUGCUCUAGAUCUUUCCGAUGCAACUGGAAGAAACCCUUCAGGUCUGGCUAAACUCUGCAUUUCAUCACUUAAACACCAAUCUUCCGUCGAAACUGAGAAACCCAAUAGUCCAUCUAUUCUCCGAUCUGUUUGCCCACAGUAAAAUCCCAUUUUAUCUUCUUUCUAAGCAGUGGAUCUUCGACCUGCUGGACAAAGUGAGCCCAACUGUUGACGGUCCUCUUCCGCUGCCACUUUCGUGAAUGAAGGAACCGCACCAACAAGAUAAGUUUCUUCAUCUCUCUUUAAUCCCUCUGUAGCCAAUAGAUGUGCAACUCCGUUUGCUUGUUUUGGCACAUGUUUAAAGACACAGAUUUGAUAUCCCUCUAUUUGAGAUAUAGGCUCCUAUCACUGACCUUUCAACUCCCUUUGUUUGCAGCUUCCGAAUCACAGAUAAGGAGUGUCCUUCGAUCUCCACCAUCGAGAAUCCCACAUGCAAUCCCAUCUCAGCCGCAUUUCAACUUUUACAAGAGCUGUUGAAGACCAUCAUAAAUUAGAAACAAAUGAGAAAACAUAAUAAACAUAAAUAAGGCUAUUGUGAAAGAUGAUCCAAUUGAGACCAACCUUGAAAAGAGUUCACUAUUCAUAUCACGUCAACGGUUUAAUCAGCAUUUUGCAUUAAAAAAAUUUACAGUUUAACUCAAAAUAAAAUCUUAUAAAUGCUAAGAACAUUUUUUUUUUGUCAUUAUACCUAUUUAAAAGGUUUUAUUAACAUUACAAUUAAAUUUAUAUUUUACAAACAAAAAAUUCAAAAACCCCAUUUAAAAUAGUAUAAUUUACAUUACAUUACAAAUAAAAAAUAACAAAUUAUAUAAUAACAUAAGCUAUUUUUUGAAAUCGUAAUUUUCUGCAUUCAUCCAAAUGCGAAAGUGUUGACUUCCAUUUCAACUUAACUUUUGUCGAUUCCUUACUUGCAUUAUCCUUUGAGUCAUGCUUCUAUCGGUCUAGGGGACUAACAUAAAACACCAAGAUUAUUUUUAUUAUUUGCAUUGAUAUCAUCUAUAUCACUGGUAUAUUAACUUACCUCAAAUUGAGAAAGUUUUGUUGGUAUUACAGAAAACACAACCACUGGCAAGAACAGAAAAAAUAAAUUAGACAAGAACAAAAAAUAAAUCUAUUGAAUUGAAAAAAAAAAGUUGAACAAGUCUCACACACAAAAAAGAUUAAAAUAUAGAUGUAAGUUAAUAUAUAUAUAUAAUAAAAUUGAAAUUAAAAACAAAAAGUGAAACCAAUCAAAAUGUACACAUUUCAUUUAUGUAAAAAGGAAUGAAUUCACUAUUCAUGUCAAGUCAACACUAUUAACAGUUCAAUAAGCAUUUUGCAUUAAAAAAUCCAUAAUUUGACUAAAAAAAAUGUUAAGAGCUAAAUUGCUUAAAAAAAUAAGGAUUAAAUUGUCAAACUUUAUAAACACUAAAACCUUUUUUUGUCAUUAUUCCUAAUUUAAAAGGUUUUAUUUACAUUACAAUUAAAUUACUAUUUGAAUUUACAUUACAUGUAAAAAAACAACUAAUUAUGUAAUAACAUAAUCUAUUUCUCUAAAUUUACAUUACCUUUGAGCAAACUUUCAUACUUCUACUAGCCUAGGGGACACAUAAAACACCAAGGUUAUUUUUGCUGCAAUGAGAUCAUCUAUAUCACUUGUAAGGAGGGAUUUUAUGAAACUGUGAUUCCAAAUCAUCCUUAUCAUCUUUUAAUAGGAGAAUAACAAAAUAGAUUUUUCCUCCUGAUUUUCAGCUUUUUUCUCUCAAAAAUUCAAAUUCAACUAAAAAUACUAAAAUUUUGAGUUGUCAUUCUCCUAUUGAAAAUCUAUAGGAAUGACAUAGAAUUGCAGUUUCAUAUAAUCCUUUCUCUGUCACUAGUAUAUUUACUUAGCUCAAAUCAAGAAAAUUUUGUUAAUAUCACAAAAAACACAACAGUUGAAAAUCUUGCUCAUGUCAGUAAAAAAUCAUAUCUUUAUUUCUCUAAACCCUAAAAUUAGACAAGAACAAAAAAUGAAUUUAUUGAAUUUAAAAAAAAAAUAUUUGAUAUGAAUAUUUCUCUCACACGUAAAAGAUUUUCUAGCACACUUUAUAUUCAUACUUGAGUAAGUUUUAAAAAUAAAUGUCUGAACAUAAAUACUUUACAAAAAAAUACAUAAACUUAAGAGUUGGAAUAAUAUUAUUUCUACUACAAACCAUGAAAUUUAAAUGAUACUUUUAUUAGGAGUAGUUGGAGUAAUAUUAUUAAGUAUUAGAAAAGACUUAUUUUUAAUCUUUUGAAUAUAUAAAAAUAAUUUUGACUGAUUAAAUUGAACACAUAAGUUAGUCUCAAAUAAAAAUAAAAUGGUUUUUAACUCGGUCCAAAUUAUGAUCUGAUCUUUAUUAAAGGAUUUCACCUUAUUGUUACCUGUUUUGUCACCGAAACUAUCUAUUUUUCUCUACAUUUCUAUCUCGAGUUGAUUAUAUUUAUUUCAACCUACAAAUAAAAUAUAGAUGUAAGUGUAUAUAUAAUGAAAAUAAAAUUUUAAUAAAAAAUGAAACCAAUCAAAAUUUACACAUUUCAGGGAAUGAAUUAAGCGACUAAAAUUUUAAAUGAUAUAUAUAAACUAUGAUAUGAGCUCCUGUUGAAUAUGAGUAAAAGAUUUAUAAGUUUUUGGUAUGUAAGAAGGAUCGUAAAUAAGUCUAGAUUGAUCACUUUAAAUAAAAGAUUGGUUAAGUAGUUUACCACAGUUAAUGCUUCUUCCUUGAUUGGCCCAUUAUAAAAUUGAAAAUUUUUUGCAUCAGCUUUGGUUGCAGCCCUCUUUCCCUGAUUGGCUUGCGCGGUGCCAAAAUUUGGCCCUUAAAACCCCGUAAGUAGUUUACCACAGUUGAUGCUUCUUCCUCCGCUUCCUCGGAGAUAUUGCGCUUUUGUUUUAUGUCAGAAGUGCUACCUGCUGAUCCAUCGUUUUGAGCAGAGUGUUGGUGGAUGUGUUCAAAAUUUGGUGAAGAUUGAGUGAUAUGGCAAUGCAACUCUUUUAUUGCUUCCAAAUCUUUCUCAUACACUAUUCUAACACCACACUUCUUCACCUUAAGGCUAUGACCAUUGAAAAACACAUGAAGCUCAUCACGUUUAUGACCUAAGCAAUCUGUUGUCCGUAAAUUAUUGGUUUCACAGCCACCAUAUUUAUCCUUCAAGGAUAAUGGAUAUAAUUUAUCACGCGACCAAUAACGAAGAAAAAUGUGAUCUUUCAUUAUGGGCCUGUUGAGUCGUUUACCCACCAAAUAGCCUCUCCUCUCAAUCUGUCGACGAUUUCUACCAUACAUUAACGCUCCACAGUCGAUAAAGCCCUCAUCCCUUGAAGCAUCAUUAUUGACAAAAAUGCAGCAACAAGCAACUCCAAUCCAUUCACUAUCCUCCUGAAGGUUGAUAGGCAGAGGAAUGUCAAUUGAAGAGUGACUUGUUUGUUGGCUAAACCAUUCUGGGAUUUCACUUCCUGGCAUGAUAAUAUCAAACAUUUUUCUUGAAUUUGCAAAUGCCUGCAAAAUAAAACACAAGUCGUUUGGUAACUAAAACUAUAAAUUCUUAAGAAUGAGAUUUUGUAAGGGAGAAAAAGAGAGAUUAAUCGACCUUAAGAUGUUUUCUCAGCAGUGUUAAUGCAUUGAUAUUCUCAGCCAAUUUGAAGCAGUUAAAGGCUAAAAUAGCAGCCGAAUCCACUAAAUUGCAUACUUUUGAUGGACUUGCAACUACUUCAAGUGAAGAACAACCAUCUAGCCACACAUCUUCUAUACAUGUUGGUAGCUGAGGCAACGAGUUAAGCUCCAUGCAAUUUGAUAAUGCAAGCAAUUUAAGCUUGGAAAGUUGAGUCAGAGCCAAAGGAACGGUGAUGAAAUUGUUACCGUUAAGAAAAAGCCAUUUCAAAGAGCAUAGACCAUGAAUAUCUGCUUCACCAAGAGUGCACAUGUUGCAAUUUGACAAUAUAAGCUCUUCAAGCUUGAAGAGUCGAGUAAGAGAUGCAGGUAUGCUGAUGAAAUUGUUACCACUAAGAUCAAGUUCUUUCAAACAGGAUAGACCAGAAAUAUCACUUGGAAUAUCUCCUUCACAAAGAUUGCAGUCCCUUAGUUUUAGCUUACUUAAUGAACUCAAACCUGACAACAAAGGCAACAUCGGAGCGAUGGAAUUUGUCCUUCCUCUGUCGAAUCCAUUGAAAGACAGAACUUUAAGAUUUUUAAAUUGAAAAAUGAAGGAUGGUAGUUCUGUUAUGGCUGUUUCACUCAAGUCGAGCUCUUCCAAAAACUUUGCAUGCUGCAAAUUCUCUGAUAAAUUUUCAACUCUAUAACAACCGGAAAGAUCUAGAGUUUUUAGACGUUCCAUUUUCCCAUCAAUCUCCGGAAACCUUAAAAGACUUGAGCAACCUGAAAGAAUUAAUGUUUCAAGAGAUUCCAUUCCAAUUAUGGUCGGAAGACUCCUAAGACUUCUGCAAUCUCUUAAGUUCAAAACUUUAACGCUCUUAAGUACUGCGAUUGAUGGAUGAACAUCCACUAAUUUGGUACAACCUUUCAAUAUUAGAACUUCAAGAUUUGAUGCCGUUGUGAAGUCUGGUGUCUUGAUCAGGUUUUGGGACCCUUCAAGGUUCAUCAUUUUCAACUUACCCAAGGGCUGUUGAAGAUCACAAUAAAUUAGAAACAAAUAAGAACACAUAAUAAUGCUUAUUUCUGUUGUUUUUACCUUAAUUAAAGUUUAAUAAUUUAUAUUAAAAUAAGCUAAAAUACAAGGAUGAGAUGAGUUAAUUCUUACUCUAUUUCCCUUCCAUAGUUGUCGAAUGCGACUAUAUGAUAAAAGAAGUGCAACAAGGUUGUCCGGUUGGAAGCUUGAAGGCAAUGAUCUUAAAGGACAUCCUUUCCAAUCUAAAAGCCGUAGUUCAUUAGAAAGAAAUUUGAGAUCAUCACAAUUUGAUAGGCAAAGCACUUUGAGCAAUCUCAAUUUUUUUCAUUUUUGAGAAGGCAUUGACACUCAAGUUGAGCAUCUUGCUCGAUUCCCUAAUCAUGAAUAAAAUAAAAUGAAAAUGAGCUUCACAAUAUACAAAAACAUUCAAUAUCUAAAAGUUAUGUUAUAAUCUAAUUCAUUGAUAUACUAUUAAUAUUUCGAAAAGACAUACAUUUCUGUAUUGAUUCUUUUGAAAGAUUAAUACGCUACUAGAUUAAUUUCAUAAUUAAACAUUGAAAUAUUGAGUGUCAAAGGUUUUGCAAUAAUUCAUUAUCAUAUUUAAAAAAUAAAAUAAUUAUUUACCGUACACAUAAAUAUAAGUCUAUGUGUCUUCUUACCUUUUAUUAUUGAUGAUUAUACCUUCAAUCAUUUUUGUACCCUAAAAAAAAAUCAAGAAUAGAAAAUAAGAAAAAAAAAUAAAUGAUGUAUAAUGUAGGAUAAAACUUUUAAAAACUUACAUUUUUGUUUAGCAUUAUUAUAUUCUAAAUAUAAUAAAUAAAGCAUUUUAAACGAACUAAAACAAUUUCUACAAAUAUUAUGCUCUAAUGAGGGUAAUGCAAUGAAAUUAAAUAUUUAUUUCUACAAAUCCUUUUUAAUAUUUGUAAACACUUAUCUCAAAAUUACUAAAUAUCACUUUUUAAGAAUAUUUGUAUCAACCAAUUAGACUAAGCUUUGGGUUUAUAUCAUGUAUUGAUUUGAUAUUAUAUAACAAAAUAGAAAUAGUAUGUAACUUUUGUUAAAUGACUUACAGUGUUUUUUGUUAGGACAUGAUGGACGUCUCUUUCCUCCCACAAUCUACAACGUUUUCCAGGUUCAUCAACACAUUUUUCUUUAACAAUUUUUCUUCCCAUUUCUUGCAACAAGUUAUGCAUCCACAAAUAUUUGUGUUCAUCGACUUUAAUGAGAGAUUUUUUAAUGAGAACAUCAAUGCCAAUAUCUGGGAAAAACUCACAACCAUCCAAUACUUUCAUUACAAAAUCUUUCUCCUCCCCAUUGAAGAAGCAUGCUAUAUCUAGAAAUAUAUUCUUCUCCCUUUCUUCCAGUCCAUCAAAACUGAUUCGAAGUUUAUCGAGGAUUUCUUUAUUAGAAUCUCUUUUAAGUCUUUCAAUUGCACUUCUCCAUUGAGUAGCAUCUCUACCGCAUAAAAAGCAACCCAAAAUUUCAAGAGCUAACGGGAGCCCACCAGCAUAUUUUACAACAUGGUAAGAAAGCUCAAUGAAAUCAUCUUUCGGAACUGUAUCACCAUGAAAAGCUUUUAGACUGAAAAGUUGAAGAGCAUCUUUGGGAUUCAAUGUUGUGGGCUCAUACAUAUCAUCAACUGGCCAAGAUCGAAGCAAAUGUUCUUCUCUUGUUGUUACAAUGAUUCUACUCCCUAAUCCGAACCAAUCAUGCCUUCCAACCAAGCAUUUUAAGUGUUGAAUGUUAUCAACAUCAUCAAGAACAACAAGAACCUUUUUGCGAGACAACAUAUGACUAAUUAUAUCAUUCCCUUCAUGAACAUUGAAAAUUUUGAAGCAUUCAUCAUGAAAAAUCUCCGAAAGAAGUUGUUUCUGCAAAGAAACUAAUCCACAUUUGUCUGAAACUUCUCGAACAUCAGCAAUAAAGCUUUUACUUUCAAAAUGAUGUGACAUUUGAUUAUAAGCAAGUCUUGCGAGUGUGGUUUUACCGAUACCACCCAUUCCGCAAAUCCCUAUAAUGCGGACAUCAUUUUCCCCAAUGUUUAUUUUCAAAUAUAAAUCCUCCAAGCGUUCAGUCAUUCCAACCAAGUCACUAUGAGUAACUAGGUGACACAGUUUUGCUGAUAUCUUCUUAAUAAUCUCUCUAAUAAAUUCCGAUUCAUGCCUACAAGAAAAGAAAUUUUAAUUUUUUGAAUAAUUUUUGUUUCAUAUUAUCAAAUGCACUUUCUUUUUCAAUGAAUCAUGAAAUAUAAUAUAGUUUGGAAGCAAACAAGAACCAAGACACUUUUCUAUUAAACACAUAGGAUUAGAAAGAAAAAACAAAGUUAUACAUAUAUAUCCCAAAAAAUAGAAAAUAGAGAGAAGAAAAAGAAAGAGUUACCUGUUAUUUAAAUGCCAUCCCUUGAUUCCAGCCACUUGAAUUAAAGCAUUUCGCCACCUUUGGAUCUUCUCCCUAUCUUCUUUGUAUCUCUCUUCAUGUCUAGCAAAGGCUUCUUCCACUUUCUCUUUUUGUUUUCUUAAAUCAGAUGGAUCAACAUCGUAAAAAAUUGGAAACACUUUAUGGCCGUCGUUGUUAUGUUGUUUAACAAUCUCAGCAAGCUCCUCCAAGCACCAACUUGAAAAGGCAUAAGUUUGUGAAAAAACGAUUACCGAACACCAUGAUUGCUGAAUUGCUGUAAAGAGUUCUGGCGCGAUCUCUUCGCCGGCCUCCAGCUUUGGAUCAUCCCUGAAAGUGACGAUCCUACUCCGACUUAAAGCAUCAUAGAGAUGAUCGGUAAAGUUGGUGCGGGUAUCUUCACCUCUAAAACUCAAGAAAACAUCAUAUUUCUUUCUAGAAUUGGACGAAGAAGUUGAAGGUAAUGACGAAAUGACGAUGUGCGAGAAAAAAAAAAUAUGUGGAUGUAGUGUUGAAAAUCAGAAAAUUGAUAGCUCAAUACGCCUGAAAGAAACUAGAAACAGAUCAGAUUUCACAGGGAAGAAUGAAGGUGGUUUCUAACCAAUUUCUCUAUAACCUUUUCACUUUCCAAAUGAAUGCGCGUACUUGUGGAAAUUGGGGGGCCAUAAAUGAGUGAUGCAUAUGAAUCCAACAAGGUGUGUGUUGAUAAAAUGGAGCCUACAAUAAUUGCAACUGUUCUUAAGUUUGUGCUUUACUUGCUUUCUAACUCUGGAAUUUGAAUUUGAAUUUUUUGUCUAAUUACUUUAAAAUAAAUAAAAAAUUUAAUAUUUAUUUUCUUUACUAAUAUGGCAUAUACGUGAAUUAACAUUCGAAUGACAUGUCAGUAUUUAAUUAAUUUUUUAAAUUUAAAAAAUAUUUUUUUUAUAAUUUUAAUAUUUUUAAUUUUUAAAAAUAUUUUUUUGUUUUUUAAAAUUUUAAAAAAUUAAUUAAAUAAUGAUGUGUUAUUCAUAUGGUAAUAUACAUGCAUGUUAUAUCAGCAAAGUUAAAAAAAUUAACUUUUUCAUCAAAUUUUGGGGUGAUUUGAUAAAAAAACACAAAUUAAAUUGCUAAAAAGACAAAAAAAAUUAAAUAAAUAACUAAAAUAAAUUUUUUAAUAAAAUUUAAUGGUUAAAUAAAUCAUUCAACCUGGAGGUCCAGUAAGGAGAGAUUAAACCUACAGAAUGGAUGAGGACUAAGCCUUGCAUGGUUUUUUGCUUUUUAUUUUUUAUUUAUAUUUUCUUUUCUUUUUAGAUGACACCGACCCCUUAAAAUGGAAAUUCUCCUUUUAUGUCCCUUAAAAUUUUAAACUUGUAAUGAUAAAAUUACACAUUGGUUCCCUUAAAAACAAUAAAAAUUCGAUUUAAUCUUUUAAAACUUAUAAAUAUAUAAACUAUUAAAAUGAUAAAAUUACGUUUUUACUAUCAUAAAAAAUACAAUUUAGUUUCGACCCCCUCAAAAUUUUUGACUUCACCCCUGCCUAUAUUAGGGCUUGGGGUAGGGAGUUAGAAGAUUGUCUUAUUCAUUUCUUUCUCGAUUUUGCAUGGAUGCAACGAAGGAGCCAUGUAGAGGCCCAUGGGCCAUGGCCCUCCAAUUUUUUUUUUAAAUUUAGUCCUUUGUAAAUAUACUAUGACCCUCCCAAAAAUAUAAGUAGGUCCCCUAAGGCUUAAGAUUUUUGUAAUUUCCCCCUUUAUAUAUAUUAUAGCCCUCCUAAAAAUAUAAGUAAACCCCUCUAAUAUUUUUUAUAGUAUUAAAAAUAACAUUAAAAAAAUUAUUCUUGAUAUCAAAGAAAAAGUUUGAUCCAUAUCACUCAUAUAUUAACUUAUCUCAAAUUAAGAAAAUUUUCUUGAUAUCACAUAAAAUACAACAAUUGAAAAUCUUGCUCACGUCAACCAAAAUCAUAUCUCUAAACCCUCAUAUUAGAAUGAACAAAAAAUGAAUCUUUUAAUUUUUUUUAAAUAUUAUUGGAUAUGAAUGUGACGUCUCUCACACAUAAAAGAUUUUCCAAUUAAUUAAAAGAGCAUACUCUUUAUAUUCAUAUUUGAAUAAGUAUUAAAAAUAAAUGUCUAAACAUAAAUACUUUAUAUAAAAUAUAAACGGAAGAGUUGGAAUAAUAUUAUUUGUGCUUCAAGCCAUAAAAUUUAAAUGGUACUUUUAUUAGAAGAAAUUAAACCUAUUUGAGUAUUGUAAAGGACUUAUAUUUAAUAUUCCCAAUAUAUAAAAACAAUUUUGAUUGAUUAAAUUGAACACAUAAGUUGAUCUCAAAUAAAAAUGAAAUAAUUUUUAACUUAGCCCAAAUUACAAUCUUAUCCUCGUUAAAGGAUUUUUCACUUUAUUAUUACCUCCUUUGUCAUGAAACUAUCCAUUUUUCCCCACAACUCUAUCUCAAAUUGAUUAUAUUUACUUCAACCUACAAAUAAAAUAUAAAUGUAAGUGAAUAUAUAUAAUGAAAAUAAAAAUUUAAUAAAUAAAUAAAACCAAUUAAAAUGUACACAUUUCAAUUAUGUAAAAAGGAAUGAAUUGAAUGACUAAAAUUUUGAAUAGUAAAAAAAUGUAAAAUAAGUGACUAAAAUUUUAAAUGGUAUAAAAAACCUAAAUUAUGAGAUAUGUACAUAUUCAAUACGAUUGUAUGGCUAAAAGUUUUAAAUUUUUUUAAUAUAUAUUAAAAAUAUCAUAUCUUAUACGCAAAUAAAUUUAAAAUGAUUAUUUUAAAUGAAAUAGAAGCAAUAGUACAUGGUUGGUUAAGUACUUUACCACAAUUAUUGCUUCUUCCCCGAUUGGCCCAUCAUAAAAUUGAAAAUUGUCUGCAUCCAUUUUGGAUGCGGCCCUUCUUCCUCUGCUUCCUCGUAGAUCUUACAUUCUCUGUUUGAUGUGAGAAGUGCUACCUACUGAUCUAUGGUUGUGAGCAGAGUGUUGGUGGAUGUGUUCAAAAUUUGGAGAAGAUCGAGUGGUAUGACACUGCAACUCUUUUAUUUCUUCCAAAUCUUUCUCAUACAUUAUUCUGACACCACACUUCUUCACCUUAGCAUUGGGUUUACAUGGAUGUAAGAAAGACACCUCAAGCUCACGGUCACCAUAUUUAUCCGCCAAUGAAAAUGGAAAUAAUUUAUCACGCGACCAAUAACGAAGAAAAAGGUGAUCUUUCGUUAUGGGCUGAUUCCUAUAUUUCCUACUGAACCUAGUAAUAAUUCUAGAAAAACUAGAAUGGAAGAAAUCCAAACUUCAACAAUUGAUAAAAAGUCAAAAGUUGGAAUAAUUAUAAAAGUUACAUUUCAGUUUAGAAAAUAUAAAAAAUAUUCUCUAAAUGCCUUGAUAGAUACUGGAGCUACAAUAUGUAGUUGCAGAGAAAAUGCGAUUCCUGUAGAAAAAUGCGAAUUAAUGAAAAAACCCAUAAAAAUAAUGGGAAUAGAAGGUAGUAAAACUAUUAUAAAAUAUAAAGCUAAAAAUAUAUCAAUCUAUAUAAACAAUGUUAGAUUUGUGAUUCCUAAAAUAGUAUGUUUUCCUAACAUGAAAGGAGAUAUAUUAUUAGGUAAUAGUUUUAUUUGUAAGUACUUACCUUUUACUAUUGAUAAACGUUCUAUUUGGCUAUCAGUAAAAGAAGAUUUUGUGGAAAUUCCACUUGAAGAAAAUAAUAAAAUUGUGUGUAAUAAAUUUACACCUAUUAAAAUUAAUUAGUUAAUAUUUGUAAUUUAUUACUAAUAUUUACUGAUUUUUUGAGCAGGCCUUUUAAUGGAUAGAGGUAAAAAGCCUAUACAAGAAACUGUAGGUGAAUGGACUACCGUUCACAAAAGCCCAACAAAGGGAAAGCAGGAUCAAACUCCAAAAAAGGAUUUGUACCUGCACAAAUACCAUUUUAUCUUAACCAAGGAUAUUAUGUGUCUUAUCCAAUGGUAAAUCAACCACUUGGACCAAAUGUUUUAAAAUAUCCAAUGGUAAACCAACCACUUGGAAGCAGUUUUUCUAACAUGGUGUAUCAAUCACCAAUGUCCCAAGAUCCAUAUUUAGCAUCACAAACCAGUUAUGCUGAUAUGAUCAAAAGAUCCGAAAAUUUGUUGAAAGAACAACAAAUUGAAGAUGAAAAAGAAAUUUUAAAAAUAAAAGAUUUUUAUAAUCCUAGUUUAUCACCAGAAUUUUAUGAUUUUAUAAACGAGAUAUUGUGAAAAUAUUGUGAAUUUUAUGUUAUUAAUUAUUAAUUAUAAAUUAUCUAUAUUUAGUGUUUAUAGUUUAGAUUAGAAUUUUGUAUGAAUAUUAUAAUUUUUUUAUGAAUAUUGUAAUGUUGUAUGAAUAUUGUAAUUAUUUUAUAAUUAAAUUUGUAUUUAUAGUUUUGGAUUAGUAAUUUUUUGUAUGAAUAUUGUAAUUUGUAUGAAUAUUAUAAAUUUUUUGUAUGAAUAUUGUAAUAAUAUUAUAGUUUUGUAUGAAUAUUGCAAUUUUUUUGUAUGAAUAUUGUAAUUUUGUAAUUUUGUAUGAAUAUUAUAUUUUUUUGUAUGAAUGUUGUAAUAUUAUAAUUUUGUAUGAAUAUUGUAAUUUUUUUGUAUGAAUAUUGUAAUAUUGUAAUUUUGCAUGAAUAUUGUAAUGUGAGGAUAUAUUGUAAUAUUGCAAUUUUUUGUAUGAAUAUUGUAAUUAGUUUAUAAAUAAUUUGUUAGUAAUUUGGGAAAAAUUCACAAUAUUUUGUGUUUGUAAUUAUUUAAAAUUUAAUUUAUUAGUAAUUUAGGAUUAAGCUAUAAGUUGUUGUGUUUAGUUUAGUAUUUGGUGAGUUUAACAUAUAAAGUUUAUAAAAAAAUUUAAAAUCAUUUCAUUAAAAGUUUAAUUAUAAAAAAAUUAAAAAUCAUUUUAUUAAAAGUUUGGGUUUUUUACACCAAUAAUAUAGAAAAAAAAUAUUGAAAUAGGAUGUCAGAAAAAAAUUUACCAAAAAAUAACUGACUUUUUUAAUCAUAUAGUUGUUGUUAACUUAUUUAAUUUUUAUAUAAUGUAACUUUUAUAUAAUUAAAUUUUAUUUGAUUUUGUAUUUAUUUAACAGUAAUUAUUGAUUUUUUGAAACAAAUUAACUGAAUUCAUUUUUUUUAUUGCAGAUUUGCAAGAAAUGGGUUCUCUAAUUAAUAAUAAUAAUCACAUAUCAAGUACUAUUAAUGAGAUGGUAAUAAAAUUUAAUUUUGAUAAUCAUGUUAUUUGUUAAAUUAAAUUAUAUUGUAUUAACUAUUUUGCUAAUUUAAUAAUGUCAGGGUCCGUACCGCGCAUUGAGGGGCCGUGUUAAUUGUGUAGGGUUUCAGCCAGAUGAACGCCUAAUACCAUACUUAGAGUUAGCCGGGUUCGGAUCAGCGGCAUUGAUUCGGACUUUUGAUCUGCGAUACGACUUGAUUUCCGCUUUAGUCGAGCGAUGGCGUCUGGAAACCCACACAUUUCAUCUGCCGUGCGGAGAGUGUACCGUCACUCUAGAGGACGUUGCAGUACAGCUCAGGCUUCCCAUAGACGGGAAUGCGAUCACGGGCAUAAGUUCAAUCUCUAGGCCGGCUACCCUUUGCAAUGAAUUACUUGGACGCUCGCCAAGUCAGGGGAAAUUUACCAGUUUGAAAUUUUCAUGGCUACAUGCCAAUUUUGAGCAUUUGUCAAGUACUGCUAAUGAACGGGAGGUGAUGCAGGCUGUUCGAGCUUAUAUUAUGCACCUUAUAGGGGGUGUACUCAUGCCGGAUGCAAACGGCAGUAAGAUCCACUUGAUGUACUUACCCUUAUUAUCCAAUUUGCAUAACACUCGUUCAUACAGUUGGGGGUCCGCAGUUUUAGCCAUUCUGUAUCGCGAACUUUGUUGGACAACAAAUCCUUCUGCGGCUGACAUUGGCGGAUGCCUCAUACUGCUGCAGUCGUGGGCACUUUACCGGAUGCCAUUCUUGGCAUCCAUUAGUCAUCAAUCAUAUGUAUUUCCACUAGUUAAUAGGUGAUGAAUUUUUACUCAUUAUAAUAAUUAGUUGACUUUUUUAUAAUAUAUUAUUCUAACAAUUUGUUUUCGUAGGUGGAGAAGUAAUCCGGGGAUUGGGAGGUCACCGUCGGUUCCGAUAUAUCGUUUAAUGAUUGAGAAUCAUGCUGGAGAGGGGGUACGUUUUUCGAAUAUAAACUCAAUUUUAUUAUUUUAUCUCACUCGACCCGCGUUAAUAUAACAACGUUAUUAAUUGUGCAGUUCAUUUGGAUGUCGUAUUCUGCUCCAGAAAUUAUGGCAGUUAUGCCAUCAUCGGCCCGCGUCCACUCAAACCUAUGGUGUAUUAGCGCACCCAUUAUCAAUUUUAACGUAGUGGAGUGGUAUCAUGGCAAUCGAGUACUCCGACAGUUCGGUUGCAUACAGUAUAUCCCGACAUUGCCAGUACAAUUGGGGGAGAUCCAUGGGAUGAGCAAGAAGGGGAGGUAUGGAGAUAAUUGGGAAGAAGUGCACGAAGAGUAUAUCACGAUAUGGAACAACCGGUUCGGGAUGGUACCUCAGAUGGAUCGUGCUCCGGAUUUGCAGCCCUCGUUAGAGUAUAUACAGUGGUACUGUGAGACAGGGAAACCAUUUCUGUUUGGUGGGCGAUCGAUUGUAGUCCCUCCGUAUACGACACAAAUUACGCAACCCUUUGGAAAUCUGCAUCAUGCACCAGAGCCAGAGCCAGGGCCAGAGCCAGAGCCAGAGCCAGAGCCAGAGCCAGAGCGAGAGGCAGAACUACAUUCUAGGGAUAGUUCUUAUCAUCCAGAAUUAGGGGGCGAUGACUAUUUUGUGGCCUCGUAUCCACCUAAGUACUCUGCUCCUUCUGGCCAAUAUCCGCCGUCAUACUCCUCUCCUCCCGGAUCAAGUUCAUCGAUGGCAUUUGAGACAUAUGAUUAUUUGUCUAUGUUUCACACACCCCAACAUACUGUUGAGGAGAAUGUUGAUAACCGUAAUCGCCCACAACGUCAGCGUCGAGCUCCACAAAAAUAUACCCCUAGAACCACACCAUCAAACCAUCAAUUUUAGGGGUUUUCUAAUAAACACCCGUAUAUUUAUGUAAUGAUAGUUCUUAUCUAAAUAAAAUUACAAUGGUUUAAAAAUGUCUCCAUAACUGCAACAAAUUGUAGACAAUUUUGUGAUUCAAACCAUAUCUAUGUAAUGAAGUACAUAUCAAUUUCUACUCGAUUGAGACGAUUGUCCAACAUGGUAGUUUCGGAGAGGGCAUUUACUUCGAUUAUGACCGGGUAAUCUGCAUACGCCACACAAAUUCCAGUCAGAUUUCUCCCUAAUGUCCAUUUCGUUAUGGAUUCUGGAUGAUUGCGGACGACCUUUCAGGUUUCUACGCAACCUUAUGUCUGGGACUAGCUCGAAGGUUGCCGGAGGUACCUCCCAAGUAGAUAGGUCAGGAAGCACGGGGAACUCGUUUUCCCAUACACGCAACGUGCGUUCGAUGGUGUACACUUCAUCUAUAAAUUGUUCUACAUUGAGCCCAACUUUAGCACAAGUUGCCACGACGUGUGCACAUGGAAAAUGAAGUGUUUGAAACCUUCUACAAUCGCACCGUCUAUUUCGGAGAUCAACUCCGUAGGACCUAGGUGGUAUACUGGGUCGACGACUGAUGGUCUCUGUAACUCGAAACGUUUCAUUAUGUCGUGAAUAUACUUCUACUGUCAUCGACCUCGCCAUUCGACGGUUUACAACCAUUGCAUCCCUAAUGCCUUCGACAAAGACAUGGCCCGCCUCCAUCUGGUUCACUUGUUGCUGACCCAUUCUUGGCAUCAAGGUAUCCAACCUGAAGAACGUUGCCGAGAAGACAGAUGAAAUUGGAAGAUGCCGUGUUUUUAAUAACACAGCGUUGAUCCCCUCCACUAAGUUUGUAGUCAUUUGACCAUAACGAAAGCCCUCGUCAAAACUUUGAGCCCAUUGCCACGGCUCCAUGAUACCCAGCCACUGCCGGAAAGAUGUGUUGGUUUGACCCUCCAUGUCACUCUCAAGCCGGGCCAUUCUUUGGCGAAAAAUGUGUGGCUCUAACUCGUACGCUGCAUAUAUAUUGAAAAAAAUUUAAGUUACAGUAUUGCUCUAAAACAUUAAAACUUAUAUUUAAAAGAUAAGGUAAUUCUUUACCCAUUCUCACAACUUGUCUCUUCCAGUCUGCAUUCUUAUAAUCUCGCUGGAAGUUAGCCGCGAUGUGCCGGAUGCAGUAAACAGAUCGCCAUGGUACACCAGAACGCCUAAUGGCUGCAAUUAAUCAUUUUCCUCUAUCGGAAAUGAUGCAAAUAUUAUCAUUGCUAAUCACAUACCUCCGCAGGUUGGUAAGAAAGAACUCCCACGAUUUCAUGUUCUCCUUAUCGACGAUGGCAAAUGCUAUCGGGAGUACGUUCCUGUUGCCGUCUUGAGCAAUCGCAAGAAGUAAGAUCUGUGUGUAUUUUCCAUAUAGCCAGGUUCCAUCUACUUGCACAAAUGGUUUGCAGUGGGGAAAUGCGCGCACACAUUGAUCAAAAGUCCAGAACAUCCGAUGGAAAAUUCUUUUUCUCGAUUGUAGUUGGUCAUUUGGACCGUCAUAAGAUCGUGUCUGCAACUCAAUUACAGUCCCCGGUACGUGUUCCCUCAUGGCGGCUAUCCAUCUCUGUAAUUCAUUGUACGAUGCAUCGAAAUCUCCGUACAAUUGCUCCAUUGCCAUCUGUUUAGCUAUCCAUGCCUUCCGGUAUGAUACUCGAUACUGGAAUCGUGCUUGUAUUUCAGCAAUCAGUACCGAAACUUUAAUGGUCGGCAUGUCUUUCACCAUUGGCAUGAUGCAUGUACAGAUAGUUUUGGAGUCAAGUUUUUGAUGAUCUUCUGUCAGACGUGUUGAAGUGCAUGUGUGGGGCUCCACAAAUUUUCGUAUUUCCCACAUCUGCGACUUCUACAUAAAUGCAGCUCGUACCCGCCAAUUGCAGCCUUCUGCCAACCUCCAACACUCUCCAAUAUAUAAUGUUGGUUUAGACUCGAUGACUUUGUAAUCUACUGAUAUAUUCAUGCUAUACCGCUUAAUCGCAAACAUACAUUCUUCCUUACUUUCAAAUCUCUGGCCUACGCGUAACUCAUCUAGAUCAUAAUAUACGCUCAUUCGGUAACCAUAUGGUAUUUCAGGGUACUCCGGAAACUCAGCUGCCCGUGCCGCAUCGGGGUCUAUCCGAGACAUGUGUGCCCCAGGAUUAUUGUGUAUCACAAUACGAUGAAUCUGGUUUCCGAUUGAAGACGCAUUAACAUUUCCAUCCUCAUUCACCCCUUCAUCGUCAAUAUCAUCCGCGACCUCGUCUGCGUCGGGAUCACUCUCACUAUCCACUUCGUAAUCAACAGGAUCACUACUAUAGUAUACAUCAUCACCAACCACAUCAGUCUUGGCUGCAGCAUUAAGAUCAAUAUUUAUCCCAUGUAUAGGUGAUUGGCUAUCAACAUACGAUACCGGAACCACCAUACACGGCGCUUCAACUCCAUCUUCUUCACCUAAUGGAGUGGGAUCUUCAGUUGCCUCCACACUGGCUAACUCAGCAAAUAACUGAAUCGGUGUAUUUUUGUUACUCGAAGUCCCACAAUAAAGAGCGACCAUUGUUUCCACGUCUUCAUCAUCUACAAGUUCCAUUUCGGUAAAUUUUAUUGGAUCUGUUGAUAUUGGAAACUUGUAGAAAACUUUUGAUAUCCUUCUCCCACAACGUCUAUAAAUUUUUUCACUAAUUUUUUCCUUCAUAUCAUCAAACGAGAUAUUUCUAUCAAAUCUCAUUGCUACUUGUUUGCGACAUUCAAAUAUACAUCCCACAGUUGUUGUUAAAAUUUCUCCAUCGAAAUAAACGCAUACAAAAAACUGAUUCUCCAUUUUCAAUACUAGAUCUGUAAAAAAAGAAUUUCAAAUUUCUUAAAACUGUUUCAAAAUGUAAACAAAAUACAUAAAAAUUGCAAAAUUACAAUAUUACAAUAUUCAUACAAAAAAAUUGCAAUAUUCAUACAAAAUUAUAAUAUUACAACAUUCAUACAAAAAAAUAUAAUAUUCAUACAAAAUUACAAAAUUACAAUAUUCAUACAAAAAAAUUGCAAUAUUCAUACAAAACUAUAAUAUUAUUACAAUAUUCAUACAAAAAAUUUAUAAUAUUCAUACAAAAUUACAAUAUUCAUACAAAAAAUUACUAAUCCAAAACUAUAAAUACAAAUUUAAUUAUAAAAUAAUUACAAUAUUCAUACAACAUUACAAUAUUCAUAAAAAAAUUAUAAUAUUCAUACAAAAUUCUAAUCUAAACUAUAAACACUAAAUAUAGAUAAUUUAUAAUUAAUAAUUAAUAACAUAAAAUUCACAAUAUUUUCUAAAAUAUAUACUAAAAAAUUCACAAACUAUAAACUUAUUAAAUUAUAAACAAAAUUAUUUAUUAAAAAAAUACAUUACCUUUUUUAUAAACUUUCUUCUUCUUCUUCUUCUCUUCUUCUUCUUCUCCUUCUCCUCUUCUUCUUUCUCUCUUUUUUUUUCUCUACCGUCUGGAGCUUGGUUCAUUUGCUAUUACUUAUAGCAAAAAUAAAAUUGUUUUGAAGGGACAUUUCAAUGGCAUGGCAGCAGCAUGCCUACUUGAUAGGCCCCACCCGACCCGACCCGACCGUAUUUUGACCCGUAUUUUUUUUAAAAAUAUUAAAAAAAUAUAAAAUUAUAUUUUAAUAAAUUUUUUUAUUAUUAUUUUAUUCAUUGGCGCCUAUCUAAUAGGCUCCAAUGAAAAAGUAACCUAUUUUGGUAAAAUUUUUUUCUGACAUACUAUUUCAGUAAUUUUUUUUCUAUCCUAAUUAGGUAAAAAACCCUCAUACUGGACUAUCAAGAAAUUAUCCUCUCAAACCUCGCAUGUAGCGGGCACACUUGGUUACAUGGCUCCUGAGCAUGCAAGAACUGGGAAAGCAAACACAAGCACUGAUAUAUAUGCAUUUGGAAUUUUCAUGCUCGAAAUUACUUGGGGUAGAAGGCUGAUCUAAGCACGAGCAUCGCCGGAUGAAAAUUUUCUUGCUGAUUGGAUAAUGGAUUGCUGGGAUAAAGGAGGCAUUUUGGCGGUUGUCGAUGGGAUGUUGGAAAAGAAGUUUGUGGUACAAGAAGCGGCCUUUGUGACUCGUAUCAGAAGCAGAGUUGGUGUUGAAGCUUGGGUUGCUUUGCUCGCACCCGAUGGUGGCGGCUAGGUCUAGCGUGUCCAGUGUGGUAUCGUAUUUGGAUGGUGUUGUUUCGUUACCCGAUGAUUUAAACUCUGUUAUCAAAGCUCGAGAAUUCCCUGGAUUAUCCAAUGAUGAGUUAAUAAGUGAAAGAAACAACACCAUUCCUCCAUUAACAAUAACACUGUCGUUUGUAUCUCAUGGUCGGUGAAGUUGAAUUAAAGAUUGUCUUUCAUUUGUUUCUUUUUAAGACGUAUGAUCCAAAUUCAAAACAUUUGUUGAUAGAGUGUUUUGCAGCUUCAAAGGCCAAAUGUGUUGUAAAUUUACAACAACUGUAUAGAGUGUUUUGCAGGGUGGAAACUGGUUCAUAAGCCCUGGAAGCCCCCUUGUUCUUGUUGGAGUUGGAGUCAUCAUUUGUAAUAGGCGCUGUAUAAAAUAUAUCAACCAUUAAUCAAAAGCUUCAUUUUCAAGGUAAAUGAGAAAACAAAACAAAAAAAAAGAGCUGAAAACCUUGAUUUGAGGGCUUUGUGACAUAGAGAAGAAUAACAGUGUCCUGGCACUGGACAGUGUGAGAAGAAUAAAGCUCCCUCUGCUUCAAUGCAGAAAGAGUAAUAUAGGGGAAUCCUACUAAGAACAGCAGGGGACAAUAUCCAGAUUGCUAUUCUAGGGACAUGAUUUUUUGUGUCUCAAUCAAAGGCUUGAAAGGUCGAAUUCUAUGGGGUGCUUCAAAUCCUUUCUCUGUGGGCAAUGAGCCUUACCCCGAUCGGCAAUGGACUGUGGGCCUUUACAAAGUGAUGUAUAUUUGAAAGAUAAUAUCUCAUCCUCGUAUUCAGAGCCGGAGUCAAGGACACUUAAAAUAAAAAAAUUUCCAUUUAAAUCCUUUACAAUUUAUAAAGUUUUAAAUUAGUAAUGAUAAAAUUGUACUUUGCUCCUCUAAAAUGAUAAAAAUUUGAUUUAUUCCUUUAAAAAUUAUAAAGACAAAGACUAUUAGAAUAGUGAAAUUAUAUUUUUAUUAUUGUUAAAAUGUACAAUUUAAUUUCAACCCUCCAAAAAAAUAAUUAUCUGACUCUGCUGCUGCUUUAUAUUAUAAGUAAAGAUAUCUAAAAUUAUUUUAUAUGUAAAAAAAAAAAAAUUAACAGGAUAAGGGUGGUUAAGUAGUUUACCACAAUUAAUGCUUCUUCCCGGAUCAGUCCGUUACAAAAUUGAAAACUUUUUGCAUCCGUUUUGGUUGUGGCCUUUCUUCCUCCGCCUCCUCGUUGGUAUUAUGUUUUCGUACUGAAAGGGAAGUACUAUGUAUUGAUCCAUCGCUAUCAGCAGAGUGUUGAUAGAUAUCUUCGAAAUUAGCAUAAUAAUGAGUGGCAUGGCUAUGCAUCUCUUUUAUUUCUUCCAAAUCUUUCACAUACACUAUUCUAACACCACACUUCUUCGCCUUAAAACUAAAGUUACCUAGAAAAUAUAUCUCAAGCUCAUCACAUUCUUCAUCCGAGCAAUCUGCUGUUACUAAAUUCUUGGGUUCACAUUUAUCCUCCAAGGAAAAUGAAGAAAAAAGUGAUCUUUCAUUAUGAUCCAGUUAAAAGCAUGUCACUAAGUAAGUCGCUAUUUACAAAUAUUUCUGGCUCAGGUCUGUUCUCUUUUACAUCGAAAAUUAACCUCUGAUUCUUUUAUAAAUUAAAAUUAAUGACUUCUUUUUGUCAAGUUUUUUGCUCUCAAAUAUGCUGCCUGCACUGUGUUGCGUGCAGAGAAUCGCACUUAAAAUAGUUUGGUGAUGGGAUUAGGUUCUCAUGCAAUGCAAAGCUGUAUUUGCUGCUUAGGAUCGCAUCUGUAUUUCAUAUUCCCAACAUUUUCUUCCACUAAGCUCGGUAAUGCCCGUUGAUUCAAUGUUUGCAGAUUAUGAUGUAAUCACCCGUGUUCGUACUUUGUUUAGGCAUCUAUUUUAUAUAUUAUUUUUUUUAUGCUAGAACACUUGAGCUUGAAAAAAAUUUGCAUGUGAUUUUAGCCAUCUAUUUUAUUUUUUAUAAGAUAAUCUUAUUCAUUUCUUUCUCGAUUUUGCAUGAAUGUUGGUUAUAUCAUAGCCUAUAUUACACCAACUCAUUCAUUUUUAGAGGUGAUCAUGGGUUGAGUUAUCCGGCUCGGCCUGAUGGCCCUCCCGAAAAAGGGAGGGUUCGGGUAAAAAUAUAGGCCCGAAAUAUGGGUUUGGGCAAAAAAAUAGUCCCGUAUAAAAAAUGGGCCGGGCUCGGGCAAAACUUUUUUGGCCUAGGCCCGGCCUGGCCCAAAGUAUAUUAAAUAUAUAUUUUUUAUUUUUAAUCAAAUAUACCUCUAAUUCUGGUUGAUUGAUUAUAUUUUUCAGGUUUUUGAUGCUAUUUUGGUGUUGUAAAAUUUAAUAUGGGCAGGGCUUGACUCGAGCUUAAUAAUUUUCUUUUAGGCAGGGCUUGGACAAAUUUUUAGGCUCAUAUUUUGGGUUGGGCCUAGAAAAUUGGCCUAAAAUUUUAUCUGGGCCUGGCCCGGCCAUGAUCACCUCUAUUCAUUUUCCCUAAGUACCUAUAUUUAAGACUUACGUGGCUUGAACACUUUAUAAAGGGAGUACAUCAGUUUCGGACACAUGAAUUGGCUUGAAUAGACUUAUUGGAACCCACCAUUGUUUGAAAAGUCAAAUGGGGUGGGCACCGAAAGUAGAAAGUAAUAUUGGUUGGCAAGUUGGGUUAAAAGUUGGCAUGGGAUAAUUGCAAUUUUGGUCCCUAAUUGUAUAGGGACAUUGCAAGUUGAUCCUUGAACCUCAACUAUAAAUAGGCCUAACCAUUGCUUACUUUCUUCAUCCCAUAAUUGCCAUUCUCUACUUAAGGCAUUAUUCUCUCUCUCUAUUUGUAAAUUUCACUUGUAAUUUUUGGAGUGAAAUAUAUUUGGUAGUGCCCGAGGACGUAGGCAAAAUUUGCUGAACCUCGUUAAAAUUCUGGUGUUCUUUAUUAUUUGUUUUGCAUAUUUUGUGAAUGUGAUUGUAGUGAUUUAUUGUGCUAUUAAAUUACGAUAGAGGGAUAUUCUGGCUAGGAAAGACUUGGUAUUUAAGUGAUCUUCGUGAUCUACCUCUCUUUCCUGGUAAUUGAACUUAGUGUGAUUUUUCAGUACAAUAAUUUUACUCUUUCACACGCUUCCGCGCAACAAUUGGUACCAGAGCCAGGCUUGUACUUGGGGUAUACGACCGUUUACGGUACUAUUCAUGUAUACAGCACUAUUUACGUAUACGACACUAUUCACAUAUACGAUACUGUUCACGUAUACAGUAGUUAGGAUUGAGGAGAAAAAUGGCAGCAGCAUCGUCAUCAGUAAGGACUACUGUGACAAAUGCAAAAUUUGAAGUAGAGAAAUUUGACGGUACCAAUAAUUUUGGUAUGUGGCAAUGUGAGAUCCUGGAUGUCUUAUGUCAGCAAGAGCUAGAUAUAGCCCUUGAAGAAAAACCUGACAAGAUGGAUGACAAUGAGUGGGCCAAGAUCAAUAGACAGGCGUGUGGUACAAUCCGCCUAUGUUUGGCCAAAGAGCAGAAGUACUCUGUCAUGAGGGAGACAUCAGCGAAGAAGUUAUGGGAUACACUGGAAGAAAAGUUUCUAACGAAAAGUCUUAAAAAUAGGCUUUAUAUGAAAAAGAAACUUUAUCGAUUCACGUAUGCACCCGGUAUGUCGAUGAAUGACCAUGUGAACUCAUUCAAUAAAAUUUUAGCAGACUUGCUAAAUUUGGAUGAGAAAUUUGAAGAUGAAGACAAGGCAUUAUUGUUGUUGAAUUCCCUUCCUGAUGAAUAUGAUCAUCUUACCACCACAUUGCUUCAUGGGAAGGACACGAUCACAUUUGAUGCAGUCUGUAGUGCGUUGUAUAGAUCUGAGACUCAAAAGAAAGAUAAAAGAGAUCACAGAGAUACAACCGCAGAAGUCUUAACAGGAAGAGGUCGUUCACACAGCAGCAAAUCUGGUAGAAGGGGAAAGUCCAAAGGGAGACCCGCCAAAGAUGAAUGUGCCUUUUACCGUGAAAAAGGGCAUUGGAAAAAGAAUUGUCCUAAGCUACAAAAGGGCAAGGCUAUUUCUAAUGCAUGUGUAGCGGAGCAUGAUGAGGAGUCAGACUUUAGCUUGGUUGGCAUGGCAAUGGCAUGUCAAACGGAUGAGUGGAUUUUGGAUUCAGGAUGUACUUACCAUAUGUGUCCUAAUAAGGACUGGUUUUCUAGUAUUAAAGAGCUAGAAGGUGGAAUUGUUCUUAUGGGAAAUGAUAGUGCUUGUAAGACAAUGGGAGUGGGUACAGUCCAAUUGAAGAAUCACGAUGGCUCAAUCCAAGUCUUGACAGAUGUUCGCUACGUACCUAGCCUGAAGAAAAAUCUCAUCUCAUUAGGUGCCCUAGAAUCUAAAGGGCUCACAAUCACUUUGAGAGAUGGAUUACUAAAAGUAGUAGCUGGGCAACUGACGGUGAUGAAAGGCACAAGAAGAAAUAACUUGUAUUUUUUAAAUGGAAGUACAGUUAUUGGAUCAACAUCAACAGUUUCUACAAAAUAUGUAGAUUCAGAGGCUACCAGAUUAUGGCAUAUGCGAUUGGGACAUGCUGGUGAAAAAGCUUUGCAGACAUUGGUGAAGCAAGGCUUAUUGAAAGGUGCAAAUUCUUGCAAAAUGAAAUUCUGUGAACAUUGUGUUCUGGGCAAGCAGAAGAGGGUAAAAUUUGGUCCAGCAAUUCACAAUACGAAAGGAAUUCUGGACUACGUUCACAGUGAUGUGUGGGGACCUACCAAAGUAACUUCUUUGGGAGGUAUGCACUAUUUUGUUACUUUUGUUGAUGAUUAUUCAAGAAAAGUAUGAGUGUAUCUAAUGAAAAGAAAAAGUGAAGUUUUGGAUGCAUUUUUGAAAUGGAAGAAGAUGGUGGAGACUCAGACUGGUCGAAAGGUCAAAUGACUUCGAUCAGAUAAUGGUACUGAGUACAAAAACGAUCCAUUUCUACAAGUAUGCCAAGAUGAGGGCAUUGUGCGACACUUCACUGUUCGGGAUACACCACAGCAAAAUGGGGUGACAGAACGAAUGAAUCGAACUAUACUGGAGAAAGUUUGAUGUAUGUUGUCCAAUGCUGGAUUGGGCAAAGAAUUUUGGGCUGAGGCAGUUACAUAUGCGUGCCAUCUAAUUAACCGUUUGCCAUCAGCUGCAAUAAAUGGAAAAACUCCUAUGGAGAUGUGGACUGGUAAAUCUGCUACUGAUUAUGAUUCUUUACAUGUAUUUGGUUCCACUGCAUAUUAUCAUGUAAAAAAAUCUAAGUUAGACCCAAGAGCAAAGAAAGCAUUAUUCUUGGGUAUAACUGAUGGAGUAAAAGGAUAUCGUCUCUGGUGUCCUGAUACAAGGAAGAUUGUUUUCAGUAGAGAUGUGACUUUUGAUGAAUCAACCAUGUUGAAGUACAAGGAUUCACAAAAGGAUGACAAAACCAGUAGUACUUUGCAGCAGGUGGAGCUUGAAAAGGUUAACGAUGAUCCAGCUAAUAUUGAAGGGACAAAUGAUGAAGAGGUUCCUACCCAAGAACCUCUACAGCAACAAGAUUCAAUUGCAUAUAGAAGGCCAAGAAGAGAGAUUCGUAAGCCUGCUCGCUUUGAUGAUAUAGUGGCCUAUGCACUUCCAAUUACAGAUGAUGAUGUUCAUUCUACUUACACAGAAGUAAUAAGUAACCCUGAUGGUGUAAAGUGGAAGCAAGUAAUGAAUGAAGAAAUGCAGUCUCUUCAUAAAAAUAAGACCUGGGAGUUGGUGACACUACCCAAGGGAAAGAAGGCAAUUGGAUGCAAAUGGGUAUAUGCAAAGAAGGAAGGAUUUCCUGAUAAAAAUGAAAUUCGAUACAAGGCUAGAUUAGUAGCAAAGGGUUAUGCUCAGAAAGAAGGAAUAGACUACAAUGAAGUGUUUUCUCCAGUUGUGAAGCAUUCGUCUAUUCGGAUUUUGCUAGCCUUGGUUGCGCAAUAUGAUCUUGAACUAGUUCAGCUUGAUGUGAAGACCGCGUUUUUACACGGUGAUUUGGAAGAGGAAAUCUAUAUGACUCAGCCAGAUGGAUUCAAGGUUGCUGGAAAAGAAAAUUGAGUUUGCAAACUGACAAAGUCGCUUUAUGGAUUGAAGCAAUCUCCGAGGCAGUGGUACAAGCGAUUUGAUCAGUUCAUGAAAGGGCAAAGGUACACAAUAAGUAAAUUUGAUCAUUGCGUGUAUUUUCAGAAGCUACAAGAAGGAACUUUCAUAUACUUGCUCUUAUAUGUUGAUGAUAUGCUAAUAGCAUCUAAGAGCAAAGUUGAGAUUGAAAGAUUGAAGACUCAACUCAAUCUCGAGUUUGAGAUGAAAGAUCUAGGAGAAGCUAAAAAGAUUCUCGGCAUGGAAAUAUGGAGAGAUAGAGCUCAUGAUAGAGUUAGCUUGUCUCAGAAGCAGUAUUUGAAAAAGGUACUACAACAGUUUGGCAUGAACGAGCAGACAAAACCUGUAAGUACCCCGUUGGCUUCUCAUUUCAAGCUUUCUGCACAACUAUCUCCUUCGACGAAUACGAAACGAGAAUACAUGUUGCAAGUUCCGUAUUCUAAUGCAGUGGGUAGCUUGAUGUAUGCAAUGGUGUGUACAAGACCCGACAUUUCACAGGCAGUUAGUAUAGUGAGCAGGUAUAUGCAUAAUCCUGGAAAAGGACAUUGGCAAGCUAUGAAAUGGAUUCUACGGUAUAUUCAGAAGACCGUGGAUGUUGGAUUACUGUUCAAGCAGGAUAAUACACUUGGUAAAGGUGUUAUUGGGUACGUUGAUUCUGACUAUGCCGGUGAUUUGGACAAGCGAAGAUCAACCACCGGUUAUGUGUUUACACUUGCUGGAGGACCAAUAAGUUGGAAGUCUACACUACAGUCUACAGUUGCAUUGUCAACCACAGAAGCCGAGUACAUGGCUGUAACAGAGGCUGUAAAGGAGGCUGUUUGGUUACAAGGUAUGGCUAAAACCUUGGGGUUGGUUCAAGAGCAUAUUAACGUGUAUUGUGAUAGUCAAAAUGCUAUUCAUUUAGCAAAGAAUCAAGUCUAUCAUGCACGUACAAAACAUAUCGACGUACGAUUCCAUUUUGUGCGGGAAAUUAUUGAAGAGGGGAAAAUUUGUCUUCAGAAGAUCAAGACUGCAGAUAAUCCCGCAGAUAUGAUGACCAAGGUGGUAACAGCAACCAAGUUCGAACAUUGUUUGAACUUGAUUAAUAUCCUGCAAGUUUAACAGUUGAAGAAGGCACUAUCAAGUAUUGUUGUCAAAAGCAGAAAGAAUUGUGUGAAGAUAAGAUUAUCGUAAUCAAAUCUUCAAGGUGGAGAUUAUUGGAACCCACCAUUGUUUGAAAAGUCAAAUGGGGUGGGCACCGAAAGUAGAAAGUAAUAUUGGUUGGCAAGUUGGGUUAAAAGUUGGCAUGGGAUAAUUGCAAUUUUGGUCCCUAAUUGUAUAGGGACAUUGCAAGUUGAUCCUUGAACCUCAACUAUAAAUAGGCCUAACCAUUUCUUACUUUCUUCAUCCCAUAAUUGCCAUUCUCUACUUAAGGCAUUAUUCUCUCUCUCUAUUUGUAAAUUUCACUUGUAAUUUUUGGAGUGAAAUAUAUUUGGUAGUGCCCGAGGACGUAGGCAAAAUUUGCUGAACCUCGUUAAAAUUCUGGUGUUCUUUAUUAUUUGUUUUGCAUAUUUUGUGAAUGUGAUUGUAGUGAUUUAUUGUGCUAUUAAAUUACGAUAGCGGGAUAUUCUGGCUAGGAAAGACUUGGUAUUUAAGUGAUCUUCGUGAUCUACCUCUCUUUCCUGGGAAUUGAACUUAGUGUGAUUUUUCAGUACAAUAAUUUUACUCUUUCACACGCUUCCGCGCAACAAGACUUUUAUACUUUCCUAGUAGAGGAAUAAUUUAAUUACAAUUCAUUCUAUUAUUAUGUAUUAAAUGAACAAUUUCAAUUCCAAAUAUAAGUUGAGAUCUAAUUAUUUCGUCCAAUUGUCUUUAAAAACAUUUAAACCUAUCAAUUAUUUGAAUCUCAAUAUUUCAGAUUUUUUUAAGGUUAUAACAUUCUCACUGUAAAGAAAAUAAGGAUUAAAUUGUCAAAUUUUAUAAACGCUAAGAACCUUUUUGUCAUCUUGCCUAAUUUAUGUUUCAUGUAAAAAACAACUAAUUAUAUAAUAACAUAAUUUUUUCUCAAAAUCCUAAUUCCCUAAAUUCAUCCGAGCCUAUAAUUGCUAAAGCGUCCCCUUCUAUUUCAACUUGAUGACUUUUGUUGGUCCCCCACUUGCAUGAUCCUUUGAGUAGACUUUCAUGCUUCUAUUGGUCUAGGGAUAAACAUAAAACACCAAGAUUAUUUUUGUUGCAUUGUGAUCAUCUAUACCAUUAGUAUAUUAAUUUAACCUCAAAUUGAUAUAUUUUUGUUCAUAUCACAAAAAACACAACUGUUAAAAAUCUUACUUACGUCAACCAAAAGCCAUAUCUCUAUUUCUCUAAACCUAACAUUAGACAAGAACAAAAAAUGAAUCUAGUGAAUUUUGAAAAAAAAAAUUGGUCAUACAGAAAAUAUUUUCCAAUUAAUUAAAAGAGUAUACUUUAUAUUUAUAUUUGAAUAAGUGUUAAAAAUAAAUGUCUAACCAUAAAUACUUCAUAAAAAAUAUAAACUAAAUAGUUGGUGUUAGGAUCGUCCCGAAUAAGUAACGAACAAGUAAAAAUAGUAGAAGAAAUUGAGAAGAUGAACACACAAAUUUAACGUUGAAAAACCCCUCAAAAGAGGAUAAAAAACCACGGGCAAAGAUAACUUUACUAUAAUGGCAAAAGAAUGAAGAGUACAAAAGAUGGAGAUAAAAAACUAAACCCCGAAAACCCGAAAAACAAAGAACCCUCAAACGUAAACACAAAAUUCUCUGAAUGUGUUAUGAGUUCUAAUCUAAUGGGUGUCUCUUUUAAUUCUAAGAUUGUAAAUGAGCCUAUUUAUAGGCUAAAUUAGCAAGUCAAAUAAACUAUACUAAUAAAUGCUAAAUAUAUUAUACUAAUAAAUACUAAAUCUUCUAGAAAGAAAAUAUAUUUUUGUUUAACUUGACUUGCAAGCAAUCUCUUAGAAUUUGGGUCACACAAUUCUAACAAUCUCCACCUUGACACAAAUUCUUUCAAUGCCAUCUUUGCCAAAACCCGCCACGGGCCUAUCUUGAACUAUGCAGGGAAUUAACUGAGUCGAAUCUAUGCUUAGAAGCUGGAAGACUUCUAGCCUUCGACUUGUGCACUGCCAAAUCAAAACUAACCCGGGUCUGAUUUUUACGAAUACAAUGCCCUAACUUUUCAAAACCUGCAUCCAAAAGAGAACCUCUCUUCAACGAAACGGUCAUACCUUUUUCCCUCCUAUGACCAAGUUACCUCCGCUUCAAAUGAGUUGACUUUGACUCUGUAACGGAUGAGGGACGUCCGAUUUCACCGGUCACUGUAGAACCUUCCAGAAUAUAAAGACUGCCGGUUCUUUUACCUUUUAACAAAAUGAGAGCUCCACGAGAUACUUUAAUGUCGCUCGACUCGAUGUUGAUUCUGCAUCCUUUCAAGUCUAAAAUACUCAAGGAGAUGAGAUUCUUUCGUAAAUCAGGUACAUACUUGACAUCUGAGAGUGUCCUAAUCGUCCCAUCGUGUAUCCUAAUUUUAACAGUACCAAUACCGAUUAUUUUACUAGAUGAAUCGUUUCCCAUGUGCACAACGCCACCUUCAACUGAACUGCAUGUGGAGAACCAUUCUCUAUUGGGACACAUGUGGAAAGAACAUCCUGAAUUUAGGAUCCACUCAGACGUAAGCUUGGAGUUAUCGCUCGUUGACACUAACAAGAAAUCAUCACCGCCUUCAUCGACCAAAUUAGCACCAGCUACAUCUUCCUCGUUACUCUCAGCAGCUCUUUUAUUUCGCAGUUUAUAACAAUCUGCUUUGACGUGACCUAACUUUUUGCAAUAGCGACACCUUUUGUCUCGUUUCUUUGAUGCUACCAAAACGGAAGCUUGUCUAUCUGCUUUGCUAUUCAAAUCAAACUCAUUGUCGAGUUUGUCUCUACUCAACAAAUGACCCUUCACAUCUUCGAACGAGAGUUUGUCUCUACCAUAAAUCAGGGUCUCCCUGAAAGACUUGUAUGAAGAGGGUAAAGAGCACAAUAAUAGCAUAGCUUGAUCUUCAUCGUCAAUAAGAACCUCAACGUUCUUUAAAUCAUUUAAAAGAGUAAUGAAUUGACUGAUGUGAUCUUUAAGAAGCUCACCUUCGUUCAUGCGAAACGUAAAUAGACGUUGUUUCAACACUAAACGGUUAGCCAGAGACUUAGUCGCAUAAAGAGUUUCUAACCUUUUCCACAAGGCGAAUGAGGUCUUCUCCAUCAAUACCUCCUGCAAUACUGUAUUCGCGAGGCACAACUGGAUUGCAGACAAGGCCUUUUCAUCAAGCUCUUCCCAUUCUGUUUGAUUUAGAUUCUCAGGCUUUUUCCCUGUAACAACCUUUUUCAAGCCAUUUUGAACUAGAAUUGCCAUCAUCCGAACUUGCCACAGAUUGAAAUUUGUCUCACCAUCGAACUUCUCAAUUUCAAACCUUGUUGCUGCCAUCUCUGAACGGGCUGAUCUAUGAAAGUUAAACUAGCUCUGAUACCACUUGUUAGGAUCGUCCCGAUUAAGCAACGAACAAGUAAAAAUAGUAGAAGAAAUUAAGAAGAUGAACACACAAAUUUAACGUGGAAAAACCCCUCAAAAGAGGAUAAAAAACCACGGGCAAAUAUAAUUUUACUAUAAUGGCAAAAGAAUGAAGAGUACAAAAGAUGGAGAUAAAAAACUAAACCCCGAAAACCCGAAAAACAAAGAACCCUCAAACGUAAACACAAAAUUCUUUGAAUGUGUUAUGAGUUCUAAUCUAAUGGGUGUCUCUUUUAAUUCUAAGAUUGUAAAGGAGCCUAUUUAUAGGCUAAAUUAGCAAGUCAAAUAAACUAUACUAAUAAAUGCUAAAUAUAUUAUACUAAUAAAUACUAAAUCUUCUAGAAAGAAAAUAUAUUUUUGUUUAACUUGACUUGCAAGCAAUCUCUUAGAAUUUGGGUCACACAAUUCUAACAGUUGGAAUAACAUUAUUUGUACUUCAAGCCAUGAAAUUUAAAUGGUACUUUUAUUAGAAUGAACUAAACCUAUUUAAGUACUAUUAAGAAUUUAUAUUUAAUAUUCUAAAUAUAUAAAAACAAUUUUGAUUGGUUAAAUUGAACACAUGAUCUCAAAUAAAAAUGAAAUGGUUUUAACUUAACCGAAAUUAUGAUCUAAUCUUCAUUAAAAGGUUUUCACCUUAUUAUUACUUGUUUCGUCACGGUUUCUUUUCCGCAUUUAUGUCUUAAAUUGAUUAUAUUUACUUCAACCUAAAAAUAAAAUAUAGAUGUAAGUGAAUAUAUAAUGAAAAUAAUAUUUUAAUAAAUCUAGUUUGAAGUCUUAAUUGGCGUUAUUCAAGUAUUAAUGGUACGUAUUGUAAGCCAAUUCAUGUAUGCACCAAGUGAAGAUCAUAUGGAGGUUGUUUAUCGAAUCUUACGAUAUCUAAAAUUUUUUCGAGAAAAAGGAUUAUCUUUUUGCUAAAAAUGGAGAUCAAGAAAUAAAGAAAUAUAUAGAUGCGGAUUGAAUUGGAAGUCAAAUUGAUCGAAAGUCUACAUCGAGAUAUUUUAUAUUUGUUGGAAAUAACUUGGUUACAUGGCGAAAUAAGAAAUAAAAUAUUGUAGCAAAAUCUAAGUGCAAAGGCAGAAUUUCUGUGGAAUGACACGAAGUAUCUAUGAAUUGCUAUGGAUAAAAUUUUAAAUCUAGUAGUAGGGCUUAUACCCCACUGUUUACAAUAAGUAAUGCUGAAAGGGUUUUGUAUAUAUUUCAGCAUCCUAAGUAGCAAACUGUGGCUGUCCAUGCAAAUACCAUUUAGGAUUAUAUUUUAUAACCUAGCAUUUUAUAAAAUAAAAAAUUUGUGUUUAAUUUUGGAAUUUUUAUUUCCUUUUUUUAAUUGUUUUAAUUUUUUAGAGAUUAUUUUUAUUAUCGAUUUUUAAUCUUUUAAUACUUUUUAAAAAUAUUUAUAAUUUAUUGUACUUUUCUGGUCCUAACAACUCUAAAGUCUAGUUACAUUCAAGCUUUGAUAGCAUUACAAAAUAAUCAACAGUAAACAAAAGAAAAAAGUUACUUCUGGUCCUGCUCGAAUUCUGAUCUGCAGCAGCUGCUGGUCUGCUUCUUGGCCUAUUGUUGCAUUGCAGUCCAUGUUCAACACUCCUACUUGGACUGUAGGCAACAAACACCAACUGAUUCUCUAAGAGAUUCAAACCUCAUAGUACAGAGAGGCUUUGUCAAAAUAUCAGCCAAUUGACUUUGUGAGCUACAAUGUGCAAGACUUACAUCCUUUGAUUGCACUGCCUCUCGAACAAAAUAGAAUUUGAGUUUAAAAUGUUUUGUUUUACCAUGAAAAAUAGCAUUUUUGGAGAUAGCUAUUGCUGAUUGAUUAUCAACCAUAAUCUCAGUAGGCUCAAAUUGUUCCUCAUUCAAAUCACACAACAAUUUUCUAAGCCAAAUAGCUUGGCUUACUGCUCCAGCUGCUGCUAUGUACUCUACCUUUGCAGUUGAUUGAGCAACUAUUUGUUGCUUUUUAGAGCUCUAACAGAAAGCUCCCGAACCAAGUGUAAAAAGGUAGCCUGAGGUACUCCUCAUAUCAUCAAUCGAUCCUCCCCAGUCACUGUCUAAAUAGCCAGUCAAUUUUAGUUUAUUCCCUGACUUGAACAUCACUCCAAACUUCAAGGUUCCUUUAACAUACCUGAGAAUUCUCUUUGCUAUCUUUAAAUGUGAUGUAUUGCAGCUAUGCAUGAAACGAGAUAACAUACUUACAGAAUGCAUAAGAUCAGGCCUUGUUGCUGUUAAGUAAAGCAAACAUCCAAUCAGACUCCUAUACUCCCUUUCAUCCACUUUUUCUUCAUUUCCAUAGCUACUUAAUUUCUGUCCUGUGACUAGAGGUGUACUCACCGGUUUGCAAUUUUCCAUGUGGAAUUUAGUGAGUAUCUUCAGGGCAAAUGCAUGUUGACUGAUGAAAAUACCCUGACUAAUCUGACUCACCUCCAUACUAAGGAAAAAACUCAUAAUUCCCAAAUCAGUCAUAUCGAACAUGACUUGCAUUUUCUCAUUGGAACUCUUGAAUCAGCUCAAAUUUGCUUCCUGUAACCAACAAAUCAUCCACAUAUAUUGACACUAUCAACAGUGUCUCAUCUUUUGACUUUUUCACAAACAAAGUUGGUUCACUCAAGCUCUUCUCAAAGUUGAGUUUAGACAGAUACCCAUCAAUUCUGUCAUACCAGGCUCGAGGAGCCUGUUUCAAACCAUAAAAUGCCUUCUUCAGCCUAUAAACCUUGUCCUCCUUUCCUUGAACUUUAAAUCCAUCAGGCUGUUCAACAUAAAUUUCCUCUUUAAGAAGGCCAUUCAGGAAAGCUGACUUGACAUCAAGCUGGUGGACCUUCCACUGUUUCUGUGCAGCCAAGGCAAACAGCAACUUUAUAGUGUCCAGCCUUGCUACUGGAGCAAAAGUUUCCUCAAAAUCAAUGCCAAAUUGUUGGCUAUACCCUUUCACCACAAGCCUUGCCUUGUGUUUGUUCAGAGAGCCAUCUGCAUUGAACUUAGUCUUGUAAACCCACUUGACACCAAUGACUUUCUUCUAUUCAGGUCUGUCCAUAAGAUCCCAAGUGUCAUUCUUGUGGAUCAUAUCAAUUUCAGCCUCCAUGGCUUUCAUCCAACUCUUGCUUCUAUCAGCCUCUUCAUAGCUUGAGGGUUCAGCAAUAGCUACGUUGCAUCUCUGGUAGAUAUCAGCAAUCGACCUAGUCCCUCUCAUAGGAGCAUCAUCAACAUUGGCAUUACUGACUUCAUUUUCUGCCAAUUCUAGGUUGCUAUCACCUUUCUCUUCUUCAAACUGUCUUGUAUCUGAACCAUCAAAGUUCUAAAACCUUGUUUCAUCAAAUUUAAUAUCCCCACUUACCAGAAUCUUCUUGGUCAAGGGAUCAAAUAUUCUGUAGCCCUUCUUACAGCUACUAUAGCCAACAAAUAUGCCAGCAAUUGAUCUGUUCUCAAGUUUGGUCCUUCUUUCUGCUGGUACAAGUACAUAACAUAUGCAGCCAAAUAAUUUUAAGUGUAAGACAACAGGUUUGAGACCAUACCAUGCUUUAAAAGGGGUCCUCAAAGAUAGGAGGCUCUGAUUACCAUUUAUUAGAAUAAUGGCUGCAGCAACUUAAAGCAAAUCGAGCAUCAAGAGCAUAAGCUCUUCAAACAGCAAGCAAAAACAAAGAAAAAAUGAAAAGACUAAAAACAGAAAGUAACUGAUGAAGUAAUUCAAUUUUCUCAUUGAAACUUUGAAAUAUAAGAUGUUACAAAAAUAGUAUGACAGUUACCUAACAUAUGUAACUGCUCCCAUCAGUUUUAGCAAGUUGCAAUACAAAAUAAUACAAAUUAAAAGAGCUGAACAUUUCAGCCAUUACAUCUAUCAAAUUCAAAUCCUAACAACUCUAAAGUCUAGUUACAUUCAAGAUUUGAUAGCAUUACAAAAUAAUCAAAAGUAAACAAAAGAAAAAAGUUGCUUCUGGUCCUGCUCAAAUUCUGAUCUGCAGCAGCUGCUGGUCUGUUUCUUGGCCUAUUGUUGCAUUGCAGUCCAUGUUCAACAUCAUGUUGUCAAUGAUAAAUUUUGUUUGUCACAUUUUGACAGGUCCGAUGGAAAAGAGGUUAUGGUGGACAACCAAUAUCUUCAAGCUAACAAUCCACUGCUGGUAAUGGAUCAUUUUCUUGCCUAAUCUUUUCCUUCACUAAAUUGCCUCAAAGAGCUAACAAUUCUUGCACUUCUUUUGUUUUUUUUUCUUCCAUUGCAGUUAAUCAGCCAAAACGACUUCCACCUUUUCGGCUUCUGACACCACCGAUCCAUAGGCUGCAAGUAAGGCACAGGUAUUUUCUAUCUUCGCAAUAUAAUCUGUGACAGUUAACUCACCCUUCUUUGUAAAAUUAAGAUCAUGCUUGAUGCUAGAAAUUUUGCACUGGUUGACGCAGCGAAAAGACGAUUUGCAGUGCUCCAGAUGUCACACGCAGAUUGAGCAGAGGUAAAACAUGACAAAAGUGACGAACUAAUCAUACUUAGGAGCCAAAAAGCUAACAGCUUAUCCUGUUGAUUGAACGCAACCGCUUCUGGAUUCGGAAUAAGAGCACCUUCUGGAGACACAAUAAACCGAGACGAAGCAGACAGCGUACCUUCCAAGAAACCUUGCAGCUCAUAUCCCUCUAUUAUCAACAGGCUAUGUUGCUGCCAUUGAACAAAGUUUUCUCCCUCUAGUUUCACCGUGUCAUGACAAGGGAAAGAUUGGACCAGGCGUUGACCGAAAAACGUCGGACUCCUAGGAUCAGCAAAGUUAGAUACGACUGAUGGUGCCAUAACACAACAACGGAAGCACGUACCAGGACUAGGUGACUGGUACCAUGCUCAAAAUAUGUAUAAACAGAAAAAUGAAGUAUAGAAGAAUUCUUUAGUCUUAUGCUAUCUAGUUGAAUGAAUACACUGAUGAGGUUUUAUACAAAUAUGAUAACCAACUGCCUAAUGAACUGCUUAACAAAUUUUGUAACAACCUAUCAAACUAACCAUCGUAACAACUGUUUAACACUCACGCACAAAAGAUUUUCUAAUUGAAUAUUAGUGCAUACUUUAUAUUCAUAUUUGAAUAAAUAUUAAAAAAAUGUCUAAAUAUAAAUAUUUUAUAAAAAAUAUAAAUUGAGGAGUUGGAAUAAUAUUAUUUGUACUUCAAGCCAUGGAAUUUAAAUGAUUAUUCAUUAGAAGGGAUUAAAUCUAUUUAAGUACAAUUAAGGAUUUAUAUUUAAUCUUCCAAAUAUAUAAAAACAGUUUUGACUAAUUAAAUUGAACACAUAAGUUGGUCUCUAACAAAAAUAAAAUAAUUUUUAACUCAGUUGAAAUGAUGGUUAAUCCUUAUUAAAGGAUUCUCACUUUAUUAUUACUUACUUCGUCUUCAUUUUUGUCUCACAAUUUUGUUUCAAGUUGUUUCAUCUUCAACCUACAAAUAAGAUAUAGAUGUAAGUGAAUAUAUAUAAUGAAAAUAAAAUUUUAAUAAAAAAAAAAGUGAAACCAAUCAAAAUGUAAACAUUUAGAUUAUGUAAAAAGGAAUGAAUUAAGUGACUAAAAUUUUAAAUGGUAUAAAAAACAAUGUUAUCAACAUUUGAGAUAUGUAGAUGUUGAAUAUGAAUAUGAAUAAAUUUUUUUAAAAUGUUUUUGGCAUAUAAUGGAAGGAUCAUAUCUCAUAAGCAAAACAAGUCUAGAAUAAUUGUUUAAAUGAAAUACAAGAUGUGUAAACAAAAAUUAAUAGGACAAAGUUGGUUAAGUAGUUUACCUCAGUUAAUGCUUCUUUCUUGAUUGGUCCAUUACAAAAUUGAAAAAAUUUUGCAUCAGUUUUGGUUGCGGCUCUUCUUCCUCCAUUUCUUCAUAGAUAUUACGUUUCCGUUUUAUGUGAGAAGUGCUACCUACUGAUCCAUGGUUGUGAGCAGAGUGUUGGUGGAUGUGCUCAAAAUUUGGAGAAGAUUGAGUGGUAUCGCACUGCAACUCUUUCAUUUCUUCCAAAUCUUUCUCAUACACUAUUCUAACACCACACUUCUUCACCUUAACACAACGGUAAUUUGGUCCAAAAAAGGUACUGAAAGACAACUCAGGCUCAUCGCAUAUUUGAUCUAAGCAAUCUGUCGUCCAUAAAUUAUUGGUUUCACAGUCACCAUAUUUAUCACGCGGAAAAUAACGAAGAAAAAGGUGAUCUUUCAUUAUGGGCUUGCGAAAGUAUCGACCUACCCACCGAUUUCUCCAAUCAAUUGGUCUACAAUUUCUACCUCGAAAAACUCUAGAUCCAUUACAGCUGAUAGACUCCUUAUUCCUUGAAGCAUCAUUAUUGACAAAAAUGCAGCAACAAGCAACUCCAAUCCAUUCACUAUCUUUCCGAAGUGGUAUCUUAAUUGAAGAGUCACUUUUUUGUUGGCUAAACCAUUCUGGGAUUUCACUUCCGGGCAUCAUAAUAUCAAAGAAGCCAUCAGCAAAAAAUUUUCUUGAUUUUGGAAAUGCCUGCAAAAUAAAACACAAGUCGUUUGGUAACUAAAACCAUAUAUUCUCAAGUAUGAGAUUUUGGAAGGGAGAAAAAAAUAGAUUAAUCGACCUUAAUAUGUUCUUUCAGCAGUGUUAAUACAUUGAUUUUCUCAGCCAAUUUGAAGCAGUUAAUGGCACUAAUGUCACCACAACACACUAAAUUGCAUACUUUUGAUGGACUUGCAACUACUUCAAGUGAAGAACAACUAUCUAGCCACCCAUCUUCUAUACUUGUUGGUAGCUCAGGCAACGAGUUAAGCUUCAUGCAAUUUGAUAAUGCAAGCAAUUUAAGCUUGGAAAGUUGAGUCAGAGCCGAAGGAACGGUGAUGAAAUUGUUACCGUCAAGAAAAAGCCGUUUCAAAGAGGAUAGACCAUGAAUAUCUGCUUCACCAAGAGUGCACAUGUUGCAAUUUGACAAUCUAAGCUCUUCAAGCUUGGAGAGUCGAGUAAGAGAUGCAGGUAUGCUGAUGAAAUUGUUACCACUAAGAUCAAGUUCUUCCAAACAGGAUAGACUAGAAAGAUCACGUGGAAUAUCUCCUUCACAAAGAUUGCAGUCCUUUAGUUUUAGCUCUCUUAAAGAACUCAAACAUGACAACAAAGGCAACAUCCGAGCCAUGGGAUUCGUCCUUCUUCCUUGGAUUACCUUGAAAAGAGAAGGCAAAUUUGGUAGUAACUUAUAUGAUGGUCCCUUGCGCCCAUUGAAAGACAGAACUUUAAGAUUUUUAAAUUGAAAAAUGAAGGAUGGUGGUUCUGUUAUGGCUGUUUCACUCAAGUCGAGCUCUUCCAAAAACUUUGCUUGCUGCAAAUUCUCCGAUAAAUUUUCCACUCUAUAACAACCGGAAAGAUUUAGAGUUUUUAAACGUUCCAUUUUCCCAUCAAUCUCCGGAAACCUUACAAGACUUGAGCAACCCGAAAGAAUUAAUGUUUCUAGAGAUUCCAUUCCGAUUUUGGUUGGAAGAGUCGUAAGACUUUUGCAAUCUCUUAAAUUCAAAAGUUUAAGGCUCUUAAGCAACCGGAUUGAUGGAUGAACAUCCACUAAUUUGGUACAACCUUCCAAAAUCAAAACUUCAAGAUUUGAUGCUGUUGUGAAGUCUGGUGUCUUGAUCAGGUUUUGAGACCCUCUGAGGUUCAUUAUUUUCAUGUUAAACAAGUGCUGUUGAAGACCAUAAUAAAUUAGAAAUAAAUGAGAAAACAUAAUAAUGCUCAUUUUUGCUUUUUUUUUUGUUUUACCUUAAUCAAAUUUUAAUAAUUUAUAUUAAAAUAAGCUAAAACACAAGGAUAAGAUGAGUAAAUUCUUACUCUAUUUCCCUUCCAUAGUUGUUGAAUGUGACUAUAUGGUAAAAGAAGCGCAACAAGGUUGUUCGGUUGAAAGCUUGAAGGCAAGUAUCUUAAAGGGUAUCCUGUCCAAUCUAAAAGUCGUAAUUCAUUAGAAAGAUAUUUAAGAUCAUCACAAUUUGAAAGGCAAAGCACUUUGAGCAAUCUCAGUUUUUUCAUCUUCAAGAAGCUAUCCACACUCAAAUUGAGCAUCUUGUUCGAUUCCCUAAUAUCCAUGAGCAAAACAAAAAUGAGCUUCAAAAUAUACAAAAGCAUUCAAUAUCUAAAAGAAAUGUUGCAUCGAUAUUGUUUUUUAAGUACUCGUAUCCAAUACUUAUAUCUAAUGCACAUUCGUAUAUGGGUAUUAAGAUAUGAUCCUUUAAGAACCUUUUUAAAUAAGUGAAAAAAAUAAUUUUUAAAUUUUUUUUGAAUAUACCCAUAUUAAAGAGAUACUUAUAUCUAACAAUCACAUCCGAUGUUAAAUUACCUAAUCCUAAAAAAUUGAAUUAAUAUGUUGAUUUAUAUUUGGUCCGCAAACAAUGCAUAAUUUACAAGUUAAUGAACCAAACAAUGACACAUAAUUAAAAAAAACCAUUUUCAUUAAAAAAAUUUUGAUGACAUGUUAUAAUCUAAUUCGUUGAUAUACACUUUUAGUACAUUAAAUAUAUAGCAUUAAUUUUCAAAAAAAAUAUACCAUUAAUAUUUCAAAAAUACAUACAUUUCUCUUUUGAAAAAGUAAAUAUGUUGCUAGAUAAAUUUCAUAAUUAAACAUUGAAAUAUUGAAUGUCAAAAGUUUUGUUAUAGUUUUUUUUUAUCAUAUUUAAAAAUAAUAAUUAUUUACAGUACACAUAGAUAUAAGUUUAUGUGUGUCUUCUUACCUUUUAAUAUCAAUGAUUAUGCCUUCAACCAAUUCUGUAGCCUAAAAAAGAUCAACGACAGAUAAUAAGAAAAUAAAAUAAAUGGUGAAUAAUGUAGGAUAGAAAAGAAAAAGUAUGUAACUAUUGUUGAAUGACUUACAGUGUUUUUUGUUAGGACAUGAUGGACGUCUCUUUCCUCCCACAAUCUGCAACGUUUUCCAGGUUCAUCAAUACAUUUUUCUCUAACAAUUGUUCUUCCCAUCUCUUGUAACAAGUCAUGCAUCUUCAAAUUUUUGUUGUGUUUAUCGACUUUUACGAGGGAUUUUUUAAUGAGAACAUCAAUUCCAAUAUCAGGAAAAAACUCACAACCAUCCAAUACUUUGAUUACAAAAUCUUUAUUCUCCCCAUUGAAGAAGCAUGCUAUAUCUAAAAAUAUAUUCUUCUCCCUUUCUUCCAGUCCAUCAAAACUGAUUCGAAGUUUAUCGAAAAUUUCUUUAUUAGAAUCUCUUUUAAGUCUUUCAAUCGCACUUCUCCAUUGAGUCGCAUCUCUACCGCACAAGAAGGAACCCAAAACUUCAAGAGCUAAAGGGAGUCCGCCAGCAUAAUUUACAACAUGUUUAGAAAGCUCAAUGAAAUCAUCUUUCUGCACUGUAUCACUAUGAAAAGCUUUCAGACUGAAAAGUUGAAGCGCAUCUUUGGGAUUCAAUGUUGUGGGCUCAUACAUAUCAUCAACUGGCCAAGAUCGAAGCAAAUGUUCUUCUCUUGUUGUUACAACGAUUCUACUUCCUAAUCCGAACCAAUCGUGCCUUCCAACCAAGCAUUUUAAGUGUUGUAUGUUAUCAACAUUAUCAAGAACAACAAGAACCUUUUUGUGAGACAACCUAUGGCUAAUUAUGUCACUCCCUUCAUGAACAUCGAAAAAGUUGAAGCAUUCACCAUGAAAGAUCUGUGAAAGAAGUUGUUUCUGUAAAGAAACUAGUCCGCAUUUGUCUGAAACUUCUCGAAUAUCAGCAAUAAAGCUUUUACCUUCAAAAUGAGAUGACAUUUGAGUGUAAGCAGCUCUUGCGAGUGUCGUUUUACCGAUACCACCCAUUCCGCAAAUUCCUAUAACUCGGACAUCAUCUUCCCCAAUGUUAAUUUUCAAAUAUAAAUCCUCCAAGCGUUUACUAAUUCCAACCAAGUCGCUAUGAGUAGCUGGAUAUGUCUGACAUAGUUUUGCUGAUAUCUUCUUGACAAUGUCUUUAAUAAAUUCUGAUUCAUGCCUAAAAAAAAGAGAGGAAAAUUUAAUGUUUUGAAUAAAAUUUUGUUGAUAUGUUUCAAAUACACUUUCUUUUUCAAUGAAUCAUCAAACAUAAUAUAGUUUGGAAGCAAACAAGAACCAAGAAUAAGAAAGCAAGAUCUGUUGCGGAGCCAGAAUACAAAGUUUGCUCUUUCAUUGAAAUAUAACACUUUUCAAUUAAACAAAUAGGAUUAGAAAGAAAAAAAAGUUAUACAUAUAUAUCCAAAAAACUAGAAAAUAAAGAAGAAAAGAAAGAAUUACCUGUUAUUUAAAUGCCAUCCCUUGAUUGCAGCCACUUGAAUUAAAGCAUUUCGCCAUCUUUGGAUCUUCUCACUAUCUUCUUUGUAUCUCUCUUUAUGUCUGGCAAAGGCUUCUUCCACUUUCUCUUUUUGUUUUCUUAAAUCAGAUGGACCAACAUGGUAAAAAAUUGGAAACACUUUAUGGCCGUCGUUGUUAUGUUGUUUAACAAUCUCAGCAAGCUCCUCCAAGCACCAACUUGAAAAGGCAUAAGUUUGUGAAAAAACGAUUACUGAGCACCAUGAUUGGUGAAUUGCUUUAAAGAGUUCAGGUGCGAUCUCUUCGCCGGCCUCCAGCUUUGGAUCAUCUCUGAAAGUGACGAUCCCACUCCUACUUAGAGCAUCAUAGAGAUGAUCGGUAAAGUUGUUGCGGGUAUCUUCACCUCUGAAACUCAAGAAAACAUCGUAUUUUUUUCUAGAAAUGGAGGAAGAAGGUAACGACAACAUGAGGAUGUAUGAAAGGAGGAGGAUAUUUCAAUCUGGUGUUCAAAAUCAGAAAAUAAUGAAUAUAUGAGGAAAAACAUAUGAAAAAUAGAAGAGGGCCGGGUGAUAUGUUCGUUCCAUGAAGGUGAGAAUUAAAAAUAUUGGACGGUUUGUAUUUUAUGUACUUAACAAUGAAAGAUAAUAAUUAAAAACAUUAGUUUUCGAAAUGAAAGGGAGUAGGUGUGGAAAUUCGGGGUUAUUGAUGUUGUUUCCGGGAAGACUCCAAGAAGGUGAGAGUAGACAAAAGACACUCAAAUUUCUCAAAUAUCUUAAACAUUUGGGGUUUGACAAGCUCAAUUACUUCCAGAACCGGCGACCUGGAUUCCAAAUUCCAAUAAUUCUUUUCCGCGAAAAUCAAACUAAUCAAAGAUAUAUAGAUGAAUAAAUAAAAAUAAAAGAGUGAGGAAUUAAGGAUAAAAGUAUUCAAAUCUGCCUAAUUUCAGGAAUCAAAGAGUUGAUUCACGAAAUGUCAAAGUCAGAGUGAACAGUGACUAGGAAAAUGGUUUUUUUAACAAAAAAUAAGAAGUUAAGAACAGAGGUAUACUGACUAAUGAAGUUUUAAUCCCACAAGUAAUUUUACAAGCUUUUCCCAGAGGUUUUAGGUGAAAUACUGGGGACCUUUUAAGCGGUGAAAAUCUCCUCUCAAAUUUCUAUGGUUUUUGUUACUAAAAUGAAAAUAAAAUUUUAAAAAAUAAAAAAAAAUGAAGCCAAUUAAAAUAUGCACAUUUAAAUUAUGUAAAAAAAAUGAAUUAAGUGACUAAAAUUUUAAAUGGUAUGAAAGAAUGUAAUCAACAUUUGGGAUAUGUAUAGAAUAUGAGCUCAUGUUGAAUAUGAGUAUGAAUAAAAAAUUCAAAUUUGUUUGAUAUAUACGAAGGAAUGUAAAUAAGUCUAGAAUGAUUAAAUUAAAUAAAAGAUGUAAACAAUAAUUAAUAGGACAAGGUUGGUUAAGUAGUUUACCACAGUUAAUGCUUCUUUCCCGAUUGGCCCAUUAUAAAAUUGAAAAUUUUUUGCAUCAGUUUUGGUUGCGGCCCUUCUUCCUCUGCUUCCUCGUAUAUAUUACGUUUUCGUUUUAUGUGAGAAGUGCUACCUACUAAUGGAUAAUCUUUUUGAGCAGAGUGUUGGUGGAUGUGUUCAAAAUUGGGAGAAGAUUGAGUGGUAUGUCACUGCAACUCUUUUAUUUCUUCCAAAUCUUUCUCAUACACUAUUCUAAUACCACACUUGAUCUUCACCUUACCGCCUCUAGAUCUACCUGAGAAAGACAUCCGGAGCUCAUCGUAUUUUUUAUCUAAGCAAUUUAUUGUCCAUAAAUUAUUGGUUUUACAGUCACCAUAUUUAUCCUCCAUGGAAAUUGGAUAUAAUAUAUGCUUUAUCCGCCAAAAACAAAGAAAAAGAUGAUAUUUAAUUAUGGGCAGGUGAAAUCCUCUAUCCACCGACGAGUUACUCCAAGCAAAAUUUAGAGAAAUUUUACCUCGAUAUAAUUUAUGGGUGGCUUGUUGAAAAUUUCUAUACAAGAUAGAUCCAUUACAACUGAUAAUCUCGCUUGAAGCAUCAUUAUCGACAAAAAUGCAGCAACAAGCAACUCCAAUCCAUUGACUAUCAUUCCGAAGGUUGAUAGGUUAGGGUACCUAAAUUGAAGAGCCACUUUUUUGUUGGCCAAACCAUUCUGGGAUUUCACUUCCGGGCAUAACAAUAUCAAACGGUUUUCUUGAAUUUGCAAAUGCCUGCAAAAUAAAACACAAGUCGUUUGGCAACUAAAACCAUAAAUUCUCAAGUAUGAGAUUUUGUAAGGGAGAAAAAAUAGAGUAAUCGACCUUGUUAGGAUCGUCUCGAUUAAGCAACGAACAAGUAAAAAUAGUAGAAGAAAUUGAGAAGAUGAACACACAAAUUUAACGUGAAAAAACCCCUCAAAAGAGGAUAAAAAACCACGGGCAAAGAUAAUUUUACUAUAAUGGCAAAAGAAUGAAGAGUACAAAAGAUGGAGAUAAAAACUAAACCCCGAAAACCCGAAAAACAAAGAACCCUCAAACGUAAACACAAAAUUCUCUGAAUGUGUUAUGAGUUCUAAUCUAAUGGGUGUCUCAUUUUCUAAGAUUGUAAAGAAGCCUAUUUAUAGGCUAAAUUAGUAAGUCAAAUAAACUAUACUAAUAAAUGCUAAAUAUAUUAUACUAAUAAAUACUAAAUCUUCUAGAAAGAAAAUAUAUUUUUGUUUAACUUGACUUGCAAGCAAUCUCUUAGAAUUUGGGUCACACAAUUCUAACAAUCUCCACCUUGACACAAAUUCUUUCAAUGCCAUCUUUGCCAAAACCCGCCACGGGCCUAUCUUGAACUAUGCAGGGAAUUAACUGAGUCGAAUCUAUGCUUAGAAGCUGGAAGACUUCUAGCCUUCGACUUGUGCACUGCCAAAUCAAAACUAACCCAGGUCUGAUUUUCACGAAUACAGUGCCCUAACUUUUCAAAACCUGCAUCCAAAAGAGAACCUCUCUUCAACGAAACGGUCAUACCUUUUUCCCUCCUAUGACCAAGUUGCCUCCGCUUCAAAUGAGUUGACUUUGACUCCGUAACGGACGAGGGACGUCCGAUUUCACCGGUCACUGUAGAACCUUCCAGAAUAUAAAGACUGCCGGUUCUUUUACCUUUUAACAAAACGAGAGCUCCACGAGAUACUUUAAUGUCGCUCGACUCGAUGUUGAUUCUGCAUCCUUUCAAGUCUAAAAUACUCAAGGAGAUGAGAUUCUUUCGUAAAUCAGGUACAUACCUGACAUCUGAGAGUGUCCUAAUCGUCCCAUCGUGUAUCCUAAUUUUAACAGUACCAAUACCGAUUAUUUUACUAGAUGAAUCGUUUCCCAUGUGCACAACUCCACCUUCAACUGAACUGUAUGUGGAGAACCAUUCUCUAUUGGGACACAUGUGGAAAGAACAUCCUGAAUCUAGGAUCCACUCAGACGUAAGCUUGGAGUUAUCGCUCGUUGACACUAACAAGAAAUCAUCACCACCUUCAUCGACCAAAUUAGCACCAGCUACAUCUUCCUCGUUACUCUCAGCAGCUCUUUUAUUUCGCAGUUUAUAACAAUCUGCUUUGACGUGACCUAACUUUUUGCAAUAGCGACACCUUUUGUCUCGUUUCUUUGAUGCUACCAAAACGGAAGCUUGUCUAUCUGCUUUGCUAUUCAAAUCAAACUCAUUGUCGAGUUUGUCUCUACUCAACAAAUGACCCUUCACAUCUUCGAACGAGAGUUUGUCUCUGCCAUAAAUCAGGGUCUCCCUGAAAGACUUGUAUGAAGAGGGUAAAGAGCACAAUAAUAGCAUAGCUUGAUCUUCAUCGUCAAUAUAAACCUCAACGUUCUUUAAAUCAUUUAAAAGAGUAAUGAAUUGACUGAUGUGAUCUUUAAGAAGCUCACCUUCGUUCAUGCGAAACGUAAAUAGACGUUGUUUCAACACUAAACGGUUAGCCAGAGACUUAGUCGAAUAAAGAGUUUCUAACCUUUUCCACAAGGCGAAUGAGGUUUUCUCCAUCAAUACCUCCUGUAAUACUGUAUUCGCGAGGCACAACUGGAUUGCAGACAAGGCCUUUUCAUCAAGCUCUUCCCAUUCUGUUUGAUUUAGAUUCUCAGGCUUUUUCCCUGUAACAACCUUUUUCAAGCCAUUUUGAACUAGAAUUGCCAUCAUCCGAACUUGCCACAGAUUGAAAUUUGUCUCACCAUCGAACUUCUCAAUUUCAAACCUUGUUGCUGCCAUAUCUGACCGGGCUGAUCCAUGAAAGUUAAACUAGCUCUGAUACCACUUGUUAGGAUCGUCCCGAUUAAGCAACGAACAAGUAAAAAUAGUAGAAGAAAUUGAGAAGAUGAACACACAAAUUUAACGUGGAAAAACCCCUCAAAAGAGGAUAAAAAACCACGGGCAAAGAUAAUUUUACUAUAAUGGCAAAAGAAUGAAGAGUACAAAAGAUGGAGAUAAAAACUAAACCCCGAAAACCCGAAAAACAAAGAACCCUCAAACGUAAACACAAAAUUCUCUGAAUGUGUUAUGAGUUCUAAUCUAAUGGGUGUCUCAUUUUCUAAGAUUGUAAAGGAGCCUAUUUAUAGGCUAAAUUAGUAAGUCAAAUAAACUAUACUAAUAAAUGCUAAAUAUAUUAUACUAAUAAAUACUAAAUCUUCUAGAAAGAAAAUAUAUUUUUGUUUAACUUGACUUGCAAGCAAUCUCUUAGAAUUUGGGUCACACAAUUCUAACAGACCUUAAGAUGUUUUUCCGGCAGUAUUAAUGCAUUGAUAUUCUCAGCCAAUUUGAAGCAGCUAAUGGCUUUAACGGUAGCCCCGUACACUGGAUUGCAUAUUAAUGGACUUGGAACUACUUCAAGUGAAUAACAACCAUCUAUCCCCACCUCUUUUAUACUUGGUAGCUCAGGCAACGAUUUAAGCAUCUUGCAAUCUGACAAGUGACAAUCUAAUAGAAUGAAGCUUGGAAAAUCGAAUAAUAGAUGCAGGUAUGUUGAUGAAAUUGUUACCACUAAGACCAAGAUCUGUCAAGGAGGAUAGGCAAGAAAUAUCACGUGGAAUAUCUCCUUCGCCAAGAUUGCAGUCCCUUAGCUUUAACUUUCUUAAGGAACUCAAACCUGACAACGAAGGUAACAUCGGAGCCAUGGAGUUUGUCCUUCCUCUUCGAUUAACUUGAAAAGAGAAGGAAGAUUUUGUUGUAACUUACCCUUGUCCGAUAGUUAUAUUUUAUCAUAAGAUUCUUAUGCAUAUCAGAAUAUGGGUAUUAAUAUAUGAUCCCUUAGAAACUCUUUAAUUACAUAAAAAAAUAACUUUUUAAAAAAAUAUUCAUACCCGUAUUAAAAUAUGAGCAAAUCCAGACUGUCACCUUCAAUUCACCGUCAACCUAAUUCUAAGAAUGACAUUUAUGUAAUAUUUUUGUCAAACCCAAAAUAAUUCAUAAUUAUCAAAGAAAUUUAUAACUUAAAAAAAUUUAAGGUUCAAAUCUAAAAUGAUGUAAACUCAAGAUGAUUUGAAUUAUCACAUAAAAAUUGAACUCUACCUCAAACCUAAAAUAACUUAAAUUCAAAUUUAGUUAAAAAAAAACUUCAAACUUGAAUUGAGAAAUCUACAUAUAUCUUGUUUUCUAACUAUUUUUUAGAUUUAUUACACCUUAAAGAAAUAUAUUACUUGGGAAAAAUAAAGGGGUUAGUGAGAAUGAGGGUGAUAGAGGUUAAUGUGAACAUGAAUGAUUAAGUCAGUAAGAACUUUGUAUAGCAUGGGGAAUUACAAAUGUAUACUAUAGAUAUUUGUAAACAUUUCACCCUUUCUAAUUAUCGUUUUCUGCUUAUUGGGUAAAUAAAAUAAAAGUUAUCCAAAAUUCCUUUUUAGAAUUUUUUUUUUUGACUCUUUUGUGAAUAUAAAUGAUCCAUGCAUAUUGUUACGUAAACUGUCAUAUUACUGUCAUUAAAAUUUUGACAAUAUAGAUAACUUUUUCAUUCAAAACAAAACAAUUUGACUAAAUUUUAAUGACAAAAUGAAUAAAUAUUAAGGGCUAAAUUUAUCUUUAUGCUAAAAACUUAAAGCCAGAUUUGAUUCGGUCCAUAUUAACUCAACUCACUCAAUUGACAUAUCUACAUAUAUCUCGUUCUCUAAUUAUUUUCUGCUUUCCAAAUAUUAUCAAGCUCCAGCUUGACUCAAAAUUUAAAGCUUGAUAUCCAGUUCAAGCUAAGCUCAAGAUAUAAUCUAGUUGCUCGAGCUCGAAUUCAAAUAAGCUUAUUUAUCAAUUUUUGUACUCAAACUCGAACUUGAUUAAACUUGUUUAUCAAUUUUCAUACUCAAGAUCGAACUUGAGCUCGAGCUUGACUCGAUAAUUAAACUUAAGGUUAAUAAUAUAUAUAUUAAGUAAUAAUGUAAUUUAAUAAAAAAAUAUUUAAAAUGUAUGUUAAAAUUGAAAAGCUCAGUAAGGCUCGUGAGCUAUUCAAGCGGAGUUUUACUAAGCUCGUAUUCGGUUCAAUUGAUAGCUCAAAUCCGAGCUCAUCUUAAUAAUUAUCAAAUCAAGUUUGAGUUUUUUUCUAUGGCGAACUCCCCCAUAUUGGCGAAUCCUUCAAUAUUGGCAAGUUACCACAAAGUGGCGGCCCGAUUACUUUGGCGAACUAAGAAUAUGAACUGGAUUUGACGAACUUGCAUGCAAGAUAUGUUUAUAGAUUAUGUUUCCUUUCUAGAAAAUUUAUUAUUUAUUAGCAUAAUAUAUUUUUUAUUUAUUAAUAUAAAAUAUUUUUAUUUCUUUCCAUAUUUAGGAGUUUUUUAUAUUAUAAAUAUCUUUGUUUUAUUGUUCAAAUGUUGUGAGUAAAAUAUAUAAAACUUUAGCAAACAAUUUUGUUGCUAAAUUUCUUGUUUAUACUCUAUAACUAUUUCUUCUUUAGUAUCGAAAUUCCAACAAUUAUCAUGUAAUCUAUUAAUUGUUUAUAUUUAUUAAAAGUGUAUCUAUUACACUUUUAAAAACUUACAAUUUUCACGUCAUAAAAAAUAUACAUGUGAAAUUAAGGGUGAAUAAAAUCCAAUUCGAUUCGAAAAACUCGAUAAAAAAUUUAAUUUUUGAAUUACAUAGUUCGAGUUAUUAGAGUUAAUCGAAUUAUUCGGAUCAACUAGAAUAAAAAAUCAUAUUUUUCGGUUUAACUCGAAUAUGAAUUAUACAAUUCAAGUUAUCUGAAAAUCCGAAUAAGAAAAAGUAAAACUAAGUUGUUUUGAUAAAUGCUUACAUUUUCUAAAGUUAAAAGUCCAAAUUUUCGGUUUAAUAUGAAUUUUUUUAACUCGAUUCGACUCAACUCAAUCGAAUAUGUGAAAGAUUAAUAAAUUCAGUGUGAAGGCAGCCUUUAAUUUAUUUAUUUCAGUUUACUUUAAUUCAUUUAAUUUUGAUUAAGAUUAAUAAAUUUAUUCAAUACGCUAUAUUAAACAAAUUAAUUAAAAACUUUAAUAAACGUCAUUCUAAAUUACUAUUUGAAUUUACAUUUUGUAUUAAAAAAAGUUGUAUAAUUUAUAUUACAUUACAUAUUAAAAAGAAGUAAUUAUCUAAUAACAUAACCCAUUUUUGAAACCCCAAUUCGGUCGAGUCUAUUAUUACUUUAGAGUCUGCUUCCAUUUCAACUGGGCAACUUCUGUUGGUCCUCCACUUCCAUGAGCGAACUUCCAUGCUUUUAUUGAUCUAGGCAGUAAACAUAAAGCACCAAGAUCAUUUUCUUGCACUCAGAUCAUCUAUGUUAUUGAUAUUUUGGCUUACCUCAAACCGAGCAGCUUUAGUUAAUCCCACAAGAAACACAACUGUCAAAAUCCUUGCUCGUCUCAACCAAAAACCUUAACAUAUUUCCCUAAACUCUAACAUUAGACAAGACAUACCAAGAAUCAGUGAUAAAUGAAAAGGUUUUCAAUCCCGUUAGAAGAGAUAUUACCACUUAAAUGUAGCAAUUAGUGCAUGUUGCUUUCAAUGAAAUGCAUCUACUUCUAAGCUAAUUCUUACUUUUUAUACAUUCAAACAUAUAUUACUGUUUUCUUAUCUAAACUAUAUCCUUAGCUUGAAUAAUAUUAAUUUUACUUUAAGCCAUGAAGUUUAAAUGAUACUUCUGUUAGCCCUUUUAAGUACUAUUCAGCACCCAUACAAACUACAAAAUGAAGCUAUUAAUUUAAAUACUAAAGAAGCAUGCACUGAAUCACACCUACGCACAUUACAGGCAUCCAAUGGUAUUUUCUCUUAUUAUUCCCUUUUUUUUUCAUAAAGUAUUUAUAUUUAAUAUUAUGUUUGACAUAUAUAUAUGUAUAUCAUCUUCCAAAUAGAUAAAAAACAAUUUUAAUAGAUUAAACUGGACACAUAUCAUAUUUAAUAGAUACAUAUAUAUUGUUAAAGUUGUGUGACCUAAAUUUUAAGAGAUUAUUUGCAAGUUAAGUUAAAUAAAAUAUUUUUUUUUCCAGAAGAUUUAGUAUUUAUUAGUAUAAUAUAUUUAGCAUUUAUUAGCAUAGUUUAUUUGACUUACUAAUUUAGCUUAUAAAUUGGUUCUUUUACAACAUUAGAAAAUUACACCCAUUGGAGAUUAGAACUCAUAACACAUUUAGAGAAUUUUGUGUUUAAGUUUUCUAGAGUUCUUUGUUUUUGUGUUUUCGGGAUUUAGUUUUUAUCUCCAUCUUUUGUACUCUUCGUUCUUUUGCCAUUAUAGUAAAAUUAUCUUUGCCUGUGAUUUUUCAUCCUCUUUAGAAGGAUUUUUCCACGUUAAAUUUGUGUGUUCAAAUUUUCAAUUUAUUCCGUUAUUUUUUAUUUGUUGCUUAAUCGGGUUGAUCCUAACAUAUAUUUAAUCUUAUUAUUCCCCUUGAGAUUGAUCAUUUUCAAUUUAUACAUGGGAUGUUGAAAACAAUAAUAAAUUGAAGAGGAAAAAGAAAACACAAGAAAGCUCAUUUCUAUUCAUAUUUUUUUUUAUUCAAAUCUUAAUAGCUUAUAUUAAAAUAAGAUAAAUCAUAAGGAUCAAAUGAAUUUAAUUCUCAAUUUAUUUCCCUUUCAUAGUUGUUCAAUGUCAUUAUAUGUUAAGAGAAAUGCGAUAAAAUUGUUUGGUUGGAAGUUUAAAGGCAAUGAUCUUGAAGGAUAUCCUUUCCAAUUUAAAAGUUGUAACUCAUUAGAAAGAUAUUUGAAAUUAUCACAAUUUGAGUGAAAAAGGACUUUGAAUAAUCUCAACUUUUUUAUCUUUGAAAAGGUAUCAACACUCAAAUUGAACUUCUUGUUCAAUUCCCUGAAAACAAUGGACAAAAUAAAAUUGAACUUUAAAAUAUACAAAAACAUUCAAUAUAUCUAAUACUUGUAUUUGAUGGAUAACCACAUUCGAUAUUGAAAUACAAUCCUUCAACAGCUUUUUAAAUACAUGAACCUCAAAAAAGAACAACUAGACUUAAUCAUGUCAAAAACAUUUUCACAAUUUACUUUAAAUUACAUAAACCUAAAUUUACUAAAAUUAAUAUUUUAAUUUAUAUUUAGGGCAUUCAUAAUGCGUAUUUUUAAAUAUUUUCAAUGAACCAAAUAAUGUUUUAAUUUAUAUCAGUAUAGUCUCAAGGGCAAAAUCAGAAAAAAAUUUUAAGGGGUCGAAAUUAAAUUAUAAUUUUUACGAUAGAAAAAAAACGCUAUUUCACCAUUUUAAUAGAUUAUAUCUUUAUAAAAGGACCAAAGUAUAAUUUUACCUGUACAGCCCAAAUUUUCCUGGGCCUCCAAACCAAAUGGUUAACCCAAUCUCGAAGCCCAAUUACAAUACCCGGCCCAAGGCCCAAAAUCUAAAUUGGCCCAAUUGGGCCCAAAAAUUAAAAAACAUCAGGGAACCCUAGGGUUCCCUGCCUUUCCCAUGUGCGCUGCUCCCUCGGGCGUACCAUCCGCGCCUCGUCCCGAGGCUUACCUGACACCCUAGCCACCGCCAGCCAAGCAUUGCACCAAAAUAGCAAGCUCUUCCUCUGCUGACCACCUGCAAGAAAAGAGAAAGAAAAGACUACCGAAUAGAGGCAGAAACAACAACAAGUAGCAGCGAAAGUAUUGUAUAUUGGUUAUAAAAAGUCAAUACGAUUUCUUUGUAACAGAUGGGGGGGUUUUGGAUUCUCUUUUCCUUUUCUUUUGUAAUAUUUUCACAGAAAUAAGAAACAAAUAUCAAAGGUGAUUUUCGGCCCUUUUCGUUUUCGUUUUUACAUAUUUUAACCUUUUUAUUGUAUUUUUUUUCUUUUGGUUCAUCUAUUUAUAUACAUAUAAUAAAAAUAAAGAAAAAAAGGGGAGAGACUCACCGGAAAUAGGGCUUGAAACGCCAGUUUUCUCACUUGAUCGGCCGUCGGUUUAACGCCGGCGCGGCAGGCGGACGAGCGGUGGUGAGAAGCCCGAUCGACGAGAGACAUGGGGGGCAUUAAGAGGAUUUCUGAUUUUUUUCUGAUGGGGAAGGAAAAAUGAAAAGAAUUAAAAAAAUGGGUUUAAAAUAGAUAAAUGAAACGGCGCCGUUUUGAUGGGGUCAGGAAAGCCCCAAAAUGACGUCGUUUUGGGCUCCUGACCUGAGACCUGACCCUCCUACCCCAGGGGAUCCGCGUGUUUUGACGGAAGGGCUAAUUGCACGUUUAGCCCUUCCGCUUUUUAAUUAUUUUUAAAUUAGGUUUUUUAUAUUUUAAAUUUACCCCGUUAAUUUAUUGCGCUUUCAAUAUUAGUCCCUUCUGAAACUACGUCGUUUUAAAGAAGAAGGACAAAUUUCCUUUUUAGCCCCUCCAUGUCUUUCACGUAUUCAGAGUAGUCCUUCCUCUUUUGUUUAUUUGUGUUUUGAGCUCCGAAUCUUGUUUUAAUGUUUAAUCUAAUCCUUUUGUUAUUUUGUUUAUUUUCUUAAUAAAUUUCAUAUUAUUAUUGCUUUUAUAUAUAUAGGAGUAUAUCUUUUUCUUUAUAUUUUUACAUAUAUACUUAUAUAAAUAAUUUUUAUAUUUUAUGAUAAUUAUAUACGUAUAUAUGUACAUAUUUACUUAUAUAUAUUUUAUAUAAUAAUUUUAGAAUACAUAUAUACAUAUAUUUUUCAUGUUUUUAUAAAUUUACGUACACUCAUUUUUAUAACGUAUAUACUUAUAUUUUAUAUAUCUUUGUAUUUUAUAAUCUAUAUACAUAUGCAUGUAAAUACUUAUAUUUUUAUAUCUUAUAAUUUAUAUAUAUUCUCAUAUUUACAUAAUUUUAUGUAUAUAUAUACAUAUAUAUUUCCCUUAAAUGUACAUACACAUGUUCAUAUUUUAUAAUUUUCAUCUAUUUUCCUUUAUUUUUUUAUGUUCAUUUAUGUAUUUAUUUAUAUGUCCAUUUUCAUGUUUUAGUUUAUUUAUUUAUUUAUUUGUUAUGGUAUAUACAUAAUUUUUUUAUUAUUUGUUUUUUUGCUCAUAUUAUUUUUGUUCACAUUAUCUUUUUUUUUCAUUAUGCAUAUUAACACCACACUUCAAAAAAGAAAAUUUUUCUAAAUGAGGCAAUAUUUAGCGUUUGGAAAUUCGAGAAAACGUGCCCUAAGGUGGUGGGUGUCGAUUUUUCUCGUUCAACCAAAUGGCUUAAUAUCCUUUUAAAAAUUUGUAAAAUAAGGCAAUGUUUUGCGUUUGGGAAAUUCGAGAAAACAUGCCCUAAGGUGCUGGGUGUCGAUUUUUCUCAUUCAACCAAAUGGUUAAAUAUCCUUUUAAAAUAUUUUCAAAAUAAGGCAAUGUUUUGUGUUUGGGAAAUUCGAGAAAACAUGCCCUAAGGUGCUGGGUGUCGAUUUUUCUCAUUCAACCAAAUGACUAAAUAUCCUUUUAAAAAUUUCGAAGUAAGAUAAUAUUUUGCGUUUGGAAAUUUAAGGAAAUGUGCCCUAAUGCGCUGGGUUUCGAUUUUUCCAUUUGACCAAAUAGCCAAAUAUUCUCUUAAAUCUUAAUCCAUGUCAUUCAAGUUUUUUUAGGAUCGUAUUUUAAAUCUCUUUAAAGUUUUCAAUUUUUCGACACUAAGACAUUGAGUAAUCAACUAGGUACCAAUUUUGGGCGUAUCGAGGGUGUUAAUCCUUCCUCGUGCGUAACCGACUCCUGAACCCGUUCUUCUGAAUUUCGUGGACCAAACUUGUUGUUUUAAUAAAAUCAAACCAUUUAUUAAAAACAACAUUUUUUCAAGGUGAUCCGAUCACACCUCAUCAAAAAGGAUCGGUGGCGACUCCUAUUUUCGUUUUCAUUUUCCAAAACCCAAGUCAACCCCAUUUUCAUAAAAAAAUGGUGUCAACAGCUUGGCGACUCCACUGGGGAGUUUAAAUACGAGAGUCAAGCCACGAGUUGAUUACUUUUUUUCUUUUCAUCGAAAAUUAAAGAUUUGGUUUAAAUUUACGAUCCUUUCAUUGCAUUUCAUUCAUUUCAAUUUUUUGAUUUGAUUGCUGUGAUAAUUUAAGUUUGGUAUACUGCUGUAUUGCAUUCCAUGACCGUGGGUCACACCCUCUUAAGUGGGAGUGAGAAACUAGUCCUUCGUGAGGUUUUCACCUCCGUGCAGGAUAGUGGAUCGCUUUCGGGAUACAUCCGUACCUAUGUCUUCGUGAGAUUUUCAUCUCCGUGCAGCCAUAGGGAAAUGUAUUCCCCUGAACCGAACUCAGUCUGUAUGAGCCUAUAAUGGGUGAAGAUCGAGGAAUCUGCUGGUUCGGGUACCUUAUCUUUAGAACCAACCCUCAUAUAGUGGACUUAGGAACUUAACCUAGGUAGAGCCACUCCAAAUCCCUAGUAUUUACCUGAUUAGGUAUUUUUUGUUUUUCGUGCUUGCUUAUGUUUUGUACCAACCCCUCUUGUUGUGUUUUGAUUAUGAUUGCAUUGCAUUGAAUUUGCAUCUUAGGAAAGAGAUAUGGAUUCAAGUUCGAUUACUAAAUUAGAAAGCUUGUCAUGGAAUACGAAUUCCUUGAUAAAGUGGGAAAUAAUACGACUUCCCGAAUAUAUUCUGAGGAACGCAAGAAGGGCGAUGGAAGAGUUCGUGACCCUACUUCGUAGCCUGAGGAUUCAAGGCGAUUGUCUAAGAGCCUUCGACGUUCCAAGAAGCUGACGAGCCUUAUGAAGAUAGGCAGAUGAUGGAUCGCGACCAAGAUCAAAAGAAGGAGCUAGCAAUGGCAUCUAUUGGCGAGAUUACCUCAAACAUGCGGAUGAAGAAAAAGACCGAUGUUGUUUCUUGGAAUAUGAGGGUGAGGCCGUACAUGCAUUUGCUUUAUGUAAAGGAAUUUGCUUUCUAGAAAAGUUUCCUAAAUGUAAUUGAAUUAGAAUCAACGUCUCUUUAGGCAUUCAUUUCAUGCAUUUACAUAUCAUCAUAUGCAUUAAAGUUUUAAAAAGGGAGCCUAAUUAAUUUAAAAUUAUGACAGAGUUACCCUGGAAACUAACAAAAAUUUGCCAACCGUUUAUCACUACGAUACCCGUUGCAAGACAAAAGCCAUGGAUCAAAGAUUCGAAAGACUCGAACAACUUCAAAAGGAGAUGCAGGAACAAAUGAAAGUGCGGUUAGAGAAGAUUCAACAAGAUAUGAGGAACGAAAUGAUAGAGUCUCAAAAAAGCAUGAUAGCUGAAUUGACGCAGUUGUUGAAAGGGGGAAACGACAAAGGAAAGGACCCCGUGGUUAAUACAGAAGAAGGAAAUAAUGAUAACCCUCUCUAUCCCCCAGGUUUCACCCCUCCGCACGCGCAAGCUCAAACUGAGGCGUACCUACACAAAUCCCCUAUUAGACCUCAGCUAUUUCCGAUAGGCACCUCGAUGCCAAUAAACUUCCAAAUUGGAGUAAGCUCUAACCCCGGAGAAAACCCUACCAAACCUAUCAUCCCAGAUAUCGACGAAGUGGCUGAGAAAAAGAAAACGACAGAAGGAUUGCCAAAGCAGUUAGAAGAAAGAUGCAAAUGGCUCGAGAAAAGGUUCAAGGCCAUGGAAAGCAUUGAGAAUUAUCGAGGGAUUGAUGCUAAAGACUUAAGCUUGGUCCCAGAUCUGGUACUGCCCCAUAAGUUCAAAAUGCCAGAAUUUAAGAAGUACAAUGGGACUAGUUGCCCGGAGGCACAUAUUACUAUGUUCUAUAGGCGUAUGGCUGGAUACGUCAACAACGACCAAUUGCUCAUACACUACUUUCAAGAUAGCCUCACAGGGGCAACGUCUAAGUGGUACAAUCAAUUGACGCGUACCCAGAUUAGUUCUUGGAGGGAUUUAGCACAAGCCUUUAUGAAACAAUACAGUCAUGUAGCUGAUAUGGUCCCUGACAGAAUUAUCCUGUAAAAUAUGGAGAAAAAGCCUAAUGAAAGUUUUAGGCAAUACGCACAAAGGUGGAGGGAGAUUGCCGUACAAGUUCAGCCACCACUCCUGGAAAAAGAGACAACAAUGCUCUUCAUCAAUACGCUGAAGGCCUCGUCCAUUACGCAUAUGUUAGGAAGCACAGCAAAAAGCUUUUCUGACAUAGUUAUGAAUGGUGAAAUGAUUGAGAAUGCUAUAAGAGCCGGAAAAAUUGAGGUGGAAGAGAGUGAUAAGAGGUCAACCCCAAGGAGAAGAGAAAAUGAGGUGAACAACACAGGUUACUCAAGGUCAGUAAGUCAUCCAAGUAAAGGGGUCGCUAGUCAACAAGGUUCAUCAAGACAAGAAUCUUAUGUGAAACAAGGCACUAAGAACCUCCAAUUCACGCCAAUUUCGAUGUCGUAUAAGGAGCUGUAUCAAAGCUUAUUCAAUGCGCGUAUUGUCGCCCCUCUCUAUACGAAACCUCCACAGCCUCCGUACCCCAAAUGGCACGAUGCGAAUGCACAAUGCGAGUAUCAUGUGGGAAAUACGGGGCAUUCCAUAGAAAACUAUAUUGCCUUUAAGAAAUUGAUUGAAAGGCUUAUCAGUAUGGGCGUCGUUAAAUUUGAUGAUUCCUCCAGUGCAGAAACUCCAUUACCCAAUAAUAAUUUAUAAGUGGAGUGAAUGCAAUGCAGAAGCAACUGAAGAAGGGACCUUGUUAGAUAUUUUCCCUUAUAAACGUGGAAGUGUUCUAAGCAAUUCGACUGCGGAAGAAAACCCUAUAGUCUCUAGAGCCUUUUAAAGUAAUGUUCAGAACAUUUUUGUUGUUCUUAGCCUAGAAAUGAUAGAAAUUCCUUUGUGAAAUAGGCUUAUGUCUAAACGUUAUUAUUUUAAUGAAAUACAUCUUUACGAUUAUUUUUGAGCCGAUAUUUUCAUUCUUUAUGAAUAAUUCUAUACUCUUUCAUUCUUUUGGAUUUUCUUCCAAACCAUCAUUCAUUCAUAAUAUAUUGUAAAUAAUCAUUCAUAAAUUUAUACAUUCUUUUGUAUAUUCCUCAGUGCUUAUUAUGGGUCCCCAGAUAUCAAUGACGUGAAUGAUUCUGCUACAGACCCAGAUUUUCCUUUUGAGCAAGGCAUGUGUUCAGAGGGAUCUCAGGACUUUGAAAAUGACAAAGAUUGUAGCUUACCUCCGGACUUAUUGAGGAUGGUUGAGCAGGAGGAUAGACAGAUCCUACCUCACAAUGAAUCAUUAAGAAUUCUGAGCUUGGAAUUGACUUGUCCUAAAAAAUGAAGCAAUACCUUGUUCAAAGAGGUCUUUGUAGGAUCAUACCAGGAUAUGUUGGGUUAAGCACUGAUAAUGAAAUCUGCACAACAGCACGAUGUCAAAACUUGUAUGAAUGAUACAAUUCUUUGUCGGGGCAAUGUCGUUCUCGUCAAUUCAGCAUAGCUUUGCCAGUUUGAAGUCGAGUUUCUAUCCCUUCAAGAUGUUGUUGGAUUUUAUCCCGAUGGAAGAGGAAGAUCAAAAGUUUCCAGUUGUAGUUUCACCCUAAAAGGCUCUAUAAAGGAAAUCCAAUAUCAGAGAAGAUCCUUUGAAAGGGAUAACAAGGACUUGCCUAAUCCCAAGAGUUCAAAUCCGAUUCGAAAAAGGAAAAAGAAAAGAAGAAAAAAUCAAAAUCAAGAUCAAAAUGAAAAUGAGAAAAAGAAAGAAGAAUGAAAAAAGAGAAAUCUAGAUGAAAAAAUCAGAAUGAAAAAGAAAAGAAAAAGAAAAGGAGAGGCCAAAGCGAAAACCCGCAAAGGGCACUCUGAGUCAAAAAAAAAGAAAAAAAAAUGAGAAUGAAAAAUGAAAAAUGAAAAUGAAAAAUGGAGAGGCUAAGGGGAAAACUCGAAAAGGGCACCUUAGGCCAAUGGGGAUUUGAGUUGAAAACCCGAAAAGGGCGGCUCAAAUAUUUGUUCAGAAUGGGGCAUGAGGCGAUUAGAGCGAUUCAAAUUUUGAUCAUAUUGGGGCAUGUGGUGAUCUUGCUAUACCUGAAUCAACAGGAAGGGAUAGGCGACAUCUUGGGGCAUCGACAAAGCACUGUAGAUCUCCUAAACUCAUGUCAAACUCAAAAUGGUCUUUAGAAAGCUUGUACAGAGAAGUUCAAGCUGCAAUAUCUGAGGCACCCAAUUCUCAUAUUAUUUUUUGUUCUUGGAAUACCUUUUUUCUUUUCCAAGAUAUACAUUCCCAAUCAAUUUCUUUGUCAUCCUUCUUUACUAUUUUUUGAAUAACUUGAUCUUUCGAGCUAUGCUCAGAACCAACUUUAUUCUUAUCCAUUGUUAUGACCCUUUUUGCAAGCAUGUUGCAUUGGAAUAAUGAAUAAUUGACUAAUAAAACUUUCACAAAGGAAGUUUUGCAUAUUACUCUGAAAAGUUUCUAAAUAAUAUAGGAGCCUGAAGCAGGACUAUUGUUUAGAACACACCAAUUUUAAAGGUUGGAAAUUUGAGAAGGAAUAGUCUAAAUUUAGACUUUCUCUUUGGAUUCAUGUUUUCAAAUACGUUGAUUGACAAGACGCCAUGUUGGUGACAAAGCUUACAUAAACAAGCAAACGAUGAUCACCAGGCAAGAGGAAGAGGUUACCUCGGAGAAAAGAGCCCUCAUUUGCGCAUAAGUAUUUGGUACGACACUUUGAGAAUGGUGUAAGAAACCAGAAUGAUUCAGAUCAUGUAUCCUUGAAUUGUGAUAAGAGAUGAUUGAGGAAAAGCCAUAUUUCUACCCUUGGAUUAUAGUUGGAGAAUGAUGGUACAAGUUCUGUGCCCCAUGAAUUAAACUUGGAGGGCAACCUGGCUAAAUGUUUCUUCAGAAAAGCCAGUCAAGCGAGAAGGCAUCGUAGCACGUCGGUCACAAAGCCUUAAUAAACUUCAAGUAAUGACAACCUAAGCGGGAGCAUUCUUGGAAAGAUAAAAUUCUACAUUCAUGCAAACACCAUUCACACAUGUUUAGUUAGGAGUGUUUGAUUUAUUUUGAUCAUGCCAUCCUAAUCAUUAGGCAUAAUUAGGUUAAUUAGACAGGUCAUGUUUCCCAGAGAACAGAUCAGUGAAGAUUAAAAAUAAAGCCUUGCCUCCAUCGGUUGCAGUGGAGCUGGUUAAAGAAGCAGAUCUUGCCUUCCUGCGUUAACAGCGAAGCAGAUCGAAAACAAAGCCUUUCCUCCAUCGGUUGCAGUGGAGCUAGUUAAAGAAACAGAUCUUGCCUUCCGCGUUAACAGCGAAACAGAUCGAAAACAAAGCCUUGCCUCCAUCGGUUGCAGUGGAGCUGGUUAAAGAAGCAGAUCUUGCCUUCCUGCGUUAACAGCGAAGCAAAUCGAAAACAAAGCCUUGCCUCCAUCGGUUGCAGUGGAACUGGUUAAAGAAGCAGAUCUUGCCUUCCUGCGUUAACAGCGGAGCAGAUCGAAAACAAAGCCUUGCCUCCAUAGGUUGCAGUGGAGCUGGUUAAAGAAACAGAUCUUGCCUUCCUGCGUUAACAGCGAAGCAGAUCGAAAACAAAGCCUUGCCUCCAUCAGUUGCAGUGGAGCUGGUUAAAGAAAUAGAUCUUGCCUUCCUGCGUUAACAGCGAAGCAGAUUGAAAACAAAGCCUUGCCUCCAUAGGUUGCAGUGGAGCUGGUUAAAGAAGCAGAUCUUGCCUUCCUGCGUUAACAGCGAAACAGAUCAAAAACAAAGCCUUGCCUCCAUCGGUUGCAGUGGAACUGGUUAAAGAAGCAGAUCUUGCCUUCCUGCGUUAACAGCGAAGUAGAUCAAAAACAAAGCCUUGCCUCCAUCGGUUGCAGUGGAGCUGGUUAAAGAAGCUGAUCUUGCCUUCCUGCGUUAACAGCGAAGCAGAUAAAAAACAAAGCCUUGCCUCCAUCGGUUGCAGUGGAGCUGGUUAAAGAAGCUGAUCUUGCCUUCUUGUGUUAACAGCGAAGUAGAUCGAAAACAAAGCCUUGCCUCCAUCGGUUGCAGUGGAGUUGGUUAAAGAAACAGAUCUUGCCUUCCUGCGUUAACAGCAGACCAGACUGAAGACCACAGAUCUUUUCUCCCUAAACAGUAGUGGAGCAGAUCGAAGACGGCGAAUCUUAUCUAAGCAGUAGUGAAGCAGAUUUAAGCCACCAGUCCUAUCUCCCUAAGCAGUAGUGGGGCAGGAUAAAGAUGGUAGAUCCUAUCUUCCUAAGCAGUAGUGAAGCAGAUUUAAGCCACCAGUCCUAUCUCCCUAAGCAAUAGUGGAGCAGGUCGAAGAUGGUAGAUCCUAUCUCCCUAAGCAGUAGUGGAGCAGGUCAAAGAUGGUAGAUCUUGCCUUCCUCAGCAGUAGCGGAGUAGAUCGAGGACGGCAAAUCUUAUCUUUCCAAGGUAGUAGGAAGCAAAUUAAAGCCACCAGUCCUAUCUCCCUGAGCAGCAGUGGAGUAGGUUGAAGAUUGUAGAUCUUAUCUCCCUAAGCAGUAGUGGAGCAGAUCGCAUCAAGUCUUAUCUCCCUAAGCAGUAGUGGAGCAGACAGAAGAAACCAAUCCUAUCUCCCUAAGCAGUAGUGGAGUAGAUAGAGUAGAUAGAAGAAACCAAUCCUAUCUCCCUGAAGUAGCAGCGAAAGUAUUGUAUAUUGGCUAUAAAAAGCCAAUACGAUUUCUUUGUAAAAGAUGGGGGGUUUUGGAUUCUCAUUUCCUUUUCUUUUGUAAUAUUUUCACAGAAAUAAGAAACAAAUAUCAAAGGUGAUUUCCGGCCCUUUUCAUUUUCUUUUUUACAUAUUUUAACCUUUUUAUUGUAUUUUUUUCUUUUGGUUCAUCUAUUUAUAUACAUAUAAUAAAAAUAAAGAAAAAAGGGGAGAGACUCACCGAAAAUAGGGCUUGAAACGCCAGUUUUCGCACUUGAUCGGCCGUCGGUUUAACGCCGAUGCGGCAGGUGGACGAGCGGCGGUGAGAAGCCCGAUCGACAGAAGACAUGGGGGCAUUAAGAGGAUUUCUGCUUUUUUUCUGAUGGGGAAGGAAAACUGAAAAGAAUAAAAAAAUGGGUUUAAAAUAGAUAAAUGAAACGGCGCCGUUUUGAUGGGGUCAGGAAAGCCCCAAAACGACGUCGUUUUGGGCUCCUAGCCCGAGACCCGACUCGCCUACCCCAAGGGAUCCGCGUGUUUUGACGGAAGGGCUAAUUGCACGUUUAGCCCUUCCGCUUUUUAAUUAUUUUUAAAUCAGGUUUUUUAUAUUUUAAAUUUACCCCGUUAAUUUAUUGCGUUUUCAAUAUUUUUAAUUAUUUCAUAUUAUUAUUAUUAUUAUUAUUAUUAUUAUUAUUGCUUGUAUAUAUAUAGGAGUAUAUCUUUUUCUUUAUAUUUUUACAUAUAUACUUAUAUAAAUAGUUUUUAUAUUUUAUGAUAAUUAUAUACGUAUAUAUGUACAUAUUUACUUAUAUAUAUAUUUUAUAUAAUAAUUUUAGAAUACAUAUAUACAUAUAUUUUUCAUGUUUUUAUAAAUUUACGUACACUCGUUUUUAUAACGUAUAUACUUAUAUUUUAUAUAUCUUUGUAUUUUAUAAUCUAUAUACAUAUGCAUGUAAAUACUUAUAUUUUUAUAUCUUAUAAUUUAUAUAUAUUCUCAUAUUUACAUAAUUUUAUGUAUAUAUAUAUAUUUCCCUUAAAUGUACAUACACAUGUUCAUAUUUUAUAAUUUUCAUCUAUUUUCCUUUAUUUUUUUAUGUUCAUUUAUGUAUUUAUUUAAAUGUCUAUUUUCAUGUUUUAGUUUAUUUAUUUAUUUAUUUGUUAUGGUAUAUACAUGAUUUUUUUAUUUGUUUUUUUGCUCAUAUUAUUUUUGUUCACAUUAUCAUUUUUUUUCAUUAUGCAUAUUAACACCACACUUCAAAAAAGAAAAAUUUUCUAAAUGAGGCAAUAUUUAGCAUUUGGAAAUUCGAGAAAACGUGCCCUAAGGUGGUGGGUGUCGAUUUUUCUCGUUCAACCAAAUGGCUUAAUAUCCUUUUAAAAAUUUUUAAAAUAAGGCAAUGUUUUGCGUUUGGGAAAUUUGAGAAAACAUGCCCUAAGGUGCUGGGUGUCGAUUUUUCUCAUUCAACCAAAUGGUUAAAUAUCCUUUUAAAAUAUUUUCAAAAUAAGGCAAUGUUUUGUGUUUGGGAAAUUCGAGAAAACAUGUCCUAAGGUGCUGGGUGUCGAUUUUUCUCAUUCAACCAAAUGUCUAAAUAUCCUUUUAAAAAUUUCGAAGUAAGAUAAUAUUUUGCGUUUGGAAAUUUAAGGAAACGUGCCCUAAUGCGCUGGGUUUCGAUUUUUCCAUUUGACCAAAUAGCCAAAUAUUCUCUUAAAUCUUAAUCCAUGUCAUUCAAGUUUUUUUAGGAUCGUAUUUUAAAUCUCUUUAAAGUUUUUAAUUUUUCGACACUAAGACAUUGAGUAAUCAACUAGGUACCAAUUUUGGGCGUAUCGAGGGUGCUAAUCCUUCCUCGUGCGUAACCGACUCCCGAACCAGUUCUUCUAAAUUUCGUGGACCAAACUUGUUGUUUUAAUAAAAUCAAACCGUUUAUUAAAAACAACAUUUUUUCAAGGUGAUCCGAUCACACCUUAUCAAAAAGGAUCAGUGGCGAUUCCCAUUUUCGUUUUCAUUUUCCAAAACCCAAGUCGACCCCGUUUUUAUAAAAAAAUGGUGUCAACAUUACCUUUACUAAUUUAAAAUUUUAGAAAUUUUAAAGGAACCAUAUGAAAAAUUUUUCAUUUUAAGGUGGCCAAGACCUCUGUCAGCCCCUAAUUUCACCAUUGUAUAAGCCCUUAAUUUGUAAAGACCUACAUCUCUCUAAUGUUUUUUUUUUCGAGGAUAAUAUAUUGCUAGAUAAAUUUAAUAAAGAUAUUAGUGAAAUAUGAAGCACUAAAGGUUUUUGACUUUUUUUUAUUGAAUCUUUGAACAUAACAAAAAAUAUAUAUCUUAAUAAUAGACAUCGAUAAAUGUGUAUGCAUAUUUUCUUACUUUUUUUACGGUUGAUGAUUAUACAUUCAAUCAUUUUUGUAGUUUAAAAGUAAUUAAGAAUAUAAAAUAAUUAGAGGACAAAACACACAGGAUGAAAGUACUAGGGAGGUCACUCUAUUAUAGGGAUAGGAUUAAAUUAUUCCAUGUACUAUAAGGGCUAGUUAAUAUAUUAUUAUGGUUUUAUAAAAUAUUAAUUAUCACAUUAAUCAGUACUAAUUAGGCAUUAUAAGAGUUAUUUAAAUCCUAAAAGACUUACUUGUUUAAUUAUUAAUUAUUGUUUAUUUAAUGUAGAGGUGCUGAUGGGCUGGAUUAGGAAGAGUUCGGGUCGGGCCUAAGCAUGAUAGUAACAUAUUUUGUGCUUGUUCAAACCUUGCCUAACCCUAGAUAUGAGCUUAAAAUUUUACCCAAGACCCGCCCAUUUUUGCAAAAGACUAACCCAUGCCCAUUUUAGAUCCGCCUAUAUAAUUUUUUAUUUUUUAAAAUAUUAUAUUAUAGUAUUUUAAUAUUUAAUAAUUUUAUACAUUUUUUAUUUAUUGAAAUUUUUUAUAGUUAUCUUAACAUUAUUUUAAUGUUUACAUUAGAAUAAUAUUAUAUAUUUAGUAUAGGUUUAUUUUUUUAAUGUGUUCUGAAUUAUAAAAUAUAAAGUAUUAUAAACUUAAAAAUUGGCCGAGCUGAGCCGGAUUCAAGCUCGAGCCUGACCUAUAUUUUAGAUAAACUUAAAUUUUUUGUCCAAGUCCAGUUUUGGGCCUAAUAUUUUUAUCCAAACCCUUUCAAAUUUCAAUCGAACCUUCGAAUUUGAGCAAGUAGCCUGACUAAUGAAUAGUUCUAAUUUAAUGUUAUAAUAAAAUUAAAAUUUAAUAUAUAAUAGUCUCAAGAAUCCAUUAAUAAAUUAAUCAUUGGAACCAUUGAUUACUUUGAGCGAAUUUCCAUACUGAUGUUCCUUCAAGUAAGUUACAAUUAUGCCAUGGUUGAAGAUCAUCAGACACCGCGCUGUUCUAUCUGCACCAGCAAUGGGUGACAGAGAUAUCAUAUUCAAAUUAAUGAAUGGAAUAUUAUUUUAAUUGAUAAUAUAAUAAUAUUAAUUUUUUAUAAUUAUGUUAUAUGUUAUUUAUAUUAUGUGGAGUAAAAGUUUUAAAAUUUAUUGAAAUUUGUAAACAAAAUUCAAUAAAUUAAAAGAGCAAGUGUUAAAAAUAAAUGAAUAAAUAUAAAUACUUUACAAAAAAAUAUAAAAUGAAGAGUUGGAAUAAUAUCAUUUGUACUUCAAGCUAUAAAUUUUAAAUGGCACUCUUAUUAGAAGGAAUUAAACCUAUUUAAAUACUAUUCAGUAUUUAUGUUUAAUCUUCUAAAUAUGUAAAAAAUAAUCUUGACGGAUUAAAUUUAACACAUGUUUUUAACUCAAUUGAAAUUAUGAUCUAAUCUUCGUUAAAGGAUUUUCACCUUAUUAUUAUCUAUUUCGACAGAAAACCUAUUUAAUUUGUACUUCAAGCCAUGGAAUUUAAAUAAUUAUUUAUUAGAAGGGAUUAAAUCUAUUUAAGUACCAUUAAGGAUUUAUAUUUAAUCUUUCAAAUAUAUAAAAAUAGUUUUGACUAAUUAAAUUGAACACAUAAAUUGGUCUCUAACAAAAAUAGAAUGAUUUUUAACUCAGUUGAAAUUAUAAUUAAUCCUUAUUAAAGGAUUCUCACUUUAUUAUUACUUGCUUCGUCUCCAUUUUUGUCUCACAAUCUUGUUUCAAGUUGUUUCAUCUUCAACCUACAAAUAAAAUAUAGAUGUAAGUGAAUAUAUAUAAUGGAAAUAAAAUUUUAAUUAAAAAAAAGUGAAACCAAUCAAAAUGUAAACAUUUAGAUAAUGUAAAAAGGAAUGAAUUAAGUGACUAAAAUUUUAAAUGGUAUAAAAAACAAUGUUAUCAACAUUUGAGAUAUGUAGAUGUUGAAUAUGAAUAUGAAUAUGAAAAAAAAAUUUUAAAAUGUUUUGGCAUAUAAUGGAAGGAUCAUAUCUCAUAUGCAAAACAAGUCUAGAAUAAUUGUUUAAAUGGAAUACAAGAUGUGUAAAAAUACAAUUAAUAGGACGAAGUUUGUUAAGUAGUUUACCACAGUUAAUGCUUCUUUCUUGAUUGGCCCUUUACAAAAUUGAAAAAUUUUUGCAUCCGUUUUGGUUGCGGCUCUUCUUCCUCUGUUUCCUCAUAGAUAUUACGUUUUCGUUUUAUGUGAGAAGUGCUACCUACUGAUCCAUGGUUGUGAGCAGAGUGUUGGUGGAUGUGUUCAAAAUUUGGAGAAGAUUGGCUGGUAUCGCACUACAACUCUUUCAUUUCUUCCAAAUCUUUCUCAUACACUAUUCUAACACCACACUUCUUCACCUUAACAUUACGAGAAUUUGGUCCAAGUUCGAUAUUGAAAGACAACUCAAGCUCAUCUUCAAUUUGGUCUAAGCAAUCUGUUGUCCAUAAAUUAGUGGUUUCACAGUCGUCAUAUUUAUCCUCCAAGGAAGGAUAUGUAGCCUAAAAAAAUCAAGAAUAUAAAAUAAGAAAAUAAAAUAAAUAAUGUAUAAUGUAGGAGAAAAAAAGAAAUAGUAUGUAACUUUUGUUGAAUGACUUACAGUGUUUUUUGUUAGGACAUGAUGGACGUCUCUUUCCUCCCACAAUCUGCAACGUUUUCCAGGUUCAUCAAUACAUUUUUCUCUAACAAUUGUUCUUCCCAUCUCUUGUAACAAGUCAUGCAUCUUAAAAUUUUUGUUGUGUUUAUCGACUUUUACGAGAGAUUUUUUAACGAGAACAUCAAUUCCAAUAUCAGGAAAAAACUCACAACCAUCUAAUACUUUGAUUACAAAAUCUUUAUUCUCCCCAUUGAAGAAGCAUGCUAUAUCUAAAAAUAUAUUCUUCUCCCUUUCUUCCAGUCCUUCAAAAUUGAUUCGAAGUUUAUCGAAAAUUUCUUUAUUAGAAUCUCUUUUAAGUCUAUCAAUCGCACUUCUCCAUUGAGUCGCAUCUCUACCGCACAAGAAGGAACCCAAAACUUCAAGAGCUAAAGGGAGUCUGCCAGCAUAAUUUACAACAUGUUUAGAAAGCUCAAUGAAAUCAUCUUUCUGCACUAUAUCACUAUGAAAAGCUUUCAGACUGAAAAGUUGAAGCGCAUCUUUGGGAUUCAAUGUUGUGGGCUCAUACAUAUCAUCAACUGGCCAAGAUCGAAGCAAAUGUUCUUCUCUUGUUGUUACAACGAUUCUACUUCCUAAUCCGAACCAAUCGUGCCUUCCAACCAAGCAUUUUAAGUGUUGUAUGUUAUCAACAUUAUCAAGAACAACAAGAACCUUUUUGUGAGACAACCUAUGGCUAAUUAUGUCACUCCCUUCAUGAACAUCGAAAAAGUUGAAGCAUUCACCAUGAAAGAUCUGUGAAAGAAGUUGUUUCUGUAAAGAAACUAGUCCGCAUUUGUCUGAAACUUCUCGAAUAUCAGCAAUAAAGCUUUUACCUUCAAAAUGAGAUGACAUUUGAGUGUAAGCAACUCUUGCGAGUGUCGUUUUACCGAUACCACCCAUUCCGCAAAUUCCUAUAACGCGGACAUCAUCUUCCCCAAUGUUUAUUUUCAAAUAUAAAUCCUCCAAGCGUUCACUAAUUCCAACCAAGUCGCUAUGAGUAGCUGGAUACGUCUGACAUAGUUUUGCUGAUAUCUUCUUGACAAUGUCUUUAAUAAAUUCUGAUUCAUGCCUAAAAAAAAAGAGAGGAAAAUUUAUUGUUUUGAAUAAAAAUUUGUUGAUAUGUUUCAAAAAAACUUUCUUUUUCAAUGAAUCAUCAAACAUAAUAUAGUUUGGAAGCAAACGAGAACCAAGAAUAAGAAAGCAAGAUCUGUUGUGGAGCCAGAAUACAAAGUUUGCUCUUUUAUUGAAAUAUGACACUUUUCAAUUAAACACAUAGGAUUAGAAAGAAAAAAAAGAUAUACAUAUAUAUGCAAAAAACUAGAAAAUAAAGAAGAAAAGAAAGAAUUACCUGUUAUUUAAAUGCCAUCCCUUGAUUCCAGCCACUUGAAUUAAAGCAUUUCGCCAUCUUUGGAUCUUCUCACUAUCUUCUUUGUAUCUCUCUUUAUGUCUGGCAAAGGCUUCUUCCACUUUCUCUUUUUGUUUUCUUAAAUCAGAUGGACCAACAUGGUAAAAAAUUGGAAACACUUUAUGGCCGUCGUUGUUAUGUUGUUUAACAAUCUCAGCAAGCUCCUCCAAGCACCAACUUGAAAAGGCAUAAGUUUGUGAGAAAACGAUUACCGAGCACCAUGAUUGCUGAAUAGCUUUAAAGAGUUCAGGUGUGAUCUCUUCGCCGGCCUCCAGCUUUGGAUCAUCUCUGAAAGUGACGAUCCCACUCCUACUUAGAGCAUCAUAGAGAUGAUCGGUAAAGUUGUUGCGGGUAUCUUCACCUCUGAAACUCAAGAAAACAUCAUAUUUUUUUCUAGAAAUGGAGGAAGAAGUUGAAGGUAACGACAACAUGAGGAUGUAUGAAAGGAGAAGGAUAUUUCAAUCUGGUGUUCAAAAUCAGAAAAUAAUGAAUAUAUGAGGAAAAACAUAUCAAAAAUAGAAGAGGGCCGGGUGAUAUGUUCUUUCCAUGAAGGUGAGAGUUAAAAAUGUUGGACGGUUUGCAUUUUAUGUACUUAAUGAAAGAUAAUAAUUAAAAACAUUACUUUUCGAAAUGAAAGGGACUAGGUGUGGAAAUUCGGGCCGGGCCUCGGGCACCACUUUUUUGGCCCGGGCCCGGCCCGAAUAUAAUAAAUAUUUUUUUUUAUUUUUUUAAUUUUAAAAUACUUUUAAAAUACUUUUUUUAAAAUUUUUUUAAUUUUAAAAUAUUUUUAAAAUACUUUUAAAAUUUUUUUAAUUUUAAAAUAUUUUUAAAAUAUUUUUUUUUUAAUUUUUAAAAUAAAUUUUUGAUAUUUAUUUAAAAAACGGGCCGUUCCGGGCCGGGCCCGGGCUUAUGAAUUUUUUCUCGGGCCGGGCUUGGGAAAAAUUCUAGGCCCAUAUUUCGGGCCGGGCCGGGCCCGGGCCUAGGACCCAGGCCAAAAUUUUUUCUGUGCCCGGCCCAUGAGCAGCUCUAGUUUGGAGGCAACAAUAGCAGAAAAUUUCAUCUCUGAGCUAACCCAGGGGCCUUUUCACCAUUCUCUCUCUAUCACUCGAGGCUCCCAUCUUCACCACCAACAUCACCAAUACACCCGGGCCUCAUCACUCUCAUCUUCCAUUACCGACCACCAUCCCAAACAGCUCCCCCUCACCUUUGAACCUCUCAAAACAACAACCUCAUUGCCCUCAAGCUCGUAGGUGUGGAAAUUGGGGGAUGAUAGAUGUUCUCUCCACGAAGAUUCUAAGAAAGAGUUCACAAAAUGAACCUAAACUCUAAAAUUCAAACAAAAGUAAACUAUAAAAAUAGUCACUUUUAUUUGCCGCAAAUUACAUUUUAAUCACUUAUGUUUAAAAUGCUAUGUUUUAGCCACUUACGUUAUCGUUUUGUUACGAAGUAGUCACUCUUUAGUUAAGUUCAGUUAUCUCCCUAAUGACAAUCCAACGUGGCAAUCUAAAUGGGUUUUAAAUGACAACUUGGAUUUUCAACUAGGAUGUGAAUAAUUUUUUCAGUUAAAAUGAAAAGGAAAACUAAAAAGAAAAAAGAGAUGAAUGAUUUUUCUUUUCCAGUUCAACAUGUAAUUAAUUUAAAAUUUUUAAUUAAUUAAAUUUAUUUAAUUAAAAACCUAUUGUCGUACCAAUUAGACAUCCAAGUUGGCAUUUAAAACCUAUUUAGACUACCACAUAGAAUUGCCGUUAGGGAGGUAACGGAACUUAAUGGUAGAGUGACCACUUCGUAACAAAACGAUACGCAAGUGACUAAAACAUAAGUGACUAAAAUUUAAUCUAAGUGAAACAAAAGUGACUAUAUUUGUAGUUUACCCAAAAAAAUCAAUCAUAAUUUAAAAAGUUAUAUAAUAUUAAAAUACAUAAUUUUUUUUAAAAAUAGAAAAAUCAUAAACAUAAAGAAGAAUUUUAAAUGGUCUAAAAAUACUAUGUUAUCAACAUUUGGAUAUGCAUUGAGCUCAUGUUGAAUAUGAGUAUAAAUAAAAAAAAUUAAAAAAAAUUUUAUAUAUAAGAAGGAUUAUAUCUCAUAAGCAAAUAGGUUUACAUAGAUGUGUAAAAAAAAACUAAUAGGACAAAGUUGGCCCAUUAUAAAAUUAAAAAUUUUUUGCAUCCGUUUUGGUUGGGGCCCUUCUUCCUCUACUUCAUCAUAGACAUUACGUUUUCGUUUUAUGUGAGAAGUGCUACCUACUGAUCAAUCGUUGGUUCAAAAAUUGGAGAAGAUUGAGUGGCAUAUUUUUAUGUAUUAAUUACAUAUAUAUUUUAAGCACGAUCCUACUAAUUUGGGUUGUUUAUGGUUUUUCAUCUUGUAGGGACUAAAUUGAAGACAAAAGGAAAGGUUUUUCAUCUUGUAGGGACUAAAUUGAAGAUAAAAGGAAAUUUAGGGAUAAAAAGCGUGAAUUUAAAGACAAAAUAGGUUAGCAUGCAAAAUAGAAAAGAAAUGGUGCCGAAAAUACAAACUAUGAAAGACUUGGGGGUAAAAAUUCAAAGAAGAGAUUUAUAAACAUAAGACUCUAUUUAAAUUUAAAUUUUUUAGGAUUAUUAUUUAGAUCUAAAUUCAACUUUUAUCUUUAUUUAUCUUUUAGAGUUUAAAUAGGAACAAACUAGGUUUUUUAUUUACUAUAAAUAAAGGAUGGAGUGACAUAAUUAUUCACUCAUCAAUUAUUGUAAAACACUCAUUUCCCCUAAGGCUUUAGCCUUUUUGUUCCUUUUAUUUUAUUUCCCAAUAAAAUUUCAUUCCAUUAAACUUACUUCGUUUUCUCAAAAAGCAUGAGCCACUAAAUUAUCUAGCCAAAGGUUGUUGAGAUUCCCCAAAAAAGGUUCAUGAGGCUUAGGACCCGCACUUAACAUUCUCAACGAGUAUUCAUCAUUUCUCUGUAUUAUGGGACUGAUGCUUCUGUCCAUGACCUUCUAAAACUGAUUUUUUUAUCUUGUGCAAAGGUAACCUCUUCGUAUAUUUUUGGAAGGUUGCACAAUCGGUUUGUUAACUUACUGCGUCAGAAGUUGUUGAGCCCUAGAGACAAAAUGACGUGGCAUUCGCUAUUGAGAAAUGAUGAUCUAAUGUAAGACGGUCCCACGAAAGUGAUGAUUGGCUAGAGUCAGGUUCCUCUAAAUCGUAAGUAUAAAAUCUAAGUGGAGUUAGUGGUCAUAGGCAUCCUUUUCCACUAUAACUAACUGGCUUAUUCUGUCAUGAGAAGGAUUAUGUACGCCGCUUUUUCUCGGGCGCGACUAUGCCCAGGAUUUCGAGGAACAAGAAGUUGUAGCAAUCCAGUUCCUGAGAAUUUGACCCUACUUUUCUUAUACUAUUCUUUUCAUUAUAGGGAUAGAUUAAUUUUAGUGCUUUCAACAACACACUUAUACACUAUUCUAACACCACACUUCUUCACCUCCAAAUUGCAAUCAUAUGCAUAUAUGAAACACAUCCCAGGCUCAUCGCAAUUUUGAUCUAAGCAAUCUAUUGACAAUAAAUUAUUGAAUUCAUCACAGUCACCAUAUUUAUCCUCUAAGGAAAUUGGAUAUAGUUUAUCAUGCGACCAAUAAUGAAGCAAAAUGUGACCUUUCAUUAUUCCUUUACCCAAGAACGAGCAUCUUUAACCAAGCUAUCUACAAUUUCUACCUUGAAAAAUAAAUCCUCCACAACCGAUAGAAUGUCCUGAAGCAUCAUUGUCAAAAAUGCAACAAGAAGCAACUCCAAUCCAUUGACUAUCUUUCUGAAUGCUGAUAGGUAGGGGUAUCUUAAUUAGAAUAUAAUUUUAAAUACUGAUAAGCUAUAAAAGUAAUAUAUUUUAAUCUCAUUCUUAAUGUAUUUUUCGAUAAUUAAUUAUGUAAAUUAGUGAAUUUGAUGCUCUUAAUAUUUUAAAUUCAUGUUUCUAUACUUAGGAGAGCAUCUCUACCGCAUAAAAAGCAACCCAAAAUUUCAAGAGCUAACGGGAGCCCACCAGCAUAUUUUACAACAUGGUAAGAAAACUCAAUGACAUCAUCUUUCGGCACUGUAUCACUAUGAAAAGCUUUCAGACUGAAAAGUUGAAGCGCAUCUUUGGGCUUCAAUGUUGUGGGCUCAUACAUAUCAUCAACUGGCCAAGACCGAAGCAAAUGUUCUUCUCUUGUUGUUACAAUGAUUCUACUCCCUAAUCCGAACCAAUCAUGCCUUCCAACCAAGCAUUUUAAGUGUUGUAUGUUAUCAUCAUCAUCAAGAACAACAAGAACCUUUUUGCGAGACAACAUAUGACUAAUUAUAUCAUUCCCUUCAUGAACAUUGAAAAAUUUGAAGCAUUCAUCAUGAAAAAUCUCCGAAAGAAGUUGUUUCUGUAAAGAAACUAAUCCACAUUUGUCUGAAACUUCUCGAAUAUCAGCAAUAAAGCUUUUACUUUCAAAAUGAUGUGAUAUUUGAUUAUAAGCAAGUCUUGCGAGUGUUGUUUUACCGAACCACCCAUUCCGCAAAUCCCUAUAAUGCGGACAUCAUUUUCCCCUAUGUUUAUUUUCAAAUAUAAAUCCUCCAAGCGUUCAGUCAUUCCAACCAAGUCACUAUGAGUAACUGGGUGACAUAGUUUUGCUGAUAUCUUCUUAAUAAUCUCUCUAAUAAAUUCUGAUUCAUGCCUACAAGAAAAUAAAUUUUAAUUUUAUAUAUGAAUAAAUUUUUUUUUCAUAUUAUCAAAUGCACUUUCUUUUUCAAUGAAUCAUGAAACAUAAUAUAGUUCGGAAGCAAACAAGAACCAAUACACUUUUCAAUUAAACACAUAGGAUUAGAAAGAAAGAAAAAUGUUAUACAUAUAUAUCCAAAAAAGUAGAAAAUAGAGAAGAAAAGAGAGAGUUACCUGUUAUUUAAAUGUCAUCCCUUGAUUCCAGCCACUUGAAUUAAAGCAUUUCGCCACCUUUGGAUCUUCUCACUAUCUUCUUUGUAUCUCUCUUCAUGUCUAGCAAAGGCUUCUUCCACUUUCUCUUUUUGUUUUCUUAAAUCAGAUGGAUCAACAUCGUAAAAAAUUGGAAACACUUUAUGGCCGUCGUUGUUAUGUUGUUUAACAAUCUCAGCAAGCUCCUCCAAGCACCAACUUGAAAAGGCAUAAGUUUGUGAAAAAACGAUUACCGAACACCAUGAUUUCUGAAUUGCUGUAAAGGGUUCUGGCGCGAUCUCUUCGCCGGCCUCCAGCUUUGGAUCAUCCCUGAAAGUGACGAUCCCUCUCCUACAUAAAGCAUCAUAGAGAUGAUCGGUAAAGUUGUUGCGGGUAUCUUCACCUCUAAAACUCAAGAAAACAUCAUAUUUCUUUCUAGAAAUGGAGGAAGAAGUUGAAGGUAAUGACGACAUGACGAUGAGCGAGAGAAAAAAAUAUGUGGAUGUAGUGUUGAAAAUCAGAAAAUUGAUCGCUCAAUACGUCUGAAAGAAACUAGAAACAGAUCAAAUUUCCAGGGAAGAAUAAAGGUGGUUUCUAAGCAAUUUCUCUAUAACCUUUUCAUUUUCCAAAUGAAUGAGCGUAGUUGUGGAAAUUGGGGGGUCAUAAAUGAGUAAUGCAUAUGAAUCCAAGAAGGUGGGUGUUGAUAAAAGGGAGCCUAUUUGUGUUUUACUUUAAAUUUUUUGUCAAAUCACUUUAAAAUAAAUAGGAAAAUUAAUGCUUAUUCACUUUGCUGAUGUAGUAUACACGUAGAUUGCCAUGCGAAUAACAUGUUAGUAUUUAAUUAAUUUUUAAAUAUUUUUUUUAAAUUUUAAAAAAUUAAUUAAAUGAUGAUAUGUCAUUCAUGUGGCAAUCUACAUGUAUGAUAUAUCAACAAAUUUUAAAAAAUUUAAUUUUUCCAUUAAAUUUUAGGGUGAAUUGAUGUAAAACACAAGUUAAAAAAAGCUAAAUAAAUAAAAAAUUAAAUAAAUAACUAAAACAAUUUUUUUUUUAUAAAAUUUGAUGGUUAAAUAAAUCAUUUGACUUGAGGUCUAGCAAGGAGAGAUUAACCUACAGAAUGAAUGAGGAGGACUAAGCCUUACAUGGUUUUUUGUUUUUUAUUUAUAUUUUAUUUUCUUUUUAGAUGGCACCAACCGCUAAAAUGGAAAUUUUCCUUUUAGGACUCCUAAAAUUUUAAAUUUAUAAUGAUAAAAUUACAGUUUAGCUUUCCCACUCAAAAAAGGAUCACACCUCAUCAAAAAAAGAUCGGUGGUGACUCCCACAUUCGUUUUCAUUUUUCAAAAUCCAAGUUGAUCCCGUUUUUAUCAAAAAAAUGGUGUCAACACCAUCAAUGUCAAAAAUGCCACGUUAAAUAACUCCAACACAUAAGUUGGUCUCCAAUAAAAAUAAAAUGAUUUUUAACUCAAUUGAAAUUAUGAUCGAUCCUUAUUAAAGGAUUCUCAUUUUACCAUUACUUGCUUCGUCUCCAUUUUUGUCUCACAAUUUUGUUUUAAUUUGCCUCAUCUUCAACCUAUAAGUAAAAUAUAUAUGUAAGUGAAUAUAUAUAGUGGAAAUAAAAUUUUAAUAAAAAAGGUAAAAUUAAUCAAAAUAUACACAUUUCGGUAUGUAAAAAGGAAUGAAUUAAGUGACUAAAAUUUUAAAUGGUAUAAAAUUUUAAUAUAUACAUGUUUUGGCAUAUAAUGGAAGGAUCAUAUCGCAUAUGCAAAACAAGUCUAGAAUAAUUGUUUAAAUGAAGUACAAGAUGUGUAAAAAAGAAAAAAUUAAUAGGACAAAGUCAGUUGGACAAAGUUGAUUAAGUAGUUUGCCACAGUUAAUGCUUCUUUCUUGAUUGGCCCAUUACAAAAUUGAAACAAUUUUGCAUCCGUUUUGGUUGCGGCUCUUCUUCCUCCAUUUCCUCAUAGAUAUUACGUUUCCGUUUUAUGUGAGAACUGCUACCUACUGAUCCAUGGUUGCGAGCAGAGUGUUGGUGGAUGUGCUCAAAAUUUGGAGAAGAUUGAGUGGUAUCGCACUGCAACUCUUUCAUUUCUUCCAAAUCUUUCUCAUACACUAUUCGAACACCACACUUCUUCACCUUAACACAACGGUAAUUUGGUCCAAAAAAGGCACUGACAGACAACUCAGGCUCAUCGCAUAUUUGAUCUAAGCAAUCUGUUGUCCAUAAAUUAUUGGUUUCACAGUCACCAUAUUUAUCACGCGGAAAAUAACGAAGAAAAAGGUGAUCUUUCAUUAUGGGCUUGUGAAAGUAUCGACCUACCCACCGGUUUCUCCAAUCAAUUGGUCGACAAUUUCUACCUCGAAAAAUAGAUCCAUCACAGCUGAUAGACUCCUUAUUCCUUGAAGCAUCAUUAUUGGCAAAAAUGCAGCAACAAGCAACUCCAAUCCAUUGACUAUCUUUCCGAAGGUUGAUAGGUAGGGGUAUCUUAAUUGAAGAGUCACUUUUUUGUUGGGUAAACCAUUCUGGAAUUUCACUUGCGGGCAUCAUAAUAUCAAAGAAGUCAUUAUCAAACCAUUUUCUAGAAUUUGGAAGUGCCUGCAAAAUAAAACACAAGUCGUCUGGUAACUAAAACCAUAAAUUCUCAAGUAUGAGAUUUUGUAAGGGAGAAAAAAUAGAUUAAUAGACCUUAAUAUGUUCUUUCAGCAGUGUUAAUGCUUUGGUUUUCUCAGCCAAUUUGAAGCAGUUAAUGGCAAGAAUGUCACAACCCACUAAAUUGCAUACUUUUGAUGGACUUGCAACUACUUCAAGUGAAGAACAACCAUCUAUCUGCACUCGUUUAUUUGUUGAUAGCGCAGGCAAAAAUUUAAGCAUCUUGCAAUCUGACAAGACAAGCGAUUGCAGCCCGGAAUGUUGAGUAAGAGCCAAAGGAAUAGUGAUGAAAUUGUUACCACUAAGAUUAAGACUUUUCAAAGAGGCUUUGAAAAGUAGUUAUGAUGGGCUAGAUUUAGUAGAGCAGAAUAUAUUUCUUGACAUUGCAUGCUUCUUUAAAGGGGAACCCAUAAAAAGAACAAAACUUAUUCUAAGUGGUUGUUAUAAGGGUGCAGAGUGUGGAAUAAACAAAUUGGUUGACAAAUGCCUCAUCAAUGUCUCAUUGGUUAUUUUGGUUAUUCUACAAUGCGCAGUUUCAGACGUCCACUUAUAAUUUAUAUGCAUGAUACGCUUGAAGAGAUGGGAAAGGACAUUGUUUGUCAAGAAUCUAAAACCCUUGGUAAGUGCAGUCGACUAUGGAAUCUUAAACACGUGGAAGACGUGCUCAAAUAUAAUAAAGUAAGCACUACUUAUAUUUAUAUUCUUUUAUUCUUUUAAUAUACUUUAAUGCGACUAUAUAAACCUAUACAUUUGAUAUCAUAUCAAGUAUUAUCCCUUUUAAUUAGUAUUUAGAAAACAAAAUAAUGAUCAUCAUACUGGGCACAUAAUGAUUAGGGGUGUUCAUUCGGUUAACCAACCGGUUAACCGACUCGAAAUAACAUUAAUCGAAUUAACUGACCUUUCAAAAUUUUUAACCGUUAAUCGAACCGAAAUUUUUCGGUUAAUUCGGUCGGUUAACCGAAUUAACCGAAAAUUAUAUGUUUUUUAUUUUUGGUUAAAAAUUAACCGAAUUAACCAAAUUAACCGAAUUAACCGAAUUACUCGAAUUACCCGAAUUAACUGAAUUGAAUCACUACAUAAUUAAAUUAUUUUUAAACUUUUAGACUUUAGUUUUAGUUUUAGAAUUUUAUUUUUAUUUAUUAAAUUAUUUGUAAUUUUUAUGAUUAAUUGGGUUGGGUAAUUGGGUUGGAUUGAAUACUUGGGUUUGGAUUGGGUUUAGGUGAAUAGUGAGCCUAUUUAUUUAUUAUAAUUUUAUUUAUUAAUUUUUUUGGUUAAACCGAAAAAAUUCAGUUAACCGACCGGUUUCGAACCAAAUUAACCAUUAACCGAAAAAUCAAAAAAUAAUUAACUGACCUCCAACCGAAAAAAUCCGGUUAACCGACCGAUUAACCGAAUUCGGUCGGUUAACCGAAUUUUUUCAAUUUUACCCGAGUUUUGCACACCGCUAAUAAUGACUAUGUCUUUGGUAUAAUGUAGAUUUAUGACCUAGUUAAAUACUUAAUGCAUUGAUUUGAAAAAAUAAAAACAAAAGAAAAGAAAACACUUUUUGUAUGUAAAAGUUCCUAAAAGUGCUCAAUUAGUCUACGCCUAUCCUAAUAUAAUUAUUUUUUUAUGAGUUAUUUAAUGGAAUGUCCAUAAAUUUCUCCAUGCUAAUAUUUGAUAAAUUGGUUUUUGUUAUCAGGGAACCGAUCGAAUUCAAGGAAUAAAGGUAGACAUGUCACGUAUGGAUAACCUAUUCCAACAUCCUGUUUUUGAAAGCAUGAUUAAUCUUAGAUGUAUUUUCUUCUAUUUUCCUUCGAAUUGGUUGAGGAAAGAGCAUGAGGAUUAUAAGAAGCUACAUACAGACCAAGAUGAUAUUAUAUCUCUUCCGGAUGAGCUAAGGUAUCUUCGAUGGGAUUAUUACCCCUUCAAAUCUUUAUCAUCAAGUUUUAAUCCAAAGAACCUUGUUGCAUUGGAAUUACCAUAUGGAAACAUGGAACAACUUUGGAACGAAGUUCAUCAGGUAUAUAUACUUUUAUACUUUCUUCAUCCAAGAAUUUUUCUAAGAAAAAGAAUUUGUAAUUGAUAUAGCAUUUAAAUAACAUAUUUUUAUUAAAUUUAUUUAAAAAUAAAUACAAAAGAUUUUAUUCUAUUUUUUAAAAGAAACAAUUUGAUGUAUUGAUGGUGGGCGAAUUAAUACACCCAAUACAUCAAAUAUAAAUUUUAUUUUGAUAGUCUUUGAUUAUAUAACCUAAUCUGUUGAAGUUUUUUCUUCAUGUUCUCAUCAUGUGCAGGAUCUUGUUCAUUUACGGAAAAUUAACCUUUUCAGUUGCAAAAAUUUAAAGAAGAUCCCUAAUUUACUAGGAGCCCUCAACCUGGAAAGACUUGACUGUGAAAAUUGCGAAAGUUUGGUUAAACUUCCUUCCCUCGCCCGUUUGACAUCACUUCAAACCCUUCACCUUGAGGGAUGUCGUAGUCUCAAGAAGUUUUCGGAGAUCCCAAAUUACUUUUAUGAGUUAGAUGUAUCAGAAACAGGAAUAAAAGAAGUACCUGAUUUCAUUGAGCAUCUCGACAGACUUCAAUGAUUGACCUUGACAAACUCAAUGGUAAAAGAUGUAUCAAGCAAUAUUUCAAAGUUGAAAUCUGAUGAAGUUGGUUCAGCAUGCAGCAAACUCGACAGCAUGCAGGCCAAGAAGACCAAGUCAUGCAGGAGCUGCUGAUGCAAGCUUAUUUUGUUUAUUUUGUAAUUCCUAGUCAAUGAAAUGUAAUCUUAGUUCAUUUCUAACUAAGUUAGGUUGUUGAUUGAUGUAAUUAGCUUAUGUAUGAGCUGUAAACACAACUUUGUAUAAGUUUACAAGCCAAAAUUUCAAGUUUCCAUGUCAUUAGUGGAGGUAGGUGAUGUUUAGGUAAUUAUUUGCUGUUUUUGACAAGCUUAGUGCUUGGUUUAUGUAUUGGCAUUGUGCCAUUAUGCAAUUUAUGAAUGAAGUUCAGUUUGUUCAUCAAUUUUUCUCUUCAUUUUUCUUAGCUUUUCUUUCUUUCUCUUGCUCGAAUUCUCUUGUUUGCUCAGCAAGUCUCGAGACUUGCUUGACAAGUUUGCACUGAAUCUGUUAGUUUCAGUUACAGCACCAACAAAAUCCCUUUUUUCUCUAGAUCUUAGUGGUUGUCCAAUCAUUAAAUUUCCAACUGUUGAUGUGCGCUCACCAAGCUUGAGGUUUAAAAGCCUUAAGUAUAUGCAUAUGGAUCGUUGCAAGAGCCUCAAAUUACUCUCAGAGCUUCCAUCAUAUCUGCUCAAGUUGAAUGUACUUGACUGCACAUCAUUGGAAAAAGUUUCCUUUGCAGAUCAAAAUUUAUAUCAGUUUGAUUAUUUAGAUGCUGAUGAUGCUUGUUUUUAUGAGUUUACCAUGCUAUUCCGUAAUUGCUUCAACUUGAAUCAAGAGUCAAUUAAUAACAUUGAGGCAAAUGCCAUGCUCAAAAUUCGAUCCCUAGCUAAGAAAUGGGCAGCGAGAUUUGAUUGCUGUGGCAAGAUUCCUGAUUUGUCAAGUUUGAUUUGUUGUUUCCCAGGAAACAAAAUUUCACCAAAUAAGUUCAAGUGUCAGAGCAUGAAUUCUUCCUUAAGUUUGAAGAUAGCCCCAAAUGGGGGUGGUGGGAGCAGAUUUUUGGUUUUUGUUAUCUGCCUUGUGGCUGAUCUCACUCACUGCCGUUACAUUAGUGAUGUUGAAUGUAUUUGUAAGUACCAACUUACAGCCGCCGGUGGUGGAAAUGAUGGUGGUGGUGGUGGUUAUGAAAAGCUAAGAAGUAAAAUAUCUUUGUUAUUGUUUCCUGAGCCAGAGAAGUACAAGGAUUAUCACGUGUUUAUUCUAUCUACCGCCGACAUGGUUAAAGAAGACCAGAAUUAUGAGGAGGCAUCAUUCAAAUUCUACAUCAGACUUUUGGAUUUAAGAAGAGGAGGAAAAGAGUAUAUCAAGGUGGAGAGAUGUGGUGUUCAUGUAUUUUACGUGGAUGCAGAGAGUGAUACAGAUGCUACAGAUGCUUCAGAUGCUACCGAAAAGAGACAUGCUGGGAACAAAAGAAGCUUUAGCCAUGAUGGUGAAGAAGCGGAUGGAGGACUUAAAAGAUUGAAAUAGUUUGUAUUUCUUUCCAUCUUGGGCUCUGCUUUUGAGGACUUUCAACUUCUCAAUUAUGUCAUUCAAAUGCAUAGGUAGGGGUUUCAUUUUCAUCUCAUUUUUUCAUAUUAUCAUAAAAUUUUCAGUUUUUUCAUUUCUUUUUCAUAUUGUCAUACUUCUGUUUUCCACAAUUGUUAAUAGUAAAAUUUCAACUUAUAAAUUAGUGACACAAAAUGAAGUGCUUUAAUUAAUUAAAACCAACCAGGAUGAAUCUAAACUUGCUCUGCUUUAUAAAUUAAUUGUCUUCUAGAAGGUGCUUUACCAUACUGAAACCUUGUAGUUCCACAUUGUAAAUGUUAAAAGCAUAUUUUAUGAAACAUAAAAUUGGAAAUUUGUUCAACAGUUGUGAUUGUUGCUUACUAUUAUUUUUCUCAUCUUCAUUCCCCUGCCGUGUCUGUGUUCUGUUGUAGAUAUAGCAUAUAUUGUCCAAGAAGGAAAUUCUCCAUAUAUAUUAAUUAAUUUGGAGGAAAAUUGAACAGUAACUGGAGAUUUCAAUACAGUAGCAAAAUGAUUCUGCUUUGGAGUUGAUAAAAUAUCCAUAGGGGAUUUUGGUGGGUACCAAAAUUCAUACUUAAUUCUUAUUGACAGUUGACUUCUUAUUGGUUGUUUUUUUUUUUAAUUCGUAGGACCAAUGGUGGAGUCGGUUCAGCUUCAUUGUUUAGUUCCAGCGUUGGUAUCAUCUGGUAUCUCAAUACUUGCUGCAUUUUCCUUCAAUUAUAUCUUGAUUCAUUAGAAAGAUUGGUUAUUUGUGAGAUUGUUUUUUCUUAUAUCCUUUGCUUCUGUGUUGAUGUAUGGUUAGGGAAUGACAAAUCUUUGGGAAUGCCACUGCUGAAUUGGAGCUUUAGCCAUACAAGGAGGAACACCUGAGCUGUAAGACCUUCAAUUUUAUUUACUGAAUGCUUGCUUUAUACUAGUGUUUGAACUGAUACUUGGUGACAAUGCAAGUUGUCAACAGAUUUGUCAACACAAAGUCAAAGUAAUCUUUUGAGCCCCUUUUUGGGUUCUGGCAAUUCAGUUUUGGUGGAGAAGUAAGUUACUUUUGACUUUGACUUAUUAUCAUGAUUUUAGGUUCAUAUAAUGAUUUUCAGCAUCCUCACCAUUUUUCCCAUAUUUAUCAAUGGGAUUAUAUAAAUCCAGAAUUUGCAACAGAUCUCAAAACUUGUGGGAUAAACACAUGGAGCUGGAGGCAACCUUUGACAGUUUUCAUUCUCAAGCUAGAUUGGGUUAGUUUCAUGGUAGAGCUAUUGGAGUUGAUAUUUUCUUAUCUUGGAUUUUGAUUAUCAUAUCAGUUUGGGCCGAAAUUUCUUUGUAUGUUACUGCUCUUAUGUGGUUUGAGCAUUGUAGUGAGGAGAGAUUAAGAUUCAUACUUGAAUUCUUUUUGACAGUUGAAUUGUUAUUGGCUGGUUUUGAUUCAUAGGAUCAGUGGUGAACAUCAUUCAGCUUAAUUGUUUAGGUUCCACCAUUGAUGCUCAUGCCAUAGGCAGCAAGUAGAGAUUUAAUCAUAUUGCAUCUCAAUACUAUCUGCAUUUUACUUCAAUGAUUUGUUCACCCAUUGAUUUAUGUUUCAUAUUUCCUUCGAAAGUUGGUAAAUAUAUAUAUCUAUAUAAUAUUUCAGUUCAUGAUUUCUAAUUUAUAUUCAUGUUAGCUAAACCUACCAACUAUUACCUAAAUAUAAUCAACAUAUGUUUGAGAUUGGUUAAUCUUAUAACCUAUGCUUUUAUAUUGAUCUAGGAGUAGGUAUUUUCUAUUUGUUAUAAACUAUUAAAAUUAUAAAUAUACAAACUAUUAAAAUGGUAAAAUUACAUUUUUACUAUCAUAAAAAAUACAAUUUAAUUUCGACCCCCUCAAUAAUUUUUUGACUUUGCCCCUGCCUAUAUUAGGGCUUGGGGUAGGGAGUUAGAAUAUCGUCUUAUUCAUUUUUUUCUCGAUUUUGCAUGGAUGCAACGGCGGAGCCAUGUAGAGGCCCAUGGGCCAUAGCCCUCCAAAAUUUAAUUUUUUUUUAAAAAUUUAGUCAUUUCUAAAUGUACUAUGACCGUCCCAAAAAUAUGAUUUUAUCCUCGUUAUAGGAUUUUUUUCACUUUAUUAUUAUCUGCUUUGUCCCGAAACUAUCCUUUUUUCUUCACAUUUCUAUCUCAAAUUGAUUAUAUUUACUUCAACCUAUAAAUAAAAUAUAAAUGUAAGCGAAUAUAUAUAAUGAAAAUAAAAUUUUAAUAAAUAAGUAAAACCAAUUAAAAUUUACACAUUUCAAUUAUGUAAAAAGGAAUGAAUUGAUGACUAAAAUUUUAAAUAGUAAAAAAAAUAUAAAUUAAGUGACAAAUUUUAAGUGGUAUAAAAAAUUAUAUUAUCAACGUUUGAGAUAUGUACAUAUUCAAUACGAUUGUAUGGCUAAAAUUUUUUAAAUUUUUUAAUAUAUAUUAAAAAGAUCAUAUCUUAUACGUAAAUAAAUUUAAAAUGAUUAUUUUAAAUGAAAUAGAAGUAAUAGUACAUGGUUGGUUAAGUACUUUACCAAAAUUAAUGCUUCUUCCCCGAUUGGCCCAUCAUAAAAUUGAAAUUUUUUUGCAUGCAUUUUGGUUGCGGCCCUUCUUCCUCUGCUUCCUCGUAGAUCUUACAUUUUCUGUAUGAUGUGAGAAGUGCUACCUACUGAUCUAUGGUUGUGAGCAGAGUGUUGGUGGAUGUGUUCAAAAUUUGGAGAAGAUUGAGUGGUAUGGCACUGCAACUCUUUUAUUUCUUCCAAAUCUUUCUCAUACAUUAUUCUGACACCACACGUCUUCACCUUAGCAUUGGGUUUACAUGGAUGUAAGAAAGACACCUCAAGCUCACAGUCACCAUAUUUAUCCUUCAAGGAAAAUGGAAAUAAUUUAUCACGCGACCAAUAACGAAGAAAAAGGUGAUCUUUUGUUAUGGGCUGAUUCCUACCUGUCAACAAAAUAUAGCCCCACCAAUCAACCUGUCGACGAUGUCUACCUAGAAAAAUAGAUCCAUUAAGACUGGCUUGUUCAGAAUUUCCACAAUAGGUAAAUGCUCCACAACGGAUUUUCUCGUCACAGCAUGAAGGAUCAUUAUUGACAAAAAUGCAGCAACAAACAACUCCAAUCCAUUCAUCUUUCCCAAUGUUGAUAGGUAGCGGUAUCUUAAUCGAAGAGUCACUUUUUUAUCCUGCAGGGUAUUUUCAAGCUUUGAUAACAGGGCUCAAGUCAUCGGGCAAUGAAGCAACACUGUCCAAAUACAAUAUAAUGCUGGACAUGCUAGGCCUAGCCGCUGCCACCGGGUGUGAGCAACGCAACCCAAGUUUCAACACAAGUCUUUUGGUAACUGAAACCAUAAUUUCUCAAGUAGGAGAUUUUGUAAGGGAGAAAAAAGAGAUUAAUCGACCUUAAUAUGUUUUUUCAGCAGUGCUAAUGCAUUGAUAUUCUCAGCCAAUUUGAAGCAGUUAAUGGCACUGAUGUAACCACGACCCGUUAAAUUGCAUAAUUUUGAUGCACUUGCAACUACUUCAAGUGAAGAACAACCAUCUAUCUGCACUUGUUUAUUUGUUGAUAGCGCAGGAAACAAUUUAAGCAUCUUGCAAUCUGACAAUACAAGCGAUUGCAGCCCGGAAUGUUGAGUAAGAGCCAAAGGAAUGGUGAUGAAAUUGUUACCACUGAGAUUAAGACUUUUCAAAGAGGAUAGACAAGAAAUAUCACUAUGAAUAUCUGCUUCACCAAGAGUGAACAUGUUGGUGCUGUAACUGAAACUAACAGAUUCAGUGCAAACUUGUCAAGCAAGUCUCGAGACUUGCUGAGCAAACAAGAGAAUUCGAGCAAGAGAAAGAAAGAAAAGCUAAGAAAAAUGAAGAGAAAAAUUGAUGAACAAACUGAACUUCAUUCAUGAAUUGCAUAAUGGCACAAUGCCAAUACAUAAACCAGGCACUAAGCUUGUCAAAAACAGUAAGUAAUUACCUAAACAUCACCUACCUCCACUAAUUACAUGGAAACUUGAAAUUUUGGCUUGUAAACUUAUACAAAGUUGUGUUUACAGCUCAUACAUAAGCUAAUUACAUCAGUCAACAACCUAACUUAGUUAGAAAUGAACUAAGAUUACAUUUCAUUGACUAGGAAUUACAAAAUAAACAAAAUAAGCUUGCAUCAGCAGCUCCUGCAUGACUUGGUCUUCAUGGCCUGCAUGCUGUCGAGUUUGUUGCAUGCUGAACCAACUUCAUCACUCCUCCUUGGUUUGCAUUGAGCAAACACCUAGCUUCUUUCUUAGACAUUCGAACCUUGUAACACUAAGGGCUUUGGUUAAAAUGUCUGCAAGUUGAUCCUCUGAAUUACAGUGGAUCAGCUUUACUUCCUGAGCUUGUUCCAUUUCUCGAACAACAUGCAACUUGAUGCUGAAAUGUUUUGUUCUUCCAUGGAACACUGGAUUUUUGGCAAUUGCUACUGCAGAUUGGUUGUCACAGAAGAUCUCAGUAGCUUCCUCUUGAUGCACAUUCAAGUCAGCCAAUAUUUUCCUUAGCCAUAUGGCUUGGUUGACAGCACUUGCUGUUGCCACAUACUCUGCUUUAGCAGUAGAUUGAGCUACUAGACUUUGCUUCUUUGAGCUCCAACAAAACAUGGCUGAACCAAGGUUAAAAGCAUACCUUGAGGUGCUUUUCAUGUCAUCUAUCGAGCCAGCCCAGUCACUAUCAGUGUAGCCAACCAGCUUCAGAUUUCCUUCUUUGCUGUACUUCAAACCAUAGUUUAAAGUGCCUUUGACAUAUCUCAGCACUCUCUUUGCAGCUUGGAAAUGCUUCUCAUUGCAGCAAUGCAAGAACCUUGAGAGCAAUCCUACAGCAUACAUGAUGUCUGGUCUAGUGGCAGUCAAGUAUAGCAAGCAACCAACUAGACUCCUGUAGGUUGUUUCACAAACUUUCUUAAAAUCACCUUGGCUCGAUAGUUUUUCUCCAACAGCAACAGGUGUUUUAGUUGCCUUGCUAUUUUGCAUGGAGAACUUGGUCAGAAUAUUUGUGGCAAAGCUUCUCUGGCUUAGAAAUAUCUCAUUCUGUACUUGAGACACCUCCAUUCCAAGAAAAUAUGACAUCUCCCCAAGAUCAGGCAUUUCAAACACUUCCUGCAUCUUGGUCUUGAAGUCAGCCAGCACUACUCGAUCUCCUCCUGUCACCAGAAGAUCAUCAACAUACAGGGACACAAUGAGUUGUAUUUGUGUCCCUUGUUUCUUGACAUACAGUGUUGGCUCACUCUUGCUUCGAUCGAAUCCCAGAUCAGUCAAGUAGCCAUCGAUUCUGCUAUACCAAGCCCUUGGAGCCUGUUUUAAUCCAUAUAGGGCCUUCUUCAGUUUGUAGACCAUAUACUCUCUGCCAGCUAUUUCAAACCCUUGUGGUUGUUCAACAUAGAUGUCUUCAUCUAAGAAACCAUUUAGAAAGGCUGAUUUCACAUCAAGUUGAUGGAUCUUCCAUUCGAGCUGUGCUGCUAAGGCAAUCAGUAGUCUAAUGGUGUCGAGCCUGGCCACUGGUGCAAAGGUCUCCAGGUAGUCCAAGCCAUACCUCUGACUGAACCCCUUGACAACUAGCCUUGCUUUCAGCUUGUUCAAGGUACCAUCAGCAUUCUGCUUGGCUUUGUACACCCAUUUCACCCCAAUCACCUUCCUUUUGACUGGCCUUUCAACCAAUUCCCAGGUCUGGUUCUUCUCAAUCAUGCUGAUCUCCUCAGCCAUUGCCUGCUUCCACCCUUGCUGAGCCUCAGCCUCUUCAAAGUUGCUUGGUUCAGCUAUGGCUACAUGAGCCCUUUUAUAAAUCUUAGCCAAUGACCUUGUUCCUCUGACUGGUUCAUCAUCAAUAUCCAUUUCAGGGACAUUUUGGUCUGGCUCAGCUUGGUCUGUUGCAAGUUCUUCAGAAACUUCUUCAGGUUCAUGUCUUUCCCAGUUCCAACAUGACCUCUCAUCAAAUACCACAUCCCUGCUUACUGACACUUUGUUUGUUGAAGGAUCUAAAAUCCUAUAGCCCUUCUUAACAGUGCUAUACCCCACCAAAACACCAGGUUGAGCCCUUUCAGACAAUUUGUCCCUUUUAACAGCAGGUACAUGUGCAUAACAGAUGCAUCCAAAGACCUUCAGAUGAGCCAGUGAUGGCUUGAAGCUAAACCAGGCCUCGAAUGGGGUCUUUUGAUCCAAAGCCUUGGUUGGAAGUCUAUUUUGAAUGUAUGUUGUAGUGUUAACUGCUUCUGCCCAUAGUGCUUUAGGCAGAUUCUUCUGAAUCAUCAAGCACCUGGCCAUAUCCAUCAAACUCCUAUUGCUCCUUUCACUUACCCCAUUCUGCUGAGGUGUAUAUGUGUUGGUAAGUUGAUGUUUGAUGCCUGCCUUAUCACAAAAGGCUUGGAACUGAGCUGAGGUGUACUCAGUCCCAUUAUCAGACCUUAUGGUCUUCACCUUACAGCCUGUUUCAGUCUCAGCAGCAGUUUUGAACUUCCAAAACACAGUGGCCACCUCUGAUUUCUGUUUUAAGAAGUAAAUCCAGCAAUAUCAAGAGAAAUCAUCAAUGAACAGUAUGAAAUACCUGUUUCCACUUAAUGACUCAGUCUUCAUAGGGCCACACACAUCAGUAUGCACCAGUUGGAGUUUUUUAGAGGCUCUCCAGGCUUGAUUCGAGGGAAAUGGGAGUCUGGCCUGCUUUCCUAGCUGACAUACUUCACAUACAUCAUCAUGGUCCACUGAGUUGAUAAAGUUUUCAGCCAGGUCUUCUCUGAUCAUUCGGGCCAUCGAUAUGAAGUUGGCAUGUCCCAGUCUUUGAUGCCACAGCUUGGAUUCAUCUGAAGUGGCUGUAUAGGCAAUGUCUGACUUCUUUGUCCAGUCAACCACAAAGCUCUUAUCAGCCAUGGGGACUGCCAUCAGUUUGGAUCCACUUGGAUCACUGAUUUGGCACUGGUGGUCUUUAAACACAACUGAAUAACCUUUUUCCAGCAACUGAGAUAUGCUGAGCAGGUUUCUGUCAAUUUCAGGCACCAACAGCACAUUUGAAAUUACUUUGCUACCUGUAAGGGUGCAUAUCAGCACAUCACCCUUGCCUUCAGCUUGAAUAAAAUGACCAUUUCCUAUCUUGACUUUAGUUCUACAGCUUCUGUCUAAAGACUUGAAGAUUGCAGCAUCAGGUGUCAUGUGGUUGGUGCAUCCACUGUCUAAGAGCCAACCAGAUGAGGACCUUUCUUGAGCAGCUGAGCAUGACACAGCAAAGACUUGCUCCUCUUGGUCACUGUCCUCCUUAGCUACUCGAGCCUCAGCUUUCAUCUGUUGAGUCUGAUUGUGCCUUGAUUUGGCCUUGCUCUUACAGACUCUCUCAACAUGACCCUUUUUCUUACAAUGCUGACACACAGCAUCUGGAUUAAACCAGCAUUUUUCAUCUGAAUGACCAGCCUUUCUGCAGUGCUUGCAAGUCUGACCUUCUCUCCUUGCAGCAUCAUUCUUUGGCUUGUCUCUCCAGGCCUUCUUGCCUUUGUAGGCAGUAUUUGUUCUUGCCUGAAAGGCACCUUCUUGAUGCUCCUCCAGUCUGCUUGCUCUCCUCUGCUCUUGAGCAUAUAGAGCAUUGAUCAACUCUGUCAGGGAGAUGGUGGAUAGGUCCCUUGAGUCCUCGAGAGAUGAGAUUUUUGCCUCAUACCUCUCAGGCAGAGUUGCUAUAACCUUCUCCACUAUCCUAGCUUCAUUGAACUGCUCUCCAAGGAGCCUGAUGCUGUUGACCACAGCCAUAAUCCUGUCAGAAUAUUGCUUGACAGUUUCUUCUUCCUUCAUCUUCAAAUUCUCGAAAUCUCUCCUCAAGUUUAACAACUGUUUCUGCCUUGUCCUCUCUGUCCCUUGAAACUCUUCCUGCAAUUUGUCCUAGGCCUGUUUUGGUGAUUCACAGGCCAUAAUCCUUGUGAAAAUCACAUCAGACACUGAGUUUUGGAUGCAAGACAUAGCCUUGUGCCUCUUGGUCCUUUCAUCAGCAUGCUGCCUGAUCUGAGCCACUGUUGGAUUAGCUAUAAGUGGCUCUGGUUCAACAUCAGAGUUGACCACCUCCCACAGAUCGAAAGCCUGCAGGUAGGUCUUCAUUUUGACCACCCAUAUGUGAUAGCCUUCUCCAUUGAAGACUUGAGGUGCAGCUGGUGAAAAGCUUGAUGAAGCCAUGGAUUUGUGUAACAGAUCCCUUAAGAAAUAGGGUCUGGAUACCAAUUGUUGGUGCUGUAACUGAAACUAACAGAUUCAGUGCAAACUUGUCAAGCAAGUCUCGAGACUUACUGAGCAAACAAGAGAAUUCGAGCAAGAGAAAGAAAGAAAAGAUAAGAAAAAUGAAGAGAAAAAUUGAUGAACAAACUGAACUUCAUUCAUGAAUUGCAUAAUGGCACAAUGCCAAUACAUAAACCAGGCACUAAGCUUGUCAAAAACAGUAAGUAAUUACCUAAACAUCACCUACCUCCACUAAUUACAUGGAAACUUGAAAUUUUGGCUUGUAAACUUAUACAAAGUUGUGUUUACAGCUCAUACAUAAGCUAAUUACAUCAGUCAACAACCUAACUUAGUUAGAAAUGAACUAAGAUUACAUUUCAUUGACUAGGAAUUACAAAAUAAACAAAAUAAGCUUGCAUCAGCAGCUCCUGCAUGACUUGGUCUUCAUGGCCUGCAUGCUGUCGAGUUUGUUGCAUGCUGAACCAACUUCAUCAGAACAUGUUGCAAUUUGACAAUAUAAGAUUUGCAAGCUUCGAGAGUCGAGUAAGAGAUGCAGGUACGCUGAUGAAAUUGUUACCACUAAGAUCUAGUUUAUCCAAACAGGAUAGGCCAGAAAUAUCACGUGGAAUAUCUCCUUCACAAAGAUUGCAGUCCCUUAGUUUUAGCUUUCUUAAAGAACUCAAAUCUGACAACAAAGGCAACAUCCGAGCCACGGGAUUCGUCCUUCUUCCUUGGGUUACCUUGAAAAGAGAAGGCAAAUUUGGUAGUAACUUAUAUGAUGGUCCCUUGCGCCAAUUGAAAGACAGAACUUUAAGAUUUUUAAAUUGAAAAAUGAAGGAUGGUGGUUCUGUUAUGGUUGUUUCACUCAAGUCGAGCUCUUCCAAAAACUUUGCUUGCUGCAAAUUCUCCGAUAAAUUUUCCACUCUAUAACAACCUGAAAGAUCAAGAGUUUUUAGACGUUCCAUUUUCCCAUCAAUCUCCGAAAACCUUACAAGACUUGAGCAACCCGAAAAAGUUAAUGUUUCAAGGGAUUCCAUUCCAAUUUUGGUCGGAAGAUUCCCAAUACUUUUGCAGUCUCUUAAAUUCAAAAGUUUAAGGCUCUUAACCACUACGACUGAUGGAUGAACAUCCACUAAUUUGGUACAACCUUCCAAAAUCAAAACAAUGCAUAAUUCUUUAAUUUAAUAAAAUAUUUAUUAUAUUUACGGUAGUAUUUUUUAAUAUAAAUACUUUUUAAUGUGUUAGAAACAUUUAUUUUGAACUUUUUUAGUGUAUUCAAUAUAAUAUAUUUUAAAAAAUAAUUUUAAAUAAAAUUAAUCUAAAAAAAUAAAAUAUGGAUGGUCUAGAUUGGGCUUGAGUUUACUUUUCUUAAAUCGGGUCGGGAUUGGGUAAAAAAUAAGCCCAUUUUUCGAGUCAAGCCCUAGUUUAGAAAAAUAAUCUAAAUAUCUUGCAUAGGCCCGAUCCAGCUCAUAAACACCUCUAAUUAAAUAUAUACCAUUAAUAUUUAAAAAAUACAUAUUUCUCUAUUGAUUCGUUUGAAAGAGUACUAUGUUACUAGCUAAAUUUCAUAAUUAAACAUUGAAAUAUGGAGUUUAAAAAAAUUAUUAUUUACAGUACACAAAGAUAUCAUGUUAUAUGUAUUACCUUUUAUUAUCAAUGAUUAUGCCUUCAAUCAUUUCUGUAGCCUAAAAAAUUCAAGAACAAAAAUUAAAAAACAAAAUAAAUGGUGCAUCCUGUAAGAUAAAACUUUUGAAAUUUUAAUGCAAUGAAAUUAAAUAUUUAUUUCUACAAAUUCUUUUUAAUAUUUGUAAACAUCAAACAUAAUUUAUCUCAAAAGUACCAAAUAUCACUUUUUAAGAUCGUCAUAUCUACCAAUUAGACUAGACUUUGAAUUUAUAUUAUAUAUUGAUUAGAUAUUCUAUAAAAAGGAAAAGAAAUAGUAUGUAAAUUUUGUUGAAUGGCUUACAGUAUUUUUUGUUCAUCAACACAUUUUUCUGUAACAAUUUUUCUUCUCAUUUCUUGCAACAAGCUAUGCAUCCACAAAUAUUGGUUGCCAUCAUCGACUUUUAUUAAAGAUUUCUUAAUGAGAACAUCAAUUUCAAUAUCGGGAAAAAACUCACAACCAUUCAAUACUUUCCUUACAAAAUCUUUCUUCUCCCCAUUGAAUAAGCAUGCUAUAUCUAGAAAUAUAUUAUUCCUUCUUUCUUCCAAUCCAUCAAAACUGAUUCAAAGUUUAUCGAGGAUUUCUUUAUUAGAAUCUCUCUUUAGUCUUUCAAUCGCACUUCUCCAUUGAGUUGCAUCACAAAAAGGAACCCAAAAAUUCAAGAGCUAGAGGGAGCCCACCGGCAUAAUUUACAAGAUGUUUAGAAAGUUCAAUGAAAUCAUCUUUUGACACUGUAUCACUAUGGAAAGCUUUCAAAUUGAAAAGUUGAAGUGCAUCUUUAGGAUUCAGUGUUGUGGGCAUAUACACAUCAUCAACUUAGCAACAUCGAAGAAAAUGUUCGUCUCUUGUUGUUACAAUGAACUCCCAAAUCCGAACCAAUCACACCUUCCAACCAAGCAUUUUAAGUGUUGUAUGUUAUCAACAUUAUCAAGAACAACAAGAACCUUUUUGUGAGACAAGCUAUGGUUAAUUAUGGCAUUCCCUUCGUGAACAUUGAAAAAGUUGAAGCAUUCAUCAUGAAAGAUCUGUGAAAGAAGUUGUUUUUGUAAAGAAACUAGUCCUCAUUUGUCUGAAACUUCUCAAAUUUCAGCAAUAAAGCUUUUACCGUCAAAAUGAGGUGAUAUUUGAGUGUAAGCAACUCUUGCGAGUGUCGUUUUACCGAUGCCACCCAUUUCGUAAAUUCCUAUAAUGCGGACAUCAUUUCCCCAAUGUUUAUUUUCAAAUACAAAUCCUCCAAGCGUUCACUAAUUCCAACUAAGUCGCUAUGAGUAACUGGAUAUGUUUGACAUAGUUUUGCUGAUAUCUUCACAACAAUUUCCCUAAUAAAUUCUGAUUUGUGCCUGUGAAGAAAGAAAUUUUAAUUUUUUUAAAUAAAAUUUUGUUGAUAUCUUUCAAAUGCACUUUGUAUCUCAUUGAAUCAUAAUGGAAGCAAACAAAAACCAAGAAUAAGAAAGCAAGAUCUGUUGCGGAACCAGAAUACAAAAUUUGCUCUUUUAUUGAAAUAUGACACUUUUCAAAUAAACUAGAAAGUAGAGAAGAAAAGAAAAAAUUACUUGUUAUUUAAAUGCCAUCCCUUGAUGUUAGCCACUUGAAUCAAAGCGUUUCGCCACCUUUGGAUCUUGUCUUUAUCUUCCUUGUAUCUCUCUUCGUGUUUGGCGAAGGCCUCCUUAACUUUCUCUUUCUAUUUUCCUAAAUCGGAUGGAUCCACAUUGUAGAAAAUUGGAAAUACCUUAUGUCCCAUGUCGUUUUUCAGUUUAUAUAUACUAAGUUUCCAAUUAUGUGAAAAGGAAUGAAUACUUUAAAUCAAAUAAAAAAUUGUAAAUAACAUAGCUAAAAAUGUCUGAAAAGGAAUUAAUAGGACAAAGUUAGUGAAGCAGUUUAUCACAAUUAAUGCUUGUUCUUCGAUCGACAAUUAUAAAAUUGAAGAAUUUUUGCAUCCGUUUUGGUUGUAGCCCUUCUUCCUCCCUCUCCUUAUUACGUUUGUGUUUUAUAAGGGAAGUGCUACCUACUGAUACAUCGUUGUGAGAAGAGUGUUGGGGGAUAUGUUCAAAAUUUGGAGAAGAUUGAGUGCUAUGGCACUGCAACUCUUUUAUUUCUUCCAAAUCUUUCUUAUACACUAUUCUACCACCACACUUCUUCACCUUUAAAACUGUGACCAAUUCGGUUGUUGUUAGGAUCGUCCCGAUUAAGCAACAAACAAGUAAAAAUAGCAGAAGAAAUUGAGAAGAUGAACACACAAAUUUAACGUGGAAAAACCCCUCUAAAGAGGAUAAAAAACCACGGGCAAAGAUAAUUUUACUAUAAUGGCAAAAGAAUGAAGAGUACAAAAGAUGGAGAUAAAAACUAAACCUGAAAACCCGAAAAACAAAGAACCCGAAAACGUAAACACAAAAUUCUCUGAAUGUGUUAUGAGUUCUAAUCUAAUGGGUGUGUCUAAUUUCUAAGAUUGUAAAAGAGCCUAUUUAUAGGCUAAAUUAAUAAGUCAAAUAAACUAUACUAAUAAAUGUUAAAUAUAUUAUACUAAUAAAUACUAAAUCUUCUAGAAAGAAAAUAUAUUUUUGUUUAACUUGACUUGCAAGUAAUCUCUUAGAAUUUGAGUCACACAAUUCUAACAGUUGUGAAAGACAGCUCAAGCAUAUUACAACCAGCUUCUCCAACAUUUCUACAAUGGAUAUUGGUUGUAAAAAGGAUAGCCUCCAUAUCCUUAGAAGCAUCAUCAAUGUCAAAAAUGCCACGUGAAGCAACUCCAAUCCAUUCAUUAUCUAUCUGAAGAGUGAGAGGUGAAGUUAUCCUGAUUGAAGAUUCAUCCUUGUUCGCUAAACCAUUCUGGGAUUUAGUUGACCAUAAGAUGUUUUAUCAGCAAUGUGAAUAGAUUGAUGUUCUCAGCCAAUCUGUAGCAGUUAUAUUAAUAAAACAAAUUCCAAAUCAUUUAGAGCACAGACAUUAUAAAGUAGGAUAAUCCAACCACCCAAGCAGACUUUCCUUUUCCCUAAACAUCUGAGAAAGCGAAACCCUUCAGAUGCCUUCUUUGUUUCGUUGAUAGCCACCAAAAUGUCUGCUCUAGAUCUUUCCGAUGCAACUGGAAGAAACCCUUCAGGUCUGGCUAAACUUUGCAUUUCAUCACUUCAAAACACCAAUCUUCCGUCGAAACUUAGAAACCCAGUAGUCCAUCUAUUCUCCGAUCUGUUUGCCCACAGUAAAAUCCCAUUUUAUCUUCUUUCUAAGCAGUGGAUCUUCAACCUGCUGGACAAAGUGAGCCCAACUGUUGACGGUCCUCUUCCGCUGCCACUUUCGCGUAUGAAGGAACCGCGCCAACAAGAUAAGUUUCUUCAUCUCUCUUUAAUCCCUCUGUACCCAAUAGAUGUGCAACUCCGUUUGCUUGUUUUGGCACAUGUUUAAAGACACGGAUUUGAUACCCCUGUAUUUGAGAUAUAGGCUCCUAUCACUGACCUUUCAACUCCCUUUGUUUGCAGCUUCCGAAUCACAGAUAAGGAGUCUCCUUCGAUCUCCACCCUCGAGAAUCCCACAUGCAAUCCCAUCUCAGCUGCAUUUCAACUUAUACAAGAGCUGUUGAAGACCAUCAUAAAUUAGAAGCAAAUAAGAAAACAUAAUAAACUUAAAUAAGGCUACUGUGGAAAGAUGAUCCAAUUAAGACUACCCUUGAAAAGUUUAAUAGUUCACUAUUCAUAUCACGUCAAUGGUUUAAUCAGCAUUUUGCAUUAAAAAAAUUAUAAUUUGACUCAAAAUAAAAUUUUUUUAAACAAUAAGAAAUUUUUUUUAUCAUUAUACCUUAUUUAAAAGGAUUUAUUUACAUUACAGUUAAAUUACUAUGUAAAUUUAUAUUUUACAAAAAAAAAUUCAAAAACCCCAUUUAAAAUAGUAUAAUAACAUAAUUAUAUAAUAAAUUAUAUAAUAACUUUACAAGUAAAAAUGCGCAAUCUAUCUAGAUUCCUUCUAGUAUUAUUAAUUUUAUUAAUUUGAUUUAAACGAUUUAUUCACUUGGUGUCUUGAUUCAUAGAAAUUCUUAAAUUAUGUUAAUAUCUAUUUCGAGAGUAAGAACAACGGACUUUAGGUUAAUUAAUUGAAAUCUCUUUCUAAUUAAAACUCCUGUUGUCACAAUAACUCGAUCUAUGGAUUCCCCCAUUAGAUUUGACUCUAAUCAGGUAGAUUUUUGUCGUCCUAUUUAUAGGAUUGCAUGCAAUUCCACUCAAUUAUGCUAAAUUUACUCUUACACAGGGACUUUUGCUCCAUUGAAUUAAGCACAUUAAACAUGAAUUAAUAUCUCGAAAAUAUUAAAAUAAGAAAUAAGCACGCAUAAUUAAGAAUAAGAAUAAAGUAUUUAUCAUGUAAAUUAGAUAUUAAAUAAUAGAAUUCGUCAUAGGUUUCAUCCUCCCUAGGUAUCUAGGGAAUUAACUCCAAUGGUGUUCCUUGAGGGUUUUCUUUGAUCUUAUCUAAUCGCUCCCCUAUUUCUUCUUCUAUUUGGUAUUUAUAGACUUUAGAAUGUUUAGAAAGCCUAAAAAUUAUGUUUUUCCGCGUGUUUGGGAAGCAAAGUGCGAAAUCGACACGGGCUGGCACAUGGGCGUGUGUCCAGCCCGUGUGGCUCACAAGGGCGUGUGCCCAACCCGUGUGGCUCCUGAAAUUUGCUCUUUUUCUCUGAUUUUCGCUCAUUUUUCGUUUCUUCUGCUCCCUAAUAUUCACCUAAAUAUAAAAACAUGAAUUCAAAAGAUUCUAAUUUGCAUAAAUAUUCAUCCAAAAACACAUUAAAAAUGAGAUUAAAAUAUGUUAAUUUUAUCAUUUCACAGCUGAAAUUAUGAUCAAUCCUUAUUAAAGGAUUCACUUUAUCAUUACCUGCUUUGUCACAAAAUAUAUUCAUUUUUUUCCACAUUUUGGUAUUAAGUUAAUUAAAUUUACUUCAACCUACAAUAAAAUAUAGAUGUAAGUGAAUACAUAUAAUGAAAAUAAAAUUAAAAAAAUGUAAACCCAAUUAAAACGUACACAUUUUGUAAAAAUGAGUGACUAAAAUUUUAAAUGUUUUAAAAACUAUGUUAUAUGAAUAAAAAUUUUAAAAUAUUUUGAUAUAUAAUAGAAGGCCUUUUCAGUUCAAUUUUUCAACUUUCCAGAACUAAGGUUAAAGCCAGCUUAUCUUGAGUAGGAAUUCUUACAUAGUUCUUGGAGCCAUCCAAGCUACUCGAGAUGUUAUGGAGGUUCCAUGAAAAAUUUGUCUGGACGAGCUCUGUAUAAGAAACCAUUUCGGCUUUAGAAAGGCAACCACACCACCAUUGCUUCUUUCAAUGUGAGUUCGUCCUCAAUAUCCUCAAUCAAACCUCUCGUGGUGGCGAAGGUGUUGCCUUUUUAAUAAACAACUCCAGCCUACUGGACAACAGCCAAGGAUAGUGGCUGGGGAUGGUAAAUGAGAACACAAAUGGUUCUUCUCAAUCAAACCAGUGUGGUGGAGGUGGAAUUUGACACCAGGAAGAGCAACGAGCAAGAUAUCGAUGGCAACCAUAUUGGGUUAAACAUAAACAGAAUCCAAUCAACCAAGCAAGUUUCUUUAAGCAACUACGAUGUUAACAUUUCAGCCGGAGGUCAGGAUUUAAGGGUGCAUAUUUGUUUUGACGGCCGAAACCUGUCAGUUUUCAUUGGGGACAACUAGACACUUGUGUUUUCUUAGCCUAUUGGUCUCUCUGUUCAAAGGUGGCAACAACAGCAGCUACAUGCAAGAAACCAUGCAAAUUGGACGUUGCAUGAAGAGAACCAAGAAUUCAGCAGAUGCCUGCUAGUGUCCAUGGUGUAAUUCGACAGUAGCUUGUUUUAUUUUGUUGACUUUUGAUAGUUAAUGCUGUAAUCAUUUUAUGCUUUGGUCAGCUAAAAUUAAUUGUGUGGUUAGCUGAUUUUGUAGUCAUUUUUAGGUUGUCAUUAUGUUGAUGUAAACCUUUAGACACUUACACAAGCAAGCCUUGUUUUCUUUCUAUGUAUUUUGGUCUAUUUAUGUAUGUAACAAUGUUCUUAUUCGGGCAAUGAAAAAAUCACAUUGUUCAUUCAACUUUCUCUUGUUUUUGCUUCUGUUUUAAUCUUUCAAACACUUCAACACUCAUUUUUUGAUUGUCUUAAAACCUUGUUGCUGAGUUAAAAAACCAACACUCUCUACUUAUCUUUCGCAGAAGGUUUUCAUGGGAUUCUUUGGUUCAACAAACAAUGAAACGGAGCUCAACCGUGUGAAUUCGUGGGCGUCUUCUGAUACUGAUUUCGGAGGAAAUGGCAAUCAACUGUGGGUUUGGAUCAUGGUUCCAGUGGCAAGUGUGUGUAUAUUAGUUGGGGUUGCCAUUUGCUUGUGCAUGAGGAGGGUAUACAAAGAGGACAGAUUUAGUGGUUCAUGGUGCUCAACUUCAAGGGAACAUAGAACAUGAGAUUAAAUGGUAGCAAUUAAAUUUAUUAAGAUAGAUUUUGUUAUUUUUAAAGUUUGAUGUGGCAAAUACAUUUAACUAUUAUUGUUUUCAUUAAAAUUAAAAUUCGAAAUAUAUAAAAAUUAAAAAUAAUCUAGUUGGAGAAUAUGGACUAAAUUUAACUUUAUGAAUAAUACAAAACAAAUAUCAAAAUUUAACCAAAUAGAAAUCAUUGCUACCGUUUGGUCUCCAAAAAUGGUAGUGUUUCCUCCUUUUCUACCACAUCUAUUUUUGCAAUUGUACCGGGAUACUUCCAUGGCCAUGGAAUAGUCUUUGUAAUCUCGCCUAACAAAGGAAUUCCUGGAGCUUAUCCCGUUCAGCAUCUUGGUCUUUUCAAUGAAACAAAUAAGUACAGUGACAGCUAAAAGAGUUUAGGAUAAUAAUUCUACAAACGGUUCAAAGAAAAUAGACGAGACAAAGCAUGAAAAUGAUUAUGAUACCAAACUUAGUGAGCUAAAAGGUGCAUUAUCUUCUAAAAGGGGCAAUACAGAUAAGCUUGCAAUUCGGUUUCAAGAAGGCAGAGCUGCUGAAGGUGAUGGACCUGUAAAUGGGUUACCAAAGGUUGACCGUGGGGAAUCAGUUUAGAGUCGCACGGGAGCUAAAAGGAGGAAGUCCGGUUCUGUUAAGAGGUUUAAAUAGGAUCCAGCCUCUUUUGGACCUACUUUGACUCAAAAUGCUACAAAUGUCCAUGUUGGCUAUGCAAUUACAGAUGCAGAGAUGGAAAUCGUAAAUCUUGGUUUAGCAGCGGACAGUUCGAGUCAUAGGUCCCCGAUUGAUAAUUCUUUAAGUGUACCUAUCAUAACCAAGAUCCUCAAGCCUGUAGAUUUUUGUAUCAGCCAACACUCAAGAUGUGUCAGUAACCUUCUUGGCAAUCAGGUUUGUUACAAACUCUAUUUCAAUCACCUUUGAACCGAAUGAACCUUGCAGCUAUAUUUUGAGCAUUGCUAUGAUUUUUCAUUCUCUUUUUCUAAAAGAAGUAAAUGGAAUGCAAAUAACUUGCAAAAAUGUACGAUUGCUUGCCUUUGUACCUUAAUUGGCUGACGUAUCAUGUCUUGAAAUUAUAUCCAUGCAUUGCUUAGUACCUUUUAGGCUGAAACUUCUAGCCUUCAACAUAUAAGCCCGUUCAGAUCCUAAUCAAUUUAAUUACUCUAAAAAAUUUCUAGAGUUUUAGUUCAGCUAACUUCAAAAUAAUUUUGCUUUGCUAUUGGUGUGUGGUGUUAUUGGAUUGAAGUUUGGUUCUUGCUUGCGUAAGUUACCAACUUAUCAUGUUGCAAUGUAUUAACACUUAAUGUAGUUUCAUCAUUCAUGUCGCUCUUUAGAGUUUUGGUUGUUGUUGGGGCAUUUUAUGUACUCUUUUCUGUUGUAACUAUCAUGUUUGCACAUGUAUUUGGAUAUAGUUUCUUAGAAAUCAUCAUGUUUUUCUUUAGUCCUCGAUUUGGGAGAAUGUCCUACACUUCAUAAGCAAGAGCUCUCAUUUUCAAGUUCCAAGCAAUUAAAAUAGUAUGGUGAUGGGAUUUGGUUCUCAUGCAAAGCUGUAUUUGUUGCUUAGGAUCGCAUCUGUAUUUCAUUUUCCCAACAUUUGCUCCCACUAAGCUCAGAAAUGUCGUUGAUUCAAUGUUUGCAGAUUAUAAUGGCGAAACCAGCUGGAGGUCCAGCGAGGAGAGAGAAAUGAAUCUGUUGAAUUUUUUAGAAGAAAAAAUUAUUAGUGCAUACUUUACAUUCAUAUUUGAAUAAAUAUUAAAAAUAAAUGUCUAAACAUAAAUAUUUUACAAAAAAAAUAUAAACUGAGGAGUUCGAAUAAUAUUAUUUGUACUUCAAGCCAUGAAAUUUAAAUGAUACUUUAAUAGAAGGGAUUAAAUCUAUUUAAGUACCUUUAAAGAUUUAUAUUUAAUCUUUCAAAUAUAUAAACACAGUUUUGACUGAUUAAAUUGAACAUAUAAGUUGGUCUCCAAUAAAAAUAAAAUAAUUUUUAAUUCAGUUGAAAUUAUGAUCGAUCCUUAUUAAAAGAAUCUCAUUUUAUCAUUACUUGCUUCAUCUCCAUUUUUGUAUUACAAUUUUGUUUUAAUUUGCCUCAUCUUCAACCUAUAAAUAAAAUAUAGAUAUAAGUGAAUAUAUAUGUUGACACCAUUUUUUGAUAAAAACGAGGUCGACUUGAAUUUUGAAAAAGAAAAUUAAAAUGGGAGUCGCCACCGAUCCUUUUUGAUGAGGUGUGAUCGGAUCACCUCGAAAAGUGGUUGUUUUAAUUUUAAUAAACGAUUUGAUUUUAUUAAAACAAUGAUUUUGGUCCACAAAAUUCAGAAAAACGGGUUCAGGAGUCGGUUACGUACGAGGAAGGAUUAGCACCCUCGUAGCACCCAAAAAUUGGUGCCUAGUUGAUUAGUUAAUGUCUUAAUGUCAAAAAUUGAAAACUUUGAAGAAUUUUAAAAAUAUGAUCCUUAAUUUUUUUUAAAAAGAAAGCUUAUAUAAAUCAAGUUACUCGUUAAGACCCUCCCAUUUCAGGAGGAGAAAACGUCACACCCAAUGCGUUAGAACAUGAUAUUUUACCUCUUCAAAAAUGAGCUUGUCUAAAACCUUGCACAAUAAAAUUUAAAAGGGUAUUCAAUUGUUUAAAUCAUGUGAAAAAAAAUUGCAACCCAAUACGUUAGGACACAAUUUAAACAUUGAAUAUUGCAUUUAUUUUGAAAAAUCCUCGUCUUGAGAAAACAACAUGUCAUAUCCAAUACGUUAGGACACAACGUAUUGAAUUCUCGAUAAUGAGCUUUUUAUUUUUUUAUAAAACAGUGUAGUCUUGAUUAUUUAGAUUCAAUGAAAAAAAUCGAAACCCAAUACGUUAGGGCUCGAUUCUCUCGAAGAUCCCAAAUACCGAGUAUUACUUAUAUUUUUAAAAAUUCUUUUUUUUUUGAAUCUGGGUAAAAAUUGAUGUAAUGGAAUGACAAUUAUGAUGAUGUAAGUAAAAUAAUACGAGCAAGGGCUACAAAAUAAGAUAAAUACAAGGACAAAUCAAUAGCAUACAUGAAGUGAUAAGUAAAUAAACAAAUAGAACGACAAUACUUUUCAAAAUAAUAAUGAACACAUAAAUAAAUAAAUCAAAUAAGACAAUAAUAACCAUAAUGAAAAUAAAUGAAAUUAUAAAAAUAAAAUAAAAAUCUAUGUAUAUAUAACAAAAUUUGAAAAUAGUAAAUAUAUAUAUGUACAUCUAUGUAUAUGUAUAUAAAAUUAUGUAAUAUAUAUAAAAAAUACAUAGAAGUAUAUAUAUGUGUGUGUAUUUACAAAAUUUUAAAAACAUAUAUAGAUAUAGAUAUAGAUAUAGAUAUAUAUAGGUGCGUAUAUACAUUGUAGAAUAUAUUGAAAAUAUAUGUAUAUAUGAAUUAUAAAUAUAGGAAAUAUAUACAAGGAAAAUAUAGAUUUUAAAAUAGAUAGAAUAUGUAUAUAUAUAUAAGUAUAUAAAAAAUGUAUAUGGAUAUAUGAACAUAUUUUUGAAAUUAUGAAACAGAAGUGUGUAUAAAAUUAUGGAAAUAUGAAAAGUAUAUACAUGUAUACAUAUUUUAAAAUUAUUAUACAUGAAAGUAUAUGUAAAUAUGUAUUAAAAUAUUAGAUAUGUAGAUAUAUAAAAAUUAUGAAAAAGAUAAAAGUAUGUGUAUAUAUAUAUAUUUAUAAAAAUUAAAAUAUGUACAUGUAUAAAUAUAUAUAUAUAUUAUAGAAAUGUGUAUAUAUAACAAAAUUUGAGAUUAAAGUUAAAAAUGAGUAAAUAGUGAUAAUAAUAAUAAUAAUAAUAAUAAUAAUAAUAAUAAUAAUAAUAAUCAAUGCUAAUAUAAAAUCAAUGACGAUAGUAUUAAUAAUAUUUAAACAAUUAAUCUAAUAGUAAAAUGACUAAAGUAACAGAUUGAGGAUUGAAUUAAAAAAAAACAAAGUUUUAGGGCUGAAUUGAAAAAGGAAAACAUAAAAAGGGAUUUAAUUAUAACGCGCGUGAAAAUAAGAGGAACAAAAGAGAAAUAAUCCCUGUCCUUUAAAAACGACACCGCUUUAGGGGCAGCGUCUACACAUGGUCUAAGGACCCAAAUUAAAUCGGAAGCAAACUUUGUGGCCAAAAUCAAAAAUAAAAAAGAGAUCGCAUUGAACACGCCGCAAAGGAGAAGGGGCCUAUAGCGAAAUAUCCCCCUAAAGCAAAACACGCGGAUCCUUCCCCUGGGUCAGGGCCAAAACGACGUCGUUUUGGCACCUGACCCCUAGUUGCAAACCGGCGCCGUUUCAUACUUAGUAUAAAUAUAAAAAAACCCCAAAAAAAUACAGUUUCAUCUUUCUUUUUUUAAAAAACUGAGAGCAAAGCUCUCUCUCUCUCUUUCUCUCUCAGGCCUCUAAUCCGGCCAUGGUUAUCGGCCGUAGCGCCACCGUCGUAUCGCCACCGUGGAUGGUGGUCGAUAUUACACAAAAGAAGCAUUUCAGCUCCGUUUCAAAGAGCACAUAAAGCCCAAAAGAAGAAAAUCUUCACCACCCUUUUAAAACUGAUUCUGACGCCAAAAGGAGCUUCCGACGCCGUGGCCAUGGGAUCCUUUAGGUGAGUUUUCCUUGUUUUCCUUUAUUUUCAUGUACAAAAUGUAAAAAGAAGAAAAAAAUGAAUAAAUAAAUAAAGAAGAAAAAAUUAAAAAAAUGAAAAAGUCACAUCUAUUAUAUUGCUUUGUGUUCUUUUUAGAAGAAAUCGAAAAAAAAGGGAAGCUAAAAUAUAGAGAUAAUAAUCAGUUUUUAUAGCCAAUUUCAACAACUAUUUAUGUUUCUAUUUUAUUGUUUUUGCUAUUUGGUUUCUUUUCACUGUUACGUUGUCUUGUCUUGCAGGUGUCAGAGGAGCUGAUGGAGCAGGUGGGUGAAACAGUGGCGGUGGAGGCUGGUAGGUCAAGGGUCAGAAGACCCUAGUUGCGGCGCACCUAGGGUUAGGUUUAGUUGUUUUUGCUAAUAGUGGGCUUGUUGGGCUGAAUUGGGCUAGGUCUAGGUGGGUUUGGUAUUUGGGCUUAUAAUAGGUUAUUUGGGUAUUGUGUAGAUUUGGGUUUGUUAGGCCCUGGGUAAAUUUGGGCUAUACAGCUACCCCUCUUUGCUUCAUUGUUGUGUAACGGGAAUGAAGCAAAGACUAAAAAAGACCAAAUUUGCCCGGUCUCGCCGAGUUUUGACGCUUCUCUUCAAGUAGCUUCAUUCCAGCCUACUGCAUCUUGUUUCUUCGAUCCACUCCACUGCACUUCAAGGAGAUACGGCUCGUAGCUUCAAUCCACUCUGCUGCAACUUCAGGGGGACGAGAUUCAUGGUUUUAGUCUGCUCCACUGCAACUUCAAGGAGAUAGAAUUGAUUUCUUUUGUCUGCUCCACUACUGCUUAGGGAAAUAAUACAUGAUGCGAUCUACUCUACUGCAACUUUCGAGAGGUAAGAUCUGUGGUUUUAAUCCGCUUCACUGUAACUUCAGGGAGAUAGGAUUAAUUUCUUCUAUCUGCUCCGCUACUGCUUAGGGAGAUAAGACUUGAUGCGAUCUACUUUACUACAACUUCAGAGAGAUAAGAUCUGUGGUUUUAAUCCGUUCCACUGUAAAUUUAGAGAGAUAGGAUUGAUUUCUUCUGUCUGCUCCACUACUGCUUAGGGAGAUAAGACUUGAUGCGAUCUACUCUACUGCAACUUCAGAGAGAUAAGAUCUGUGGUUUUAAUCCACUUUACUGCAACUUCAGGGAGAUAGGAUUAAUUUCUUCUGUCUGCUCCACUACUGCCUAUGGAGAUAAGACUUGAUGCGAUCUACUUUACUGCAACUUCAGAGAGAUAAGAUCUCUGGUUUUAAUCUGCUCCACUGCAACUUUAGGGAGAUAGGAUUAAUUUCUUAUGUCUGCUCCACUACUGCUUAGGGAGAUAAGACUUGAUGCGAUCUACUCUACUGCAACUUCAGAGAGAUAAGAUCUGUGGUUUUAAUUCACUCCACUACAACUUCAGGGAGAUAGGAUUGAUUUCUUCUGUCUUCUCCACUACUACUUAGGGAGAUAAGACUUGAUACGAUCUACUCUACUGCAACUUCAGAGAGAUAAGAUCUGUGGUUUUAAUCCGCUCUACUGCAACUUCAGAGAGAUAGGAUUAAUUUCUUCUGUCUGCUCCACUACUGCUUAGGGAGAUAAGAUUUAAUGCAAUCUACUCUACUGCAACUUCAGAGAGAUAAGAUCUGUGGUUUUGAAUCCGCUCCACUAUAACUUUAGGGAGAUUGGAUUGAUUUCUUCUGUCUUCUCCACUACUGCUUAGGGAGAUAAGACUUAAUGCGAUGUACUCUACUGCAACUUCAGAGAGAUAAGAUCUAUGGUUUUAAUCCGUUCCACUGCAACUUCAGGAAGAUAGGAUUGGUGGCUUAAAUCUGCUUCCUACUACCUCAAGAAGAUAAGAUUCACCGUCUUCGAUCUGUUCCACUACUGCUUAGGGAGAUCAGAUCUGUAAUUUUCAACCUACUCCACUGCUACUUAGGGAGAUAAGGCUGGUGCUUCCGAUCUGAUUUACUUCCAGUAUAGGAAGGCAAGAUCUAAAAUCUUCAGUCUACUUCACUGGCAAUACAGGAAGACAAGACUUGCUAUCUUCAGUCUACUUCGCUGCCAACUCAGGGAGGUGAGGCUGGUGUUUUCGAUCUACUUCGCUGCCAAUACAGAAAGACAAGAUCUGCUAUUUUUACUCCGCUCUGCUGCAAACUCAGGGAGGUGAGGCUGGUGUCUUCAAUCUGUUUCACUACCGGUACAUGAAGACAAAAUCUACUAUCUUCUUUAAUCCAUUCCACCGUAACUUCAGUGGUAUAGGAUUUGUGGCUUCACAGAUAUGUUCUAGGGAACGUAACCUGUAAAAUCUAUUUUAUGGACUUAUUUAUGCCUAGUGAUUAGGAUGUUAUGAUCAGAAUGAAUUAAAUGCUCUUAACUAGAUUUGUAUGAAUGAUGAAUGCAGAAUGCCAUUUUUCGAAAAUGAUCCCUCUUUAAUGCUUAGGUUGGCAUUACUCGCUGUUUAUUAGGGCUUUAUCACUGACACGUCAGAAUGCCAUCUUGUUCAGUUGGUAUUUCUAAAGAAAUACUCACAGAUUGCCCCCACUGUAAUCCUCCAGAUUUAAUCCACUGGGACAUAAAAUUUGUACCAUCUUCCUCCCAUUAUGAUUCAGAAGUAGAAAGUUUAGCUUUUCUCAAUCCUCUGUUAUCACAAAUCAAGGUUACAACAUCUGAAUCUCUUUGGCCUUACACUAUUCCCAAGGUGUCAUACCAAAUGUUUAUACACAAUUGUAGAACUUCUCUUCCGAGAAACCUUUUCUUAUCAUUCGGUGAUCAUUACUGGUUUGUUCAUUGAAGCUUUGUCACCAACAGAACAUCUUGUCAUUUUGUUCCAUCAAUGUUUGGACAACAAAAUCUAAAAGGAUGGUCUUAAUGGACUUUUCCUUCUUAGAUAUUUCAACCUUUAAACUUGGUGUGUUCUAAACAAUAGUCCUGUUUUAUGGUCCUAUAUUAUUUAGAAACUUCUAGAGUAAUAUGCAAAACUUCCCUUGUGAAAGUAUUAUUAGUCCAUUAAUCAUUAUUCCAAUGCAACAUGUUUGCAAAAGAUCAAAACAAUGAUAAAAAUAGAAUUAAUUUCGGAGCAUGACUCGAAAUGAAUAAAUUAUCAAGGAUAGUAAAAAUAAAAGAGGAAUGAAUUGGUAACAUGUAUCUUGAAAAGAAAGAGUAUUCCAAGAACAAUAAAUUCAAUAGUAUGAAGAUUAGGUGCCCUAGAUAUCACAGCUUCAACUUCUCUGUACAAACUUUCUAAAGACCUUUCUGAGUUUGACAUGUGUUUAGGAGAUCUACAUUUCUUUGUCGAUGCCCCAAGAUGUCCCCUACCCUUUCUUGUUGAUUCAGGUAUAGCAAGAUCACCACAUGCCCCAUUCUGGUCAAAAUUUGGCUGCUCUGAUCACCUCAUGUCCCAUUCUGAUCAAAAUUUGAGCUGCCCUUUUUGGGUUUUCAACUCAAAUCCCCUUUGGUCUCAAGGCACCCUUUGCGGGUUUUCACCUUAGCCUCUCUUUUUUUCUUUUUCUUUGUUUUUCUUUUCUUUCUUUCUUUUUUUGACUCAAAGCGCCCUUUGCAGGUUUUCACCUUGGUUUUCUUUUUUUUAGGACUCAAGGUGCCCUUUGCAGGUUUUCACCUUGGUUUCUUCUUUUUCAGGUAAAGUCAUUCUUGACUGAAUUUGAAUUCACCGGAUUGGGCAAGUCUUUGGCAUCCAUCUCGGUCAAUAUUAGUGCUCCUCCAGAACAAGCCUUCUUUACAACAUAAGGUCCUUCCCAAUUUGGCAUCCACUUUCCUUUAAAAUCCUUUUUGUAUAAGAAGGAUGUUUUUCAACAUUAGGUUCCCCUCGUGGAAUUCUCUAGGAUGAACCUCUUUGUCGUAAACUCGCAUCAUCUGACCAUGACGGAUAGCUUUUAACAUUCCCUAAACCAAUGGGCCAAGUGUUGCCCCGGCAAAGAUCCCGGCCGACGUUUGAUGAUCAUAGAGGGUGAAUGGUAACUUCCUUAUACCAAUCUUUACAAGUCUCGGUCAUCUUUCUCACGAUCCUUAUUUUAUUUUUUCUUUUUUGGCUGCCUACGGCGUCUGAUCUUUGAACAGAAUACAAACUUCUGACAUUGUCCUUUUUGGCAUUCUUUAUCCGCUCCUGAUCUCUUUUUUUUUUGAAAUCAGAAUUUAAUGAUUUCGACCUUGUAACAUUGGUAUAUGAAGCUAUUUCCACCCUCUUAAUGAAGUAAUCAAAGACCACAAAGAUGAAUCGAUAUUGGCUAAAAACUUUUGACGAGAUUGGCCCCAUCAAAUCCAUGCCCCACAUAUGGAAAAUUUGUGAAGAAAUAGAGGGGGAACAUAGGUUUCAUCUUCCUCAAAUUGGUAUUUACGGCAUAACUGAUGUAAUCCCCUUCCAUGGUGGACUAGCAAUACUGAAACCUCGUGAUUAACGUGGCUAUAAUAAAACCAUUUGUAUGUAUCCAUCUGACACACUUAUGGAUCUUUUAGCCUUAACAGCAUCCACAGGUCUUAGUAAGCCAGAUAUCUUGAUAUGAUUGUGCAAAAACAUCUUUGAAUUCUUAGAAUGAUGUUUCGCUUUGUUUCUGAUGGGUGUCGAGUCCACCAAUAUAAACCUACGCCUAAUUUGCAAUUUAAACAGUAUAGGGAGUAGGGUCGAUCCCUCAGAGACUGGGUUUACUGCAAAUUGUUCCUCUCUUGACCAGAUUUUUGUCAGGGCAGUUUUCGUGCCCAAGAAAUUCGGGGGGAUAAAAUUUGAAACCUGAAAUAAAUAAAUAAAAAGCGUAAAAAGUAAAAGUUGAAGACAAAAUAAUAAAAAUAGUUAAAUAAAGUCUAAAGGAGAAUUAAUUAAAAUAAGCUCAACUUUAGGCACGACUUUUUCCUCGUCUUUGAACUGAUCCUCGAAAUUAGAUGAACUCCACUUUUCCAAUAAGCUAGUUAUAGCUACCAAGGACGCCUCGGACGCCAACUCUUCCUUGUGUAAAUUAGUUAUAGAACGUCUUAUAACUAACUCUUAUCGAUCAAAAAACCACGAAACAUUCGUGAUUUAGAACUCCGGCAGCUUUGCGUUCUAGAAGAGCCUAGCUUGAACCAAUGUCCUCAACCGCGUGGGACAUUUAAAUCUGGUUACUACUUCCAUUGAUGGAACCAAACAACAAUCUCUACUUGGCACGCCAAUGUGUUCACAGAAAACCGAUUAGAAACGUUUCUUUCGGAAUUCCAACUGUAUGUCUAACCACAAUAAAUCAAACGACAUCUUUUUUGACUUAAUGUUGAUCUGACUUUGUGAGUUAACAAAAUCAUACUCUUAAUCUGGAGAAAUAAUAAGUACUAAAAUUUAGGAGUUAAAUUGCUCGGGUUCGUAACUCACGAAUUUUGUCGAGGUUAAUUCCGACCUAAAGCUGAAAAUGGGUUUAGUUAACUAAGGUUUGAGGCAUGUUGAUUAUUGGAUAAAUUAAAUAAGGUAAAAUCGGUGGUUGGCUACUGGAAAUAAAAAGGGAAUUCGAAAAAGGGAUUGCAAAUGGCUUAAGUUGAUGGCUACUAAGAAUUAAUAAAUUGAAGGAAAAAAACUAAAGGCAGCAAAUGAAUUCGUGACAAGAAAAGAGAAAAUGUAUUGAAAGAUGAAAGCUUAAUAUUUUGAUUGAUGAUUAAAAUGAACAAUGUAACAUCUAUUUAUACUAGUGGCAUUGCUAAAUUAAGAGCCACUAUCAUAGAAAAUCAAGGAAAAAUAUUCUAUGAUAUAAAAAAUCCCAAAAUAAUCUCCCACUAAGUCAACAAAAAUUUCAGCUACUUAAUCUUCGAAAAAUUCUUCUUUAGUCCUCCUUCUUUUCUUCUUUUUUCAAUUUAGCCCAAUUUUUUCAUUGUUUUUUAUUUAGCCCCAAAUUGCAUCCCUGCACAAAAUUCAAUAAAAACAUGGAAAAAUUAGUGGUGCAUUCUCAUAAAUUAACCAAUUUAAUUACAUAAAAUAUGUAACUUUAGCAUUUAAUCAAAUCCCCCUACUUAGCAUAUGUUAGUUCUUGAGCAUUAUGCAUGUAUCUGCAAAAGGAAAAAUUUCUUCCAAAAUAGGACUUGACCCUCAUGGUUUGCACAAUUCAACAAUUUAAUCCUAGCACAUUAACAUCUCAAAUAACCUAGCACAAUAAGUAAGUAAAUAUAUUUCAGAAUUUAUUAGAGCUUGAUAGGCUUACCUUUCAUUUUAUUAUUUUUUACUUAGGACAUUUUCGGAUUUUUUGACGCGAGACAUGAUGACAACCCAAGCACCAUGUUCCGGUUACUCAAUUCGGACAUCUCUAAGUGGGUUAUUUCGCCCUACUCAUGAUAACUUGUUAGCGGAGUGAGUGCAAAGAAAUUGGACAGCCACACAAACCUUUUUACGCGAGAUGUGAUGACAACCCAAGCACCACGUUCUGGUUACUCAGCCCGAUGUACAACCCCAAUUUUUCACUCUUAACAUUCGUAUCAGAGGAGUAUUAUUAUUAUUAUUAUUAUUAUUAUUAUUAUUAUUAUUAUUAUUAUUCUCCCCUUUUUUUAUUGAAAGAUGAAAGGUAGGCAGUCAAGCAAACUCAUAAUUCCCAAAAAUUUCUUACCCACUAAGUCUAGGUUAUUGAAAAGUUGUAUGUGUAAAGAACUAAAUAGCUAAAUAGGUCAAACCAUAAGUGUACCAUCCCAACUUAUCAAAAGAAAAAUUUUACCUUUUACCGAAAACAUGCAAAAAUAGCGAUGACAGAUAAGCAAAUUAGAACCAACUUAUGUUUCCCUCCCCCUACUUAUUUUACAUUGUCCCAAUGUAAUUUAAAGAAUAAAAGUAAAGAUAAGUAGGAGACGGAGAGAAAAAGAAACUCCCAUGUAUUUCAACGUCGUGGAGGGUGGUCUCGUAGGUAGAGCAGGCCUUGGCUGAAAUAAAAAGAAUUUUGUGGGUUGACAUGUGGAAUUUAAUUUUGUCUUGGAAUCUUUUCCUGCAAAAAUAAAAAUAAAAAUGAAAAUAAAAUAAAAUAGUAAAUAAUAAUAAUAGCAAAAUUAAAAUGUUUUUUUUUUCAAAUUUAUUAGCUAAGCUAUAAACUCGAGAAAUAAAUUAUUAAAAACCAAGAUUACAAGAUUUGGUAAAACAGUCGUGAUAAAUGCACCAAGUAAGUUCCUAAGAAAGACAGGUGAGUCACAAUGGAAUACUUAAGUACCAAGUCUUUCCUUAGACAGAACUAAUCCUCGACAUGCAUUUUCAUUUUCCGUUUUACCAAAAAUUUUAUUUGCAUAAAGGAAAAGAAAAUUUGGGUUGCCUCCCAACAGCGCUUGUUUAAUGUCGUUUGCUCGACGACCUAUUAUUCAAAUUCUUUAUCCAUUUGUAAUAGACUGCAAAGCAGUUGCACGAUCUUCGAGAAGUAUUUUAUGAAUUGUCUGUAAAAUCCGUACACCUUGAAGUCAUCCAUGAAAACUUCAAUGAUUUUCUCGACAUAAUUGGAGAAUAUGCUCAACAUGCAUCUCUGGAAAGUGGUCGGAGCAUUACAGAGUCCAAACGGUAUUCGCCUAUAUGCAAAUGUUCUGAAAGGGCACGUGAAAAUUAUUUUGUCUUGAUCCUCCGGAGCCACUGGAAUUUGGAAAAAUCCUAAAUAUCCAUCGAGACAACAAUAAUGGGUCUUACCAGCUAAUCACUCGAGCAUUUGAUCGAUGAAGGGAAGUGGAAAAUGGUCUUUUCGAGUAGCUGCAUUCAAGUUCCUGUAAUCGAUGCAAACCCUCCAUCCAUUCUGGAUUCGAGUAGGGACCAGCUCUCCUGAUGAGUUUUUCACUAUUGUCAUACCAGUUUUCUUGGGCACGACAUGAACCGGGCUAACCCAAUCACUGUCAGAGAUCAGGUAUAUCAUUCCAGCAUCCAACAGUUUCUGGAUCUCUUUCUUUACUCCUCCAUCAUGGGUGGAUUAAGGCACCUCUGAGUGUCUCUCUUUGGUUUUGUGUUAUCUUUGAUGGAAAUUCUGUGCAUACAGGUAGAUGAGCUUAACCCUUUUAUGUCGGCUAUUGUCCAACCUAUAGCCUCUUUAUAAUUCCUCAGAACUCGAACUAGACUUUUCUCAUCAUCUUUGGUUAGUUUGUUUGACACUAUCAUCGGUAAGGUGUCUUUCUCUCCCAAAAAGACAUACUUAAGGUGGUCCGGUAAUGCUUUAAGCUCCAAAGUUGGUGGCUGCAAAACAGAAGGCAACAUUUUAAUUUGGGAAGGUAAUAGUUCAAACUGGUUACCUCGAUUCGUCAACGAUGGUUGCAUCUCCAAGUGUUUGACAAUUUCUCGCAACGGAUCUUCUAUAAUUGAUAACUUUUCGAGACGACUUAAAACAUCCAUGUCAAUGCUUCUGUAAAGGACAGUUUCCAACUCAUCAAGGUCAUGAUAUUCAGAAUAAGUUUGAGUUAAACAAUCCAUAAUAUCGAUACUAGAAAUAUUUGAUAAUGAGUUAGGAUGACUCAUGGCUUCGUAGGCAUUGAAUUUCACAAUUUUGCCAUCAAACUCCAUUGUCAAUGUUCCACUCUGAACAUUAAUUUUUGCGAUUGCGGUACUUAGAAACGACCUUCCAAGUAAAAUGUCAGACGAAUUAGUUGAGUUAUCAUCCUCCAAAUUAAUAAUGUAGAAAUCUGUAGGGAAAACUAAUUCGUUAACUUUAACAAGGACUUCUUCAAGCAACCCUUCGGGAUAGAUGACUGACCUGUCUGCCAACUGGAUUAUUACUCCUGUCUUUUUCAAAGGACAUGCGUUAAUCAACUUAUAAAUAGGAUAAGGCAGAACAUUAAUGGAAGCCCCUAAAUCACACAGGGCUUUCUUAAUGCCUACAUUACCUAUCUCACAAGAAAUAGCAAACAUACCUUGGUCCUUGUAUUUGGGCGGAACUUUCUUUUGCAGUACUGCGGAGACAUUUUCUCCUACAUUUACGCUUUCGUUACCUAUUAACCUCCUCUUGCUAGUACACAGUUCCUUGAGGAUUUUACAUAAUGGGGGAUUUGUUUGAUAGUGUCGAGCAAAGGGAUAUUUACCUCCGCCUUCCUGAAUGUCUCGAGGAUUUCUUUUUCCUCAUUCUCUUUCUUAUCCUUUGUGAGCCUCCCUGGAAAAAGAGGUGGCAUCACAACUGGUUUCUAAAUUUCUGAUUCUGGGCUGGCUUUUGGAUCAGAGAUCUACUCUUCUCGUUCAUUGUCUUGCCCAUGACUUUUGUCUGGAACUGUUUCCAAAAUUUUUCCGCUAUGAAGAGUUAUUGCACUUGCAUUCAGUCGAGGAUUCGGCUCUGUCUGGGAAGGUAAUUUACCUUGAGAUUCCAAACGAUUAACUGCCAUCGAGAUUUUACUAACUUGAUUAGUUAACUCUUGUAUUUAUGCGUCUAUCAUUUGUUGGUAUUUUGCAGCAUCAACGGCAAGUCUUUCCGUAAUAGCUUCUAGAGAUAUGCUCGGCUUGGGUGGCGGUUACAGUGGUUGCAGAGGUCUCGGUUGGCAUGAUGGAUUAUAUCAGGGAUUAGCUCCGUAAUUCAAGUUCGGAUGAUCCUUCCACUCAGGAUUGUAGGUGUUGGAGAAAGGAUCAUAGCGUCUUUGCAGAGGUCCCAGAAAGCCUCCGACAGCCUCGACAUGUGCCGUUGAAUUUUUGUUAAGGAUUGGGCACAAAUCUAUCGGAUGUUCAGACGUAGUACAUAUUCCACACAGUUGGGUCAGAUUUUUCUUUUCUAUAAGCAUAGAUUGAACAAUAGGAAUAAGCUUAUCCAAUUUAUCUUUUAAGGAUGAAACGUUUACCCCAUUAACUCGUCUUGUGGGUUCUGAAUUUGGCCGAUACUGUUGCAAAUUUAUCGCCAUGGUGGAUAUCAGUUCUCUUGCCCUUUGAGGAGUCAUAUUGACAAGCACCCCUCCACUAGCAGCGUCAAUCAUCUUCAUUUCAAUAGAGAGCAAACCCUCGUAGAAAUACUGAAGAAAUGAUUGCUCGGUCAAACCGUGUUGAGGAUAACUUGCAUACAGUUUUUUGUAUUGUUCCCAAUAGUCGUAGAGCGAUUCACUCUCCAUUUGGUGAAUUCCCACUAUGUCUCUUCUAAGUUCAACUGCUCGUGAUGCUGGGAAGAAUCUAUCAAGAAAAACACGAGAUAAGUCAUCCCACCUUGUAAUAGAACUGAGGGUAAGUAAAAUAACCAUUAUUUUACUGUAUCAACUAAAAAAAAAGGAAAGGACCGAAAUUUAAUUUCAUCUACGGUUACUACCUAUGGUUUCAUGCUUGAGCAGACUAUAUGGAAUUCUUUCAAGUGAGUGUGUGGAUUUUCAUUCUUCAAGCCUCGAAAAGUGGGCAAAAGGUGAAUUAGGCUUGACUUCAACUCGUAUGGGGUUUCUCCGAUUGGAUAGUUGAUGCAUAACGGUGUUUGCUCGUUGGGACCAGCAGUUAGUUGACGAAUGGUUCGGUUUGCCAUCCUUUCUGGUUCACCGACUUCUGCUUCUUUUGUUUCAAAAAGUGGUUCGGUCUCAGGAUCAACCACUUCGACUUGUUUCUACGUCGAAUUACCUCUGCACGAAUUGCUUGGCUCAACCUUUCGACGUCGGAUUCUAGGAUCCCUUGUCCUAGCUCAACUUCUGAUUUACUUGCAUGUUUAAGAGCUUUUGUCACUUUUCGUUGUGCUCAUUCUGAUUUCUCGAUCUCUGGCUCGUAUUCAAAUCUUCGGAUGAAGAUCUGGUCAUGAAGAUGAUUUAAUCAAUUGUAAGUGUUGCCAUUCCCCGGUAAUGGAGCCAAAAAUGAUAGGUGUCGAGUCCACCAAUAUAAACCUACGCCUAAUUUGCAAUUCAAGCAGUAUAGGGAGUAGGGUCGAUCCCUCAGAGAUUGGGUUUACUGCAAAUUGUUCCUCUCGUGACCAGAUUUUUGUCGGGGCAGUUGUCGUGCCCAAUAAAUUCGGGGGGAUAAAAUCUGAAACCUGAAAUAAAUAAAUAAAUAAAAAGCGUAAAAAGUAAAAGUUGAAGACAAAAUAAUAAAAAUAGUUAAAUAAAGUCUGAAGGAGAAUUAAUUAAGCUCAGCUUUAGGCACGACUUUUUCCUCGUCUUUGAACCGAUCCUCAAAAUUAGAUGAACUCCACUUUUCCAAUAAGCUAGUUAUAGCUACCAAGGACGCCUCGGACACCAACUCUUCCUUGUGUAAAUUAGUUAUAGAAUGUCCUAUAACUAACUCUUACCGAUCAAAAAACCACGAAACAUUCGUGAUUUAGAACUUCGGCAGCUUUGCGUUCUAGAAGAGCCUAGCUCGAACCAAUGUCCUCAACCGCGUGGGACAUUUAAAUCUGGUUACUACUUCCCUUGACGGAACCAAACAACAAUCUCUACUUGGCACGCCAAUGUGUUCACAGAAAACCGAUUAGAAACGUUUCUUUCGGAAUUCCAACUGUACGUCUAACCACACUAAAUCAAACGAUGUCUUUUUUGACUUAAUGUUGAUCUGACUUUGUGUGUUGACAAAAUCAUACUCUUAAUCCGGAGAAAUAAUAAGUACUGAAAUUUAGGAGUUAAAUUGCUCGGGUUCGUAACUCACGGGUUUUGACGAGGUUAAUUCUGACCUAAAGCUGAAAUGGGUUUAGUUAACGAAGGUUUGGGGCAUGUUGAUUAUUGGAUAAAUUAAAUAAGAAUGGGUGGUUGGCUACUGGAAAUAAAAAGGGAAUUGGAAAAAGGGAUUGCAAAUGGCUUAAGUUGGUGGCUACUAGGAAUUAAUAAAUUGAAGGAAAAAAACUAAAGGCAGCAAAUGAAUUCGUGACAAGAAAAGAGAAAAUGUAUUGAAAGAUGAAAGCUUAAUAUUUUGAUUGAUAAUUAAAAUGAAUAAUGUAGCAUCUAUUUAUACUAGUGGCCUUGCUAAAUUAAGAGCCAAUAUCAUAAAAAAUCAAGGAAAAAUAUUCCAUGAUAUAUAAAAAACCGCAAAAUAAUCUCCCACUAAGUCAACAAAAAUUUCAGCUAAUUAAUCUUGGAAAAAUUCUUCUUUAGUCCUCCUUCUUUUCUUCUUUCUUCAAUUUAGCCCAAUUGUUUCCUUUUUCUUCUAUUUAGCCCUAAAUUGUAUCCCUGCACAAAAUUCAAUAAAAACAUGGAAAAAUUAAUGGUGCACUCUAAAAAAUUAACCAAUUUAAUUACAUAAAAUAUGUAACUUUAGCAUUUAAUCAGUUUCAAUGGUAAAACAAGCUCCAAUCUCUUUCUCUUCUCCUAGGCUCAUAAUUUCCACCUGAUUUCUUGUCAAGCAGGAUCUGUUUCUCGACUUGUUCUACUAUCCUUAACAAGUUCGGAAAUAGGCUACAAUCUAUGUCAUCUUCAAAGUCAUGAGAUCCCUCUAAACACAUGUCUCGCUUAAAAAGAGAUUCUGAGUAUGUAGCAGCGUCACUCAUGUCGUUGAUAUUCAAGGACCAAUUGUAUGUACAAAAGAAUAUACAAAGAAUGUAUGAAUUUAUGAAUAAUUAUUUGUACAGUAUGGUUAUGAAUGAAAGAAUGACUUGGAAUAAAAUCCAAAAGAAUAAGCCUUUUUCACAAAAUGAUUACGAAGAUGUAUUAAAAAUAAUGAUGUUCAGACAUAAGCCUUUUUCACAAAGGAGUUCUUAUUGCCUGUAGGCUGAAAGCAACAAGUGCGUUCUGAACAUUACUCCAAGUAAGCUCUAAUUUCUUUUGUAAUUUGAUUAUUUAGAACACUCCCAAGUUUAUAAGGGCGGAUACCUAACAAAGUCCCUUUUCAGUUGCCUUCAUGUAUGACAUUGAUAUGAACAUUUUUUUGACCCCUUCACAGAACUCUAUCUUGUUGGACCUUAGCCAACUGCUCUUGUAUUUGCAGUUGUAGUUGGUCUUGCCUCCCCCUUUGGAGUUGUUCAAGUUUUUCCAAUCUUUAGUCCAUGUUUUUUUGUUCAGGUACCGUAACGAUGCUAAGUCGAUAGACUUUUUUUCAAUUCCCAGGUUAACUAAAAUAAUUUUACCUAAUUAAGGUCCUUUUGUGAAGAUCUAAUACAUAUGAUGAUAUGAUGCAAUGUAAUGCAAAUGCAUUGAAUGAAUGCAAAAAGAAAGAGAGGUAUUGAUUCUAAAUUCAAUUCUAUUAGAACAACUUUUAUAGAAAACAAAUUUCUUUACAUAAAACGGAUUACAUAUGUGGCUUUGCCCUCAUAUUCCAAGCGAAGACAACGAUCCUUUUCUUCAUUCGGAUGUUAAAAUGAAUCACGCAAAUCUUUUAAUGGAUGCCUUUACAAGCUCCUUCUUGAUCUGAGCCGCAACUCAUUGCUCACUCAUCUUCGUGAUGCUCAUUAGCUUCUUUUCAAAAGGUCGGGAUGUUGGCGACUCUCGAAUAAUCUUUGUCAACUUGAAUCCUCGAGCAAUGAAGUAAAGUCGUGUAUUCCUCCACGAACUUUUAGCCUUCUCUCAUUGUGCUUGAUCAGACCAUAUUUGGGCAGUCGGAUUAUAUUCCACUUUAUCAAGAAAUUCGUUUUCCAUGACAAGCUUUUCUAUUUAGCAAUCAAAUUUGAAUCAACACCUCUUUUCUAUGAUGAAAAUGCAAUGCAAUCACAACUAAAACGAAAGAAAGCAGGUUAGUACAAAGCAAAAACAAGCAAGAAAGAAACGAAAAGAGCACCUAUUCGGGUGACCACUAGGGUUUGGCGUGGUUCUACCUAGGGUUGGCUCUUAGGGCUCAUUAUAUGCGGUUUGGUUCUAAAGUAAGGGUACCCGAACUGACAGAUUCCUCGAUCCUCACCUAUUAUAGGUUCAUAUGGACCAAGUUCAGUGCAGGGGGAUACAUUUCUCUAUGGCUACACGGAGAUGAAAAUCUCACGAAGACAUAAGUACGAAUGUAUCCCGAAAGCGAUCUGCUAUCCUGUACGGAGGUGAAUACCUCACGAAGGAAAUAGCUUCUCACUCCCACUUAAAAGAAAAUAAUCAAGCGGUUAUAUAAUGCAAUAUGCAGAAACAUAUAAAAAAUAUACAAACCAAUAGAGUAAUUACAAACCGAAGUAAUAAUCGUUACAAAACGGACGAAAUACAACAAAAUGAUCGUAUAUUUAAACCAAGUUUUCAGGUGACCUCUAGGUAUUUGGUGUGGUUCUACCUAGGGUAGGCUCUUAAGGCUCAUUAUAUGCUGUUCGGUUCUAAAGUAAGGGUACCUGAACCAACAGAUUCCUCAAUCGUCACCCAUUAUAGGCUCAUACGGACUGAGUUCAGUUUAGGGGAAUACAUUUCCCUACGGCCAUGCGAAGAUGAAAAUCUCACGAAGACAUAGGUACGGAUGUAUCCUGGAAGCGAUUCACUAUCCCAUGUGGAGGUGAAAACCUCACGAAGGCGUAGUUUCUCACUCCCACUUAGAAAAGUAUGACCGAGUGGUCAUGCAAUGCAAUGCGCAGAAAUAUAUCCAAACUUAACACAACGUUUAUAAAUCACAAUGAUGAAGAUCGUAAUAAAAACGAAUGAAAAUUCAACGAAAGGAUCGUAUAUUUAAAUCAAAUUCUUGAUUUUCGACAAAAAGAUAAAAAGUAAUGAGCACGUGGCUAGACUCUCUUUUUAUGUCCCCAGUGGAGUUACCAAGCUGUUGACACCAUUUUUUGAUAAAAACGAGGUCGACUUGAAUUUUGAAAAUGAAAAUUAAAAUGGGAGUCGCCACCGAUCCUUUUUGAUGAGGUGUGAUCGGGUCACCUCGAAAAGUGGUUAUUUUUAAUAAACAAUUUGAUUUUAUUAAAACAAUGAUUUUGGUCCACGAAAUUCAAAAAAAAAGGUUCGGGAGUCGGUUACGUACAAGGAAGGAUUAACACCCUCGUAACGCCCAAAAAUUGGUACCUAGUUGAUUAGUUAAUGUCUUCUUAAUGUCGAAAAUUGAAAACUUUGAAGAAUUUUAAAAAUACGAUCUUUAAUUUUUUUUUUAAAAGAAAGCUUAUAUAAAUCAAGUUACUCGUUAAGACCCUCCCAUUUCAAGAGGAGAAAACGUCACACCCAAUGCGUUAGGACAUGAUAUUUUACUUCUUCAGAAAUGAUCUUGUCUAAAAACUUGCACAAUAAAAUUUAAAAGGGUAUUCAAUUGUUUAAAUCAUGUGAAAAAUUGCAACCCAAUACGUUAGGACACAAUUUAAACAUUGAAUAUUGCAUUUACUUUGAAAAAUCCUCGUCUUGAGAAAACAACAUGUCAUAUCCAAUACGUUAGGACACAACGUAUUGAAUUCUCGAUAAUGAGCUUUUUAUUUUUUUAUAAAACAGUGUAGUCUCGAUUAUUUAGAUUCAAUGAAAAAAAUCAAAACCCAAUACGUUAGGGCUCGAUUCUCUCAAAGAUCCCAAAUACCGAGUAUUACUUAUAUUUUUAAAAAUUCUUUUUUUUUUUUGAAUCUGGGUAAAAAUUGAUGUAAUGGAAUGACAAUUAUGAUGAUGUAAGUAAAAUAAUACGAGCAAGGGCUACAAAAUAAGAUAAAUACAAGGACAAAUCAAUAGCAUACAUGAAGUGAUAAGUAAAUAAACAAAUAGAACGACAAUACUUUUCAAAAUAAUAAUGAACACAUAAAUAAAUAAAUCAAAUAAGACAAUAAUAACCAUAAUGAAAAUAAAUGAAAUUAUAAAAAUAAAAUAAAAAUCUAUGUAUAUAUAACAAAAUUUGAAAAUAGUAAAUAUAUAUAUGUACAUCUAUGUAUAUGUAUAUAAAAUUAUGUAAUAUAUAUAAAAAAUACAUAGAAGUAUAUAUAUGUGUGUGUAUUUACAAAAUUUUAAAAACAUAUAUAGAUAUAGAUAUAGAUAUAGAUAUAUAUAGGUGCGUAUAUACAUUGUAGAAUAUAUUGAAAAUAUAUGUAUAUAUGAAUUAUAAAUAUAGGAAAUAUAUACAAGGAAAAUAUAGAUUUUAAAAUAGAUAGAAUAUGUAUAUAUAUAUAAGUAUAUAAAAAAUGUAUAUGGAUAUAUGAACAUAUUUUUGAAAUUAUGAAACAGAAGUGUGUAUAAAAUUAUGGAAAUAUGAAAAGUAUAUACAUGUAUACAUAUUUUAAAAUUAUUAUACAUGAAAGUAUAUGUAAAUAUGUAUUAAAAUAUUAGAUAUGUAGGUAUAUAAAAAUUAUGAAAAAGAUAAAAGUAUGUGUAUAUAUAUAUAUUUAUAAAAAUUAAAAUAUGUACAUGUAUAAAUAUAUAUAUUAUAGAAAUGUGUAUAUAUAACAAAAUUUGAGAUUAAAGUUAAAAAUGAGUAAAUAGUGAUAAUAAUAAUAAUAAUAAUAAUAAUCAAUGCUAAUAUAAAAUCAAUGACGAUAGUAUUAAUAAUAUUUAAACAAUUAAUCUAAUAGUAAAAUGACUAAAGUAACAGAUUGAGGCUUGAAUUAAAAAAAACAAAGUUUUAGGGCUGAAUUGAAAAAGGAAAACAUAAAAAGGGAUUUAAUUAUAACGCGCGUGAAAAUAAGAGGACCAAAAGAGAAAUAAUCCCUGUCCUUUAAAAACGGCACCGCUUUAGGGGCAGCGUCUACACAUGGUCUAAGGACCCAAAUUAAAUCAGAAGCAAACUUUGUGGCCAAAAUCAAAAAUAAAAAAGAGAUCGCAUUGAACACGCCGCAAAGGAGAAGGGGCCUAUAGCGAAAUAUCCCCUAAAGCAAAACACGCGGAUCCUUCCCCUGGGUCGGGUCACCGCACGGGUCAGGGCCAAAACGACGUCGUUUUGGCACCUGACCCCUAGUUGCAAACCGGCGCCGUUUCAUACUUAGUAUAAAUAUAAAAAAAACCCCCAAAAAAUACAGUUUCAUCUUUCUUUUUUUUAAAAACUGAGAGCAAAGCUCUCUCUCUCUCACCGUGGACGGUGGUCGAUAUUACACAAAAGAAGCAUUUCAACUCCGUUUCAAAGCGCACAUAAAGCCCAAAAGAAGAAAAUCUUCACCACCCUUUUAAAACCGAUUCCGACUCCGAAAGAAGCUUCCGACGCCGUGGCCGUGGGAUCCUUUAGGAUAGUUUUCCUUCUUUUCCUUUAUUUUCAUGUAGAAAAUGUAAAAAGAAGAAAAAAUGAAUAAAUAAAUAAAUAAAGAAGAAAAAAAAUUAAAAAAUGAAGAAGUCACCUCUGUUAUAUUGCUUUGUGUUCUUUUUUAGAAUAAAUCGAAAAAAAAAAGGGAAGCUAAAAUACAGAGAUAAUAAUCGGUUUUUAUAGCCGAUUUCAACAACUCCUUCUGUUUCUAUUUUAAUGUUUUUGCUAUUUGGUUUCUUUUCUCUGCUACGCUGUCUUGUCUUGCAGGUGUCAGAGGAGCUGAUGGAGCAGGUGUGCGAAACAGUGGCGGUGACAGAGGCGGUGGCAAAUGCGCAGCGAUGGCGGCUGGUAGGUCAUGGGUCAGAAGACCCUAUGUGCGGCGCACCUAGGGUUAGGUUUAGUUGUUUGUUUUUGCUAAUAGUGGGCUUGUUGGGCUGAAUUGGGCUAGGUCUAGAUGGGUUUGGUAUUUGGGCUUAUAAUAGGUUAUUUGGGUAUUGGGUAGGUUUGGGUUUGUUGGGCCCCGGGUAAAUUUGGGCUGUAUAAUAUAUAUAGUGGAAAUAAAAUUUUAACAAAAAAAAGGUGAAACCAAUAAAAAUAUACACAUUUUGAUUAUGUAAAAAGGGAUGAAUUAAGUGACUAGAAUAUAAUGGAAGGAUCAUAUAAAGGUGAAACCAAUCAAAAUAUACAUAUUGAAUAUGAAUAUAAUGGAAGGAUCAUAUCUCAUAUGCAAAACAAGUCUAGAAUAAUUGUUUAAAUGAAAUACAAGAUGUGUAAAAAAAAUUAACAGGACAAAGUUGGUUAAGUAGUUUACCACAGUUAAUGCUUCUUUCUUGAUUGGCCCAUUACAAAAUUGAAAAAAUUUUCCUCAUAGAUAUUACGUUUCCGUUUCAUGUGAGAAGUGCUACCUAGUGAUCCAUGGUUGUGCGCAGAGUGUUGGUGGAUGUGUUCAAAAUUUGGAGAAGAUUGAGUGGUAUCGCACUGCAACUCUUUCAUUUCUUCCAAAUCUUUCUCAUACACUAUUCUAACACCACACUUCUUCACCUUAACACAACCGUCAUUUGGUCCAUUGAAAGACAACUCAAGCUCAUCGCCUAUUUGAUCUAAGCAAUCUGUUGUCCAUAAAUUAUUGGUUUCACAGUCACCAUAUUUAUCCUCCAAGGAAAUUGGAUAUAAGUGACCACGCGGAAAAUAACGAAGAAAAAGGUGAUCUUUCAUUAUGGGCUUGUCAAAGGAUUGAGAUGCCCACUGGUUUCUCCAAUAAAUUCGUCGACAAUUUCUACCUCGAAAAAUAGAUCCUUUACAUCCGAUAACCUCGUUAUGCCUUGAAGCAUCAUUAUUGACAAAAAUGCAGCAACAAGCAACUCCAAUCCAUUGACUAUCUUUCCGAAGGUUGAUAGGUAGGGGUAUCUUAAUUGAAAAGUCACUUUUUUGUUGGCUAAACCAUUCUGGAAUUUCACUUCUGGGCAUCAUAAUAUCAAAGAAGCCAUUAGCAAACCAUUUUCUAGAAUUUGGAAGUGCCUGCAAAAUAAAACACAAGUCGUCUGGUAACUAAAACCUUAAAUUCUCAAGUAUGAGAUUUUGUAAGGGAGAAAAAAUAGAUUAAGACCUUAAUAUGUUCUUUCAACAGUGUUAAUGCAUUGAUUUUCUCAGCCAAUUUGAAGCAGUUAAUGGCAAGAAUGUCACAACCCACUAAAUUGCAUACUUUUGAUGGACUUGCAACUACUUCAAGUGAAGAACAACCAUAUAGCUUCACUCGUUUAUUUGUUGAUAGCGCAGGCAGCAAUUUAAGCAUCUUGCAAUCUGACAAUACAAGCAAUUGCAGCCCGGAAUGUUGAGUAAGAGCCAAAGGAAUGCUGAUGAAAUUGUUACCACUAAGAUAAAGAUAACUCAAAGAGGAUAGACCAGAAAAAUCACUAUGAGUAUCUGCUUCACCAAGAGUGCACAUGUUGCAAUUUGACAAUUCAAGAGACAUAAGCUUUGAGAGUCGAGUAAGAGAUGCAGGUAUGCUGAUGAAAUUGUUACCACUAAGAUCAAGACUUCUCAAAGAGGAUAGACCAGACAUAUCAGGUGGAAUAUCUCCUUCACAAAGAUUGCAGUCCCUUAGUUUUAGCUUUCUUAAAGAACUCAAACCUGACAACAAAGGCAACAUCCGAGCCAUGGGAUUCGUCCUUCUUCCUUGGAUUACCUUGAAAAGAGAAGGCAAAUUUGGUAGUAACUUAUAUGUUGGUCCCUUGCGCCCAUUGAAAGACAGAACUUUAAGAUUUUUAAAUUGAAAAAUGAACGAUGGUGGUUCUGUUAUGGCUGUUUCACUCAAGUCAAGAUCUUCCAAAAACUUUGCUUGCUGCAAAUUCUCCGAUAAAUUUUCCACUCUAUAACAACCGGAAAGAUCUAGUGUUUUUAGACGUUCCAUUUUCCCAUCAAUCUCUGGAAACCUUACAAGACUUGAGCAACCCGAAAGAAUUAAUGUUUCAAGGGAUUCCAUUCCAAUUUUGGUUGGAAGAGUCCUAAGACUUUUGCAAUCUUUUAAAUUCAAAAGUUUAAGGCUCUUAAGCACCCCGAUUGAUGGAUGAACAUCCACUAAUUUGGUACAACCUUUCAAAAUCAAAACUUCAAGAUUUGAUGCGGUUGUGAAGUCUGGUGUCUUGAUCAGGUUUUGAGACCCUCUGAGGUUCAUUAUUUUCAAGUUAAACAAGGGCUGUUGAAGACCAUAAUAAAUUAGAAACAAAUGAGAAAACAUAAUAAUGCUCUUUUUUGUUUUUUUUUUUUGUUUUACCUUAAUCAAAGUUUAAUAAUUUAUAUUAAAAUAAGCUAAAACACAAGGAUAAGAUGAGUUAAUUCUUACUCUAUUUCCCUUCCAUAGUUGUUGAAUGUGACUAUAUGGUAAAAGAAGUGCGACAAGGUUGUCCGGUUGAAAGCUUGAAGGCAAGUAUCUUAGAGGGUAUCCUAUCCAAUCUAAAAGUCAUAAUUCAUUAGAAAGAUAUUUGAGAUCAUCACAAUUUGAAAGGCAAAGCACUUUGAGCAAUCUCAGUUUUUUCAUCUUCAAGAAGGUAUUCACACUCAAAUUGAGCAUCUUGUUCGAUUCCCUAAUAUCCAUGAGCGAAACAAAAAUGAGCUUCAAAAUAUACAAAAACAUUUAAUAUCUAAAAGAAAUGUUGCAUCAAUAUGUUUUUUAAGUACUCGUAUCCAAUACUUAUAUCAAAUACAUACAUUUCUCUUUUGAUUCUUUUGUAAAAGUAAAUAUGUUGCUAGAUAAAUUUCAUAAUUAAACAUUGAAAUAUUGAAUGUCAAUAGUUUUGCUAUAGUUUUUUUAUCAUAUUUAAAAAUAAUAAUUAUUUACAGUACACAUAGAUAUAAAUUUAUGUGUCUUCUUACCUUUUAUUAUUGAUGAUUAUGCCUUCAAUCAUUUCUGUAGCCUAAAAAAAAUCAACAACAGGCAAUAAGAAAAUAAAAUAAAUGGUGAAUAAUGUAGGAUAGAAAAGAAAUAGUAUGUAACUUUUGUUGAAUGACUUACAGUGUUUUUUGUUAGGACAUGAUGGACGCCCCUUUCCUCCCACAAUCUGCAACGUUUUCCAGGUUCAUCAACACAUUUUUCUUUAACAAUUUUUCUUCCCAUUUCUUGCAACAAGUCAUGCAUCUUCAAAUAUUUGUUGUGUUCAUCGACUUUUAGGAGAGAUUUUUUAACGAGAACAUCAAUUCCAAUAUCAGAAAAAAAUUCACAACCAUUCAAUACUUUGAUUACAAAAUCUUUCUUCUCCCCAUUGAAGAAGCAUGCUAUAUCUAAAAAUAUAUUCUUCUCCCUUUCUUCCAGUCCAUCAAAACUGAUUCGAAGUUUACCGAGAAUUUCUUUAUUAGAAUCUCUUUCAAGUCUUGCAAUCGCACUUCUCCAUUGAGUCGCAUCUCUACCGCACAAAAAGGAACCAAAAACUUCAAGAGCUAAAGGGAGUCCACCAGCAUAAUUUACAACAUGUUUAGAAAGCUCAAUGAAAUCAUCUUUCUGCACUGUAUCACUAUGAAAAGCUUUCAGACUGAAAAGUUGAAGCGCAUCUUUGGGAUUCAGUGUUGUGGGCAUAUACACAUCAUUAACUUGGCAACAUCGAAGCAAAUGUUCGUCUCUUGUUGUUACAACGAUUCUACUUCUUAAUCCGAACCAAUCUUGCUUUCCAACCAAGCAUUUUAAGUGUUGUAUGUUAUCAACAUUAUCAAGAACAACAAGAACCUUUUUGUGAGACAACCUAUGGCUAAUUAUGUCACUCCCUUCAUGAACAUCGAAAAAGUUGAAGCAUUCACCAUGAAAGAUCUGUGAAAGAAGUUGUUUCUAUAAAGAAACUAGUCCGCAUUUGUCUGAAACUUCUCGAAUAUUGGCAAUAAAGCUUUUACCUUCAAAAUAAGGUGACAUUUGAGUGUAAGCAACUCUUGCGAGUGUCGUUUUACCGAUGCCACCCAUUCCGCAAAUUCCUAUAACGCGGACAUCAUCUUCCCCCAUGUUUAUUUUCAAAUACAAAUCCUCCAAGCGUUCACUAAUACCAACCAAGCCGCUAUGAGUAACUGGAUACGUCUGACAUAGUUUUGCUGAUAUCUUCUUAACAAUGUCUCUAAUAAAUUCUGAUUCAUGCCUAAAAAAAUGAAAUUUUAAUGUUUGGAGUAAAAUUUUGUUGAUAUGUUUGGAAUGCACUUUUUUUUUCAAUGAAUCAUGAAACAUAAUAUAGUUUGGAAGCAAACAAGAACCAAGAAUAAGAAAGCAAGAUCUGUUAUUUAAAUAUGACACUUUUCAAUUAAACACAUAGGAUUGGGAAAAAAAAAAGUUAUACAUACAUACAUAUAUAUAUCCAAAAAACUAGAAAAUAGAGAAGAAAAGAAAGAAUUACCUGUUAUUUAAAUGCCAUCCCUUGAUUGCAGCUACUUGAAUUAAAGCAUUUCGCCACCUUUGGAUCUUCUCACUUUCUUCUUUGUAUCUCUCUUCAUGUCUGGUAAAGGCUUCUUCCACUUUCCCUUUUUGUUUUCUUAAAUCAGAUGGAUCAACAUCGUAAAAAAUUGGAAACACUUUAUGGCCGUCGUUGAUAUGUUGUUGAACAAUCUCAGCAAGCUCCUCCAAGCACCAACUUGAAAAGGCAUAAGUUUGUGAAAAAACGAUUACCGAGCACCAUGAUUGCUGAAUUGCUUUAAAGAGUUCUCGCGCGAUCUCUUCACCGGCCUCCAGCUUUGGAUCAUCCCUGAAAGUGACGAUCCCACUCCUCUUUAGAGCAGCAUAGAGAUGAUCGGUGAAGUUUUUGCGAGUAUCUUCACCUCUAAAACUCAAGAAAACAUCAUAUUUCUUUCUAGAAAUGUAUGAGGAAGUUGAAGGUAAUGACAACAUGACGAUGUUUGAGAAGAAAAAUAUAUGUGGAUGUAGUGUUCAAAAUCAGAAAAUUGAUCGCUCAAUACGCCAGAAAGAAACUAGAAACAGUAAGUAUAUGAGAGUGAAGAUUGAGAAAAACAGAUGAAAAUUCCAGGGAAGAAUAAAGGACUUUUCUAAGCAAUUUCUCUAUAACCUUUGAAUUUUCGAAAUGAAUACGAGUAGGUGUUGACAUUGGGUGAUGCAUGUUCUUUCGAGGAAGAAUCCAAGAAGGUGGGUGUUGACAAAAUGGAGCCUACAGUAAUUUUAAGUAAUAAGUAAAGUGUUGGACGGUUUGUGUUUUACUUUCAUUGACAUAAUCAUAUAAUUGUCUAUAUAACUAUAUAUUAAAGGAGUAUUUGGAGACACCUGUCCAGGGAGGACAAUGUGUUAUUUAAAAUUCGGUCCCUCACAUUUUGCCUUUUAUAUGAUUAAGUUCUAUUUGAAGCAUUUAAAAUGUUCAUUAGGUGCAGACUAAAAUAACUUAUAUUUACUCACUAUCAUAAAAUUUUAUGUACGAAUACAAUUUAUUAAUUUAAUGUAGAUGAUUUUUUUUCUUUUACAUUAUAAGAAAAUGUUAGAAUUUCAAUUCUAGUUUUUUUAUUAUGCCUAAAUUUAAGAUUUAAUUUCUAGCCUAAUUUAAUCAUAUAUUUUUAUAAUGUUAUUAGUUAGACAUAUAAUUAAUAUUGUUGACUUUUCUAUUAGUUAUAGCAUCAUAAAGAUGAUCCGUGAAGUUGUUGCGAGUAUCUUCACCUCUAAAACUCAAGAAAACGUCAUAUUUCUUUUUAGAAAUGGAGGAAGAAGUUGACGGUAACGACAACAUGAGGAUGUAUGAAAGGAGAUGGAUAUCUCAAUCUGGUGUUCAAAAUCAGAAAAUAGAUCGCUCAAUAUCCACAAAGAAACUAGAAAACGUAAGUAUAUGAGCAUAGGGGUCAAAGAUGAGCGAUGGAUGUUGUUUCCAAGAAGGUGAGAGUGGCAAAGUGGAGUCUACUUUAAUUAUAAGUAAUAAUUAAAAAUGUUGGACGGUUUGUAUUUUACGUAUUUAAUAAUUAGCAAUGUUAAUGGAUUGAUGUUCUCAGCCAAUCUGUAGCAGUCAGUGGCUCUAAGGCAAUCAAUGCCUGUAGGGCAGGCCAAACCCACAAAAUUUAAGAUUUUUAGAUUGAAAAGUGAAGUAUGGUGGCUCUGUUAAGGCUAUUUCACUUAAAUCGAGCACUUCUAAAAACUUCGCUUGCUGCAAAUUCUCUGGUAAAUUUUCAUCUCUAUAAUAACCAGAAAGAUUAAGAGUUUUUAAACAUUUCAUUUUCCCAUCGAUAUGUGGAAACCUUUGAAGAUUUGAGCAUCACGAAAGAAUCAAUGUUUCAAGGGUUUCACUUCAAUUCUGGUAGGAAGACUCCUAAGACUUUUGCAGUUUUUGAAAUUCAAAAGUUUAAGCCUCUUAAGCACUCCGAAUGAUGGAUGGACAGCUACAAUUUUAAAGUCUGGGGUAUUGGUCAGGUUUUGGGAACUUUUAAAGUUGAUCACUUUCUAACUUAUAUAUGGGCUGUUGAAAACAAUACUUAAAAAGCAAUAAAAAAACAUAAAAGAAAACCUCAAUUUUGUUUUUAUAUUCUUAUCAUAAUCAAAUUUCAACCAUCCAUCUUAAAAUAAGCUAAAACAAGGAUCAAUGAACUAAUUCUUACUCUAUUUCCCCUCCACUGUUGUUCAAUGCGAGUGUGUGAAAAAAGAAAUGAAAGGGUCUCAUUUCCAAUCAAAAAAUUAACUAACGUCUAUGUAUAUAAUUCAUUGCUUUUAAAGUUUUUUUGUACAGGGAUCGGUGAUCGACAUGGGAAUUUUACUUUUACAUGCAAGAAGUAGAAGAGAAGAAGAACUGGCCAAAACGCUGGAAAUACCGAAUGUAUGUAUGCGUAUAUAUAUGUUAGCUCUAAGUUUCUCUUUAUCUUCUAUGUGUGUAUAUAUUGGUGUUUAAUUUUGAUCUUAAAUUAUUUCUAUCAAGUUUAAUUUUUCUUUUCCAUGUUGUUGCAGUAAAGAAGCUGUGAUUCCUAUAUGUUGCCGACGGUGCAGGUUGGCUGUGGUAGUGCCAGUGGGAAUCCCGUGUGGGAAAUAUGCUUGCCCAUCGAGGAAGGUGCAGUACGCAGCUCAUUAACGAGAAAGAUUAAGAGCUUUUAAACAUUUCAUUUUUCCCAUCGAUAUCUGGAAACCUUUGAAGAUUUGAGCAACACAAAAGAAUCAAUGUUUCAAGGGAUUUCACUUCAAUUCUGGUUGGAAGACUCCUAAGACUUUUGCAGUCUUUGAAAUUCAAAAGUUUAAGCCUCUUAAGCACUCCAAAUGAUGGAUGGACAUCUACAAUUUUAAAGUCUGGGGUAUUGAUCAGGUUUUGGGACCCUUUAAAGUUGAUCACUUUCAACUAAUAUAUGGUGUCGAAACUAAUUUUUUGAAAAAUAAAAAUUUUUAGGUUGUCGAUUUUAAAAAAUAAAAAUUGGGAGUCGCCACCAAUCUUUUAUUAAGGUGUGAUUGGGUCACCUAAAAAAUGACUUUGGUCUACAAAUUUUAGAAAAACGGGUCCGGGAGUCGGUUACGUAUGAGGAAGGAUUAGCACCCUCAUUACGCCCAAAAAUUGGUACCUAGUUAAAUAAUUAAUGUCUUAAUGUCGAAAAUUUGAAAAACGUAAUCCUUAGCAAAAAAAACUUAAAACGUUACGUAUUAAGACCCUUAUCAUUUCAGAGAAAGAAAAUACCACACCCAAUAAGUUAGGGCACGACAUUCUAAUUUUCCCCAAAAAUGAAUUAGGGCAAAAUACUAGUGUAAUAAAAAUUUAAAAGAAUAUUCAUUUAUUCAAGAUUUAAGAAAUCGCAGCCCAAUACGUUAGGGCACAAUUCCUUUAGAAUCCCAAACUCGGAAUAUUUCCUUUAUUAUUAUUUUUUAAAUAUUCAUUUCGAGAAAUCAAUGCGUCACAUCCAAUACGUUAGGACACAACGUGUUGAAUUCCCAAUAAUGAGUUCUUAUUUUUAUUUGAUUUAAAGAGCAAUCCUCGAUUGUUAGAUUUUCAAAAAAAUCGGAACUCAAUACGUUAGGGCUCAAUUUCCUUGAGAAAUUCUAAAUGCGAGUAUUAUCUCUAUUUUAAAAAGUUUGAAAUCGAGUAAAAAAAUGAUGUGAUGCUACAUUAAAUAUACAACGUAAUAAUAAAUAUUUCAAUAUCAUAGAAAUAAUAUGAAUAAAGGAAUAAAUACAUAAUUAUGACAUGCAUAAUAUUAAAUAAAUGGGCAAGAUAAUAAUAAACAAUAUGCAAGCAUAAAUUGAUAAGCAAAUAUUUGAAAUAAAUAACAAAAAAAUGCAUACAGGUACACAUAAAAUAUAUAGGUUUGCAAUGAUUAAAAUAACAUCAACGUUAAUUAAAUAAAUAAAACAAGUCUAUAUAUAUUUUAUAUAUAUAUAUAUACACGAGUAUGCGAACAAUAUUAGUUUUCAAAAAAAAAAGGGAUAAAUACAUGCUUUAGAAAAAAUACAUAUAUAUACAAAAUAAUAAUAAUUACAUAUGUGAAUUAUAAGGGAAAAAUUGUAUUAUCAAAAAAAUAUUGAUUUUUAAAGAAAAUAUGGAAAAGGGGACUAAAUUGGAUUACAAGUAAAAAUAUGGGGCAAAUCCACAAAUAAAUAAAAUCGGGAGGACAAAAUUAAACAUGCGAAUUAUAUAGAGGGGCUGGAAGGGCAAUUUUUCCUUCUCCUCUAAAAUGACACCGUUCAAAAGGAUUUAAUUGGAAUUUAAAAUAAAUUAAAGGCCGAAUUUUAAAAAAAAAACAAGAAUACUUAAUUGGAAAUAUAUAAAAAGGCGGAGGGGCCAAAAGCACAAUUUGCCCCUUCGUAUGAAAAACACGCGGUUCCUAGAUCUGGGUCGGGUUGACGCGCGGAUCCUCCCUUCAAAACGGCACCGUUUUCGAUUGGCUAUUUAAGCCAAAAUUAUAAACAAAAAUUUCAUUUUUUCAAAUCCUUCAAAAAAAACGAAAAUCUUUUUUUUUAAACUCUCAACUUCUGGGCACCAGCCUCCGGUUUAGUCAUCGGCCGGUCAACGGCCACCGCACCGGCCACCGAUCUCCAGCGCCGGCACCGCCUAAUGCGGUGGCCGAAAAAAGAAAAACCCCAAAUCUGGUCUUUUCAACACUCUUGAGCCUAGAUCUGGGCUGAAAAUUCCCAAAAUCGACUAAAAAAACCUAAAAAUGCCCUAGAAACCUUUCGGAUUCUAGCCGUCUAUCAUCGGAGACGGUCCUCUUCCUCCCCGCGGCGUUUCAAAAACAAAAGCAGGUGAUUUCUUUCCUUUUUAUUUUGUUUUAUUUUCAUACAAGUGAAAAUAAAAAAAUAAAAAUAAAAGUAAAAAAAAGAACUAAAAAAAUAAAUGUAAACCUUUAGACUGAUUUUUGCUCUCUUGGAUAUUGAACUAACUGUGUUUUGCUGCGAAAAUAAUUGUGUUUUUCUUAUUGAUUUCCAAUCCCUCUUUGCAGUAUCGUCAAUGGCUUUAUAUAGCCAUAAUAUAUAAAAAAAUAUAGAAAUAAAAUCUUGUUUACAUUGAUUUGAUUCUCAAUCUCUUGAUUUCUUUCCAUAUACUGUUUUGCUUUCUUUCCUUGUUGUGCAGGUGAAGAUCGGGGCUAAGAUUCGUGGCUGCAGCGCUUGAGGAUUUCCCUAGAACCCCUAGGGUUUCUGACUAUCGUUUUGGGCAUUUGGGCCACACAUAAUUGGACCACCGUGCUUUGGGCCCCUGUUGUAUUUUGGGUUUGGGCCAUAUAGGCCAGUUGUAAUUUGGGCCCUUUUAGGCCCUGGCAAAAUCUGUUAUUACAUAUGGGAUGUUGAAAACCAUACUUAAAAAGCAAUAAAAAAAACAUAAAACCAAACCUCAAUUUUGUUUUUACAUUUUUAUCAUUGUUGACACCAUUUUUUUGAUAAAACGGGGUCGAUUUGGGUUUUAAAAAAUGAAAACGAAUGUGGGAGUCGCCACCAAUAUUUUUUGAUGAGGUGUGAUCGGGCCACCUCAAAAAAUGGUUAUUUUAAUAAACGAUUUGAAAAAACAACGAUUUUGGUCCACGAUAAAAAAAAAGAAAAUGGGUUCGGGAGUCGGUUACGUACGAGGAAGGAUUAGCACCCUCGUAAAGCCCAAAAUUGGUACCUAGCUGAUUAAUUAGUGUCUUAGCGUCGAAAAUUAAAAAUUUUGAAAAGUUAAAAAAUAAUAAUAUUAUCCUUUAUCAAAAUUUUGAAAAAUUUAAAAGGAGAAGCAUAUUUUUAGGUUAAUCGAGAAGAAGAAUUACGUCUCGUAAGUUAGGACACAAUGUCUAAAAUUCCCGAUACGAGAAUGAAAGCCGAAAAAUUUAUUUAUUUUGAAAGAGUUCGAUUAUCUCUGGUUUAAAAAAGAGAUCAUGACCCUUGAGUUAGAACACGAUCUUUUAUUAAUUCCCAAGAACGUUUAAAAACUUUGUUUGAAAUGAUUCGUGUGUUUGAAUUUUUCGAGAAAAUCGAAAUCCCAUAAGUUAGGGUACGACUUUCUUGAGUUUCUAAAUACAGAAUGUUGCAUUAUUUUUAAAAUUUUACUUUUUUGAAUUUGAGUAAGAAUUAAUGUAAUAUAACGAGAUGUAAGUUUAAUUUAUGCAAAUAUCGUGUGAAGGCAAACAAUUAUUUCAUACAAUGUAUAGUACAAUAAUAAUGAAAUAACGUAAAAUAACUAUAUUAGUAGAAUAUAUAAAGGGUAAAUAAUAAAUCAUAAAAUACAAUAAUAAUCAUGACGUAAUUAUAAUAAUAAUCACCAAAUAAUAAUAACAAUGACCGUAUUAAUUACUAUUCUAAUACUAGAAAUAUAAAAAUGAAUUAAACACUAAUAAAAAUGAUAAUAAUAAUGAUAAUAAUAAUGAAAUGUAUAAAUAAAGGAAUAAAUAACAAUAUAAAUUCUAAACACAAGAAAAGUAAGGAAAUGGAUAAAUACAUGAAUGCAUAAAUAAAUAAAUAAAACAGAACGAAAAGAAUAAAUAAAUAAAUAAAGCUCGAAAAUAAAAGGAUAAAGGAUCAAAUUGAGGUUAAAAUAAACUUUGGAGUCUAAAUUAUAAUAAAAUGGAUAAAUAAAUAUAAAAGGGACUGGAUCAAAAUUUGAAUCGACUUUAAAGGUAUAAAUUACAAAUAAAAAAGGAAAGGGCCAACUGAAAUGCACUGGAAAAGGGCGAGGACUAUAUGGGAGAUUAUUCCCAGUCCUUUAGAGCGCACCGUUUCCGUCUGGACCGAAAAGAAACAAAAAUGAAAUUAUACCGCAAAAUGUAAAGAAAAAAAAUUUAGGACUAAAUUGCAAAGCCUCGCAAAAGCGGAAGGACCACAUGCGCAAAUAGUCCCUUCACUGCAAAAACACACGGAUCCUGAGGGCCAACGGGUUGGGUUACGGGUCAGGGCCAAAACAACGUUGAUUUGGCACCUGACCCCUAAUGUCAAAAUGGUGUCGUUUAAGUAUCAUUAUUUAACUUAAAUUUUUUUCUAAAAAAAUCAUUUUUACAAAGUGUUUUUUAAAAAAACUUUCAAAACUUCCUUCUCUCUCUCUCUCACAAUGUCCGGCCCUUAGCUUCUGGCCCCCGCCACGCUGCCUCCAUGGCCAGUGGCCGGAGUCGCGCGAAACGGGCUUUUCAGCCCUCACUUCACGGCGUCCCUGAAGGCUAGGCCUUCUCAACAGUGGGACCGAGAGAAAAAGAAAAAAAACCCCUCUAUCUGUUCGACUCCGGUGACGGAAAAGAUGGGCUCCGGUGCCGACUUUCGAAGCAAAUAGGUAUCUUCCCUUUUCCCUUUUUGUUUCAUUUUUGUUAAAAAGGGUCAUAAAAAUAAACAAACAUAAAAAAUAACGAAAAAAAUACAAGAACAGAAAAAAAUAGAAGCAGUUAAACUGGAGUCAACCUUUCUUAAAAGCUUUUGCUCUGUUUUUUCAGUAACCAGUCAUAAAAAGAAGAAGAAGAAGAAAAUACAGAAGUGGUGCUCGGCUUUUAUAGCCGAUUUGUUUCCAUUUUUUUCUAUUAUUUUGCUGCUUGCAUGUUUAUUUUUCUCCUGUAGGUGAUUGAUAAGUGUCGGUCGAUAUGACAGCGACGGUGACAGACGCGCAGCGGUGGUGGUUGGUAGGUCAAGGGUCAAAAGACCCUAGGUGCGGUGCACCUAGGGCUAGGGUUUUCAAACUCCCCCCUUUUUUUGCAUUGGACCAGUUGAGCUAUGUUGGAUUUGGUUGGGUUAGGGGUAUUGGGCUAAGCCUUUUGGUUUGGGCCCUAGGUUGUAAUUGGGUUUUGGGUAGAUGUAGGUAAUUGGUUUUAUUUGGGUACUGGGUUGGGCAAAAUGGGCUGUACAGCUGCCCCUCUUUGCUCGUUGUCGUGUAACGAGAACAGAGCAAAGACUAAGAAAGACCAAUUUUGCCCGGUCUCACCAAGUCCCAACUUAUUUUGACACUUCUCUUCUUCAAGUAGCCUUAUUCCAGUCCACUGUGUCCUAUCGCUUCAAUCUACUCCACUGCACUUCUUGUAGCUUCAAUCUUCUUCGCAGCAACUUCAGGAGGACGAGGUUUUGGUUUUAGUCUGCUCCACUACUCCACUGCGACCUCAGGGAGAUAAGGUUUGAUAUGAUAAAAUUUAAUCCUACCCUCUGCAACUUCAAAGGUAUAAGAUUCAUCGUUUUAAUCUGCUCCACUGCAACUUCAGGGAGAUAGGAUUAGUAGCUUCAGUCUGUUCCACUACAACUUCAGGGAACUAAGACUUGUAUUUUCAACCUGCCCCAGAGCAAUUUUAGGGGGGAAGGUUUGUGGCUUUAAUCUGUUCUACUACAACUUCAGGGAGAUAAGAUUUGUAGCCGGUCUUCAAUUUGUUCCACUGUAACUUCAGGGAGAUAAGGUUUGAUAUGAUCUGCUCUACUGCAACUUCAGAGAGAUAGGAUUUAUAACUUAUAGCUUUAAUCUGUUCCACCGCAACUUUAGGGAAAUAAGAUUCGCUAUCUUCAGUCUGCUCCAUUGCAACUUCAGGGAGAUGAGAUUUGUAGUUUCACUGAUCUGUUCUCUGGGGAAGCAUAACCUAUGAACUUUUGUUUAUGCCUAAAUGAUUAGGAUGUCAUGAUCAAAAUGAAUCAAAUGCUCCUAAUUAGAUGCAUUUAAAUCAGAUGCAUUCUGACACACAUGAUGAGUCGCCCUUAAAUCUGGAUACUAUGAUGAGGUUCCUAUUGGCACAGAAACAUAAGAGUUAGUAUAUAUUAUCAAAGUUGGAAUCAUAUUGUAUGGCAUCCGAAAAAUCAGAAGCAUGAAAAUCAAGAAUUCGGGGUAGCCCAACACACUAAGAGAAAUCAAAAUAAAAAUACAUACUCGUGGUUUUGUUCACUACGGAACAGGAGCAUUAUUUCGCAUAGAGCCUUCAACACCAACAAAAUUAGCAUUAGGCCCAAGUUUUUGACUAGCAUCAACCUGUCCACUAUUCGGCCCAGUAAUCUGCCUACUAAAAGGCCCAACAGAUUGGCCUACAUGUAGCCCAAAUUGCUACACAUCAUGCUCCCGCUAAUAGGACUAAACACUGACUAUCAGUUACCCAAAAUAAUGCCCAGUAUUUUGCCCAAAAACCUGACUAGUCUUCUACCCAUGAACCGACCUAAAAACCUGACCAGCAUUUGGUCCAAGACACUGCCCACGAAUCUGGCCUGCAUAAUGGGGCCUGUGUGCAAUGGAAGAAGGUAGCCCAAUGUGCUGUAUAGAACACUAGCCUACAGCAUGCCCAACACGCCUUUCAAAGAAAUCAAACGGGCCAACAGAUCCAAACCACUGACCAUUUGUGUCUCUUGCAAACUCAACCUUAUAGCCAGUUUCACCAAAAUCCAUAGCUUGCAGUUGCGGUGGAUAUUCACUCCGACUCUGAGAAGACGACCAGUCUCCCAAAAGGUCACCAGAUCCAAAACCUUGUUGUCUAUUAUGCGCAGACGGUGAAAACCUCACCGUGGUAGAAGCACUCAGACCAUCGUAAGACCAAUUAAAGCGAUAGAAGCAUCACUGCACCGUGUGACCGAACCUAUUACAAAUUUGGCACUGCAUGCGCGAACGGAAGCCACACCCUUGCAAACCUACUGUCGCACGACCUCCACUCACAUCACGUAAAACAGAAUCGACGAUUGCAGCAACAUCAGGCGAUUCAACAAGAUGAGCAUGGAUGGGAACCUCACGCGCCACUCGCACCUGUCUACUUUCAAAUUCCAUGAGAACCUCGACCAAACGCAGACAGGGAAAAGGCUACGUCGAGAACAAAGCCAAGGUCAGUAUGAUAUCAAAAUUCGAUGAGAGCCCAGCCAAAAUGACUUCCACCUUUUUAGCUUCUGACACCACCGAUCCAGAGGCUGCAAGUAAGGCACAGGUAUUUUCUAUCUUCGCAAUAUAUUCUGUGACAGUUUACUCACUCUUCUGUGUAGAAUGAAGAUCAUGCUUGAUGCGAGAAAUUUUCACACUAGUUAACGCAGCGAAAAGACGAUUUGCGGUGCUCUAGAUGUCACACGCAGAUUGAGCAGAGGUAAAACAUGGCAAAAGUGACGAGCUAAUCGUACUUAGGAGCCAAGAAGCUAACAGCUUAUCUUGUUGAUUGAACAUAGCCGCUUCUGGAUUCGGAAUAAGAGCACCUUCUGGAGACGCAAUAAACCGAGACGGAACAGACAGCGUACCUUCCAAGAAACCUUGCAGCUCAUAUCCCUCUAUUAUUAAUCGGAAAUGUUGCUGCCAUUGAACAAAGUUUUCUCCCUCUAGUUUCACCGUGUCAUGACGGGGGAAAGAUUGGACCAGGCGUUGACUAGAAAAUGCCGGACUCAUAGGAUCAGCAAAAUUAGAAUCGGCUGAUGGUGCCAUAACACAACAACGGAAGCACGUACUAGGACUAGGCGACUGAUACCAUGUAAGAUACUACUCGAAAUAUGUAUAAACAGAAAAAUGAAGUAUAGAAGAAUUCUUUAGUCUUAUGCUAUCUAGUUGAAUGAAUACACUGAUGAGGUUUUAUACAAAUAUGAUAACCAACUGCCUAAUGAACUGCUUAACAAAUUUUGUAACAACCUAUCAAACUAACCAUCGUAACAACUGUUUAACACUCACGCACAAAAGAUUUUCUAAUUGAAUAUUAGUGCAUACUUUAUAUUCAUAUUUGAAUAAAUAUUAAAAAUAAAUGUCUAAACAUAAAUAUUUUAUAAAAAAAAUAAACUGAGGAGUUGGAAUAAUAUUAUUUGUAUUUCAAGUAGUGAAAUUUAAAUGAUACUUUAUUAGAAGGGAUUAAAUCUAUUUAAGUAGCUUUAAAGAUUUAUAUUUAAUCUUUCAAAUAUAUAAAAACAGUUUUGACUAAUUAAAUUGAACACAUAAAUUGGUCUCCAAUAAAAAUAAAAUGAUUUUUAACUCAGUUGAAAUUAUGAUCAAUCCUUAUUAAAGGACUCUCAUUUUAUCAUUACUUGCUUCGCCUCCAUUUUUGUCUCACAAUUUUGUUUUAAUUUGCUUCAUCUUCAACCUACAAAUAAAAUAUAGAUGUAAGUGAAAAUAUAUAGUGGAAAUAAAAUUUUAAUAAAAAAAAAGGUGAAACCAAUCAAAAUAUACACAUUCGAUAAGUGACUAAAAUUUUAAAUGGUAUAAAAAACAAUGUUAUCAACAUUUGAGAUAUGUAGAUGUUGAAUAUGAAUAUGAAUAAAAUUUUUUAAAAUGUUUUGGCAUAUAAUGGAAGGAUCAUAUCUCAUAUGCAAAACAAGUCUAGAAUAAUUGUUUAAAUGGAAUACAAGAUGUGUAAAAAUACAAUUAAUAGGACGAAGUUUGUUAAGUAGUUUACCACAGUUAAUGCUUCUUUCUUGAUUGGCCCUUUACAAAAUUGAAAAAUUUUUGCAUCCGUUUUGGUUGCGGCUCUUCUUCCUCUGUUUCCUCAUAGAUAUUACGUUUUCGUUUUAUGUGAGAAGUGCUACCUACUGAUCCAUGGUUGUGAGCAGAGUGUUGGUGGAUGUGUUCAAAAUUUGGAGAAGAUUGGCUGGUAUCGCACUACAACUCUUUCAUUUCUUCCAAAUCUUUCUCAUACACUAUUCUAACACCACACUUCUUCACCUUAACACAACGGUCAUUUGGUCCAAAUUCGGUAUUGAAACACAACUCAAGCUCAUCGCCUAUUUCAGCUAGCAAUCUGCUGUCCAUAAAUUAUUGGUUUCACAGUCACCAUAUUUAUCCUCCAAGGAAAUUGGAUAUGAUUCAUCACGCGGAAAAUAACGAAGAAAAAGGUGAUCUUUCAUUAUGGGCCUGUCAAAGUAUCGACCUACCCACUGGUUUCUCCAAUAAAUUGGUCGACAAUUUCUACCUCGAAAAAUAGAUCCUUUACAUCCGAUAUACCUAUCCCUUGAAGCAUCAUUAUUGACAAAAAUGCAGCAACAAGCAACUCCAAUCCAUUGACUAUCUUUCCGAAGGUUGAUAGGUAGGGGUAUCUUAAUUGAAGAGUCACGUUUUUGUUGGCUAAACCAUUCUGGAAUUUCACUUCCUGGCAUCAAAAUAUCAAAGAUGCCAUCAUUAAACCAUUUUCUAGAAUUUGGAAAUGCCUGCAAAAUAAAACACAAGUCGUUUGGUAACUAAAACCAUAAAUUCUCAAGUAUGAGAUUUUGUAAGGGAGAAAAAAUACAUUAAUAAACCUUAAUAUGUGCUUUCAGCAGUGCUACUGCAUUGAUUUUCUCAGCCAAUUUGAAGCAGUUAAUGGCAUCAAUGCUUUCACUUCCCACUAAAUUGCAUACUUUUGAUGGACUUGCAACUACUUCAAGUGAAGAACAAUCAUCUAUUGUCACACUUCCUAUAGUUGUUGGUAGCUCAGGCAACGAUUUAAGCAUCUUGCAACCUGACAAUUGAAGCAAGUUGAGCCCGGAAAGUUGAGUAAGAGCCAAAGGAAUGCUGGUGAAAUUGUUACCAAUAAGAUUAAGAUAACUCAAAGAGGAUAGACCAGAAAUAUCACUAUGAGUAUCUGCUUCACCAAGAGUGCACAUGUUGCAAUUAGACAAUUCAAGAUACGUAAGCUUUGAGAGUCGAGUAAGAGAUGCAGGUAUGCGGAUGAAAUUCUUACCACUAAGAUUAAGAUAACUCAAAGAGGAUAGACCAGAAAUAUCACUAUGAGUAUCUGCUUCACCAAAAGUGCACAUGUUGCAAUUUGACAUUAAUAUAAGAUUUGCAAGCUUCGAGAGUCGAGUAAGAGAUGCAGGUAUGCUGAUGAAAUUAUUACCACUAAGAUCAAGAGAUACCAAAGAGGAUAGACCAGAAAUAUCAGGUGGAAUAUCUCCUUCACAGAGAUUGCAGUCCCUUAGAUUCAACUCUCUUAAUGAACUCAAACCUGACAACAAAGGCAACAUCCGAGCCAUGGGAUUCGUCCUUCUUCCUUGGAUUACCUUGAAAAGAGAAGGCAAAUUUGGUAGUAACUUAUAUGAUGGUCCCUUGCGCCCAUUGAAAGACAGAACUUUCAGAUUUUUAAAGUGAAAAAUGAAGGAUGGUGGUUCUGUUAUGGCUGUUUCACUCAAGUCGAGCUCUUCCAAAAACUUUGCUUGCUGCAAAUUCUCCGAUAAAUUUUCCACUCUAUAACAACCGGAAAGAUAUAGAGUUUUUAGACGUUCCAUUUUCCCAUCAAUCUCCGGAAACCUUACAAGACUUGAGCAGCCCGAAAGAAUUAAUGUUUCAAGAGAUUCCAUUCCAAUUUUGGUUGGAAGAGUCCUAAGACUUUUGCAAUCUCUUAAAUUAAAAAGUUUAAGGCUCUUAAGCACCCCGAUUGAUGGAUGAACAUCCACUAAUUUGGUACAACCUUCCAAAAUCAAAACUUCAAGAUUUGAUGCUGUUGUGAAGUCUGGUGUCUUGAUCAGGUUUUGAGACCCUCUGAGGUUCAUUAUUUUCAAGUUAAACAAGGGCUGUUGAAGACCAUAAUCAAUUAGAAACACAUGAGAAAACAUAAUAAUGCUCAUUUUUGUUUUUUUUGUUUUACCUUAAUCAAAGUUUAAUAAUUUAUAUUAAAAUAAGCUAAAACACAAGGAUAAGAUGAGUUAAUUCUUACUCUAUUUCCCUUCCAUAGUUGUUGAAUGUGACUAUAUGGUAAAAGAAGUGCGACAAGAUUGUCCGGUUGAAAGCUUGAAGGUAAGUUUUUUAGAGGGUAUCCUGUCCAAUCUAAAAGCCGUAGUUCAUUAGAAAGAUAUUUGAGAUCAUCACAAUUUGAAAGGCAAAGCACUUUCAGUAGUCUCAGUUUUUUCAUCUUCAAGAAGGCAUCCACACUCAAAUUGAGCAUCUUUUUCAAUUCCCUAAUAUCCAUGAGCGAAACAAAAAUGAGCUUCAAAAUAUAUAAAAACAUUCAAUAUCUAAAAGAAAUGUUGCAUCAAUAUUGUUUUUUAAGUACUCGUAUCCAAUACUUGUUCGUAUAUGAGUAUAAAGAUAUGAUCCUUUAAGAACCUUUCAAAUACGUGAAAAAAAUAAAUUUUAAUUUUUUUUUUGAAUAUAGCCAUAUUAAAGAGAUACUUAUAUCUAACAAUCGCAUCCGAUGUUAAAUUACCUAAUCAUAAAAAAAUGAAUUAAUAUGUUGAUUUAUAUUUAGUCCGCAAACAAUGCAUAAUUUACAAGUUAAUGAACCAAACAAUGACACAUAAUUAAAAAUGAAACCAUUUUCAUUAAAAAAAAAUUAUUACAUGUUAUAAUCUAAUUCGUUGAUAUACACUUUUAGUACAUUAAAUAUAUACCAUUAAUUUUCACAAAAAAAUAUACCAUUAAUAUUUCAAAAAUACAUACAUUUCUCUUUUGAUUCUUUUGAAAAAGUAAAUAUGUUGCUAGAUAAAUUUCAUAAUUAAACAUUGAAAUAUUGAAUGUCAAAAGUUUUGCUAUAGUUUUUUUAUCAUAUUUAAAAAUAAUAAUUAUUUACAGUACACAUAGAUAUAAGUUUAUGUGUGUCUUCCUACCUUUUAUUAUCGAUGAUUAUGCCUUCAAUCGUUUCUGUAGCCUAAAAAAGAUUAAGAACAGACAAUAAGAAAAUAAAAUAAAUGGUGAAUAAUGUAGGAUAGAAAAGAAAUAGUAUGUGACUUUUGUUGAAUGACUUACAGUGUUUUUUGUUAGGACAUGAUGGACGUCCCCUCCCUCCCACAAUCUGCAACGUUUUCCAGGUUCAUCAACACAUUUUUCUUUAACAAUUGUUCUUCCCAUUUCUUGCAACAAGCUAUGCAUCCACAAAUAUUGGUUGCCAUCAUCGACUUUUAUUAAAGAUUUCUUAAUGAGAACAUCAAUUCCAAUAUCGGGGAAAAGCUCACAACUAUCUAAUACUUUCAUUACAAAAUCUUUCUUCUCCCCAUUAAAGAAGCACGCUAUAUCUAAAAAUAUAUUCUUCUCCCUUUCUUCCAGUCCAUCAAAACUGAUUCGAAGUUUAUCGAGAAUUUCUUUAUUAGAAUCUCUUUUAAGUCUUUCAAUCGCACUCCUCCAUUGAGUCGCAUCCCUACCGCACAAAAAGGAACCAAAAACUUCAAGAGCUAAAGGGAGUUCACCAGCAUAAUUUACAACAUGUUUAGAAAGCUCAAUGAAAUCAUCUUUCUGCACUGUAUCACUAUGAAAAGCUUUCAGACUGAAAAGUUGAAGCGCAUCUUUGGGAUUCAGUGUUGUGGCCGUAUACACAUCAUUAACUUGGCAACAUCGAAGCAAAUGUUCGUCUCUUGUUGUUACAAUGAUUCUACUCCCUAAUCCGAACCAAUCAUGCCUUCCAACCAUGCAUUUUAGGUGUUGUAUGUUAUCAACAUUAUCAAGAACAACAAGAACCUUUUUGUGAGACAACCUAUGGCUAAUUAUUUUAUUUCCUUCAUGAACAUUGAAAAAGUUGAAGCAUUCACCAUGAAAGAUUUGUGAAAGAAGUUGUUUCUGUAAAGAAACUAGUCCGCAUUUGUCUGAAACUUCUCGAAUAUCAGCAAUAAAGCUUUUACCUUCAAAAUGAGGUGACAUUUGAGUGUAAGCAACUCUUGCGAGUGUCGUUUUACCGAUGCCACCCAUUCCGCAAAUUCCUAUAACGCGGACAUCAUCUUCCCCAAUGUUUAUUUUCAAAUACAAAUCCUCCAAGCGUUCACUAAUACCAACCAAGUCGCUAUGAGUAAUUGGAUAUGUCUGACAUAGUUUUGCCGAUAUCUUCUUAACAAUGUCUCUAAUAAAUUCUGAUUCAUGCCUAAAAAAAAAAAAAGAAAAUUUAAUGUUUUGAGUAAAAUUUUGUUGAUAUGUUUCGAAUGCACUUUCUUUUUCAAUGAAUCAUGAAACAUAAUAUAGUUUGGAAGCAAACAAGUACCAAGAAAAAGAAAGCAAGAUCAGUUGCGGAGCCAGAAGACAAAAUUUGCUCUUUUAUUGAAAUAUGACACUUUUCAAUUAAACACAUUGGAUUAGGGGAAAAAAAAAGUUAUACAUACAUACAUAUAUAUAUAUAUCCAAAAAACUAGAAAAUAGAGAAGAAAAGAAAGAAUUACCUGUUAUUUAAAUGCCAUCCCUUGACUGCAGCCACUUGAAUUAAAGCAUUUCGCCACCUUUGGAUCUUCUCACUUUCUUCUUUGUAUCUCUCUUCAUGUCUGGCAAAGGCUUCUUCCACUUUCCCUUUUUGUUUUCUUAAAUCAGAUGGAUCAACAUCGUAAAAAAUUGGAAACAUUUUAUGGCCGUCGUUGUUAUGUUGUUUAACAAUCUCAGCAAGCUCCUCCAAGCACCAACUUGAAAAGGCAUAAGUUUGUGAAAAAACGAUUACCGAGCACCAUGAUUGCUGAAUUGCUUUAAAGAGUUCUGGCGCGAUCUCUUCACCGGCCUCCAGCUUUGGAUCAUCCCUGAAAGUGACGAUCCCACUCCUCUUUAGAGCAGCAUAGAGAUGAUCGGUGAAGUUUUUGCGAGUAUCUUCACCUCUAAAACUCAAGAAAACAUCAUAUAUCUUUUUAGAAAUGGAGGAAGAAGUUGAAGGGAACGACAACAUGAGGAUGUAUGAAAGGAGAAGGAUAUCUCAAUCUGGUGUUCAAAAUCAGAAAAUAGAUUGCCCAAUAUCCACAAAGAAACUAGAAAAAGUAAGUAUAUGAGCAUAGGGGUCAAAGAUGAGCGAUGGAUGUUGUUUCCAAGAAGGUGAUAGUUGGCAAAGUGGAGUCUACUUUAAUUACAAGUAAUAAUUAAAAAUGUUGGACGGUUUGUAUUUUACGUAUUUAAUAAUUAGCAAUGUUAAUGGAUUGAUGUUCUCAGCCAAUCUGUAGCAGUCAGUGGCUCUAAGGCAAUCAAUGCCGGUUGGGCAGGCCAAACACGCUAAAUUUAAGAUUUUUAGAUUGAAAAGUGAAGUAUGGUGGCUCUGUUAUGGCUGUUUCACUUAAAUCGAGUUCUUCUAAAAACUUCGCUUGCUGCAAAUUCUCUGGUAAAUUUUCAACUCUAUAAUAACCAGAAAGAUUAAGAGUUUUUAAACAUUUUAUUUUUCCCAUCGAUAUCUGGAAACCUUUGAAGAUUUGAGCAACACGAAAGAAUCAAUGUCUCAAGGGAUUUCACUUCAAUUCUGGUUGGAAGACUCCCAAGACUUUUGCGGUCUUUGAAAUUCAAAAGUUUAAGCCUCUUAAGCACUCCAAAUGAUGGAUGGACAUCUACAAUUUUAAAGUCUAGGGUAUUGAUCAGGUUUUGGGACCCUUUAAAGUUGAUCACUUUCAACUAAUAUAUGGGCUGUUGAAAACCAUACUUAAAAAGCAAUAAAAAAACAUAAAACCAAACCUCAAUUUUGUUUUUAUAUUCUUAUCAUUGUUGACACCAUUUUUUUUUUGAUAAAAUGGGGUCGAUUCGGGUUUUAAAAAAUGAAAACGAAUGUGGGAGUCACCACUAAUCUUUUUUGAUGAGGUGUGAUCGGGCCACCUCGAAAAAUAGUUAUUUUAAUAAACGAUUUGAAAAAAUAAUGAUUUUGGUCCACGAUAAAAAAAAGAAAAUGGAUUCGGGAAUCGGUUACGUACGAUGAGGGAUUAGCACAUUCGUAACGCCCAAAAUUGGUAUUUAGCUGAUUAAUUAGUGUCUUAACGUUGAAAAUUGAAAAUUUUGAAGAGUUAAAAAAAAAAAGAAAAAUAAUACGAUCCUUUAUCAAAAUUUUGAAAAAUUUAAAAGGAGAAGCAUAUUUCCAAGUUAAUCGAGACGAAGAAUUACGUCCAGUAAGUUAGGACACAAUGUCUAAAAUUCCCGAUACGAGAAUGAAAGCCGAAAAAUUUAUUUAUUUUGAAAGAGUUCGAUUAUCUCGGGUUUAAAAAAGAGAUCAUGUCCCGUGAUUUAGAACACGAUCUUUUAUUAAUUCCUGAGAACAUUUAAAAACUUUGUUUGAAAUGAUUCGUGUGUUUGAAUUUUUCGAGAAAGUCGAAACCCCGUAAGUUAAGGUACGACUUUCUUGAGUUUCUAAAUACAGAAUGUUGUCUUAUUUUGAAAAUUUUCCUUUUUUGAAUUUAAGUAAGAAUUAAUGUAGUAUAACAAGAUGUAAGUUUAAUUUAUGCAAAUAUUGUGUGAAGGCAAACAAUUAUUUCAUACAAUGUAUAGUACAAUAAUAAUGAAAUAACAUAAAAUAACUAUAUUAGUAGAAUAUUUAAAGGGUAAAUAAUAAAUCAUAAAAUACAAUAAUAAUCAUGACGUAAUUAUAAUAAUAAUCCCCAAAUAAUAAUAACAAUGACCAUAUUAAUUACUAUUCUAAUACUAGAAAUAUAAAAAUGAAUUAAACACUAAUAAAAAUGAUAAUAAUAAUAAUAAUGAUAAUAAUAAUGAAAUGUAUAAAUAAAGGAAUAAAUAACAAUAUAAAUUCUAAACACAAGAAAAGUAAGGAAAUGGACAAAUACAUGAAUGCAUAAAUAAAUAAAUAAAACAGAACGAAAAGAAUAAAUAAAUAAAUAAAGCUCGAAAUUAAAAGGAUAAAGGAUCAAAUUGAGGUUAAAAUAAAAUUUGGAGUCUAAAUUAUAAUAAAAUGGAUAAAUAAAUAUAAAAGGGACUGGAUCGAAAUUUGAAUCAACUUUAAAGGUAUAAAUUACAAAUAAAAAACGAAAGGGCCAACUGAAAUGCGCUGGAAAAGGGCGAGGACUAUGUGGGAGAUUAUUCCCAGUCCUUUAGAGUGCACCGUUUCCGUUUGGACCGAAAAGAAACAAAAAUGAAAUUAUACCGCAAAAUGUAAAGAAAAAAAAUUUAGGACUAAAUUGCAAAGCCACACAAAAGUAGAAGGACCACAUGCGCAAAUAGCCCCUUCACAGUAGAAACACGCAGAUCCUAAGGGCCAACAGGUCGGGUCACGUGUCAAGGCCAAAACGACGUCGUUUUGGCACUUAACCCCUAAUGUCAAAACGACGCUGUAUAAGUAUCAUUAUUUAACUUAAUUUUUUUUCUAAAAAAAUCAUUUUUACAAAGUUUUUUAAAAAAAAAAUUCAAAACUUCCUUCUCUCUCUCUCUCACAAUGUUCGGCCCUUAGGUUCUAGCCUCUGCCGCGCUGUCUCCAUGGCCAGUGGUCGGAGUCGCGCGAAACGAGCUUUUCAGCCCUUACUUCACGGCGUCCUUGAAGGCUAGGCCUUCUCAACAGUGGGACCGAGAGAAAAAGAAAAAAAAACCCUUUCCCUGUUCGACUCCGGUGACGGUGAAGAUGGGCUCCGGCACCGGCUUUCGAAGCAAACAGGUAUCUUCCCUUUUCCCAUUUUGUUUCGUUUUUGUUAAAAAGGGUCGUAAAAAUAAACAAACAUAAAAAAUAAUAAAAAAUAAAGAAAAAAUACAAGAACAGAAAAAAAUAGAAGCAGUUAAACUGGAGUCAACCUUUUUUAAAAGCUUUUGCUCUGCUUUUUCAUUAACCAGUCGUAAAAAAAAUGUAUAUAUAUAGAAGUGGUGCUCGAAUUUUAUGGCCGAUUUGUUUCCAUUUUUUCUAUUAUUUUGCUACUUGUGUGUUUAUUUUUCUCCUGUAGGUGAUUGAUAGGCGCCGGUCCACAUGAUAGCGGCGGUGACAGACGCGCGGCGGUGGCGGUUGGUAGGUCAAGGGUUAGAAGACCCUAGGUACGGCGCACCUAGGGUUAGGGUUUUUAGACUCCCCCCUUUUUUUUUGCAUUGGGUCAUUUGGGUUGUGUUGGAUUUGGUUGGGUUAGGGGUAUUGGGCUGAGUCUUUUGGUUUGGGCCCCAGGUUGUAAUUGGGUUUUGGGUAGAUGUGGGUAAUUUGGUUUAUUUGGGUACUGGGCCAGGCAAAAUAGGCUGUACAGCUACCCCUCUUUGCUCGUUGUCGUGUAACGAGAAUAGAGCAAAGACUAAGGAAGACCAAUUUUGCCUGGUCUCACCAAGUCCCGACUUCUUUUGACACUUCUCUUCUUCAAGUAGCCUUAUUCCAGUCCACUGUGUCCUAUCGCUUCAAUCCACUCCACUGCACUUCUUGUAGCUUCAAUCUUCUUCGCAGCAACUUUAAGAGGAUGAGGUUUUGGCUUUAGUCUGCUCCACUACUCCACUGUGACCUCAGGGAGAUAAGGUUUGAUAUGAUAAAAUUUAAUCCGACCCUCUACAACUUCAAAGGUAUAGGAUUCAUCGUUUUAAUCCGCUCCACUGCAACUUCGGGGAGAUAGGAUUAGUAGCUUCAGUCUGCUCCACUGCAACUUUAGGGAAGUAAGGCUUGUAUUUUCAACCUGCCCCACGGCAAUUUCAGGGGGGAAUGUUUGUGGCUUUAAUCUGCUCUACUGCAACUUCAGGGAGAUAAGGUUUGAUAUGAUCUGCUCUACUGCAACUUCAGAGAGAUAGGAUCUGUAACUUAUAGCUUCAAUCUGUUCCACCGCAACUUCAGGGAAAUAAGAUUCACUAUCUUCAGUCUGCUCCACUACAACUUCAGGGAGAUGAGAUUUGUAGUUUCACUGAUCUAUUCUCUAGGGACGCAUAACCUAUGAACUCUUGUUUAUGCCUAAAUGAUUAGGAUGUCAUUAUCAAAAUGAAUCAAAUGCUCCUAAUUAGAUGCAUUUAAAUCAGAUGCAUUCUGACACACAUGAUGAGUUGCCCUUGAAUCUGGAUACUAUGAUAAGGUUCCUAUUGGCCAGGAACACACGAGUUAGUAUAUAUUAUCAAAGUUGGAAUCAUAUUGUGUGGCAUCCGAAAAAUCAGAAGCAUGAAAAUCAAGAAUUCGGGGUAGCCCAACACUCUAAGAGAAAUCAAAAUAAAAAACACGUACUCGUGUUUUGUUCGCUACGGAACAGGAGCAUUAUUUUGCAUAGAGCCUUCAACACCAACAAAAUUAGCAUUAGGCCCAAGUUUUUGAAUAGCAUCAACCUGUCCACUAUUCAGCCCAUUAAUCUGCCUACUAAGAGGCCCAACAGACUGGCCUGCAUGCAGCCCAAAUUGCUGCACAUCAUGCUUCCGCUAAUAGGACUAAAACACUGACUAUUAGUUGACCCAAAAUAAUGCCCAGUAUUCUGCCCAAAAACCUGACUAGUCUUCUACCCAUGAACCGACCUAAAAACCUGACCAGCAUUUGGUCCAAGACACUGCCCACGAAUCUAGCCUGCAUAAUGGGGCCUGUGUGCAACCGAGGAAGGCAGCCCAAUGUGUUGUACAGAGCACUGGCCCACAGCAUGCCCAACACGCCUUUCAAAGAAAUCAAACGGGCCAACAGAUCCAAACCACUGUCCAUUUGUGUCUUCUGCAAACUCAACCAAUAGCCAGUUUCACCAAAAUUCGUAGCUUGCAGUUGUGGUGGAUAUUCACUCCGACUCUGAAAAGACGACCAGUCUGCCAAAAGGUCACCAGAUCCAAAACCUUGUUGUCUAUUAUGCGCAGACGGUGAAAACCUCACCGUGGUAAAAGCGUUCAGACUAUCGUAAGACCAAUUAAAGCGAUAGAAGCAUCGCUGCACCAUGUGAUCGAACCUAUUACAGAUUUGGCACUGCACGAGCGAACAGAAGCCAUGCCCUUGCAAACCUACUGUCGCACGGCCUCCACGCACAUCACGUGAAACAGAAUCAACGAUCGCAGCAACAUUAGGUGUUUCAACAGGAUGAGCAUGGAUGGGAACCUCACGCGCCACUUGCACCUGUCUACUUUCAAAUUCCAUGAGAACCUCGACCAAACGCAGAAAGGGAAGAGGCUCCGUCGAGAACAAAGCCAAGGUUAGUACGAUAUCAAAAUCCGAUGAGAGCCCAGCCAAAAUGACUUCCACCAUUUUAGCUUCUGACACCACCGAUCCAGAGGCUGUAAGUAAGGCACAAGUAUUUUCUAUCUCCGCAAUAUAUUCUGUGACAGUUAACUCACCCUUCUUUGUAGAAUGAAGAUCAUGCUUGAUGCGAGAAAUUUUCACACUAGUUGACGCAGCAAAAAGACGAUUUGCGGUGCUCUAGAUGUCACACGCAGAUUGAGUAGAGGUAAAACAUGACAAAAGUGACGAACUAAUCGUACUUAGGAGCCAAGAAGCUAAUAGCUUAUCCUGUUGAUUGAACGUAGCCACUUCUGGAUUCGGAAUAAGAGCACCUUCUGGAGACGCAAUAAAUCGAGACGGAGCAGACAGCGUACCUUCCAAGAAACCUUGCAGCUCAUAUCCCUCUAUUAUCAAUCGGAUAUGUUGCUGCCAUUGAACAAAGUUUUCUCCCUCUAGUUUCACCGUGUCAUGACGGGGGAAAGAUUGGACCAGGCGUUGACCAGAAAACGUCGGACUCAUAGGAUCAGCAAAGUUACAAUCGACUGAUGGUGCCAUAACACAACAACGGAAGCACGUACCAGGACUAGGCGACUGAUACCAUAUAAGAUACUACUCGAAAUAUGUAUAAACAGAAAAAUGAAGUAUAGAAGAAUUCUUUAGUCUUAUGCUAUCUUGUUGAAUGAAUACACUGAUGAGGUUUUAUACAAAUAUGAUAACCAACUGCCUAAUGAACUGCUUAACAGAUUUUGUAACAACCUAUCAAACUAACCAUCGUAACAACUGUUUAACACUCACGCACAAAAGAUUUUCUAAUUGAAUAUUAGUGCAUACUUUAUAUUCAUAUUUGAAUAAAUAUUAAAAAUAAAUGUCUAAAGAUAAAUAUUUUAUAAAAAAAAUAUAAACUGAGGAGUUGGAAUAAUAUUAUUUGUAUUUCAAGUCGUGAAAUAUAAAUGAUACUUUAUUAGAAUGGAUUAAAUCUAUUUAAGUAGCUUUAAAGAUUUAUAUUUAAUCUUUCGAAUUUAUAAAAAAACAGUUUUGACUGAUUAAAUUGAACACUUAAAUUGGUCUCCAAUAAAAAUAAAAUGAUUUUUAACUCAGUUGAAAUUAUGGUCAAUCCUUAUUAAAGGACUCUCAUUUUAUCAUUACUUGCUUCGUCUUUAUUUUUGUCUCACAAUUUUGUUUUAAUUUGCUUCAUCUUCAACUUACAAAUAAAAUAUAGAUGUAAGUGAAUAUAUAUAGUGGAAAUAAAAUUUUAAUAAAAAAAGGUGAAACUAAUCAAAAUAUACACAUUCGAUAAGUGACUAAAACUUUAAAUGGUAUAAAAAAUAAUGUUAUCAACAUUUGAGAUAUGUAGAUGUUGAAUAUGAAUAUGAAUAAAAUUUUUUAAAAUGUUUUGGCAUAUAAUGGAAGGAUCAUAUCUCAUAUGCAAAACAAGUCUAGAAUAAUUGUUUAAAUGGAAUACAAGAUGUGUAAAAAUACAAUUAAUAGGACGAAGUUGGUUAAGUAGUUUACCACAGUUAAUGCUUCUUUCUUGAUUGGCCCUUUACAAAAUUGAAAAAAUUUUGCAUCCGCUUUGGUUGCGGCUCUUCUUCCUCUGUUUCCUCAUAGAUAUUACGUUUCCGUUUUAUGUGAGAAGUGCUACCUACUGAUCCAUGGUUGUGAGCAGAGUGUUGGUGGAUGUGUUCAAAUUUUGGAGAAGAUUGAGAGGUAUGACACUGCAACUCUUUCAUUUCUUCCAAAUCUUUCUCAUACACUAUUCUAACGCCACACUUCUUCACCUUAACACAACCAGAAUUUGGUCCAAAUUUGGUAUUGAAACACAACUCAAGCUCAUCGCAUAUUUGAUAUAAGCAGUCUGUUGUGCAUAAAUUAUUGGUUUCACAGUCACCAUAUUUAUCCUCCAAGGAAAUUGGAUAUAAUUCAUCACGCGGAAAAUAACGAAGAAAAAGGUGAUCUUUCAUUAUGGGAUUGUGAAAGGAUAGACCUAUCCACCGAUUUCUCAAACAAAUUAGUCGACAGUUUUUACCUCGAAAAAUAGAUCCUUUACAGCUGAUAAACUCAUUAUUCCAUGAAGCAUCAUUAUUGACAAAAAUGCAGCAACAAGCAACUUCAAUCUAUUGACUAUCUUUCCGAAGGUUGAUAGGUAGGGGUAUCUUAAUUGAAGAGUCACUUUUUUGUUGGCUAAACCAUUCUAGAAUUUCAAUUUUCGGGCAUCAUAAUAUCAAAGACGCCAUCAUUAUACAAUUUUCUAGAAUUUGGAAGUGCCUGCAAAAUAAAACACGAGUCGUCUGGUAACUAAAACCAUAAAUUCUCAAGUAUGAGAUUUUGUAAGGCAGAAAAAAAAAUAGAUUAAUAGACCUUAAUAUGUUCUUUCAGUAGUGCUACUGCAUUGAUUUUCUCAGCCAAUUUGAAGCAGUUAACAGCACGAAUGCUUUCACCACCCACUAAGUUGCAUACUUUUGAUGGACUUGCAACUACUUCAAGUGAAGAACAAUUAUCUAUUGUCACACUUCCUAUACUUGUUGGUAGCUCAGGCAACGAUUUAAGCAUCUUGCAACCUGACAAUUUAAGCAAUUUGAGCCUGGAAAGUUGUGAUGAAGUUGGUUCAGCAUGCAGCAAACUCGACAACAUGCAGGCCAUGAAGACCAAGACAUGCAAGAGCUGCUAAUGCAAGCUUAUUUUGUUUAUUUUGUAAUUUCUAGUCAAUGAAAUGUAAUCUUAGUUCAUUUCUAACUAAGUUAGAUUGUUGACUGAUGUAAUUAGCUUAUGUAUGAGCUGUAAACACAACUUUGUAUAGGUUUACAAGCUAAAAUUUCAAGUUUCCAUGUAAUUAGUAGGAGUAGGUGAUGUUUAGGUAAUUACUUGCUUUUUUUGACAAGCUUAGUGCUUGUUUUAUGUAUUGGCAUUAUGCCAUUAUUCAAUUAGAUGAAUGAAGUUCAGUUUGUUCAUCAUUAUUCCUCUUCAUUUUUCUUAGUUUUUCUUCCUUUCUUCUGCUCGAAUUCUCUUGUUUGCUCAGCAAGUCUCGAGACUUGGUCGACAAGUCUGUGCUGUGUCUGUUAGUUUCAGUUACAGCACCAACAAUUGGUAUCAGAGCCUAUUUUUUAAGGGACCUGUUAUACAAAUACAUGGCGUCAUCAAACUUUUCACCAGCUGCACCUCAAGUCUUCAAUGGAGAAGGCUAUCACAUAUGGGUGGUCAAAAUGAAGACCUACCUGCAGGCAUACGAUCUGUGGGAGGUGGUCAACUCAGAUGUUGAACCAGAACCACUUAGAGGCAAUCCAACAGUGGCUCAAAUCAGGCAGCAUGCUGAUGAGAGGACCAAGAGGCACAAAGCCAUGUCUUGCAUCCAGAACUCAGUGUCUGAUGUGAUUUUCACAAGGAUUAUGGCCUGUGAAUCACCAAAAUAGGCCUGGGACAAGUUGCAGGAAGAGUUUCAAGGGACAGAGAGGACAAGGCAGCAACAGUUGUUGAACUUGAGGAGAGAUUUCGAGAAUUUGAAGAUGAAGGAAGAAGAAACUGUCAAGCAAUAUUCUGACAGGAUUAUGGCUGUGGUUAACAGCAUCAGGCUCCUUGGAGAGCAGUUCAAUGAAGCUAGGAUAGUGGAGAAGGUUAUAGCAACUCUGCCUGAGAGGUAUGAGGCAAAAAUCUCAUAUCUCGAGGACUCAAGGGAUCUGUCCACCAUCUCCCUGACAGAGUUGAUCAAUGCUCUAUAUGCUCAAGAGCAGAGAAGAGCAAGCAGACUGGAGGAGCACCAAGAAAGUGCCUUUCAAGCAAGAACAAAUACUGCCUACAAAGGCAAGAAAGCCUGGAGAGACAAACCAAAGAAUGAUGCUGCAAGGAGAGAAGGUCAGACUUGCAAGCACUGCAGAAGGGUUGGUCAUCCAGAAGAAAAGUGCUAGUUUAAUCCAGAAGCUGUAUGUCAGCAUUGUAAGAAGAAGGGUCAUGUUGAGAGAGUCUGCAAGAGUAAGACCAAAUCGAGGCAGAAUCAGUUUCAACAGAUGAAAGCUGAGGCUCGAGUAGCUAAGGAGGACAGUGACCAAGAGGAGCAAGUCUUUGCUGUGUCAUGCUCAGCUGCUCAGGAAAGGUCCUCAUCUGGUUGGCUCCUAGACAGUGGAUGCACCAACCACAUGACACCUGAUGCUGCAAUCUUCAAGUCUUUAGACAGAAGCUGCAGAACUAAAGUCAAGAUAGGAAAUGGUCAUUUUAUUCAAGCUGAAGGCAAGGGUGAUGUGCUGAUAUGCACUCUUACAGGUACCAAAGUGAUUUCAAAUGUGCUGUUGGUGCCUGAAAUUGACAGAAACCUGCUCAGCAUAGCUCAGUUGCUGGAAAAAGGUUAUUCUGUUGUGUUUAAAGACCACCAGUGCCAAAUCAGUGAUCCAAGUGGAUCCAAACUGAUGGCAGUCCCUAUGGCUGAUAAGAGCUUUGUGGUUGACUAGACAAAGAAGUCAGACACUACCUACACAGCCACAUCAGAUGAAUCCAAGCCGUGGCAUCAAAGACUGGGAUAUGCCAACUUCAGAUUGAUGGCCCGAAUGGUCAGAGAGGAUCUGGCUGAAAAUUUCAUCAACUCAGUGGACCAUGAUGAUGUAUGUAAAGUAUGUCAACUAGGAAAGCAGGCCAGACUCCCAUUUCCCUCGAAUCAAGCCUAGAGAGCCUUGAAAAACUCCAACUGGUGCAUACUGAUGUGUGUGGCCCUAUGAAGACUGAGUCAUUAAGUGGAAACAUGUAUUUUAUACUGUUCAUUGAUGAUUUUUCAAGAUAUUGCUGGAUUUACUUCUUAAAACAAAAAUCAGAGGUGGCCUCAGUGUUUUGGAAGUUCAAGACUGCUUCUGAGACUGAAACAGGCUGCAAGCUGAAGACCAUAAGGUCUGAUAAUGGGACUGAGUACACCUCAGCUCAGUUCUAAGCCUUCUGUGAUAAGGCAGGCAUCAAACAUCAACUUACCAACACAUAUACACCUCAGCAGAAUGGUGUAAGUGAAAGGAAGAAUAGGAGUUUGAUGGAUAUGGCCAGGUGCUUGAUGAUUCCGAAGAAUCUGCCUAAAGCACUAUGGGCAGAAGCAGUUAACACUGCAACAUACAUUCAAAAUAGACUUCCAACCAAGGCUUUGGAUCAGCAGACUCCAUUCGAGGCCUGGUUUGGCUUCAAGCCAUCACUGGCUCAUCUGAAGGUCUUUGGAUGCAUCUGUUAUGCACAUGUACCUGCUGUUAAAAGGGACAAAUUGUCUGAAAGAGCUCAACCUGGUGUACUGGUGGGCUACAGCACUGUUAAGAAAGGAUAUAGGAUCUUGGAUCCUUCAACAAACAAGGUGUCAGUUAGCAGGGAUAUGGUAUUUGAUGAAAGGUCAUGUUGGAACUGGGAAAGACAUGAACCUGAAGAAGUUUCUGAAGAACUAGCAACAGACCAAGCUGAGCCAGACCAAAAUGUUCCAGAAAUGGACAUUGAUGAUGAACCAGUCAGAGGAACAAGGCCAUUGACUGAGAUUUAUGAAAGGGCUCAUGUAGCCAUAGCUGAACCAAGCAACUUUGAAGAGGCUGAAGCUCAGCAAGGGUGGAAGUAGGCAAUGGCUGAGGAGAUCAGCAUGAUUGAGAAGAACCAGACCUGGGAAUUGGUUGAAAGGCCAGUCAAAAGGAAGGUGAUUGGGGUGAAAUGGGUGUACAAAGUCAAGCACAAUGCUGAUGGAACCUUGAACAAACUGAAAGCAAGGCUAGUUGUCAAGGGGUUCAGUCAGAAGUAUGGCCUGGACUACCUGGAGACCUUUGCACCAGUGGCCAGGCUCGACACCAUCAGACUAGUGAUUGCCUUAGCAGCACAGCUCGAAUGGAAAAUCCAUCAACUUGAUGUGAAAUCAGCCUUUCUGAAUGGUUUCUUAGAUGAAGACAUCUAUGUUGAACAACCACAAGGGUUUGAAAUAGCUGGUAGAGAGCAUAUGGUCUACAAACUGAAGAAGGCCCUAUAUGGUUUAAAACAGGCUCCAAGGGCCUGGUAUAGCAGAAUCGAUGGCUACUUGACUGAUCUGGGAUUCGAUCGAAGCAAGAGUGAGCCAACACUGUAUGUCAAGAAACAAGGGACACAAACACAACUCAUUGUGUCCCUGUAUGUUGAUGACCUUCUGGUGACAGGAGGAGAUCGAGCAGUGCUGGUUGAUUUCAAGACCAAGAUGCAGGAAGUGUUUGAAAUGUCUGAUCUUGGGGAGAUGUCCUAUUUUCUUGGAAUGGAGGUGUCUCAAGUACAGAAUGAGAUAUUUCUAAGCCAGAGAAGCUUUGCCACAAAGAUUCUGACCAAGUUCUCCAUGCAAAAUAGCAAGGCAACUAAAACACCUGUUGCUGUUGGAGAAAAACUAUCGAGCCAAGGUGAUUUUGAGAAGGUAUGUGAAACAACCUACAGGAGUCUAGUUGGUUGCUUGCUAUACUUGACUGCCACUAGACCAGACAUCAUGUAUGCUGUGGGAUUGCUCUCAAGGUUCUUGCAUUGCUGCAAUGAGAAGCAUUUCCAAGCUACAAAGAGAGUGCUGAGAUAUGUCAAAGGCACUUUAAACUAUGGUUUGAAGUAUAGCAAAGAAGGAAAUCUGAAGCUGGUUGGGUACACUGAUAGUGACUGGGCUGGCUCGAUAGAUGACAUGAAAAGCACCUCACGGUAUGCUUUUAACCUUGGUUCAGCCAUGUUUUGCUGGAGCUCGAAGAAGCAAAGUCUAGUGGUUCAAUCUACUGCUGAAGCAGAGUAUGUGGCAGCAGCAAGUGCUGUCAACCAAGCCAUAUGGCUAAGGAAAAUCUUGGCUGACUUGAAUGUGCAUCAAGAGGAAGCUACUGAGAUCUUCUGCGACAACCAAUCUGCAGUAGCAAUUGCUAGAAAUCCAGUGUUCCAUGGAAGAACAAAGCAUUUCAGCAUCAAGUUACAUGUUGUUCGAGAAAUGGAGCAAGCUCAGGAAGUAAAGCUGAUCCACUGUAAUUCAGAGGAUCAACUUGCAGACAUUUUAACCAAAGCCCUUAGUGUCACAAGGUUCGAAUGUCUAAGAAAGAAACUAGGUGUUUGCUCCAUGCAAACCAAGGAGGAGUGAUGAAGUUGGUUCAGCAUGCAGCAAACUCGACAACAUGCAGGCCAUGAAGACCAAGACAUGCAGGAGCUGCUGAUGUAAGCUUAUUUUGUUUAUUUUGUAAUUUUUAGUCAAUGAAAUGUAAUCUUAGUUCAUUUCUAACUAAGUUAGAUUGUUGACUGAUGUAAUUAGCUUAUGUAUGAGCUGUAAACACAACUUUGUAUAGGUUUACAAGCUAAAAUUUCAAGUUUCCAUGUAAUUAGUAGGAGUAGGUGAUGUUUAGGUAAUUACUUGCUUUUUUUGACAAGCUUAGUGCUUGUUUUAUGUAUUGGCAUUAUGCCAUUAUUCAAUUAGAUGAAUGAAGUUCAGUUUGUUCAUCAUUAUUCCUCUUCAUUUUUCUUAGCUUUUCUUUCUUUCUUCUGCUCGAAUUCUCUUGUUUGCUCAGCAAGUCUCGAGACUUAGUCGACAAGUCUGUGCUGUGUCUGUUAGUUUCAGUUACUGCACCAACAAUUGGUAUCAGAGCCUAUUUUUUAAGGGAUCUAUUAUACAAAUACAUGGCGUCAUCAAGCUUUUCACCAGCUGCACCUCAAGUCUUCAAUGGAGAAGGCUAUCACAUAUGGGUGGUCAAAAUGAAGACCUACCUGCAGGCAUACGAUCUGUGGGAGGUGGUCAACUCAGAUGUUGAACCAGAACCACUUAGAGGCAAUCCAACAGUGGCUCAAAUCAGGCAGCAUGCUGAUGAGAGGACCAAGAGCCACAAAGCCAUGUCUUGCAUCCAGAACUCAGUGUCUGAUGUGAUUUUCACAAGGAUUAUGGCCUGUGAAUCACCAAAAUAGGCCUGGGACAAGUUGCAGGAAGAGUUUCAAGGGACAGAGAGGACAAGGCAGCAAUAGUUGUUGAACUUGAGGAGAGGUUUCGAGAAUUUGAAGAUGAAGGAAGAAGAAACUGUCAAGCAAUAUUCUGACAGGAUUAUGGCUGUGGUUAACAGCAUCAGGCUCCUUGGAGAGCAGUUCAAUGAAGCUAGGAUAGUGGAGAAGGUUAUAGCAACUCUGCCUGAGAGGUAUGAGGCAAAAAUCUCAUCUCUCGAGGACUCAAGGGAUCUGUCCACCAUCUCCCUGACAGAGUUGAUCAAUGCUCUAUAUGCUCAAGAGCAGAGAAGAACAAGCAGACUGGAGGAGCACCAAGAAAGUGCCUUUUAGGCAAGAACAAAUACUGCCUACAAAGGCAAGAAAGCCUGUAGAGACAAACCAAAGAAUGAUGCUGCAAGGAGAGAAGGUCAGACUUGCAAGCACUGCAGAAGGGUUGGUCAUCCAGAAGAAAAGUGCUGGUUUAAUCCAGAAGCUGUAUGUCAGUAUUGUAAGAAGAAGGGUCAUGUUGAGAAAGUCUGCAAGAGUAAGACCAAAUCGAGGCAGAAUCAGUUUCAACAGAUGAAAGCUGAGGCUCGAGUAGCUAAGGAGGACAGUGACCAAGAGGAGCAAGUCUUUGCUGUGUCAUGCUCAGCUGCUCAGGAAAGGUCCUCAUCUGGUUGGCUCCUAGACAGUGGAUGCACCAACCACAUGACACCUGAUGCUGCAAUCUUCAAGUCUUUAGACAGAAGCUGCAGAACUAAAGUCAAGAUAGGAAAUGGUCAUUUUAUUCAAGCUGAAGGCAAGGGUGAUGUGCUGAUAUGCACUCUUACAGGUACCAAAGUGAUUUCAAAUGUGCUGUUGGUGCCUGAAAUUGGUAGAAGCCUGCUCAGCAUAGCUCAGUUGCUGGAAAAAGGUUAUUCUGUUGUGUUUAAAGACCACCAGUGCCAAAUCAGUGAUCCAAGUGGAUCCAAACUGAUGGCAGUCCCUAUGGCUGAUAAGAGCUUUGUGGUUGACUGGACAAAGAAGUCAGACACUGCCUACACAGCCACAUCAGAUGAAUCCAAGCCGUGGCAUCAAAGACUGGGAUAUGCCAACUUCAGAUUGAUGGCCCGAAUGGUCAGAGAGGACCUGGCUGAAAAUUUCAUCAACUCAGUGGACCAUGAUGAUGUAUGUAAAGUAUGUCAACUAGGAAAGCAGGCCAGACUCCCAUUUCCCUCGAAUCAAGCCUGGAGAGCCUUUGAAAAACUCCAACUGGUGCAUACUGAUGUGUGUGGCCCUAUGAAGACUGAGUCAUUAAGUGGAAACAGGUAUUUUAUACUGUUCAUUGAUGAUUUUUCAAGAUAUUGCUGGAUUUACUUCUUAAAACAAAAAUCAGAGGUGGCCUCAGUGUUUUGAAAGUUCAAGACUGCUUCUGAGACUGAAACAGGCUGCAAGCUGAAGACCAUAAGGUCUGAUAAUGGGACUGAGUACACCUCAGCUCAGUUUUAAGCCUUCUAUGAUAAGGCAGGCAUCAAACAUCAACUUACCAACACAUAUACACCUAAGCAGAAUGGUGUAAGUGAAAGGAAGAAUAGGAGUUUGAUGGAUAUGGCCAGGUGCUUGAUGAUUCCGAAGAAUCUGCCUAAAGCACUAUGGGCAGAAGCAGUUAACACUGCAACAUACAUUCAAAAUAGACUUCCAACCAAGGCUUUGGAUCAGCAGACUCCAUUCGAGGCCUGGUUUGGCUUCAAGCCAUCACUAGCUCAUCUGAAGGUCUUUGGAUGCAUCUGUUAUGCACAUGUACCUGCUGUUAAAAGGGACAAAUUAUCUGAAAGAGCUCAACCUGGUGUACUGGUGGGCUACAGCACUGUUAAGAAAGGAUAUAGGAUCUUGGAUCCUUCAACAAACAAGGUGUCAGUUAGCAGGGAUGUGGUAUUUGAUGAAAGGUCAUGUUGGAACUGGGAAAGACAUGAACCUGAAGAAGUUUCUGAAGAACUAGCAACAGACCAAGCUGAGCCAGACCAAAAUGUUCCAGAAAUGGACAUUGAUGAUGAACCAGUCAGAGGAACAAGGCCAUUGACUGAGAUUUAUGAAAGGGCUCAUGUAGCCAUAGCUGAACCAAGCAACUUUGAAGAGGCUGAAGCUCAGCAAGGGUGGAAGCAGGCAAUGGCUGAGGAGAUCAGCAUGAUUGAGAAGAACCAGACCUGGGAAUUGGUUGAAAGGCCAGUCAAAAGGAAGGUGAUUGGGGUGAAAUGGGUGUACAAAGUCAAGCACAAUGCUGAUGGAACCUUGAACAAACUGAAAGCAAGGCUAGUUGUCAAGGGGUUUAGUCAGAAGUUUGGCCUGGACUACCUAGAGACCUUUGCACCAGUGGCCAGGCUCGACACCAUCAGACUAGUGAUUGCCUUAGCAGCACAGCUCGAAUGGAAAAUCCAUCAACUUGAUGUGAAAUCAGCCUUUCUGAAUGGUUUCUUAGAUGAAGACAUCUAUGUUGAACAACCAUAAGGGUUUGAAAUAGCUGGUAGAGAGCAUAUGGUCUACAAACUAAAGAAGGCCCUAUAUGGAUUAAAACAGGCUCCAAGGGCCUGGUAUAGCAGAAUCGAUGGCUACUUGACUGAUCUGGGAUUCGAUCGAAGCAAGAGUGAGCCAACACUGUAUGUCAAGAAACAAGGGACACAAACACAACUCAUUGUGUCCCUGUAUGUUGAUGACCUUCUGGUGACAGGAUGAGAUCGAGCAGUGCUGGCUGAUUUCAAGACCAAGAUACAGGAAGUGUUUGAAAUGUCUGAUCUUGGGGAGAUGUCCUAUUUUCUUGGAAUGGAGGUGUCUCAAGUACAGAAUGAGAUAUUUCUAAGCCAGAGAAGCUUUGCCACAAAGAUUCUGACCAAGUUCUCCAUGCAAAAUAGCAAGGCAACUAAAACACCUGUUGCUGUUGGAGAAAAACUAUCGAGCCAAGGUGAUUUUGAGAAGGUAUGUGAAACAACCUACAGGAGUCGAGUUGGUUGCUUGCUAUACUUGACUGCCACUAGACCAGACAUCAUGUAUGCUGUGGGAUUGCUCUCAAGGUUCUUGCAUUGCUGCAAUGAGAAGCAUUUCCAAGCUACAAAGAGAGUGCUGAGAUAUGUCAAAGGCACUUUAAACUAUGGUUUGAAGUAUAGCAAAGAAGAAAAUCUGAAGCUGGUUGGGUACACUGAUAGUGACUGGGCUGGCUCGAUAGAUGACAUGAAAAGUACCUCACGGUAUGCUUUUAACCUUGGUUCAGCCAUGUUUUGCUGGAGCUCGAAGAAGCAAAGUCUAGUGGUUCAAUCUACUGCUGAAGCAGAGUAUGUGGCAGCAGCAAGUGCUGUCAACCAAGCCAUAUGGCUAAGGAAAAUCUUGGCUGACUUGAAUGUGCAUCAAGAGGAAGCUACUGAGAUCUUCUGUGACAACCAAUCUGCAGUAGCAAUUGCUAGAAAUCCAGUGUUCCAUGAAAGAACAAAGCAUUUCAGCAUCAAGUUACAUGUUGUUCGAGAAAUGGAGCAAGCUCAGGAAGUAAAGCUGAUCCACUGUAAUUCAGAGGAUCAACUUGCAGACAUUUUAACCAAAGCCCUUAGUGUCACAAGGUUCGAAUGUCUAAGAAAGAAACUAGGUGUUUGCUCCAUGCAAACCAAGGAGGAGUGAUGAAGUUGGUUCAGCAUGCAGCAAACUCGACAACAUGCAGGCCAUGAAGACCAAGACAUGCAGGAGCUGCUGAUGCAAGCUUAUUUUAUUUAUUUUGUAAUUUCUAGUCAAUGAAAUGUAAUCUUAGUUCAUUUCUAACUAAGUUAGAUUGUUGACUGAUGUAAUUAGCUUAUGUAUGAGCUGUAAACACAACUUUGUAUAGGUUUACAAGCUAAAAUUUCAAGUUUCCAUGUAAUUAGUGGGAGUAGGUGAUGUUUAGGUAAUUACUUGCUUUUUUUGACGAGCUUAGUGCUUGUUUUAUGUAUUGGCAUUAUGCCAUUAUUCAAUUAGAUGAAUGAAGUUCAGUUUGUUCAUCAUUAUUCCUCUUUAUUUUUCUUAGCUUUUCUUCCUUUCUUCUGCUCGAAUUCUCUUGUUUGCUCAGCAAGUCUCGAGACUUGGUCGACAAGUCUGUGCUGUGUCUGUUAGUUUCAGUUACUGCACCAACAAUUGGUAUCAGAGCCUAUUUUUUAAGGGAUCUAUUAUACAAAUACAUGGCGUCAUCAAGCUUUUCACCAGCUGCACCUCAAGUCUUCAAUGGAGAAGGCUAUCACAUAUGGGUGGUCAAAAUGAAGACCUACCUGCAGGCAUACGAUCUGUGGGAGGUGGUCAACUUAGAUGUUGAACCAGAACCACUUAGAGGCAAUCCAACAGUGGCUCAAAUCAGGCAGCAUGCUGAUGAGAGGACCAAGAGGCACAAAGCCAUGUCUUGCAUCCAGAACUCAGUGUCUGAUGUGAUUUUCACAAGGAUUAUGGCCUGUGAAUCACCAAAAUAGGCCUGGGACAAGUUGCAGGAAGAGUUUCAAGGGACAGAGAGGACAAGGCAGCAACAGUUGUUGAACUUGAGGAGAGGUUUCGAGAAUUUGAAGAUGAAGGAAGAAGAAACUGUCAAGCAAUAUUCUGACAGGAUUAUGGCUGUGGUUAACAGCAUCAGGCUCCUUGGAGAGCAGUUCAAUGAAGCUAGGAUAGUGGAGAAGGUUAUAGCAACUCUGCCUGAGAGGUAUGAGGCAAAAAUCUCAUCUCUCGAGGACUCAAGGGAUCUGUCCACCAUCUCCCUGACAGAGUUGAUCAAUGCUCUAUAUGCUCAAGAGCAGAGAAGAGCAAGCAGACUGGAGGAGCACCAAGAAAGUGCCUUUCAGGCAAGAACAAAUACUGCCUACAAAGGUAAGAAAGCCUGGAGAGACAAACCAAAGAAUGAUGCUGCAAGGAGAGAAGGUCAGACUUGCAAGCACUGCAGAAGGGUUGGUCAUCCAAAAGAAAAGUGCUGGUUUAAUCCAGAAGCUGUAUGUCAGCAUUGUAAGAAGAAGGGUCAUGUUGAGAGAGUCUGCAAGAGUAAGACCAAAUCGAGGCAGAAUCAGUUUCAACAGAUGAAAGCUGAGGCUCGAGUAGCUAAGGAGGACAGUGACCAAGAGGAGCAAGUCUUUGCUGUGUCAUGCUCCGCUGCUCAGGAAAGGUCCUCAUCUGGUUGGCUCCUAGACAGUGGAUGCACCAACCACAUGACACCUGAUGCUGCAAUCUUCAAGUCUUUAGACAGAAGCUGCAGAACUAAAGUCAAGAUAGGAAAUGGUCAUUUUAUUCAAGCUGAAGGCAAGGGUGAUUUGCUGAUAUGCACCCUUACAGGUACCAAAGUGAUUUCAAAUGUGCUGUUGGUGCCUGUAAUUGACAGAAACCUGCUCAGCAUAGCUCAGUUGCUGGAAAAAGGUUAUUAUGUUGUGUUUAAAGACCACCAGUGCCAAAUCAGUGAUCCAAGUGGAUCCAAACUGAUGGCAGUCCCUAUGGCUGAUAAGAGCUUUGUGGUUGACUGGACAAAGAAGUCAGACACUGCCUACACAACCACAUCAGAUGAAUCCAAGCCGUGGUAUCAAAGACUGGGAUAUGCCAACUUCAGAUUGAUGGCCCGAAUGGUCAGAGAGGACCUGGCUGAAAAUUUCAUCAACUCAGUGGACCAUGAUGAUGUAUGUAAAGUAUGUCAACUAGGAAAGCAGGCCAGACUCCCAUUUCCCUCGAAUCAAGCCUGGAGAACCUUUGAAAAACUCCAACUGGUGCAUACUGAUGUGUGUGGCCCUAUGAAGACUGAGUCAUUAAGUGGAAACAGGUAUUUUAUACUGUUCAUUGAUGAUUUUUCAAGAUAUUGCUGGAUUUACUUCUUAAAACAAAAAUCAGAGGUGGCCUCAGUGUUUUGGAAGUUCAAGACUGCUUCUAAGACUGAAACAGGCUGCAAGCUGAAGACCAUAAGGUCUGAUAAUGGGACUGAGUACACCUCAGCUCAGUUCUAAGCCUUCUGUGAUAAGGCAGGCAUCAAACAUCAACUUACCAACACAUAUACACCUCAGCAGAAUGGUGUAAGUGAAAGGAAGAAUAGGAGUUUGAUGGAUAUGGCCAGGUGCUUGAUGAUUCCGAAGAAUCUGCCUAAAGCACUAUGGGCAGAAGCAGUUAACACUGCAACAUACAUUCAAAAUAGACUUCCAACCAAGGCUUUGGAUCAGCAGACUCCAUUCGAGGCCUGGUUUGGCUUCAAGCCAUCACUGGCUCAUCUGAAGGUCUUUGGAUGCAUCUGUUAUGCACAUGUACCUGCUGUUAAAAGGGACAAAUUGUCUGAAAGAGCUCAACCUGGUGUACUUGUGGGCUACAGUACUGUUAAGAAAGGAUAUAGGAUCUUGGAUCCUUCAACAAACAAGGUGUCAGUUAGCAGGGAUGUGGUAUUUGAUGAAAGGUCAUGUUGGAACUGGGAAAGACAUGAACCUGAAGAAGUUUCUGAAGAACUAGCAACAGACCAAGCUGAGCCAGACCAAAAUGUUCCAGAAAUGGACAUUGAUGAUGAACCAGUCAGAGGAACAAGGCCAUUGACUGAGAUUUAUGAAAGGGCUCAUGUAGCCAUAGCUGAACCAAGCAACUUUGAAGAGGCUGAAGCUCAGCAAGGGUGGAAGCAGGCAAUGGCUGAGGAGAUCAGCAUGAUUGAGAAGAACCAGACCUGGGAAUUGGUUGAAAGGCCAGUCAAAAGGAAGGUGAUUGGGGUGAAAUGGGUGUACAAAGUCAAGCACAAUGCUGAUGGAACCUUGAACAAACUGAAAGCAAGGCUAGUUGUCAAGGGGUUCAGUCAGAAGUAUGGCCUGGACUACCUGGAGACCUUUGCACCAGUGGCCAGGCUCGACACCAUCAGACUAGUGAUUGCCUUAGCAGCACAGCUCGAAUGGAAAAUCCAUCAACUUGAUGUGAAAUCAGCCUUUCUUAAUGGUUUCUUAGAUGAAGACAUCUAUGUUGAACAACCACAAGGGUUUGAAAUAGCUGGUAGAGAGCAUAUGGUCUACAAACUGAAGAUGGCCCUAUAUGGUUUAAAACAGGCUCCAAGGGCCUGGUAUAGCAGAAUCGAUGGCUACUUGACUGAUCUGGGAUUCGAUCGAAGCAAGAGUGAGCCAACACUGUAUGUCAAGAAACAAGAGACACAAACACAACUCAUUGUGUCCCUGUAUGUUGAUGACCUUCUGGUGACAGGAGGAGAUCGAGCAGUGCUGGCUGAUUUCAAGACCAAGAUGCAGGAAGUGUUUGAAAUGUCUGAUCUUGGGGAGAUGUCCUAUUUUCUUGGAAUGGAGGUGUCUCAAGUACAGAAUGAGAUAUUUCUAAGCCAGAGAAGCUUUGCCACAAAGAUUCUGACCAAGUUCUCCAUGCAAAAUAGCAAGGCAACUAAAACACCUGUUGCUGUUGGAGAAAAACUAUCGAGCCAAGGUGAUUUUGAGAAGGUAUGUGAAACAACCUACAGGAGUCUAGUUGGUUGCUUGCUAUACUUGACUGCCACUAGACCAGACAUCAUGUAUGCUGUGGGAUUGCUCUCAAGGUUCUUGCAUUGCUGCAAUGAGAAGCAUUUCCAAGCUACAAAGAGAGUGCUGAGAUAUGUCAAAGGCACUUUAAACUAUGGUUUGAAGUAUAGCAAAGAAGGAAAUCUGAAGCUGGUUGGGUACACUGAUAGUGACUGGGCUGGCUCGAUAGAUGACAUGAAAAGCACCUCACGGUAUGCUUUUAACCUUGGUUCAGCCAUGUUUUGCUGGAGCUCGAAGAAGCAAAGUCUAGUGGUUCAAUCUACUGCUGAGGCAGAGUAUGUGGCAGCGGCAAGUGCUGUCAACCAAGCCAUAUGGCUAAGGAAAAUCUUGGCUGACUUGAAUGUGCAUCAAGAGGAAGCUACUGAGAUCUUCUGUGACAACCAAUUUGUAGUAGCAAUUGCUAGAAAUCCAGUGUUCCAUGGAAGAACAAAGCAUUUCAGCAUCAAGUUACAUGUUGUUCGAGAAAUGGAGCAAGCUCAGGAAGUAAAGCUGAUCCACUGUAAUUCAGAGGAUCAACUUGCAGACAUUUUAACCAAAGCCCUUAGUGUCACAAGGUUCGAAUGUCUAAGAAAGAAACUAGGUGUUUGCUCCAUGCAAACCAAGGAGGAGUGAUGAAGUUGGUUCAGCAUGCAGCAAACUCGACAACAUGCAGGCCAUGAAGACCAAGACAUGCAGGAGCUGCUGAUGCAAGCUUAUUUUGUUUAUUUUGUAAUUUCUAGUCAAUGAAAUGUAAUCUUAGUUCAUUUCUAACUAAGUUUGAUUGUUGACUGAUGUAAUUAGCUUAUGUAUGAGCUGUAAACACAACUUUGUAUAGGUUUACAAGUUAAAAUUUCAAGUUUCCAUGUAAUUAGUGGGAGUAGGUGAUGUUUAGGUAAUUACUUGCUGUUUUUGACAAGCUUAGUGCUUGUUUUAUGUAUUGGCAUUAUGCCAUUAUUCAAUUAGAUGAAUGAAGUUCAGUUUGUUCAUCAUUAUUCCUCUUCAUUUUUCUUAGCUUUUCUUCCUUUCUUCUGCUCGAAUUCUCUUGUUUGCUCAGCAAGUCUUGAGACUUGGUCGACAAGUCUGUGCUGUGUCUGUUAGUUUCAGUUACAGCACCGACAAGUUGAGUCAGAGCCGAAGGAAUGCUGAUGAAAUUGUUACCACAAAGAUAAAGAUAACUCAAAGAGGAUAGACCAAAAAUGUCACUAUUAGUAUCUGCUUCACCAAGAGUGCACAUGUUGCAAUUUGACAAGUGAAGUGACUUGAGCUUUGAGAGUCGAGUAAGAGAUGCAGGUUUGCUGAUGAAAUUGUUACCAUUAAGAUUAAGAUGACUCAAAGAGGAUAGACCAGAAAUAUCACUAUGAGUAUCUGCUUCACCAAAAGUGCACAUGUUGCAAUUUGACAAUUUAAGAUUUUCAAGCUUCGAGAGUCGAGUAAGAGAUGCAGGUAUGCUGAUGAAAUUAUUACCACUAAGAUCAAGAGAUACCAAAGAGGAUAGACCAGAAAUAUCAGGUGGAAUAUCUACUUCACAAAGAUUGCAGUCCCUUAGUUUUAGCUCUCUUAAAGAACUCAAACCUGACAACAAAGGCAACAUCCGAGCCAUGGGAUUCAUCCUUCUUCCUUGGAUUACCUUGAAAAGAGAAGGCAAACUUGGUAGUAACUUAUAUGAUGGUCCCUUGCGCCCACUGAAAGACAGAACUUUAAGAUUUUUAAAUUGAAAAAUGAAGGAUGGUGGUUCUGCUAUGACUGUUUCACUCAAGUCGAGCUCUUCCAAAAACCUUGCGCCCAAUAUCCACAAAGAAACUAGAAAAAAUAAGUAUAUGAGCAUAGGGGUCAAAGAUGAGCGAUGGAUGUUGUUUCCAAGAAGGUGAGAGUUGGCAAAGUGGAGUCUACUUUAAUUAUAAGUAAUAAUUAAAAAUGUUGGACAGUUUGUAUUUUACGCAUUUAAUAAUUAGCAAUGUUAAUGGAUUGAUGUUCUCAGCCAAUCUGCAGCAGUCAUUGGCUCUAUGGCAAUCAAUGCCUGUAGGGCAGGCCAAACCCACUAAAUUUAACUUUGGUCGAAUCUGUAAUUUUAUACAUAAAAUUUUAAUUUGUAUCUAAUUUUCACAAAUUAUUAAUAUAGUAUCAUUUUAUGUUAAUAAAUUGCAUACACAUACAAUUAUAUUUAUCCAAUAUAAAUAUAAAUUAAUAUAUUUUAUUUCUUUAAAUGUAUAUGAUUUAACCACAAUCAAAGUUUCAUGUAUCCAUUUGAAUCAAAAUCAAAGUUCCACGUGUAUAAUUACACUAAAUCAAAGCUCAUUUAUUAAAUUGACAUUGAAUCAAAGUUAAUAUAUAAUUUUGAGAUUUAUCUCAAUAUUUUAAGACCUACAUAAUAAAAUAAUAUAAAAUAAUUAAAACACACAGUUUUGCUGCCAUCAAGAUUAUAUAUACAUGACACAAAUAACAAAUAUGUUAAACUCUCACGUAAAAUGAAUUAUUACCAUGUCAAGUUUUAUUUAAAUUUAUAGUACUUCGAAGAAAAAAACAAUGUAAAUAUACAUUUUAAAUGAAUAUGAGAAAUUAUGUAAAAUACAAGAUGAAUAUAAAUGUUGAGUGUAGUGGUAAGUCACAUUAUAUUUUUAAAGAAUGAACGCGGAUUCAAAUAUUAUUAAGAGGAUAGUCACAAGCCUCAAACAUAAACAAUAAAAUGAAUAUAUUGAAUAACUAUGACAAACUAUAUAAAAUAUAUUAUAAUAUAUAAGUAAUGUAAACAUGACAUACAUAUACAAUAUGCCAAUAUAUAUAAGUAAUAUGAUGGGAUUAGGUUCUCAUGCAAAGCUGUAUUUGUUGCUUAGGAUCGCUUCUGUAUUUCAUUUUCCCAACAUUUUCUUCCACUAAGCUCAGUAAUGCUGUUGAUUCAAUGUCUGCAGAUUAUAAUGGCGAAACCAGCUGGAGGUCCAGCGAGGAGAGAUAAAUGAAUCUAUUGAAUUUUUUAAAAGAAAAAAAUAUGAAUAAGUGUCUUUCGCACAAAAGAUUUUCUAAUGGAAUAUUAGUGCAUACUUUAUAUUCAUAUUUGAAUAAAUAUUAAAAAUAAAUGUAUAAACAUAAAUAUUUUAUAAAAAUAUAUAAACUGAGGAGUUGGAAUAAUAUUAUUUCUACUUCAAGCCAUGAAAUUUAAAUGAUACUUUAUUAGAAGGGAUUUAUAUUUAAUCUUUCAAAUAUAUAAAAACAGUUUUGACUGAUUAAAUUGAACACAUAAGUUGGUAUCCAAUAAAAAUAAAAUAAUUUUUAACUCAGUUAAAAUUAUAAUCGAUCCUUAUUAAAGGGUUCUCAUUUUAUCAUUACUUGCUUCGUCUCCAUUUUUUCUCACAUUAAUUUUGUUUUAAUUUGCUUCAUCUUCAACCUACAAAUAAAAUAUAGAUGUAAGUGAAUAUAUAUAUAUUGUGGAAAUAAAUUUUUAAUUAAAAAAAAAGAUGAAACCAAUCAAAAUAUACACAUUUCGAUUAUGUAAAAAGGAAUGAAUUAAGUGACUAAAAUUUUAAAUGGUCUAAAAAACAAUGUCAUCAACAUUUGAGAUAUGUACAUGUUUUGGCAUAUAAUGGAAGGAUCAUAUCUCAUAUGCAAAACAAGUCUAGAAUAAUUGUUUAAAUGAAAUACAAGAUGUGUAAAAAGAAAUUAAUAGGACAAAGUUGGUUAAGUAGUUUACCACAGUUAAUGCUUCUUUCUUGAUUGGCCCUUUACAAAAUUGAAAAUAUUUUGCAUCCGUUUUGGUUGCGGCUCUUCUUCUUCCGUUUCCACAUAGAUAUUAGGUUUCCGCUUUAUGUGAGAAGUGCUACCUACUGAUCCAUGGUUGUGAGCAGAGUGUUGGUGGAUGUGUUCAAAAUUUGGAGAAGAUUGAGUGGUAUCGCACUGUAACUCCUUCAUUUCUUCCAAAUCUUUCUCAUACACUAUUCUAACACCACACUUCUUCACCUUAACACAAGGGAAAUUUGGUCCAAUUACGUCAUUGAAAGACAACUCAAGCUCAUCGCCUAUUUGAUCAAAGCAAUCUGUUGUCCAUAAAUUAUUGGUUUCACAGUCACCAUAUUUAUCCUCCAAGGAAAUUGGAUAUAAUUGAUCACGCGGAAAAUAGCGAAGAAAAAGGUGAUCUUUCAUUAUGGGCUUGUCAAAGUAUCGACCUACCCACCGGUUUCUCCAACAAAUUCGUCGACAAUUUCUACCUCGAAAAAUAGAUCCUUCACAGCUGAUAAACUCGUCACCCCUUGAAGCAUCAUUAUUGACAAAAAUGCAGCAACAAGCAACUCCAAUCCAUUGACUAUCUUUCCGAAGGUUGAUAGGUAGGUGUAUCUUAAUUGAAAAGUCACUUUUUUGUUGGCUAAACCAUUCUGGAAUUUCACUUCCGGGCAUCAUAAUAUCAAAGAAGCCAUCAUCAAAAUAUUUUCUAGAAUUUUGAAGUGCCUGCAAAAUAAAACACAAGUCGUCUGGUAACUAAAACCAUAAAUUCUCAAGUAUGAGAUUUUGUAAGGGAGAAAAAAUAGAUUAAUAGACCUUAAUAUGUUCUUUCAGUAGUGCUAAUGCAUUGAUUUUCUCAGCCAAUUUGAAGCAGUUAAUGGCAUCAAUGCUUUCACCACCCACUAAAUUGCAUACUUUUGAUGGACUUGCAACUACUUCAAGUGAAGAACAAUCAUCUAUUGUCACACUUCCUAUACUUUUUGGUAGCUCAGGCAACGAUUUAAGCAUCUUGCAACCUGACAAUUCAAGCAAUUUGAGCCUGGAAAGUUGAGUAAGAGCCAAAGGAAUGCUGAUGAAAUUGUUACCACUAAGAUAAAGAUAACUCUAAGAGGAUAGACCAGAAAUAUCACUAUGAGUAUCUGCUUCACCAAGAGUGCACAUGUUGCAAUUUGAUAAUUCAAGAGACUUAAGCUUUGAGAGUCGAGUAAGAGAUGCAGGUAUGCUGAUGAAAUUCUUACCACUAAGAUUAAGAUAACUCAAAGAGGAUAGACCAGAAAUAUCACUAUGAGUAUCUGUUUCACCAAAAGUGCACAAGUUGCAAUUUGACAAUAUAAGAUAUGCAAGCUUCGAGAGUCGAGUAAGAGAUGCAGGUAUGCUGAUGAAAUUGUUACCACUAAGAUCAAGUAUUUCCAAACAGGAUAGACCAGAAAUAUCAGGUGAAAUAUCUCCUUCACAAAGAUUGCAGUCCCUUAGUUUUAGCUCUCUUAAAGAACUCAAACCUGACAACAAAGGCAACAUCCUAGCCAUGGGAUUCGUCCUUCUUCCUUGGAUUACCUUGAAAAGAGAAGGCAAAUUAGGUAGUAACUUAUAUGAUGGUCCCUUGCACCUAUUAAAAGACAGAAAUUUAAGAUUUUUAAAUUGAAAAAUGAAGGAUGGUGGUUCUGCUAUGGCUGUUUCACUCAAGUCGAGCUUUUCCAAAAACUUUGCUUGCUACAAAUUCUCCGAUAAAUUUUCCACUCUAUAACAACUGGAAAGAUCUAGAGUUUUUAGACGUUCCAUUUUCCCAUCAAUCUCCGGAAACCUUACAAGACUUGAGCAACCCGAAAGAAUUAAUGUUUCAAGAGAUUCCAUUCUGAAGAAGUUGGUUCAGCAUGCAGCAAACUCUCGACAGCAUGCAGGCCAUGAAGACCAAGCUGUGCGGGAGCUGCUAAUUCAAGCUAUUUUUGUUCAUUUUGUAAUCUUUAGUCAAUGAAACGUAAUCUAGUUCAUUUAGAACUAUGUUAGGUAGAUGAUUGAUGUAAUUUACUGACAUAUGAGCUGUUAAUUCAGCUUUGCUUGUAUACACAAGCUAAUUACUUCAAGUUUCAAUGCUUAGUGGUGUUAGGUAACCAUUAGGUGUAUGUUUACUGUUUUUGACAAGCUUAGUGCUUGGUUUAUGUAUUGGCAUUGUGCCAUUAUUCAAUUUAUGAAUGAAAUCAGUUUGUUCAUCAACUUUCACUCCAUUUUUCUUAGUUUUUCUUCUUUUCUUUUGCUUGAAUUCUCUUGUUUGCUCAGCAAGUCUCGAGGCUUGCUCGACAAGUCUGUGCUGAGUCUGUUAGUUUCUGUUGUUGUUCCAACAAUUGGUAUCUAGAGCCUAUUUCUUAAGGGAUCUGUUAUACAAAUCCAUGGCUUCAUCAAGCUUUUCACCAGCUGCACCUCAAGUCUUCAAUGGUGAAGGCUAUCACAUAUGGGUGGCAAAAUGAAGACCUACCUGCAGGCUUACGAUCUGUGGGAAGUGGUCAACUCAGAUGUUGAACUAGAGCCACUUAGAGGCAAUCCAACAGUGGCUCAGAUCAGGCAGCAUGCUGGUGAGAGGACCAAGAGGCACAAAGCCAUGUCUUGCAUCCAGAACUCAGUGUCAGAUGUGAUUUUCACAAGGAUUAUGGCCUGUGAAUCACCAAAACAUGCCUGGGAUAAGUUGCAAGAAGAGUUUCAAGGGACAGAGAGGACAAGGCAGCAACAGUUGUUGAACUUGAGGAGAGAUUUCGAGAAUUUAAAGAUGAAGGAAGAAGAAACUGUCAAGCAGUACUCUGACAGGAUUAUGGUUGUGGUUAACAGCAUUAGGCUCCUUGGAGAGCAGUUUAAUGAAGCUAGGAUAGUGGAGAAGGUUAUAGCAACUCUGCCUGAGAGGUAUGAGGUAAAAAUCUCAUCUCUCGAGGACUCAAGGGAUCUGUCUACUAUUUUCCUGACAGAGUUGAUCAAUGCUCUAUAUGCUCAAGAGCAGAAGAGAGCAAGCAGACUGGAGGAGCACCAAGAAGGUGCCUUUCAGGCAAGGACAAAUUCUGCCUACAAAGGCAAGAAUGCUUGGAGAGACAAGCCAAAGAAUGAUGCCGCAAGGAGAGAAGGUCAGACUUGCAAGCACUGCAGAAGGAAUGGUCAUCCAGAAGAAAAAUGCUGGUUUAAUCCAGAUGCUGUGUGUCAGCAUUGUAAGAAGAAGGGUCAUGUUGAGAGAGUCUGCAAGAGCAAGGCCAAAUCAAGACAGAAUCAGUUUCAACAGAUGAAAGUUGAGGCUCGAGUAGCUAAGGAGGACAGUGACCAAGAGGAGCAAGUCUUUGCUGUGUCAUGCUCAACUACUCAGGAAAGGUUCUCAUCUGGUUGGCUCCUAGACAGUGGAUGUACCAACCACAUGACACCUGAUGCUGCAAUCUUCAAGUCUUUAGACAGAAGCUGCAGAACUAAAGUCAAGAUAGGAAAUGGCCAUUUCAUUCAAGCUGAAGGCAAGGGUGAUGUACUGAUAUGCACCCCUACAGGUGCCAAAGUGAUUUCAAAUGUGCUCUUGGUGCCUGAAAUUAAUAGAAACCUGCUCAGCAUAGCUCAGUUGCUGGAGAAAGGUUAUUCUGUUGUGUUCAAAGACAACCAGUGCCAAAUCAGUGAUCCAAGUGGAUCCAAACUGAUGGCAGUCCCUAUGGCUGAUAAGAGCUUUGUAGUUGACUAGACUAGGGAGUCAAAUAUUGCCUACACAGCCAUAUCAGAUGAAUUCAAGCUGUGGCAUCAAAGGCUGGGACAUGCCAACUUCAGAUCGAUGGCUCGAAUGGUCAGAGAGGACUUAGCUGAAAACUUCAUCAACUCAGUGGAUUAUGAUGAUGUGUGUGAGGUGUGCCAGCUAGGAAAGCAGGCCAGACUACCAUUUCCUUUGAAUCAAGCCUGGAGAGCCUCUGAAAAACUCCAACUGGUGCACACUGAUGUGUGUGGCCCUAUGAGGACUGAGUCAUUAAGUGGAAACAGAUAUUUUAUACUGUUUAUUGAUGAUUUCUCAAGAUAUUGCUGGCUUUACUUCUUAAAAUAGAAAUCAGAGGUGGCCACUGUAUUUUGGAAGUUCAAAACUACUGCUGAGACUGAAACAGGCUGCAAGCUGAAGACCAUAAGGUCUGAUAAUGGGACUGAGUACACCUCAGCUCAGUUCCAAGCCUUCUGUGAUAAGGUAGGCAUCAAACAUCAGCUUACCAAUAUUUAUACACCUCAGCAAAAUGGUGUAAGUGAAAGGAAGAAUAGGAGUUUAAUGGAUAUGGCCAGGUGCUUGAUGAUUCAGAAGAAUCUGCCUAAAGCACUAUGGGCAGAAGCAGUUAACACUGCAACAUACAUUCAAAAUAGACUUCCAACCAAGGCUUUGGAUCAGAAGACUCCAUUCGAGUCCUGGUUUGGCUUCAAGCCAUCAUUGGCUCAUCUGAAGGUCUUUGGAUGCAUCUGUUAUGCACAUGUACCUGCUGUUAAAAGGGACAAAUUGUCUGAAAGGGCUCGACCUUGUGUUCUGGUGGGCUACAGCAUUGUUAAGAAGGGCUAUAGGAUUUUGGAUCCUUCAACAAAGAAAGUGUCAGUAAGCAGAGAUGUGGUAUUUGAUGAAAGGUCAUGCUGGAACUGGGAAAGGCAUGAACCUGAGGAAGUUUCUGAAGAACUUGUAGCAGACCAAGCUGAGCCAGAACAAAAUGUUUCGAAAAUGGACAUUGAUGAUGAACCAGUCAGAGGAACAAGAUCAUUGACUGAGAUUUAUGAAAGGGCUCAUGUAGCCAUAGCUGAACCAAGCAACUUUGAAGAGGCUGAAGCUCAACAAGGGUGGAUGCUGGCUGAGGAGAUCAGCAUGAUUGAGAAGAACCAGACCUGGGAAUUGGUUGAAAGGCCAGUCAAAAGGAAGGUGAUUGGGGUGAAAUGGGUGUACAAAGCCAAGCAGAAUGCUAAUGGAACCUUGAACAAACUGAAAGCAAGGCUAGUUGUCAAGGGGUUCAGUCAGAGGUAUGGCCUGGACUACCUGGAAACCUUUGCACCAGUGGCCAGGCUCGACACCAUCAGACUGCUGAUUGCCUUAGCAGCACAGCUCGAAUGGAAGAUCCAUCAACAUAAUGUGAAAUCAGCCUUUCUGAAUGGUUUCUUAGAUGAAGACAUCUAUGUUGAACAACCACAAGGGUUUGAAAUAGCUGGCAGAAAGCAUAUGGUCUACAAACUGAAGAAGGCCCUAUAUGGCUUGAAACAGGCUCCAAGAGCCUGGUACAGCAGAAUCGAUGGCUACUUGACUGCUUUGGGAUUCGAUCGAAGCAAGAGUGAGCCAACACUGUAUGUCAAGAAGCAAGGGACACAAACACUACUCAUUGUGUCCCUGUAUGUUGAUGACCUGCUGGUGACAGGAGGAGAUCGAGCAGUGCUGGUCGAUUUCAAGACCAAAAUGCACGAAGUAUUUGAAAUGUCUGAUCUAGGGGAAAUGUCCUACUUCCUGGGAAUGGAGGUGACUCAAACACAGAAGGGGAUAUUUCUAAGUCAGAAGAGCUUUGCCACAAAGAUUCUGACCAAGUUCUCCAUGCAAAAUAGCAAGGCAACUAAGACACCUAUUGCUGUUGGAGAAAGACUAUCGAGCCAAGGUGAUUUUGAGAAGGUAUGUGAAACUACCUACAGGAGUCUAGUUGGUUGUUUGCUAUACUUGACUGCCACUAGGCCGGACAUAAUGUAUGUUGUAUGAUUGCUCUCAAGGUUCUUACAUUGUUGCAAUGAGAAGCAUUUCCAAGCUGCCAAGAGAGUGCUCAGAUAUGUCAAGGGCACUUUGGACUAUAGUUUAAGGUACAACAAGGAAGGAAAUCUAAAGCUAGUUGGACACUGAUAGUGACUGGGCUGGCUCGAUAGAUGACAUGAAAAGCACCUCAGGGUAUACUUUUAACCUUGGUUCAGCCAUGUUCUGUUGGAGCUCGAAGAAACAAAGCCUGGUGGCUCAAUCAACUGCAGAGGCAGAGUAUGUGGCAGCUGCAAGUGCUGUCAAUCAAGCCAUCUGGCUAAGGAAAAUCUUAAUUGAUUUGAAUGCUCAACAGAAGGAAGCAACUGAGAUCUUCUGUGAUAACCAAUCUGCAGUUGCAAUUGCUAAAAAUCCAGUGUUCCAUGGAAGAACAAUGCAUUUUAGCAUCAAGUUGCAUGUUAUUCGAGAAAUGGAGCAAGCUCAGGAAGUGAAACUGAUCCACUGUAAUUCUGAGGAUCAACUUGCAGACAUUUUGACUAAAGCUCUUAAUGUCACAAGGUUCGAAUGUCUAAGAAUGAAGCUAGGUGCUUGCUCCAUACAAACCAAGGAGGAGUGAAGAAGUUGGUUCAGCAUGCAGCAAACUCUCGAAAGCAUGCAGGCCAUGAAGACCAAGUUGUGCAGGAGCUGCUAAUUCAAGCUGUUUUUGUUCAUUUUGUAAUAUUUAGUCAAUGAAACGUAAUCUAGUUCAUUUAGAACUAUGUUAGGUAGAUGAUUGAUGUAAUUUGCUGACAUAUGAGCUGUUAAUUCAGCUUUGCUUGUAUACACAAGCUAAUUACUUCAAGUUUCAAUGCUUAGUGGUGUUAGG